UUUAUAGCUUCCUAGCUUCCAUGCUCUUGUGCCCCAGAAAGGGCAUUGCAGUCACUGCAUGCAGAAAGCAAUCAUAGUGUCAGUACUAAAUGGUAGUGUGGAAACCAGAGCCCUAUCGAGAAAGAGCAGACCUGUCAUUUGGCCUGAAACUCUAAUAAUUAAAAAUGGAUUGCCAGGAUAUGAACUCACAAUAUUUUUGGAUCAACCGACACGAGUGUUGAAAGCAUCUUCAUGGAAGUAUUUUUUUUCUCGAUUUCUAGAUCAGUUGCAGAGUAUAUGUGCUACUCACUACUCUCAAUGUAAACAAUAUUUCUCAGUAUGUGUCGGUUUACAGAAACUGAAACUGUAGCUGUCACUACAGGGCUAUUAAGCAUGUUCUGUGCUACUCACUACAGGGCUAUUAAUCAUGUUCUGUGUUACUCACUACAGGGCUAUUAAGCAUGUCCUGUGCUACUCCUAGGAACUGCUGACAAAUUGUAGCAAAUUUAUCGUUCUUCCUGCAAUAUAAACAAGAUAAACCAAAUUUACCUUUUUUCCUGCAUUAGUUGCAUAACCUUUUCUCUUCCUGUUUCAGGAUGUGCUUGUCUUGGAUAUUGGGGGCCAACCUGAAGCGGUGCAAGCUAACUUCAAGACAUAUACCUACAAGGCCAGAGAAUGGUGCUACAGGAAUGGCGUUCGAGUUGAUGCUACCAAGAUUUGCGGGAGAAAGAAACAUGUCUUCACGACCCCACUGAAAAAAACACUCUACACGAUUGUUAAGAACGGAGAUAAUACUAUAACAUUUAUAAAACAAGGUAGGCAUUGGUGGGAAAAGGGAUACUGCACUGGUGGCAAGGCAUAUGAGAUGAUGCCAGAUAAAGGAUGCAAAAAUUACAUGGAAUGCGCAGACACGGAUCACAUUACACUGCCCUUCUAUGGAAACCACCGUUACAUCUCCAAUGGUGACCCUGGAGGGACACUUAUAGGUGUUCGCUAUCUGAGAAAAGCAUUCACCGCCAUACUUGAGGGCGAAGGGCGCGUAGAUCCCAAGUUUAUUGGCGUAUUUGUCUUGUAUCUCGCUGAAGCUCCGACUUUUGAGGUCAUAUUCCAGGCACUAUAUGAGAAUAUACCUAAUCCAAAUUCCUACCGCCUCGACUUCUUUGUUCCAUAUACCAACACACUCGUGCGCCGCUGGAACAAAUUGAGCAAAUAUGCAAUGAAGUAUAUGCACUGUCUACGAGAAGGCAAGGAGCUUCCAGAACUAGACGAGGAGGUUGCUUUGACUGAAUUAAGCUCCAUUCAAGAGGUUCUCAACCUGGUUAAGAUCCUUCAGUUGGAUGCCUAUAAUCAUGGCAUAUUUAUCCACGAGCCAACACAGAACCCGGACCCAGAGGUGUGGAGUGCAGUGGAUAAUGUAUCUGACCGCAAGAAGAAGUAUGAAAGAAGUCCAACUGCUCCUGAGAGUUAUGUUGCUCAGGUCGAUGAAAGCAUGUUCCAUAUGUUGAAUAUCAACGGGAAAGUGGAGAGCUUAUACAUUGACAAACCCCCCAAUUCAGCACUGAAACUGCGCCAAGGGCAUGGCUUGCUUUCAAACAAAGAAACGAGCUUUUCAAGAUCCAUUGCUAAAAGAAGGAUGAGCACAAGUGAAUCUGCUAACGAGGUGUGUACACAGUUAAACAAUACUUUAAUCCUCUGCAUAUCCAUAUUCUGAUCUUUUGGAACCUUGAAUUGCAGAUACUGGAUACACCAAAAGAUAAGCUGCUCCAGACCAGCAAGGUGAAAAUACCUCGUUUCAGCAUCAUAAAUACCUCACUGAAUGAGGACUUCCUUCUUAAAAGGAUUAGAUUGACAGCUCAAAGGCAGCAUCUAUUUGGUUACCAACCACAAGAGAAAAAGGUUUGAAAAAAAUUGUCUAGUUUGAAUGAUCUGCUAUUCACUUUAUAAUACCGUUGCACCUAUUAUUUGCAGGUUUGUUGUUUUGGAGGAACUACCCUGAGGAAUGCAAGUGAAAGGUUCAUAUCAAGCAGAAUAUUGACCAGAAGAAUGCUCGUGCUGAAACCACUGAUGCUCGGGAUGCACAUGCAGAACUGCCCACAGUGGCGAACAACAGUGCCAGCUAUCAAGGGCCAAGGACACGAUGCUAUCCAUCAGUUUAUUCCUCUAAGCCCGCACGGUCCUAGGCAAGGUUUCAUUGGAAGGUAUUCUCUCUUGCUCCAAAAUACCCAACUGUACACUAAAAUAAGCACCAAGACGGACAAAGUACCCAACUGCUUAUUCUUCUGUUCUCCAAUAUUAAAUUGUUGUGUUUUUCUGUAGCCAACCACUAACGUUCGUUAUGCAUUCCUCUAAUACGAUAAGAAUUUCAAUAUGAUGUCUAUGAUGGCCAUCAAUGUACUUCAUUGUAUUUAUGUUGGUAACUCUUUAGUACCAAAUAACUUGAAGCUAAUGUCGAAUGCUAAGCGUUGCGGUUUCCUUUUCAGGGUAACUUCCCUGAUCAGUAAGCUCAGGCAGAGUUGGAAGUCCUGAUGGUGGGGGUGUUGCAUGAACAUGUGCUAUUUCAGUGGUGCUGUUAACAUGAUGCUGGGAGCCUAUUGCUAUGGUGGUUGGCGUGAAGCCCGUGUUUGCCAUGUCUGAAUAUGUUCGCUAACCCCCAUCUAGGAUUUUGCUGUUUGUUGAUAGGUUAGCUUUAUUUUCGUGAUGUUUCUGCAUUCUCCAAAAUCAGGCAUUGUUGGUUUCUUGCGGAAAGAUGGGAAAUCUAUUGAUGACGUUCAUUAGCCGCCAUGUCAAGUAGAGAAUUAUCAUAUGCAAAACUAUUGUGAUAGGUGAUUCGAUUAAUUCUGCCAUGAUGAUUUCCAGUUUUCCACUAUCUGAAAGUGGGUUGUCAUGCCUGCAAUACAAGCCUUAGGAGCUAUAUUUUGCAGGAUGGUUGGUUGAUGAUGCCAAAGAGGAACAAGCAAAACAUCUUUUCAAUCUUCCAAAUGAAUCUAAGGUUCCAAAAUUUGAAAUGUUUUCCAAGCUUUGGACAUAAAAGUAUUUUGAACUUGAACUGACGAUUAAAUCUGAAAAAUACUAACAGAAGAAGCAAAAUCAUCAUAAUUUCACUGUGUUCUGAACUUAUGAUAUAGCUAAUCAUUGAUACUCGUUAGAGGUAUCUCUGACCAUUCUGCUCUUUUGAUACAUACUGGGUUUAUUAAGGCUGCAGCUGCCAGGCCUUUUAAGUUUUGAGCUUUACUGGCUUGUCAGGGGUGAGCUGCCGAAUGUAGUCUCUAUAAUAAUUUGGAAUUCUAUCGCUCCUAAAAAUAACAGCCUGGAUUGGUGGCAGGCUGUUAUGAGGAAGUUACGAAGCGGGCUUAAGGGUUGGGAUCUAAAUGUUGAGGGGAGUGAGUUACAAGAGAAAGAUAAGUUUUAUUAUUAAUGCUUCAGAUAUACUCCCUCCGUAAAGAAAUAUAAGAGCGUUUAGAUCACUAUACAAGUAGUGAUCUAAACACUCUUGUAUAGUGAUCUAAACGCUCUUAUAUUUCUUUACGGAUGGAGUAGUGAUCUAAACGCUCUUAUAUUUCUUUAUUAGUGAUCUAAAUGCUCUUGUAUAGUGAUCUAAACACUCUUGUAUUUCUUUACGGACGGAGUAGUGAUCUAAACGCUCUUAUAUUUCUUGAUGGAGGGAGUACUUGAUAAGAAGUGCGAGCUUGCUGUAGUCUCAGCAGCUAACUAUGAGAAAAGAAAUACGUACUAGCUUGCAAGAUGAAUUGAAUAAAAUCUUAGAGAGGAAGAAAUCAAAUGGUACCAGCCACAGGGCCGGAGGCUCAUGCGAACGAAGCCACGGGCACUAAACUGAGCAUCCAACAGUGCAGGGGUAAGUGGCAACGGCAGACACCUAGCAACGUCGACGGAAACGUGACGAAGACCACCAGAUCAUGCAAGCGAGAGGCACAGGUCCGGGUGCACGCGGCACCAGGACCAGCCUGAUCAUACAUCAAAAUUAGCUCCUGCCAAACGUCCCGGACAAGGAGAAAAAGAAAAGGAACUUGGUCAGUGAGAAUUUCAUAAAAGAAGAAAGCGGACCAAAACAAAGAUGCAUUCCUCUGACGAUAGAAGGUACCUGAGCAUGUGCUCAUCUGGUGAACAGAGGCAGGCCAAAGGAUGCUGCUGCCGGUGCCCCCGUCAAGACUCACACCUCACAGCAAUCGCAGCGACAGAGAGGGGCCGUUAUAGCAACCUGCGAAAAACAAAAUUGCAACCCUUAGGGAACGGUAGAGCAAGCAAACGACAGCCCAGAGACAGAUAAAAAAGCAAUCUUUUUGAGAAUGAAAAUAGCAAAGACGCUGCAGGGUGGAGGAGCCUGCAACCUGUCCGAUGAGAAUCGCCGGGAGAUCCGCCAGACGGGGCAGCAGCAGCCCAAAUCGAAGAGUAAUCGAUCGACGAGGGGCUGGGGAAAGAGGAGCCGCCGCAUCGGAAGANNNNNNNNNNNNNNNUCGGAAGAGGGGGAAAACAGGAUUUGAUGGGAGUUACUGCGACUAGGGACGAGGCCGAAACUUGCUGUGGAGCAAGGACGCGGAGCUGAGCUUCUGCCGGCCGGGGCGACCCAUCACCACUCACUACAUGCCCCUGGACCUGCCGGACGGGGCGACCCAUCACCACUCACUGCAUGCCCCUGGACCUGCCGGCCGCCGGCGCCGGGCACGACUACGCGAUAGGCGCCGCCGCGAGCUUCCGGUGGUGCAGGCGAGCGCGCGGGAGAGGUGUCUGGCAGCGCCGACGAGACGCAAAGACGCCGGCCAUUGCUGAGGCGGAGGCGGCUAGGGUUCGUGGCCUGGCCUGGUGGCGUGGGUGCGCGUGGGCGAUUGGGUGGCUUGUUUCCUUUUUUCUUUUUUUAGGGGAAAGUCGGGGUAGCUUGUUUCCUUGGGCCUCCUUUGUUUCGCGUGGGUUAGAGCAAGUCUGGCACAUCCCGCCGGCCCGCAAAACGCGUUUGCCGCAAAACCAUUUUUAUGCAGACUCUCCAAACGGAUCCGUAAAAAAAAUAUUCGCGGAAUAUGUUUUUUUACUGGUCGGCUUCUGUAAGUUCUGCUCGGACUCCACCGCAACGAUCCGCAAACAGAAAACUGCAAAUCUCGUAUUUGACAUAGGGUUCGGCAAACAAGUUCAAAUUCAAACGAAAUAAACAAUUUGCGCACAAAUAAAAGCGAAGUUCAUUACGCAAAAGAGGGCAUGCAAAGGUUUUGCACCCAUGUCCGGCAUCAUCUUGGGGGUCGAUCUUCACUCCGUGCCAUGGACUCCAUAUUGAAGUUCACCGGCGCCACCGAAUCCACAUCCGUCGCUUGUUCCAACUCCCGCACCGAAAUCAUCCACAUUGACACCAUAUGGAGCAGAGAAAACAUCACGGGACCUGGAUCACGGACCGGUCGAGGCGACCAUUCUCCUCUUCAAGAUCUCUCUCCUUGCCAUAUCAUGUCAUGUUUUGGUGAGGUCGUCCAUGUCAUUGCGGUUCAUUGACAUGAUCGUGUUCUCCUCGCGAGCAACAAUGACAUCGAUUUGGUUUCAGAGGCGCGUGCUUUUCUCUCCUCAAUGGCAGCUUUGCGGAGCCCCUCUUCCUUGAGCAUUUGCCUUUUUCUUGCUUCUCUUUUGCCUUCUUCUCGGCCAACUCUUUCUUGAUCUCCAACGACUUCAACAACAUCAACUCGUUUGAUUGCACCAUGGCAUCAAUCUUCUCCCUCAAGCUCGCUGCUUCUUGCUCUCUCUUCAUCUUCUCUUUAGUCUUCUUGUCGCCAUCGGGCUUGUGCAAAUUUCUUGGGCCAUCACCAUCCUCAUCUUCAUCCAUGUUUAUAAGUGAGCCUCUUUUUGGUGGGGAUUCUCUGUCGAUCAACUUCCACUUGUCGCACUUUUGGAGCAACUCCCAACAAUGCUCUAAUUUGAAGAAUUUGCCUUCCGAAGCUUCCAUGUCCUUGUAUCUAUGUUGAGCAAUCUUGUCCUACAAAAUGUGAACAAAGUGAUGCAAUCAUUUCUCAUGAUACAUUAUGAUGAUGCACAAAUUGAACAAAGGAAAAAAAACAAACUCACAUAGUCGGACUCCACGGUGCCACUUGGAGGUGCAUUGCGUACUUGCUCCAAGCAAGCUGCCUAACGGCUGCACACAUAGGUUUGAUAUUCUCCCAACGCCCUUGAAGUGACCGAAAUGUGCGUGCAGUCCUAUUAGGAUACUUUUUCAUAAUGCGGAAGUAUUGAUCUUCGAUCCUUUGCCAAUAUAUCUUGGCGGUUUGAGAAACACCCAUGCAUGCAUCAAGAGACACCGCACUCCAUGCUUGGAUCAAAGCUUGAUCUUCCAAGAUCGUGUAGUUCUUCGAUCUUUGGCUUUUCCCACCCUUUGCUUGCGAUUGCUCAAACGCUUCCGCUUCGAUCUCCUCCAAUUCAUCCGCAGCACCAUGAUCAUCCACGCCGCCGUCCGUUUCAUUGUUGUUGAAUGGUUCGAAAGAGGCUUGAUCAAUGUCAACCGCGUUCGUGUCCAACAUGUUCAUGAACUCGGUUGUUGCAUUGUUCGAACCAUCGCUAUAGAAAACGAUAACAAGUCACGAGCUAUCAAGACUAAUUGCAAAAAAUGAAAAGGAAUCGCCAAGAUCGAAGAGGCAUACCUUCCGGCCAUUUCGUCAAACACCUCGGCCGCGGGGGGAGCAGAAUUGUUCAACGGCAUCGCCGAAGCACCUCCUUGCGGGGGGUGAAGUCAGAGGUUGAAUAAGGUGGCUUCCUUGAAGCCGGAACCUUCCUCCGCUUUACGGCCGCGACCUUGCCGACCUUCUGCGCCGCCGGCCGGGAUCGCACUGCGGCGUUGGAGCCCGGAGCGCGGGCCGUCGCGGUGGGGGCAGCCGGAUUCCCGCCAUGCAUGACCACGGUGCCCUGCCUGCAUGACCACGGUGCCCUGCCUCUUUCGGGAAGGCGUGGCAUGUGCUUGGGCGACGGCGUCGGGGGCAACAUGGCCGGCGACGAGAUCCGCCCAAGGGGAAGGAGCAUGCGCGACCUCGACGGUGACGGGGGACAACAUGGGGUCCUCCAUGGCGGCGAGGAACGACCGAGGAGGAGGAACCGGAGCUUGCGAAGGGGGGGCAAUGGUGGCGGAGGGUGCGGGGAGCAGGGAAAGGGCAUGCGGAAAUGUCCCUCCCGCCAAAUCUCGCGUCGGAUAGGGGUUCAGCUCGGGUUGGCCUCCCAGCCCAUGAAGAUGGAGGUCGGGGCGAAGAUUUGCCGCGCCCCGCAAAAAAUAAUGCGGGUCGUCGCGGGAUGCGGGGUCUGCUCGUGCAGAUUUUCCGGCCCCGACCCGCAAUUUGGCGGUUAUUUUGCGGGUCGGGGCGGGAUGCGGGGUCUGCUAGAGUUGCUCUCAGAGGGGUUUCCACAUGAUUAAGGCCAACUCGAUCUCACGACGUCCGCUUCGGCCUGCUUUCGGCCGUUUGGUAUGGUCGGUACAUACAAUGCCACACAUUCCAAAUCGUAUCCGUAAUGAACAUGAUAUAAAAAAUCGCAAAACUCAAAUAAAUGUUGAAAAAUCAAUCAAUACGCAAGCAUAAUGAUUAAAACAUAAUUAAACAAACAUUAGUCUUUACGGUUUCUACAGUGCUUAGAACAUAAUUAACAUAAUAAAAACUAAAAAAAUAAGCGCCGCCGGCGUGCUGCUCCCGUGCCCGUCACCGUCACACGCGUCAUCGUUGUCGUCCUCGUCGCCAGUAAGGUCGAUGUAGGGCGACGACAUCCAUAGGUGGGACAGUGGUCCCUGGUAGGAGGAACACGCCUGCACCACCUCCCCCACGGCGACGGCUCACGCUCCGGUGACCGCGGAGGCAUGGGGCAGCAAGACCCGACCACCACAGCGACGACUCGCGCUCUAGUGACCGCGGCGGCAUGGGGCGGCAAGACCUGACCCCUACGGUGUUAGUCAUGUCAGUGGCCGUGCACGACCAGCUCCACCGCUGGCCCACUAGGCCCGCGUGGAACGUGGCGACGGGCUGCUCCUCUAGCACCUCCUCCUUCACGACUGUCAUCUCCACCUCUGGUACGACACGUCACCAGCCGCAGGGAGGGUCAGCAUGGUGUCCAGCCCCACCCAUUGGCGCUCAUCGUGUGUGUUCUUAGAGUCUUCCAAGACACGUUGAAUGAUCCGGGCCUCCUCCUCCUCUGCCAUGGGAGGUGGUGGUGGUGGCGACAGUGUACGCCCGCGCACCCGGAGACGUGCCCGCCGCGGGCUAGCUGGGCGACCAGCAAAGUAUGACACGCGGCGCACGUCGUGCUCGUCCCGAAACCAAUGGUCCCAUAGAGGGGGUUCGACGGCGUACCUGAGGUCGUAUUACAGGGCAUCAAGCAGGCGACAGCGUCGGUCGAUCUCCUCGUGGCAGGCACGGCCACUCAUCAGGAUCGACGGGAUCGGCACCCGAUCCGCAGACAAUUGCCAGUUAUUGGGCAGGUGAACGUCGCUCUAGGGGAGCGGCGUACCUGCUUCCCAAUAACGUCGGCAAACAUUCACGUGGGCGUACUGUCGGUCACGCGCCGGGCGGCCGGAGGUGCGAUGGCAAAUGCGGACGGUGCAGGGGCCCUCCGUGGGGGUGGUGUGGGCUGUGAGCUGGCGGUGGAGCGGUGAUACGGCUCCAUCGUAUCUACUUUUCCAAACUCUUUUGCCCUUGUUUUGGACUCUAAUUUGCAUGAUUUGAAUGGAACUAACCUGGACUGACGUUGUUUUCAGCAGAAUUGCCUUGGUGUUAUUUUUGUGCAGAAAUCAAAGUUCUCCAAACGUCUUGAAAAUUUAUGGGGAGCAAUUUUGGAAAAUAAGAAAAAUGUCUGCGCCAAGUUCCACCUCAGGGGGUGGGCCAGUGGGCCACAAGCCCUGGCUCCGCCACCACCCCCCUGGUGGCGGUGGGCAGGCUUGUGGGGCCCACAUGGCUCUGCCGCCCCCAAUCUCAGGUCUAUAAGAUCCCUUUCGUCCCAGAAAAAAUAAAAAGAGAAGUUUUCGUCGCGUUUGCGAUACGGAGGCGCCGCCACCACCUGUUCUUCAUCUGGAGGGCAGAUCUGGAGUCCGUCUUGGGCUCCGGAGAGGGGAAAUCGUCGCCAUCGUCAUCAUCAACCUUCUCCCCUCUCCAAUUCCAUGAAGCUCUUCGUCGUUCAUGAGUAAUCUAUUCGUAGGCUCGCUGGGCGGUGAUGAGUAGGAUGAGAUCUAUCAUGUAAUCGAGUUAGUUUUGAUGGGGAUUGAUCCCUAGUAUCCACUAUGUUUUGAGAUUGAUGUUGAUACUACUUUGCCAUGCUUAAUGCUUGUCACUAGGGCCCGAGUGCCAUGAUUUCAGAUCUGAAAUUAUUAUGUUGUCACCAAUAUAUGUGUGUUUUAGAUCCGAUCUUGCAAGUUGUAGUUACCUACUAUGUGUUAUGAUCCGGCAACCCCGGAGUGACAAUAACCGGAACCACUCCCGGUGAUGACCAUAGUUUGAGGAGUUCAUGUGUUCACCAAGUGCUAAUGCGUUGGUCCGGUUCUUUAUUAAAAGGAGAACCUUAAUAUCCCGUAGUUUCCUUUUGGACCCUGCUGCCACGGGAGGGAUGGACAAUAGAUGUCAUGCAAGUUCUUUUCCCUAAGCACGUAUGACGACACGCGGAAUGCAUGCCUACAUCACAUUGACGAACGGGAGCUAGCCACAUAUCUCUCCAUGUUAUAGCUGUUGCAUGAUGAAUAUCAUCGAAACAAAUCACUGACCCAUUGCCUACGAGUUUGUCCUACUGCUGCUGCUGCUACUGCUGUUGCUACUGCUGUUACUUGUCUUGCUCUGCUGCUGCUGCUACUACUGCUGCUACUACUGUCGCUUGCUACUGUUGCUACUUGCUACUGCUGUCACUACUGCUGUUCCUUGCCGCUGCUAUUGCUCGCUACACUGCCGUUACUCGCUACUUUGUUGUUACUAUGCUUGCAGAUACUAAUCUUUCAGGUGUGGUUGAAUCUGACAAUUCAACUGCUAAUACUUGAGAGUAUUCUCUCACCUCCCGUCGUGCGAAUCAACAAAUUUGGGUCGAAUACUCUACCCUCGAAAACUGCUGCUUAACCCACACGCUGGUGGGCCAUCAACAACAUUCUUCUAGUUGCGUUGCGGGGGAGUGCUAGCAGCAUUCUUCUGGUGCUGUUGCAGGGGAAGGUUUGUUGUCAUCAGCAUUCGUCUAGCCAUCGCUAGAGAUUGCAAUCAUCAUUUUUCUGGCACCGUUGCCGGGGAGGUAUUGCUAUAUUCUCUGAGUCACUUGGGAUUUAUAUCUGCUGAUCACUAUGAAGAAUCUGAAGGAUCCGAAGACCAAAGUCUUGCCCUCAACUACGAGGGGAGGUAAGGAAUUGCCAUCUAGCUCUGCACUUUAUUCACCUUCAGUUAUGAGUAAGUUUGCGACAUCACCUCCUGCUAGAAAUCUUGAUAUGCCACCUGUGCUUGAUGAUGCUUGUGAUACUACUGCUAGAGAUGCUAUGCGUGAUACUGCUAGAGAUGCUAUGCUUGAUACUAUGCCUGAUGAUACUAUGCUUGAUACUCCUAGAGAUGCUAUGCUUGAUACUGCCUUGCCUGAUGAUGCUAGAGAUGCUAUUAUGCCUGAUGAUGCUAUGCUUGAUACUGCUAGAGAUGCUACUUUGCCUGAUGUUCCACUAGGAGUGUUCCUUGAUGCUCAUAUUGCUAGAGUUACUGCCAAUGCUCGUGAUGCUUCUGAUACUGCCGAUACUAUUGAGAUAGAACCUGCUUUUGCCCUUGCUAGAUCUAGCUCUCCUAGAUAUGAAUUGCCUGAUAUACCUGAGGGUUACGUUAUGAAGGGAGAGAUAGCUGAGGAUUUUCUUGCGUGUAAGGAUGCCUAUGACGCUGAGAAAUUACUUCUCAAGUGGAAGGAAAAAUCUCGGGAAACUAGGAUGAAAAUUGACCCGAAGUUUGCCACUUCGCCUAUCUUUGUCACCGAUAAGGAUUAUGAAUUCUCUGUCGACCCUGAGAUAAUCUCUCUAGUCGAAUCUGAUCCUUUUCACGGUUAUGAGUCUGAGACGGUCAUAGCCCAUCUUUCCAAACUAUCCGAAAUAGCCAACCUUUUCACUAAUGAGAAGAAGAUCCGCCACUACUAUAUCCUUAAGUUGUUCCCUUUCUCUCUAAAGGAUGACGCUAAAGUCUGGUUCACCUCUCUUGCUCCUGGAUGGGUGCGUAGUCCCCAGGAGAUGGUCUAUUACUUCUGUGAGAAAUAUUUCCCUGCCCAUAAGAAGCAAGCUGCCUUGCCGGAAAUAUACAACUUUGCUCAACUCCAAGAAGAGAGUCUUCCACAAGCUUGGGGGAGGCUCGUCCAGCUACAAAAUGCUUUGCCUGAUCACCCUCUUAAGAAGAACGAGAUACUUGAUAUCCCCUAUAACGGACUUAUCGAUGCCUCUAGAGACCACCUAGAUAGUUGUGUCGGUUGCGUUUUUAGGGAACAAACUGUAGAACAAGCUGAGACCCUACUGAAUAACCUCUUGAUCAACGAUAAUGCUUGGACUAUUCCAGAACCACCUCCUAAGCCAACUCCUAAGAAAAGAGGUAUUCUAUUCCUCAGUCCCGAAGAUAUGCAAGAAGCCAAGAAAUCUAUGCAAGAGAAAGGCAUUAGAUCUGAAGAUGUAAAAAAUCUACCACCUAUCGAAGAUAUCCAUGGUCUCGAUAACCCGAUACAGGUAGUAGAAGUGAAUUCUCUGCGUAGGUUUGAUGAGAGUGAUAUUCCUUUUGAUAAACCUGCUAGCCUAUGCUUUGAUGAAUUUGACAACUUUGUUGCCAAACAACAGAGUUUCAAUGAUUAUGUUAGCCGACAUUUGGAACAAAGUGCUCGUAUGCUUAGCCAUUUAAGUGCUUGUGUAGACAGAAAUGUCAAUGAUCUGAAGCUUCUGAGUAAACAUGCCUCUAUGAUUGCUACUCAGGUAGGACAAGUACUUAAAGCUCAGAAUGACUUGCUCAAUGAAUUAAAUGACAACUCUGUCAGAGUCAUUACUAGAGGAGGCAAAAUGACUCAGGAACCUUUGUAUCCUGAAGGUCAUCCUAAGAGAAUUGAUCAAGAUUCUCAAGGAAUCAAUGCUGAUACACCUAGUCAUCCUAAGGAGAAGAAGAAGGAUGAUAGGAACCUGCACGCCAGUUCACCAAAUACCGUCACACCUGAAGAACCUAAUGAUAUCUCUGCGCUGAUGCAGAAACACAAUUUGGUGAUGAACAUGAACCUAGUGACAAUAUGGACAAUGAUGUUCAUAAUAAUGCUCAACCUAGCAACGAUGAGGAUGUGGAGAUUGAACCUACGGUUAAUCCUGAUAAUCCACAACCUAAGAGAUACGACAAGAAUGACUUCACUGCUAGGAAGCAUGGUAAAGAAAGAGAGCCAUGGGUUCAGAGACCUAUGCCCUUCCCUCCUAAGCCAUCCAAGAAAAAGGAUGAUGAGGAUUUUGAGCGCUUCGUUGAGAUGAUAAGACCCGUGUUUCUGCAGAUGCGGCUAACUGAUAUGCUAUGUCUCCGUAUGCCAAGUACCUGAAAGAUAUCGUGACUAAUAAAUGGAAGAUACCAGAUCUUGAGAUCUCCACCAUGCUUGCCAAUUACACUUUUAAAGGUGGAACUCCUAAGAAACUUGGUGAUCCCGGAGUGCCCACUAUACCUUGCUCCAUCAAAGGAAACUACGUAAGAACUGCCUUAUGUGACCUUGGAGCCGGUGUUAGUGUUAUGCCGCUCUCUCUUUAUCGUAGACUUGAGUUGGAUAAGUUGACACCCACUGAAAUUUCUCUGCAAAUGGCCGACAAAUCGACUGCUUUCCCUAUCGGCAUUUGCGAGGAUGUGCCUGUUGUGGCUGCUAAUACCACUAUCUUAACAGACUUUGUUAUCUUGGAUAUUCCCGAGGACGAUGCCAUGGCUAUCAUCCUCUGAAGACCCUUUUUAAACACUGCGGGGGCUGUUAUAGAUUGCAACAAAGGCAAUGUCACUUUCCAUGUCAACGGUAAUGAGCACAUAGUGCACUUUCCGAAGAAACGAUAUCCAGUACAUUGCAUCAAUGCUAUCGAAAAGACUUCAUCGAUUCUCAUUGGGAGCUUUGAAUGCCCUAUUCCUCGUGUCAAGAUGAAGUAUGAUUUGCUUGUUGGGGAGAUUCAUAUCCCCAUUGAGGUGACUUAGUGGCUAUUCGAAAAUUCUCCGUUCUCUCUUGUGAUUCGAGAAGGUUUUGUCGUAAGGACUUGAUCAAUCCCAUUGACGGAUUUCUUUCAAUGACCAUGAAACGGAUGAAUCAAAGAGUCACAUACCUCUGUUUUAAGCUUUCUUUUUCUUUUGCUUAGAAGAAAAAUGAUAGAAUUAGUUUAGUUUUUCCUGUUUUCUGUUUUAGCGUCCCUGAGAAAAAUACCUCGAAAAUAAAAGUUCUCCGAUGGUCUUGAAAAUUUAGUAUAAUUUUUUCUGGAAUUUUUGAAAAUUUCGGGGCCUGAGAGCUGGCCUGGGGGCCUGACCAGUGGGCCACAAGCCCUGUCACCGCACCUACCCCCUGGUGGCGGGGUGCAAGCUUGUGGGGCCCACAGGCACCCCCUCCACUCAUUCCAGCUCUCAGCCUCUUCUUCCACCUCCAGAAAAAAUUGUUUCGCAGCUCAAACCCGUGUUCUUGCUCAUUUGGCUGUGAUUUUCGAUAUCCUUUCUCAAAGCACCAUUCUCUGAACUGUUUUGGGGAAAUUGCUCCUUGGUAAGUGACUCCUCCAUUGGUCCAAUUAGUUUUUGCUCUAGUGCUUUAUCCUUCGUGUAUUCUUGCUACCUUGGUGACCCUGUUCUUGAGCUAGAAAUGUUGAUUUUAGUUGGUCCCAAGUAGUUUUAGUGCGUGAUACGGUCUCUAGGAACUAGUGGGAGUAGUUGCUACAAGUUGGGUUAAUCCUUAUUCACUUUUCUUUCGAAGUCUCUAAAAAGUUCAAAAUUUUUCAGAGCUAGAAAAAGGAAAAGAUGAGGAGGUUCUUGAGAGGCUCUUCAAGCCGUAACCCCAAGGAGGAUGAGAAGAACCACCCCAAGUACGUAGUCCCUCGAGUCACAAAAGUUCGAGUGUGCGAGUGGCCAAGUGAUGAAUUUUUGCGCGCCACCGGACUUUUUGAAGACUUUUAUUACUUGGUGGAGAACGCAGGUCUGACUGCGUUUGUUGAACAUAAGUGCCCACAAUAUCUCCUCCUCACCAAUAUUUUCGUUCAAAGCUUCAACUUUCAUCCGAGGAAGAAUCCUCCCAUGGUUGAGUUCAUGAUAUAUGAUGUCCCCCAGUGCAUGACGCUGCAGGACUUUUGCAAUGUAUGCAAAUUACCUUAUGUUGGGGAUAUUCGUGACCCUCGUCCACGGGACUUGGAGGAUUUCAUUGGUUCUAUUGCUGUUGGAGAGGAGAGAGGAGUGUCUCGUGCUAGAAUUGCUAGCAUACAUUUUCCUAUGCUUCGGUACUUCUCACUAUUUGUGGGAAAAUGUUUGAUUGGCCGUGGGGAGGCUGGAUCACUUAGUUCUCCAGACCUUGCGGUUUUGCGCGAAGGCCUUUAUAACGAUAAGACCUAUAGCCUGGGCGCUAUAGUAGCUCAACGGUUGAACCUGAAUCGUUCUGAAGGUGUCGUCUAUGGAGGUAUCUACGCUACCCGUCUUGCCAGACACUUUGAGAUACCGAUUAGACUGGGAGAGGAAGGAGAGAUGCUUCUCCCUGAGAGAUAUCUGGAUUAUGACAGCAUGGUUCGCCAUGAUUUUCUGGAUAGAGAUGCUAGUAGAUGGAUGAUUUAUAACCUGGUGUUUAGUCAGGGUACUCGAGAGACUAUUACUUUGCCUGCUCCUUCUUUGUUCGAUCUUCAUGCAGGCAGGUACACUAUUAUGCCCGUGGACAUCUACGCAUAUUGGGGCUUGGCCCAACCACAGGCGCAUGUGCCCGAGCCGCCAGUCGAGUUCCAGACGCCAGUUUAUCAGUGGGAGCCAGAGGAGCUCACACAGCAGUGGCAUUCACCGUCUGCUCCCGAGUAUCUUGGAGCUGGUUAUUUCCCACCUUGGGAGUAGACCAAGCUAGGUCAAAAGCCUAAUCUUGGGGGAGUACGUGUUCUCACCGACUUUACGUUCAUGCUUAUGCUUUCACUUUGUUAGCCGGUGUUUACACUUUGCCACUGUAUUAUCCAUGCUAGUUUAUUUUCGUUUUCUUGUUUUCUUGUUUUGUGUCCUUUUGAGAAAACCCAAAAGAUUUUUCUUUCUUCUUUUGCUUGUUGGGAGCUUUCCCGUGUAAAUAGUUUUCUUUUUCUUUGUGUCAAGGUAGAAGAUAUUGGUUACAAUGUUUAUUGGUUCUUGCAUGCUUACCUGUUUAGCUUUCAAAGAGCCAUAUUACUUUGUCUUCUCCUUUGUGUUUGCCUGCAGAUUCAGCUUAGUCCAACGCGCUUAUUAUCGUUUUCAUCGUUCGAUCGUGCAAAUGAAAGGUAACAAUGAUGAUAUAUGAUGAAGUGACCGAGACUGAAAAGCUGGUAUGAACUCUAUCUAUUUUGUUUUUGUAAAUAUGACUAGCUUGUCGACCCAUAUUUAGCUUUGUUGUGAGAGAACCAUGUUUGCAAUGACAACUUAGAGAUCAUAGUUUCUGAUGCCAUGCUUAUUUAGCUGAGAGCUUAUAAUGGUUUGUCUUGAAUGCCAACAUAGAUUUUGAGAUGGCUAUGAUGUAGUAUGAUAGGAUGGUAUUCUCCUUUGAAUGUUUCAAGUGGCUUGACUUGGCGCAUGUUCAUGCAUGUAAUUGAAACAAAAUCAACAUAGCCUCUAUGAUGUUCGUGUUCAUGGUGAUUUAUAUCCUGUUCAUGCCUGCAUUCAAUGUUAGUCAAACUCAUUGCAUCUUGAUGACUGUUGUUGCUCUCUAGUUGGUCGCUUCCCAGUCUUUUGCUAGCCUUCACUUGUACUAAGCGGAAUACUGCUUGUGCAUCCACUUCCAUAAACCAAAAGUUUUUCCAUGAGAGUCCACCAUACCUACCUAUUUGUGGUAUCUACCUAUCGUUCCAAGUAAAUUUGCAUGUGUCAUUCUCUAAACCUUCAAGAAAUAAUCUGUUUUGCAUGCCCGAACCGCUCAUGUGGUGACAGAGGGCUAUUAGUAUCUUCCAUGCUAGGAGUGUUAUCCUCGACAUGUGUUUAUUCACAGUCAUUCACGAGAAACGGCCCGGUAAUUGGAAUGCCCAGUUCCACGCUUAAAUCUAAAACAUAACUGUAAAACAAGACUCCCCCCGGAUUGAUGUUAGUAUGGACGGUACCCGAGGAUUCAGCUAGCCGUGGAGUGUGAUUGAUUGGUGGUGGGGGAGUUAAAACUUUACUUUUCUGUUUGGGAACCGCCUAUAGCAUGAGUAGCAUGGAAGAUAUUGAGAACUCUUGGUCAUUGCGUUGACAAUGAAAGCAUGCCACCCAAAAUUAUUAUCUCUGUUUUCAAAGCUUGAGCUCUGGCACCUCUGCAAAUCAAUGCUUCCCUCUGCGAAUGGCCUGUCUAUUUAUUUUCCUGUCAAGCCAUCCUCCUCUAUAUAAGCACCAAUUAGAGAGCACCUCUGUCAUUUUUAUGCUUUGCUUUUGAUUGAUAUUGAGUAUGACUAUGACUGGAUCUUCAUUGCUAUGAAUUACAAUGUUUAGUCAGCCCUCGAUCUUUGAAAGUGCUCUGCAUUUAUGUUUUGCGAUCUCAGAAAGAGCUAGCGAGAUACCACCUAUUCAUAUUACUUCAUACUUGUUUUGAUUGAAGUGUUGGUAUUUGAAACUCAUUAUUAUUUGCUCGUUAGCUGAUUAUGCCAUUGAUAUUAGUUUACCGUGAGACCUUUAUGUCACUUGCUUAUGUGGUUAACUUGUGAUCUUGCUGAAAUUUUGGUUAUGAGUUAGACAUAGUUGCAACAACAAGAUCAAACAGAGUUUGUCAAAGUUUUUCUUUCUCUCUCAGUUUGUCAACUGAGUUGCUUGAGGACAAGCAAGGUUUUAAGCUUGGGGGGGUUGAUACGUCUCCAUCGUAUCUACUUUUCCAAACUCUUUUGCCCUUGUUUUGGACUCUAUUUUGCAUGAUUUGAAUGGAACUAACCUGGACUGACGCUGUUUUCAACAGAAUUGCCUUGGUGUUAUUUUUGUGCAGAAAUCAAAGUUCUCCAAACGUCUUGAAAAUUUACGGGGAGCAGUUUUGGAAAAUAAGAAAAAUAUCUGCGCCAAGUUCCAGCUCAGGGGGUGGGCCAGUGGGCCACAAGCCCUGGCUCCGCCACAAACCCCCUGGUGGCGGUGGGCAGGCUUGUGGGGCCCACACAGCUCUACCGCCCCAAUCUCAGGUCUAUAAGAUCUCUUUCGUCCCAGAAAAAAUAAAAAGAGAAGUUUUCGUCGCGUUUGCGAUACGGAGGCGCCGCCACCACCUGUUCUUCAUCUGGAGGGCAGAUCUGGAGUCCGUCUUGGGCUCCGGAGAGGGGAAAUCGUCGCCAUCGUCAUCAUCAACCUUCUUCCCUCUCCAAUUCCAUGAAGCUCUUCGUCGUUCAUGAGUAAUCUAUUCGUAGGCUCGCUGGGCGGUGAUGAGUAGGAUGAGAUCUAUCAUGUAAUCGAGUUAGUUUUGAUGGGGAUUGAUCCCUAGUAUCCACUAUGUUUUGAGAUUGAUGUUGAUACUACUUUGCCAUGCUUAAUGCUUGUCACUAGGGCCCGAGUGCCAUGAUUUCAGAUCUGAAAUUAUUAUGUUGUCACCAAUAUAUGUGUGUUUUAGAUCCGAUCUUGCAAGUUGUAGUUACCUACUAUGUGUUAUGAUCCGGCAACCCCGGAGUGACAAUAACCGGAACCACUCCCGGUGAUGACCAUAGUUUGAGGAGUUCACGUGUUCACUAAGUGCUAAUGCGUUGGUCCGGUUCUUUAUUAAAAGGAGAACCUUAAUAUCCCGUAGUUUCCUUUUGGACCCCGCUGCCAGGGGAGGGAUGGACAAUAGAUGUCAUGCAAGUUCUUUUCCCUAAACACGUAUGACGACACACGGAAUGCGUGCCUACAUCACAUUGACGAACGGGAGCUAGCCACAUAUCUCUCUGUGUUAUAGCUGUUGCAUGAUGAAUAUCAUCCAAACAAAUCACCGACCCAUUGCCUAUGAGUUUGUCCUACUGCUGCUGCUGCUACUACUGUUACUUGUCUUGCUGUGCUGCUGCUGCUACUACUGUUGCUAUUACUGUCGCUUGCUACUGUUGCUACUUGCUACUGAUGUCACUACUGUUGUUCCUUGCCGCUGCUAUUGCUCGUUACACCGCCGUUACUCACUACUUUGAUGUUACUAUUGUGCUUGCAGAUACUAAUCUUUCAGGUGUGGUUGAAUCUGAUAAUUCAACUGCUAAUACUUGAGAGUAUUCUCUCACCUCCCGUUGUGCGAAUCAACAAAUUUGGGUCGAAUACUCUACCCUCGAAAACUGCUGCGAACCCACGCGUUGGUGGGCCAUCAACAACAUUCUUCUAGUUCCGUUGCCGGGGAGUGCUAGCAGCAUUCUUCUGGUGCCGUUGCAGGGGAAGGUUUGCUGUCAUCAACAUUCGUCUAGCCAUCGCUAGAGAUUGCAAUCAAGUGGCGGCCGGAGGAUGAACCAGCCUCAUGGUCGUGCGCCCCCUUGCGGUCGGUGCUCCACCACACCAUCGAUGCCGGCGACCGGAGAGCUCGAGGAAGGGGAGGGGAGAACUAGGGUUUGGGUGUCGGGUUUCGAGGAGGCAGCAUGACUGGAGUGGGAGCAUGGACUGUGACCGGUCCACGGUUUCCCAUUUUAGAAGGCAGCGACCACUCGCUUGGGUGGAUGAUAGGUGGGGCCGACUGCGCGUGCACAAUUAAUUUGGGCGGUGGAAGGUAGGUGCAUGCGUGCCAUGCAGCCCCGAUGCGGACGAGAGGCAUGCCCGUUCGUUGUCCGCCUAGACCCAAACCGGACGCAUGUUUGCACUUGGAAUGGGUCGGGACGGACACAAAACGGAUAAGAUGGGUCCAGGCCGUUGCGCACUGGGUUGUGGGGUUUGUCCGUUUUGCCCCAAACGGACAAGGCCAGGAGGGAUGGGGUCGUGCACUCGAGUGGGCCUAAUCCCACGAGCCCGAAACAUCAGCUGAAACUCGCUGAUGUACCUCUCGCCUCCUGAGCCUGCCGCCCGGAGCCCGCCGUGCGCCACUCUGACACCAGGCGUCCACCUCCCCACCCGCCGCUCGACACUCUGGCCGCGGCGGCCACCCCCCCUCUCUCUCUCCUCCCGCUAUGGCUGGAUCCCGCUCGCCGUCGGUGUCCUCCCGGUUGGCACACGAGCGCCCUGUGAUGUCGGGUCUCGGCUUCUCUUCAUCGUCUGCCUCCUCGAGCACCCACGAGCAGGCUACGACAUCGUCGGUGCUGAGGUUGGGCGCAGACGGCCGUCGCCACGAAGCCCCUUGUGUUCAGCCGCCCCCCUCCAGGAGAUCCAAGUGGCGCAGUCGCCAUGACCACGCCCCCAGCAGCAUCCGCUGUCGUGCCUGGAGCAGCCCCGACGUGAGGUCGCGCCAGAGAUGGUUGGGCUCUGCUUCUGUUGCUUCCAAGACAAUCUCUUUCGACAGGACUACACCAACGACGAGGCCUGUAUUCGCUGCGACCUCUUUGGGCGCGGGUCUCGCAACUGCCGGCGCCCUCGCAACCUAGUCGGAGUUGCACGAUGGUGAAUUCCAACCAACCCUCUCCCUCGGGGCCUGCGAGUAGUACUUUGAUUUUUGAUGAGACCAAUAAAAAUUUGCAAUAAGUAUAUGAGUUCUUUAUGGCUAAUGUGACACCAUGGACAUACACAAUCUCACCUCCUCAUAUUUGCUAGCCUCUCCACUACAGCGCAUAGCCCAUUCUCACCUUGAGAAUUGGUGCAACUUUCGCCGGUGCAUCCAAACCCUGUGACAUGAUACGUUCUGUUGCACAUAUCCUCCUCAAAACAACCACCAUACCAACCUAUUAUGCCAUUUACAUAGCCAUUCCGAUAUAUAUUGCCAUGCAAAUUCCAUCAUCACUUCACAUGACUAGUUCGUUCAUCAUCAUAUUGCUUUGCAUGAUCAUAUAGAGUCGACAUAGUAUUUAUGGCAAAGCCAUCGUUCAUAAUAGCAUUUUUGGCAAAGCCACCAAAUAACAUAUGCCAAAUACAUGUCACGCUAGAUCAUUGCACAUCCUGGUGCACUGCCAGAGGCAUUUAUAUUGGAGUCGUAUUGCUUCAUUCAUCAUAUCGAGUUAUCCAUGAGUUGUAAGUAAAUAAAAGUGUGAUAGUCAUCAUUAUUAGAGCAUUGUUCCGGUGAGGAAAUAAAUAUGGGGAGGCCAAAUAAGCCCACCAUAAAAAAUGAAAGAGAGAAAAAGAGAGAAGGGACUUUGCUACUAUCCUUUACAACACUCGUGCCUCAAAGUGACACCAUGUUCAUCAUGUAGACAAUCUCAUGUUGUAUCAUUCAUAUGCUAGUGGGAAUAAAAAAAACUGGCUUGUAUAUUCCAAUAAUGGGCUUCCUCAAAUGCGUGAGGUCUUUAUGAGCAAGCAACUUGGAUGCACACCCCACCUAGCUUCAGUUGAGCUUUCAUACACUUAUAGCUGUAGUGCAUCAUUUGCAUGGCAAUCCCUACUCCUUAUGUCAAUACCUAUCAAUGGGUAUCUCCAUAACCCAUUGAUAUCUGCUCCGCCUCUCAACCCCUUUGAAACCUUCCAUCUUAUUCUAUUCCACCUAUAUGAUAUGUCCAAUGGUUUGCACUCAUGUAUUGCGUGAAGAAUAAAAAGUUGAUGCAUACUGAAAAGCUAUGAUCCAAUUACCUGACUUAGGCACCGUGAUACUUAACAUUUGUAGUUAUAUGGUGAAGAUGGAGCCAUGCCUUGCCAAUAUAAUAAAGAUGGAUAGAGUUGAAACAAUCUUUGAAGAUCUUAUACUUUGAAAAAUUAAUUGUUUUGUUGCUUAUACUUAUAAAUAUUGUUGUGUUAAUAUUUGUUAAUUCAUCGUUCCUCAUUGAGCAUACAUGCAUAAGAAUACCUCAUGGAUAGCAUGUCACAUGAAAAAUUCUGUUUUUAUCAUUUACCUACUCGAGGACGAGCAGGAAUUAAGCUUGGGGAUGCUUGAUACGUCUCCAACGUAUCUAUAAUUUUUGAUUGUUCCAUGUUGUUAUGUUAUAAGUUUAGAACACUUUUUAUGCACUUAUCUACCAAUUUAUAUUAUUUUUGAGAACUAACCUAUUGACCAAGUGCCCAAUGGAUGUUGUUGUUUUCUGCAUGUUUUCCACUUUUCAGGUUCCAAUACCAAACGAAGCCCAAUUGACCUGAAACUUAUUGUGAUUUUUUUCUGGACCAAAACAACAUUGUGAUGCAUCCGAAGAAGGCCUGGGGGUGCACGAGGCCCCCACAAGCCAAUAGGGCGUGACCUCGGGGACGCCAUGAUGGCUUGUGGCUGCCUCGUGGCUCUUCUGACCCCGUUCUCUCGCCUAUAAAUUCUUAUUUUCCCUAAAACCUUCGAAGGAGGUCCCAAAACACUUUUUACGUUGCCGCGAGUCUCUGUUCCGACGGGAGGCCAUCUAGAGCUCCAUUCCGGCACUCUGUCGGAGGGGGAUCGAUCAUAGAGGGCUUCUUCAUCAACCUUGCUGCCCUCGUGGUGAUGUGUUAGUAGUUCACCACACACCUACGGGUCCAUAACAGUACCUAGAUGGCAAUCUCUCUCUCUCUUUGAUCUUCAAUACAAUGAUCAUCGCAUCUUUGCUUUGAUCCAUAUGAUGUAACUCUUUUGUACGGUGUGUUUGUUGGAAUCCGAUGAAUUGUGGGUUUACGUUCAGAUUAUUCAUGAUAAAUAUUUGAGUCUCCUCUGAUAUAUAAUAUGAUUUUUAUGUGCAUGAUUAUGAUAGCUUCGUAAUUCUCUCAGAUCUACUGAAAUAGUUUGGCCAACUAGAUUGAUAUUUCUUCGGUGAGAGAGGUGUGUUGUAGUAGAUUCAACCUGACGAGUUUCUAUAUCCCAUUGACAGAAGGGACAAGUUACGACUUUGUGUUGCUGCUACUAAGGGUAAAAUGAUGGGGUCUAUUCAUAUUGGUUGAGUUUACUUUGUCUACAUCUUCUCAUCGUACUCCAAGCAUUACUUAGUUUGUCAUGAACUUAAUACGUACAGAGGCAAGCAUAGAAGCGCCCUUGAAGUGAAGUAAUAGUAAUAGGUGCACGCAAGAGUCGGCCUAUUUGUUUAUGGAUGUGAUGCCUAUAUUUACAUGAACAUUGCCACGAAAAUCACAUAACUAUCCACUCAUCUAUCAAUUGCCCAACAGUAAUUUGUUUACCCGCCGUGUGCUAUUUUCAUGAGAGACGCCAUUAGGGAAAGCUAUGGCCCCGGGGUCUAUUCACAACAUAUUGCUAAAACCUCCAAUGCCAUGCUGCCAUUUAUUUCCUUUUAUUUUAUUUUGCAUUUUAAAAUUAUUUACACACCUCAUUUGCUUGCAAAAAACGAGACCAAGGGGAUUGACAACCCUCUUGCCCGCGUUGGGUGCAAGUUGUUUGUUCUUUUGUGUGCAGCCGCUGAAGAAGGUUAUGGUUGAUAUUCCUAUUGGUUUGACCUUGGUUUCGUAACUGUGGGAAAUACUUACGCAAUUUUUGUUGCGAUAACCCAUUCCUCUUCAUGGAAAACCCAACGCACAUCACGAGUAUCAGAGACGUAUCACCUUCGUCUGACAGCUUUUAGUGAAAGGUCACGGCCGGUCACGACCACUGAUGAGUUAUGAAAGCUUGAUUCGUUAUUCGAAGCAAUUCCUCCAUUGGCACGUCCCGUCAAUAUGGAGACCAUGCCCCAUUUUUUAAGGGAUGUGAUCAAUGAUUUGUGCUAACCCACACGUGCACAACGACACGAUUAUAUCGGGAAGUGGCAAGGUGUGCAACGCGGUAAAGGGGUUCUUGGUAUUAUGGUAGCUUAUAUAAGGAAAACAACCACCAAAGCCUCCAUAUGCUUAUCAGGUCCCUCGUUGUUGUCGCCUUCCCAAUCUCUUGAGAUCUAAGCGCCCAGAUCCAUCCCUCGCUCAAAUAUCCUCAAGCCACUCCCUGAGUUCGGCCAUGGUCGGUUCUGGUUCCAAGGGCAAGUGGUAGGCAUCCAACAUCACCAAUGACGACAUUCAGGAGUUAAAGCACGUCGGCUAUCUUACGGUCAAUGUAGUCCAUCGCGCUCCAGAGGAGGGCCAGGUCAUCCCCAUGCCCGCGGACUGGGCAGUGCCCUCCGAAUUCCGAUAUGAACCUCCCACAAGGCUGGUGUCAUGUAUCAAGAAGGGACUCGACUGGGGUUAACCGGAGGUGAAGUCGUUGCAAAAGUGCAUCUCCCAGUUGUUAAAGAAGAAACUGAAACUGACCAACAUGGUUCAGAUCAUGCUUUGCGUUGGCUCCUACCUUACAAACAUCGGGCCGCUCCAAUGUGGUCCUACAAGCCCGAUGACCCUUCCACUGUGCUCCACUUUUACCACACCACCCACGACAAGUUGUGGAAGGUGUUGUUCAAGCCCCAAAAAAAUUUGCCGGACAAGGAUGGAAACAUCGGCCUUGAUGCCGCACACCCUCCUCGGGAGGUAUGAUAACGUUUUACUAUUAUGUCCGGUACUACCUUUUAACAAGGAACUUAACCCUUUCUUCCCCGCAUUCGUAAAGCUUGCUAGGAAUGAUGCGCGGACCGAUGGCCCGACACCGCUGCCCGAGGGCCCCAGGACGACAUUGCUGACGGAAAUGUUGGUUGAGGAAUCGUACAAGGCGCCGGAGAAGAAAGAGAAGAAGAAGGAUGAGAAGAGGGAGGCCCAAGGAGGCCUCUGAUACGUCUCCAACGUAUCUAUAAUUUUUGAUGGUUUUAUGCUAUUAUCUUGUCAAACUUUGGAUGUUUUGUAUGCCUUUUAUAUCUUUUUUGGGACUAACUUAUUAACUCAGUGCCAAGUGCCAGUUCCUGUUUUUUCCGUGUUUUUGACCAUUUUCAGAGGAGGAUUUUAAACGGAGUCCAAACGGAAUAAAACUUCCGAAAAGAUUUUUUUUGGAACAGAAGAUACGCAGAAAGCUUGGGAACCAAGGCAGGGAGUCCCAGGGGAGGCCACAAGCCCUCAUGGCGCGGCCAGGGGGGCCCGCACCUCCCAGGCUUGUGGGCUCUCUGGGCCUCCCCUGCCCUAGCUCCUUCGCCUAUAAAUUCCCUAAAAUCCCUAAAAAAUCAAGAGAUCCACGAAAACACUUUUCCGCCGCCACAAGCUUCUGUCUCCGCAAGAUCCCAUCUGGGGCACGUUCUGGUGCCCUGCUGGAGGGGAGAUUCGGAUACGGAGGGCUUCUUCAUCAACACAAUGAUCUCUCUGAUGAUGCGUGAGUAGUUCACCAUAGACCUAUAGGUCCAUAGCUAGUAGCUAGAUGGCUUCUUCUCUCUCUUGGAUCUUCAAUACAAAGUUCUCCAUGAUCUUCAUGGAGAUCUAUCCGAUGUAAUCUUCUUUUGCGGUGUGUUUGUCGAGAUCCGAUGAAUUGUGGAUUUAUGAUCAGAUUAUCUAUGAAUCUUAUUUCAGUUUCUUCUGAUCUCUUAUAUGCAUGAUUUCAUAUCCUUGUAAUUCUCUUCGAGUUGUGGGUUUUGUUUGGCCAACUUGAUCUAUGAUUCUUGCAAUGGGAGAAGUGCUUGGUUUUGGGUUCAUAACGUGCGGUGACCUCACCCAGUGACAGAAGGGGUAGCGAGGCACGCAUCGUGUUGUUGCCAUCAAGGGUAAAAAGAUGGGGUUUUCAUCAUUGGUUUGAGUUUAUCCCUCUACAUCAUGUCAUCUUGCUUAAGGCGUUACUCUGUUCGUCAUGAACUCAAUACACUAGAUGCAUGCUGGAUAGCGGUCAAUGUGUGGAGUAAUAGUAGUAGAUGCAGAAAGUAUCGAUCUACUUGUCUCGGACGUGAUGCCUAUAUGUAUGAUCAUUGCCUUAGAUAUCGUCAUGACUUUGCGCGGUUCUAUCAAUUGCUCGACAGUAAUUUGUUCACCCACCGUAAUAUUUGCUAUUUUGAGAGAAGCCUCUAGUGAACACUAUGGCCCCCGGGUCUACUUCACACCAUAUUUUCAGCCUUACUCUUUUACUUUGUUGCACUUUCCGCCUUCAGAUCUCACUUUGCAAUCAAUCUUGAAGGGAUUGACAACCCCUUUAUAGCGUGUGGUGCAAGCUCUUUUGUGUUUGCGCAGGUACUCUGGACUUGACGAGAUUCUCCUACUGGAUUGAUACCUUGGUUCUCAAACUGAGGGAAAUACUUACUGCUCCUGUGCUGCAUCACCCUUUCCUCUUCAAAGGAAAAACCAACGCAAGCCAAGUCUCCGUCAACGUGCCAAUUUCUGGCGCAGUGUCGCAAACUCAUCUCUUGCAUUUUUUUUGCCUCUCGUUUCCCUCUCCCCCACUUCUGAAAAACAAAAAUUUACAAAACAAUUUGCCUUUUCGUUUGCCUUUUUCGUUCGCCCUUUUCUCUCGCUUGCUUUCUGUUCGUUCGUGUGGGAUAGUCUACCUGUCCUCAUGGCUAGACCCACCACUUCGAACGAUACACCCGAGAACGAAGUUCUCAAUUUCAAACAAAGUGAGGAAGAAAACUUAAAGGACGUUUGGUAUAGGAUUUGCAAUGCUCAGAGUAGAUCUACUUGUAAGCAAUCUACUACCGUCCCGCUUCGCAGUUUUUAUGUCGGUAUUUCUCCUUGCAAUGGGUAUAUUCUUGACACCAUUGUAGGCGGAAAUUUCUUGGGUAGCCAUAUGAUACGUCUCCAAUGUAUCUAUAAUUUUUGAUCGUUUCAUGCUAUUAUCUUGUCAAACUUUGGAUGUUUUGCAUGGCUUUUAUUUAUUUUCUGGGACUAACUUAUUAACUCAGUGCCAAGUGCCAGUUCCUGUUUUUUCUAUGUUUUUGACCCCUUUCAGCCGAGAUUUUGAAACGGAGUCCAAACGGAAGAAAAUCCCCGAAAAGAUUUUUUCUGGAACGGAAGAAGAUCGGAGGACUUGGGAGACAAGCCAGAAGAGCCCUAGGGGCGCCACAAGCCCCCACCCCGCGACUAGGGGGGUCGCGCCAUCCAGGCUUGUGGGCCCCCUGGAGGUCCCCUGACCUAGAUCUUGCGCCUAUAAAUUCCCAAAUAUUCCCAAAAAAAUCAAGAGACGAUCGCAAUUACUUUUCCGCCUCCACAAGCUUCUCUCUCCGCAAGAUCCCAUCUGGGGCAUGUCGUGGUGCCCUGCCGGAGGGGGGAUUCGGACACGGAGGGCUUCUUCAUCAACACCAUGACCUCUCCGAUGAUGCGUGAGUAGUUCACCAUAGACCUACAUGUCCAUAGCUAGUAACUAGAUGGCUUCUUCUCUCCCUUGGAUCUUCAAUACAAAGUUCUCCAUGAUCUUAAUGGACAUCUAUCCGAUGUAAUCUUCUUUUGCGGUGUGUUUGUCGAGAUCCGAUGAAUUGUGGAUUUAUGAUCAGAUUAUCUAUGAAUCUUAUUUUAGUUUCUUCUGGUCUCUCUUAUGCAUGAUUUCAUAUCCUUGUAAUUUUCUUUCAGUUGUGGGUUUUGUUUGGCCAACUAGAUCUAUGAUUCGUGCAAUGGGAGAAGUGCUUGGUUUUGGGUUCAUACCGUGCGGUGACCUCACCGAGUGACAGAAGGGGUAGCGAGGCACGUAUCGUGUUGUUGCCAUCAAGGGUAAAAAGAUGGGGUUUUCAUCAUUGGUUUGAGAUUAUCCCUCUACAUCAUGUCAUCUUGCUUAAAGCGUUACUCUGUUCGUCAUGAACUCAAUACACUAGAUGCAUGCUGGAUAGCGGUCGAUGUGUGGUGUAAUAGUAGUAGAUGCAGAAAGUAUCGGUCUACUUGUCUCAGACGUGAUGCCUAUCUGCUAGAUCAUUGCCUUAGAUAUCAUCAUGACUUUUAGCGGUUCUAUCAAUUGCUCGACAGUAAUUUGUUUACCCACCGUGAUAUUUGCUAUUAUGAGAGAAGCCUAUAGUGAACACUAUGGCCCCCAGGGUCUACUCCACACCAUAUUUUCAGCCUUACACUUUUUGCUUCGUUGCACUUUCCGCCUUUAGAUCUCACUUUGCAAACAAUCUUGAAGGGAUUGACAACCCCUUUGAAGCGUUGGAUGCAAGCUUGUUUGUGUUUGCGCAGGUACUUUGGACUUGACGAGGCCCUCCUUCUGGAUCGAUACCUUGGUUCUCAAACUGAGGGAAAUACUUACUGCUCUUGUGCUGCAUCACCCUUUCCUCUUCAAGGGAAAAAAAAUCAGAGAAGUAACAAGAAGAAUUCCUAUGCUCCAGGGAAGGACUUAUGUUGCCGCAGCAGAAGAAUUUCUGGCGCCGUUGCCGGGGAGGAGGAUCAAGUCAAGAAUAGUCUCCCGUCAACAUGCCAGUUUCUGGCGCCGUCGCCAGGGAGGAAGAUCAAGUCAAGAACUCAUCCAAGUAGGUGUGGGAAACUCAUCUCUUGCAUUUACUUUGUUUGCCAGUUGCCUCUCGUUUUCCUCUCCCCCACUUCACCAAUUUUCCUUUUUUGUUCGCCUUUUCGUUCGCUUUUUCGUUCGCCCUUUUCUCUCGCUUGCUUUCUGCUCGUCUGUGUGGGAUAGUCUAUCGUGAUGGCUAGAUCCACCACUUCGAACGAUACUCCCAAAAGCGAAGUUCUCAAUUUCAAACAAAUUGAGGGAGAAAACUUAAAAGACGCUUGGUAUAGGAUUUGCAAUGCUUAGAGUAGAUCUACUCAUAAGCAAUCCACUACGGUCUUGCUUCGCAGUUUUUAUGUGGGUAUUUCUCCUUGGAAUAGGUAUAUUAUUGACACCAUUGUAGGUGGAAAUUUCUUGGGUAGCCAUACCAUUGAUUCUUACAGAGCUGUGAUAAAUUUGGUAGGCUCACCCCCACUCAUGGUUAAUGGAACUACCUUAACUCUGGAACAUGUGAUGCAUAGGCUGGACGCUAUUGAAAAUAAAGUUGCUACGAUUGAACUCAUUGAGAAUUUGGAUAAAAAGAUCCACAAUCAAAUUACUCAGUACGGAUCCAAGGUGGGAAUGGUUUUGAAAAAUUUAAAGGAGAAGGAACCCUCAGUUAAUGAAAAGCUAGGUCAUGAUUCGGCUAGGAUUGGCAAACUAGAGGAUGUUAUAACCAACUUGGGUUCCGCUUUUGCCGCUGUGCAGAAUACUCCAAAUUUUGCCCACAAUAAAAUCACCAAGUCUGUCUUUGUUCCUAAAAGUAGUGGUGAAUCAUCUAGUAUGAAAGAUGAAAACCUGAAGAUGGUAAGUGAUCACGCUACUUAUGGUUUGAGCACCAAAGACGACGAUACAUGAUUCUAUCGCUCCUAUGCCUAACUAAGGGCGUUAAACAAUAGCGCUUGUUGGGAGGCAACCCAAUGAAUUUAUCUUUUUCUUUCUGUUUUGUUGCGUCCACACUUUCAUAAUUCUGUUGUGAUUGUGUUUUUUGUGUUUCUUUUUGUGUUUGAGCCAAACAAAACCUUUAUGACUAGUCUUGGUAAUGGUUGUUUGAUCCUGCUGGAAAAAGACAGAAACUUUUCGCUCACGAGAUGAUUUUUCAUUUUUAUUAAGAAAGAGCUUUUGAGUUGAUUCUUUUUUAUGCUGAUUUAUAUGCUUUUUCCCCAUACCUUCGUAAUGUUUCAUAUUUUUUGAGGUACCAGAAGUAUAUGAAGUAUACAGAUUGCUACAGACUGGUCUGUUUUUGACAGAUUCUGUUUUUGUUGAGUUGGUUGCUUGUUUUGAUGAAAUUAUGGUUAGUAUCGGGGGUACUAGCCAUGGAAAAGUGAGAAUACAGUAGCCCAUCAUCAACAUAGAUGGAAUUCAAGUUUGCCACAGUACCAAAAGAAGUGGUAGUUUGUUUUCUUGUACUAAUGUUAUCACAAGUUUCGGUUUAAGUUUUGUGUUGUGAAGUUUUCAAGUUGUGGGUGACGUUCUCAUGGACAAAGAGAUAAGGAGUGUAAAUAGCUCAAGCUUGGGGAUUCCCAAGGCAUCCCAAGCCAAAUUGAAGGACACCAAAAAAGCCUAAGCUUGGGGAUACCCCGGGAAGGCAUCCCCUCUUUCGUCUUCAAUCCAUCGGUAACAUUACUUGGAGCUAUAUUUUUAUUCACCACAUGAUAUGUGUUUUGCUUGGAGCGUCCUGUAUCUUAGGAGUCUUUUCUUUUUGUUGUGUCACAAUCAUCCUUGCUGCACACCUUUUUGAGAGAGAGAGACAUGCACUCAUCGUGAUUUUGCUAGAAUGCUCAUAGUGCUUCACUUAUAUCGUUUGAGCUAGAUACUUUUGCUCUUGUGCUUCACUUAUAUAUUUAGAGCACGGCAGUGCGUGAUUUGGUAGUUGGCUUAUGCUAUGAAGAUAGUCCCAAAUGUGCUAGGUACCCAAUGAGGAUGCAAAAACCUCCAUCUUCAUGUGCAUUGAAUAGAAAGAGAAGUUUUGAUUCCUCUCAAUUAGUUUUGAGACGUGGAUACAGUAAUAUUGAGAGUUACGUUAGUAGGGUGUUGUGAAUCUAGAAAUACUUGUGUUGGAGUUAGUGAUUCCCGUAGCAUGCACGUAUGGUGAACCGCUAUGUUAGGAAGUCGGAGCAUAAUUGAUCUAUUGAUUGUCAUCCUUUGUGUUGAGGUCGGGAUCACGCGAUGGUUUACACCUACCAACCCUUCCCCUCGGAGUAUGCGUUUAGCACUUUGUUUCGAUUACUAAUAAAAACUUUCGCAAUAAGUAUAUUAGUUUUUCAUGACUAAUUUGAGCCCAUGGUAUAGAUGCACUUUCACCUUCCACCAUUGCUAGCCUCUCUAGUGCCGCGCAAUUCUCGCCGGUGCACAAACCCACCAAAUUCCUUCCUCAAAACAGCCACCAUACCUACCUACUAUGGCAUUUUCAUAGCCAUUCCGAGAUACAUUGCCAUGCAACUCCCACCGUUCCGCCUCAUGACUUGUGCCAUCACUCUCAUAUUGCCAUUGCAUGAUCAUACUAGAUCGCUGCACAACCCGGUACACUGCCGGAGGCAUUUCCUAUGGAGUCAUCAUCAUUGUGAUCUUUGAGCUUUGAGUAACUAAAAAGUGUGAUGAUCAUCAUUAUUAGAGCAUUGUCCCAUGUGAGGAAAAAAGAGGCCAAAGAGCCCCAAAACAAAAAAUGAGAAAAGAAAAAAGAGUCCUAAGAGCCCAAAUAAAAAAAUGAGAGAAAAAGAGAGAAGGGACAAUGCUACUAUCUUUUUCCACACUUGUGCUUCAUGUUAGCACCAUGUUCUUCAUGAUUGAGAGCUUCUUGCUUUGUUACUACCAUAUGCUAGUGGGAAUCUUCGUUUUAUAACUUGGCUUGUAUAUUCCAAUGUUGGGCUUCCUCAAAAUUUCCCUAGGUCUUCGUGACCAAGCAAGUUGGAUGCACACCCACUAGUUUUCUUCUUGAGCUUUCACAUAAUUAUAGCUCUAGUGCAUCUCUUGUAUGACAAUCCCUACUCAUUCACAUUGAUAUCUAUUAAUGGGCAUCUUCAUAGCCUAUUGAUACGCCAAGUAAGUGUGACCAUCUCCUCUUUUUUGUCUCACAUCCACCACCACACUCUAUUCCACCUAUAGUGCUAUAUCCAUGUCUCGCGCUCAUGUAUUGCGUGAUAGUUAUAAAAAGUUUGAGAAAUUAAGAGUGCGAAAGCAAUUACUUGGCCAAUUCCAGGGUUGUGCAGGAUUUACACUAGUUGUGUGAGGAUGAUGGAGCAUAGCCAGACUAUAUGAUUUUGUAGGGAUAACUUUCUUUGGCCUUGUUAUUUUGAAAGUUCAUGAUUACCUUGCUAGUUUGCUUGAAGUAUUAUUGUUUUCAUGUCAAUAAGCAAACUAUUGUUUUGAAUCUUACGGAUCUGAACAUUCAUGCCACGUGAAAGAAGUUGCAAAGGACAACUAUGCUAGGAAGCAUUCCACAUCAAAAAUUCAUUCUUUAUCACUUCUCUACUCGAGGACGAGCAAGAGUUAAGCUUGGGGAUGCUUGAUACGUCUCCAACGUAUCUAUAAUUUUUGAUGGUUUCAUGCUAUUAUCUUGUCAAACUUUGGAUGUUUUGCAUGAAUUUUAUUUAUUUUCUGAGACUAACUUAGUAACUCAGUGCCAAGUGCCAGUUCCUGUUUUUUCCAUGUUUUUGACCCCUUUCAGAGGAGAUUUUGAAACGGAGUCCAAACGGAAGAAAAUCCCCGAAAAGAUUUUUUCUGGAACGGAAGAAGAUCAGAGGACUUGGGAGCCAAGCCAGAAGAGCCCCAGGGGCCCCACAAGCCCCCACCCCACAGCCAGGGGGCGCGCCAUCCAGGCUUGUGGGCCCCCUGGAGGUCCCUUGACCUAGAUCUUGCACCUAUAAAUUCCCAAAUAAUCCCAAAAAACCAAGAGACGAUCGCAAUUACUUUUCCACCACGGCAAGCUUCUGUCUCCGCAAGAUCCCAUCUGGGGCACGUCCCGGUGCCCUGCCGGAGGGGGGAUUCAGACACGGAGGGCUUCUUCAUCAACACCAUGACCUCUCCGAUGAUGCGUGAGUAGUUCACCAUAGACCUACGGGUCCAUAGCUAGUAACUAGAUGGCUUCUUCUCUCUCUUGGAUCUUCAAUACAAAGUUCUCCAUGAUCUUCAUGGAGAUCUAUCCGAUGUAAUCUUCUUUUGCGGUGUGUUUGUCGAGAUCCGAUGAAUUGUGGAUUUAUGAUUAGAUUAUCUAUGAAUCUUAUUUGAGUUUCUUCUGAUCUCUCUUAUGCAUGAUUUCAUAUCCUUGUAAUUCUCUUCGAGUUGUGGGUUUUGUUUGGCCAACUAGAUCUAUGAUUCUUGCAAUGUGAGAAGUGCUUGGUUUUGGGUUUAUACCAUGCGGUGACCUCACCCAGUGAUAGAAGGGGUAGCGAGGCACGUAUCGUGUGAAAGUGCAGUCAUGCCAUUAAUCGUGUUUUGGUGUUGCUGACAACACACAUAUAGAUAACUAAUCACUAAUCCCCUUUAAGCUAUUGUGAAUGAUCAUGUGUUUAUAAGGACAAGCUCGUGUGCUAACAAGGACAAGAUCAAGAUAAGCAUUCCUGAGCACUACAUGCUUGAUUCUUGUGGAUGUUCACAUGGUGGACAAAUGAAGAUGAAUACAUAAGCUAGGCUUUCCACAUUGUGUAUGGGAGAGCUACUUGAAGACUUCAUCAUGUCUUGCUUUCGACUUGAGCCAAGAAGGAACAACAACAUCAAGCUCAAGUGAAAGGGCUAACUCAAUGGUAUCAGUUCCUUUGACGUUAGUGGUGCGGAGUGAUGAUCAGCGAAUAAAAGUAUACACUCAAGUAUGGUUCAUCGGUACCCCUUUUAUAAUUCUUGAGUCUUUAGGGAUCCCGCACUAUUAAGAGGGGAUCACAGGUUUUGCGAUGAACUUGCUCAAACUACAUCUCCACUGUUCUGCUCAGACCACAUCUCCACUGCUCUGUUGUUAUCUGAAAACAGAACAAAUGCCUCAGACAUCCGGCUUCCUCCGAACGUCCGAGGGCCGGAUGACCGACUGCUUCGGAAAUCCGGAAUCCUAUACCAGAGAAACUUGAGCCAUAUAACUCGGACUUCCGGCUCCCUCCGGACGUCCGAGGGCCGGACGUCCGACCAACUUCGGAAAUCUGGAAUUGUGCACCAGAGAAACUUGAACCAUAUAACUCGGACUUCCGGCUCCCUCCGGACGUCCGAGGGCCGGACGUCCGACCUCCUUCGGAAAUCCGGAAUCUCGCGCCAGAGAAGUUUGAGUCGAAUAACUCGGACUUCUGGCUUCCUCCGAACGUCCGGUCCCUGUUCAACUACACAGUGAUUCCAGAUAUAUAUACAUCUCUUGGACGACCGACCACUGUCGGACGUCGGACACCUUGUGGGCGUCCGGACAUCCGAGAAACUGCCGGAUGUCCGACCCCUGUCAGACUUAAAGUGUCCCCAACGGCUAUUUUACUCUCCCCACUAUAUAUACCCCUCCCACUUCGUGAGAGGGUGCCCCAACACAGCUAUAUCCUCAUAAGAACACAUUUCUACCUCACACACAUUUGCUUACACCAAAUCUUAGAUCCCAAGAGCAUUUGUGAGCCCCUUUGAGAGUUGUUCCAAUCAAAAGAUAGAUCGUCUCCCUCUCCUUCUCUCAACCCAAGCUAUUUGAGAUUUGAGCAAGUUUUGAGCAUUCCCCGUGAUCUUGUUACUCUUGGAGGUUGGAGACUCCUAGGCGGUAGGAGUUCUUCGGAGAGGAAUCAAUCCGUGUGAUUACCCCCCGGAAAAGUUUGUGAGGGUUUGGAAGCCACCUCAAAGGCUUACCACUAGUGGUUGAGAAACGCCUUCGUGGUGUUAUCUCAAAUCGAGAAUAGGGUGAGCCUUCGUGGCGUUGGUGUGCCUUCGUGGUAACAUCCACCUCUCUAACGGUGACUAGCUUCCCUCCAAGGAAGUGAACAUCGGGAUACAUCUUCGUCUCAGUGACCUUGGUUAUCCUUAACCCUAACUCCUUACUUGUGGUUUACUUGUGUUACUUGAGCAUACAUACAUUGCAUAUUGUUUGUGCUCAUUAUAUUGUGUUGGCUAUUUCUUGUACAAGAUUAAUCAUUCAAGCAUACCCUCUAUAUCUACUCGUUCACACUUGCAGCUUUUGAUAUAUCGUGUGCUAUAGUGUGGUCUAGUAUCUUGUGUCGUUCACGUACUUGUCGUGUGAUAUAGCUCAAGUAAGUUUGUGUAACUUACUUGUGCUUGUUAGUAACUGUAUUUUGUCCAUCUUGGUAGAUCGUGUUGUUGAUACACGUUGCAGUGCCUAGUGCAUUUAGGAUUUGUGCUUGACAAGUAUCCUCUUAGUUUAUUUCCGCAUUAGGUUUGAGCCAAAUCCUAAGAAGUUUUUAAAUAGCCUAUUCACCCCCUCUAGGCGUCAUCGAGGUCUUUUCAUCGUGUUGUUGCCAUCAAGGGUAAAAAGAUGGGGUUUUCAUCAUUGGUUUGAUAUUAUCCCUCUACAUCAUGUCAUCUUGCUUAAAGCGUUACUCUGUUCAUCAUGAACUCAAUACACUAGCUGCAUGCUGGAUAGCGGUCGAUGUGUGGAGUAAUAGUAGUAGAUGCAGAAAGUAUCGGCCUACUUGUCUCGGACGUGAUGCCUAUAUGCUAGAUCAUUGCCUUAGAUGUCGUCAUGACUUUGCGCAGUUCUAUCAAUUGCUCGACAGUAAUUUGUUCACCCACCGUGAUAUUUGCUAUUAUGAGAGAAGCCUCUAGUGAACACUAUGGCCCCCAGGGUCUACUCCACACCAUAUUUUCAGCCUUACACUUUUUGCUUCGUUGCACUUUCCGCCUUCAGAUCUCACUUUUCAAACAUUCUUGAAGGGAUUGACAACCCCUUUGAAGCGUUGGGUGCAAGCUUGUUUGUGUUUGCGUAGGUACUUUGGACUUGACGAGGCCCUCCUUCUGGAUCGAUACUGUGGUUCUCAAACAGAGGGAAAUACUUACUGCUCCUGUGCUGCAUCACCCUUUCCUCUUCAAGGGAAAAACCGACGCAAAUCAGAGAAGUAACAAGAAGAAUUCCUACGCGCCAGGGAAGGACUUUUGUUGCCGUAGCACCAUACCGUUGAUUCUUACGGAGCUGUAAUAAAUUAGGUAGGCUCACCCCCACUCAUGGUUAAUGGAACUACCUUAACUCUGGAACAUGUGAUUGAAAAUAAAGUUGCUACAAUCGAACUCAUUGAGAAUUUGGAUCCAAGGUGGGAAUGGUUUUGAAAAAUUUAAAGGAAAAGGAACCCAUAGUUAACGAAAAACUAGGUUAUGAUUCCGCUAGGAUUGGCAAACUAGAGGAUGUUAUAACCAACUUGGGUUCCGCUUUUGCCGCUAUGUAGAAUACUCCAAAUUUUGCCCACAAUAAGGCCACCAAGUCUAUUUUUUUUCCUAAAAAUAGUGGUGAAUCAUCUAGUAAGAAAGAUGAAGACCUUAAGAUGAUGAUUGAUCACGCUACUUAUGGUUUGAGCACCAAAGAUGACGAUAGAUACGUGAUUCUAUCGUUUAUGCCUAGCUAAGGGCGUUAAACAAUAGCGCUUGUUGGGAGGCAACCCAAUGAAUUUAUCUUUUUCUUUCUGCUUUGUUGCGUCCACACCAUCAUAAUUCCGUUAUGAUUGUGUUUUUUGUGUUUCUUUUUGUGUUUGAGACAAGCAAAACCUUUAUGACUAGUCUUGGUGAUGGUUGUUUGAUCCUGCUGGAAAAAGACAGAAACUUUUUGCUCACAAGAUUAUUUUUAAUUUUUAUUCAGAAAGAGAUUUUGAGUUGAUUCUUUUUGCUGCUGCUUGAUAUGCCUUUUUCCCAGGCAGUCGUAAUUUUUUAGAAUUUGUGAGGUACCAGAAGUAUACGAAGUAUACAGAUUGCUACAGACUGGUCUGUUUUUGACAGAUUCUGUUUUUUGUUGAGUUGGUUGCUUGUUUUCAUGAAACUAUGGAUAGUAUCAGGGGGUACAAGCCAUGGAAUAGUGAGAAUACAGUAAUCUAACACCAAUAUAAAUAGAAAUCAAUAUUGCUACAGUACCUAAAGAGGUGGUAGUUUGUUUUCUUGUGCUAAUGAUAUCACGAGUUUCUAUUUAAGUUUUGUGUUGUGAAGUUUUCAAGUUUUGGGUGAUGUUCUCAUGGACAAAGGGAUAAAGAGUGGAAAGAGCUCAAGCUUGGGGAUGCCCAAGGCAUCCCAAGCCAAAUUCCAGGACACCAAAAAGCCUAAGAUUGGGGAUGCCCCGGGAAGGCAUCCGCUCUUUCGUCUUCAAUCCAUCGGUAACAUUACUUGGAGCUAUAUUUUUAUUCACCACAUGAUAUGUGUUUUGCUUGGAGCGCCUUGUAUCGUAGGAGUCUUUUCUUUUUGUUGUGUCACAAUCAUACUUGCUGCACACCUUUUGAGAGAGAUAUGCACUCAUCGUGAUUUUGCUAGAAUGCUCAUCGUGCUUCACUUAUAUCUUUUGAGCUAGAUAAUUUUGCUCUAUGUGCUUCACUUAGAUCUUUUAGAGCACGGCGGUGCGUGACUUGGUAGUUGGUAGUGCUAUGAAAGUAGUCCCAAAGGUGAUAGGUACCCAAAGAGGAUACAAAAACCUCCAUCUUCAUGUGCAUUGAGUAGAAAGAGAAGUUUUGAUUCCUCUCAAUUAGUUUUGAGACGUGGAUUUGGUAAUAUUAAGAGUUAUGUUAGUAGGGUGUUGUGAAUCUAGAAAUACUUGUGUUGAAGUUAGUGAUUCCCGUAACAUGCACGUAUGGUGAAUCGCUAUGUUAGGAAGUCGGAGCAUAAUUGAUCUAUUGAUUGUCAUCCUUUGUGUCGCGGUCGGGAUCGCGCGAUGGUUUACACCUACCAACCCUUCCCCUAGGAGUAUGCGUUUAGCACUUUGUUUCGAUUACCAAUAAAAAAAAUCGCAAUAAGUAUGUGAGUUCUUCAUGACUAAUGUGAGUCCAUGGUAUAGAUGCACUUUCACCUUCCACCUUUGCUAGCCUCUCUAGUGUCGCGCAACUUUCGCCGGUGCACAAACCCACCAUAUGCCUUCCUCAAAACAGCCACCAUACCUACCUACUAUGGCAUUUUCAUAGCCAUUCCGAGAUAUAUUGCCAUGCAACUCCCACCGUUCCAUCUCAUGACUUGUGCCGUCACUCUCAUAUUGCCAUUGCAUGAUCGUAAGAUAGCUAGCGAUAUGUUUCAAUGCCAUACGCCCAGCUAGAUCAUUGCACAUCCCGGUACACUGCCGGAGGCAUUUCCUAUAGAGUCAUCAUCGUUCUGAGCUUUGAGCUGUGAGUAAAUAAAAGUGUGAUGAUCAUCAUUAUUAUAGCAUUGUCCCAUGUGAGGAAAUAAAAAAAUGCCAGAGUUGCCAAAAGAAAUAGGCCAAAGUGCCCAAAUAAAAUAAAAAUAAAAGAGAGAGAGAAAAAGAGAGAAGGGACAAUGCUACUAUCUUGUUCCACACUUGUGCUUCAUAAUAGCACCAUGUUCUUCAUGAUUGAGAGCUUCUUGCUUUGUCACCACCAUAUACUAGUGGGAAUCUUUAUUAUAUAACUUGCCUUGUAUAUUCCAAUGACGGGCUUCCUCAAAAUUGCCCUAGGUCUUCGUGAGCAAGCAAGUUGGAUGCACACCCACUAGUUCUCCUUUUGAACUUUCACAUACUUUUAGCUCUAGUGCAUCCUUUGUAUGGCAAUCCCUACUCAUUCACAUUGAUAUCCAUUAAUGGGCAUCUCCAUAGCCCUUUGAUAUGCCGAGUCAAUGUGACCAUCUCCUCUUUUUUGUCUCACAACCACCACCACACUCUAUUCCACCUAUAGUGCUAUAUCCAUGGCUCACACUCAUGUAUUGCAUGAUAGUUGUAAAAGGUUUGAGAAAGUAAGAGUGCGAAAACAAUUACUUGGCCAAUACCGGGGUUGUGCAUGAUUUAAGUUAGUUGUCUGAGGAUGAUGGAGCAUAGCGAGACUAUAUGAUUUUGUAGGGAUAACUUUCUUUGGCCUUGUUAUUUCGAAAGUUCAUGAUUACCUUGCUAGUUUGCUUGAAGUAUUACUCUUUUCAUGUCAAUAGCAAACUAUUGUUUUGAAUCUUACGGAUCUGAACAUUCAUGCCACAUGAAACAAGUUACAAAGGACAACUAUGCUAGGUAGCAUUCUACAUAAAAAAUUCAGUCUUUAUCACUUCCCUACUCGAGGACGAGCAGGAGUUAAGCUUGGGGAUGCUUGAUACGUCUCCAACGUAUCUAUAAUUUUUGAUGGUUUCAUGCUAUUAUCUUGUCAAACUUUGGAUGUUUUGUAUGCCUUUUAUAUCUUUUUUGGGACUAACUUAUUAACUCAGUGCCAAGUGCUAGUCCUGUUUUUUCCGUGUUUUUGACCCUUUUCACAGGAGGAUUUUAAACGGAGUACAAACGGAAUAAAACUUUCGAAAAGAUUUUUUCCGGAACAGAAGAUACGCAGAAAGCUUGGGAACCAAGGCAAGGAGUCCCGGGGGAGCCAACAAGCCCUCAUGGCGUGGCCAGGGGGGCCGCGCCUCCCAGGCUUGUGGGCUCCUUGGGCCUCCCCUGCCCUAGCUCCUUCUCCUAUAAAUUCCCUAAAAUACCUAAAAAAUCAAGAGAUCCACGAAAACACUUUUCCGUCGCCGCAAGCUUCUGUCUCCGCAAGAUCCCAUCUGAGGCACGUUCUGGUGCCCUGCCGGAGGGAAGAUUCGGAUACGGAGGGCUUCUUCAUCAACACCAUGACCUCUCCGAUGAUGCGUGAGUAGUUCACCAUAGACCUACGGGUCCAUAGCUAGUAGCUAGAUGGCUUCUUCUCUCUCUUGGAUCUUCAAUACAAAGUUCUCCAUGAUCUUCAUGGAGAUCUAUCCGAUGUAAUCUUCUUUUGUGGUGUGUUUGUUGAGAUCCAAUGAAUUGUGGAUUUAUGAUCAGAUUAUCUAUGAAUCUUAUUUGAGUUUCUUCUGAUCUCUUAUAUGCAUGAUUUCAUAUCCUUGUAAUUCUCUUCGAGUUGUGGGUUUUGUUUGGCCAACUUGAUCUAUGAUUCUUGCAAUGGGAGAAGUGCUUGGUUUUGGGUUCAUACCGUGUGGUGACCUCACCCAGUGACAGAAGGGGUAGCGAGGCACGCAUCGUGUUGUUGCCAUCAAGGGUAAAAAGAUGGGGUUUUUAUCAUUGGUUUGAGUUUAUCCCUCUACAUCAUGUCAUCUUGCUUAAGGCGUUACUCUGUUCGUCAUGAACUCAAUACACUAGAUGCAUGCUGGAUAGCGGUCGAUGUGUGUUGGCGCUGUUGUUUGAGAAGUAGCAGCCUCCGCCCAAGAGGACCCCCGGAUGCUAAGUUCGGGGACAACCAAGCCCCUUCUGCUCAUGAGGGUGAGCAGGGAUAGGACAGGGAGGAGAGCAACUUCUCCCGAACAAGGAAGAGGGCGGCGUCUGAUGACACUAAAGGGAAUCCGCCUCAUCCUGCCCCAAAAAGCAAUGUAGGAUCAAGGUGGCCCUCUCCGAUGACAGACCGGACUCCUCUGACGAGUCUGAGGCUUUCGAAUUGGUUCCUCGAAGGAACCCCAGGGCCAAGCCCCGGCCCAAAGGUAUGAAUUCGAAGACUCUGUUGUACAUCCAUAUUGACACUAGUGGAUAAAUGUCUAGCCACAACUUACGUUGGUGGCAUGUCAUUUCUCACCAACGCAAGCACUAAUAUUUUCAAAUAGUGCUGGCGUGCCAAAUUAAUUUACGCCAGACAUAAUAUUUCCACUUAAACAAUUUUUACAUCAUUAUUUCUAUGAUUUCUAAUUUUGAGUAUUUAAUUAUGUUUAGUCUUUCAUUAAACUUGACCAGUCUUUUUAAUUUGGGUUAUUAUUAGCUAUGGCGUUGCAGUUUAGGACCACGCCAGCAACGACCCACCUGAGGCAACUGCCACGCCUUAGUAAAAGGCCUAGUCGGCCCCUUUCAUUUCAACUCCCCCUCGACCAGCCGCCACUCCUCGUCGCCCGUCGCAGCCUGAUGCCGCCCCGUCGCCGCCUGUCUCGCCCCUUCGCUGCCCAGCAAGGUUUAAUCCUUUCCGUCCUCUACAUCUCCUUCCUCGGCACUCACAUGCACCCCCUCUGUCAACGCAUAAUCCAUAUGUGGGAUUCAUCUAUAAGUUUAUUUAGGAUUGCUCUGUGUAGAAAUUUUAUUCAUAAUCCAAUGUAAAAUCCGAUCUAAUAGUGCAUUUUGAGUAGAAAUUUAAUUUGGUAGUGUAGUAUGGAAUCCGAUUAUAUUUCUGUAGAAAUGUUAGUCAUAAUCCAAUGUAAAAUCCAAUUUAAUAAUGCAUUUUGAGUAGAAAUUUAAUUUGCUUUGUGUAGCACUUUGAGUAGAAUUUGUUUAUCUGUGUCUCCUUCUGUGGAAUUUGUUUAUUUGUGUAUACAUGUUACUAGCAUAGAAUUACACAUGUUACUUGUGCCAAUUCACUAGUCUAGAAUCCGAUUAUAUACUCAGUUUUCAAUAUGUUUUGUGUAGAAUGGCGCAACCAACACCAUGUCGAGUGUGCAAGUCAAGGUGCGCAACUAGCCUUGAAACUGCCACAUUGUUCGGCAUUUACUUCCAGACGUAUUUUGUUCCUACAACGGUAACAAAUUAUAUGACCCUUCUAAUAGUUUGUUCUUUUGAUUUUGUUGCUAUUUCCACUAGUACAUUGUGUGUGUGCAUUUGGUUUUUCUUACAAAGAUCGUCCCUUGCAAUGUGAGAUUGGAUUUCGAUGAGCUCAUUACUUGGGACACUGUCAUCUUCGACUCUCCUGAGCCCCCCUACACUAUGGAGGUCAAUAAGGGAAGGAACAUAACCCAUAUUGGAGGAGAUGAAUGGGGUUGUUUCAUCGCGCGUAUGUAUCUCACUAGGGGUGAAUUGAUCAGCUUCUUGUUCAGACGAGAAACUUGAAGGCUCGCUGUUAUCUAUCUCAACUAUGAGGAAGAAGAUGAUGACCCACUUGAUGAAGCACUCUUUGCCCAAAGAAUGACCAGACCGAGUGAGGAUGAAAUGGACACGCUCUGGGGAAGGCUUCCGCCACGUGAUGCCUACGUCAAGAUGCCAUUCGUGACCCGCCUGACACGGACGAUGGUUAACCGCCAUGUCAUGGUAUGUUUCUUAUUAUGCAGUAGUGUGAUAUGCUUACAGUAUGUAUAGUAAUGUGAUCAUCAUAUUUUUUUCAAAAAUUACCUAAGAGGCUAUGUGAGAGUUGUGGCAUCGAGUUGGAUGAAGAAGGCAUUGUUGGACUACGUCUUACCACAAGGGGAUCUGUCGCCACCUAUGCUUACGCAGUGGAUAUGGAUGGACACACUAUCUUCAAUGUGGCUGGGUGGACCAACUUCCUCACUAGCAAGAAUUUCCGGGUUGGACAUGUCAUAUUAGUCACUAUCAGGAACACCCCACGCCAUGACUUGAGGAUGAUGAUCGUUUUUAACAUCCUUUAACUAUGUUAGUUUGCUCGUGUGGAAUGAACUCAUGUUUGUGAGGAUUGUCAUUAUAAUAGCGACUUAUUAGCUAUAGCUAGCACUGCUUGUGAGAUUGACACUUAUUAUUAACUCAAAUGCAAUGUUCUAUUGGGAUAAUUCCUUGUGUGCAAUGCUAAAUGCUAAAUGUCAUGUGAUGUCAGUUUUUUUCUGUUGCAUGAAAUGUUCCUAGCAUGCAACGUACAUUGCAUGCCGCUAGGUGAGCGAUUAUAGUGGUGGCUUGCCUACGUGGCACACCAUCAGCACAUAGAAUACCGCAGAUGUGGGACCCAAUGCCACCAUUUUUUAACUGUGGCUCCAUAUUGGUGGCGUCGGGUUUCCAUGCGAGCACAAACUUUUUUGCCACGUCAUAGCUAGGCUUUUCUACACUAGUGCGAGGUUCGUUACUGAUGAUAUGCAUGUCUUUCAAGUUGUAGCCCACCGCGUGACCUCCCCACCGAUCACGCAUCGGAGGGGGGUUCUAUGCCAGCCAAGCUAGUAGAGAGCACGACCACAUCGCACACUACCCCUCCUCCAAUUGUCAAGGAGACCGAGGAGGUGUUGUCUCGAUAGACCCCUCAUGGGCCGAACACGGGGGGGGGGGGGGGGGCGGGGGGGGGGGGGGGGUGACGUCAUGACCGAGGUUAAUACAUUGGUUGCCGAAUAAGAGGAGGGAGAAUCCCUUCUUUGGCAAACAAAGCGGGGGAGCCCUGUCAAUCCGAGCUCUCUUAGAAGACAGUCCCGAAGUCCCCGAGGCCCACAUAGUUGUCCAUUCUGGCAUCCACCAAGGGGGGGGGGGCGAGGAUCCUCCACAAGUGACACCCAUAGCAGAGCGGGCCGAAAACGGGUGGCCGACCAUGAUGGAGGAGGCUUUGAAUGGCCCCUCCAUCGCCGAAGAACACCAUGCUCUCCUGGGUGUGGUUUUACAAAGCAUUCGCUCUAUUGACAGCAUACUGAAGGAGGCUUUCGAUGACCUCUUCACGGGUUUCAAGGUAAAUCAUGUAAUACCCUUUUACAAAGAGAAUUUAUUUUAUAAGGUUAUGCGAUCCUCCUAUAGAGUAGCCCUUGAGCCGUGACUGAGUUUGAAAAACUCAACUCAGGGUCAAAUAGCUCAAAAACACUUAUAAUAGUAAAGGCGAAUUGUAGCCCCGAGUCUCUCACAUGAUUGAAGAAAACCUAGUAGGGGAUCCAAAAACCUAUAACUCGGGAGUCUGACAUGCAUGAGUUGUUGUGUAGGCCUCGUCUUCGGUAGUAGCCACCAAUAUCAUGAAGCUCAGAGAAGUGAAUCAGAAUCUCGAGAGCUCCAAUGAAGAGCUCGACCUUCUCAACAAGCGGUCUACCAACACGCAAGGUAAGUCCGGACUGCACUAUUUAAUACCGUUGUUUUCCUUAGCAAGUGAGGUAUUUGGGUUUUAUCCCUAAGUGCGGGGUGCUUAUUAUAACUGCAGUUGUCAUCAUGGAGGUCGAGAACCUCAAGGCCGAACUGAAGAAGGCGAGGUGAUGACCCACAAGUAUAGGAGAUCAAUAGUAGUCCUUUCGAUAAUUAGAGUGUCGAACCCAACGAGGAGCAGAAGGAAAUGAUAAGCAGUUUUCAGCAAGGUAUUCUCUACAUGUGCUAUAGGUAAGAGUGAUAUAUAGUUUUGUAGCAAGAUAAUUCCUAGCAAGUGACAAGUAACAAUAGUAGCAAGUGUGCAACAAGGCAGCCUAAUCCUUUUUAUAGCAAAGGAGAGGCCGUAAAGUACUCUUAUAUAAAGUAAGCGCUCCCGAGGACACAUGUGAAUUUCUGCCUAGUCAUGUUCAUCAUGUUGAGUUGAUUCACGUUUGCUACUUUGAUAAUUUGAUAAGUGGGUGGACCGGUGCUAAGGUGCUGUUCUUACUUGAACAACCAACCAACUUAUGAUUACCCUCUCUCGCAACCAGCCACAACUAUGAAAGAAGAAUUAAGAUAAAUCUAACCAUAGCAUUAAACGUGUGGAUCCAAAUCAGCCCCUUAUGAAACAACACAUAAAGUGUGGUUUAAGCUUCUGUCACUCUCGCAACCCAUAAUCUACUUGUUACUCCACAAUGACUUCCCUUAGGCCCAUAGCAUGGUGAAGUGUCAUGUAGUCGACGUUCACAUGACACCACUAAGAGAAGCACAAACAUACAUAUCAUCAAAAUAUCGAACGAAUACCUACUUCACAUGAUUACUUAUAACAAGAAUUCUCCCAUGUCCUCAGGAAUAAUAGUAACUACUCACACCUCAUCAACAUGUUCAAGAUUAGAGGUAUAAUAAUAAUGAUUAAGGAUCUGAAAAUAAUAUCUUCCACCAAGUGAUCCAACAAGCAUCAACUACAAGAUGUAAUCAACACAACUAGUAACCCAUAGGUAGCAAUCUGAGGUUUUGAGAUAAAGAUUGAAUACAAGAGAUAAAAUAGGGUUGGAGAUGAGAUGGUGUUGGUGAAGAUGUUGAUGAAGAUUUGUCCUCCCACAAAGGAGGAACCAUUGGUGAUGGCGAUGGCUUCGAUCUCCCCUCUCGGAGAGGAAUUCCCCUGACAGAACCUAACUGCCGGAGUGCAAAAGGGCCUUUGCCCAGGUUUCCGCCUUGAGACAGCGACGCUUUGUCCUGAAAGUUUUCUUCUGAUUUUUUCUAGGGUAAAACACACCAUAUAUAUAGGAAAGGGGGGGGGUCAGGAAACCUGUUGGGCACCCACAAGCCAUCACAACACAUUGUAUUGGCUUGUGGCCAGCGGGUGGCCCCGCUCUGGUAUAUUUUUGGCCCGAUAAUUCUCAAAUAUUCCGUAAAAAUUAUCCAUGAAGUUUCAGGUCAUUUGGGGUUUCGUGAUUUUCUAGCCUUUUUCAGGGUUUCCCGGUCAAGAAUUCCAGUUUCCAGAUAUUUCCCUCUUUAUGAUGUACCUUGCAUAUUCAAAGAGAAAUGACAUAGGAAUUGUAUUAAUAGGUAAUAAUGUACAAGAAUAACACAUAUAUCAAUAAGAAAUCAUGAUGCAAAAUGGAUGUAUCAACUCCCCAAGCUUAGACUUCGCUUGUCCUCAAGCGAAAGCCGAGCUCGAAAAUAAUGGCCACAUGAUUUGAGAGGGAGAACUCGAUGAAAACAAAAUACGGACAUGAGAGCAUCAUGAAUAUUACAAUAGUAGAAAUUAUUUUAUCAUAAAUCUCCUCAUAAACAAGUAAAAAUCCAUUCACAAUCAUUGAAGUAUGAAGCAUAAACCUUACUGAUAAUCAACAAACUAAGUUCUGAGUCAUUGGGACAAUCAUAAGUCAUCUUAUUUGAGAUGAGAUUCUAUGUAAGAGAUUUCUUAUUAGCAAGUUCACAUACUCAAGACAUAUUCUAUGAUUGCUCACGCUCAAGACAUAUUUUUGAAGCUCAUGUUUCCAUAGGACACAUAGGAAGAUAGGGGCUUAAAUGAUUUUCCACCCAACUCAUUUACCUCAAGGAUAAUGUCAACAAUAAUAAAUCAUGAUCAUCUAUAUCCACCUAGAUAUAUAAGUAUGAAUCUUUCUUCAACACAUGAUGCUUGCCACUAUAGAGUUAAUCUAUAGGAAGAUGACUAAACUUUAUUGACUCUACAAAAAGUAAAAGAUAGACCCUUCGUAGAGGGAAGCACAGGUUGUUAUGCGCUUUUUAAGCUUUGGAUAUGCAAACUCUUAUUGCAAUGGAACGUCACUUUAUAUUGCCCCUUAUGAUAGCAAACUUUAUUAUGCAUUAUGUCACUUUUGUUUCUUUGCCAUCAGAAGAUCGUACAAAGCUUAUUGUCCAAUGCAAUAAAAUAUCAUACAUAUCUAGAAACAAUUUUUAUUGCUUGAUGUACCGAUGACAACUUACUUGAUGGAUCUUAUUCAAUCCAUAGGUAGGUGUGGUGGACUCUCAUGGGAAGAAACUAGGUUUUAGGGGUCAUGGUUGCACAAGUAGUAUCUCUACUUAGUGUAGAAGAUUUUUUGGCUAGCAAAAUAUCUAAAGCAAGCACCACACGUUAAAGGAUCCAAGAUCAUAUAAAUUCUAUGUGAAUAUAAACUACCAUGAUCAUUAUGUUGCCUUCCAUGUACGACAUCAACACUUGAUCAUUAUAUAAUAUUUGGUGACGGCUCACAAUCAUAAAAGAUGUCCAAGAUAGUGUAUUUGUAUGUGAAUCUCCUCUCAUCUAUCAUAAUCUUGCUUAGAUUGUAUUAAUGACUAAUACUAUGUUUGUUUAUUCUCAACAACUUUUAUCACUUAUACCCUUUUCUAUGUGAAGUCAUUACUCCUCAUGAGAUAAGCAUAUGAUCUUUUCUAUUUCUUUUAUUGCCAUGCUAUGAUAAUGGGUGCAUUCAAGUAAAGCACACAAACUAUAUUAAUCUUUAUUAUAUAACUCUCACACUCGAUUACAAGGGUAGGUGGAUCUCAAAGCAAAAAUUCUAAGCAAAGCAGAUCUGAAAUUUUAUUUCUCUAAAUCAUGAAAUAGCUAAAGAUCAAACUAAGAUACAUAGCAAUGGUAAAAGUGACGGUGAUACGAUACCGAGGCACCUCCCCCGAAAUCGGAACAAGCCAAGGGUGGUGCCCAUUCCCAAGUACUCAGGCGUCCUUCUUUGGUGAUGGUGGUGAUGAUGCGACAUGCUUGUACUUUGCCUUCCAUGACAUAGGUUCCCCAUUGAAAAAGGAAGAGAUCAUCUCUGGAAUACUGAAAUCUACACCUACACUCAUCCUCUUGAAACAAGAUUCAUACUCAUGGUUUUGGUUUUGCAGAUCAUACAUUUGAGCCUGCAGGUCUUGGAGCGUGUCAUGGAGCUUGAAGAUCAUCUCCACAAUUUCAUUGUUUUCCUUAUUGUUCUUACGGAUAGAAUUCAUAAUCAUGGAGUGGUUGGCACUGCGUCAUGCUCCACAAUCCCUUGGCACUUGAAGAUCUCUUGCUCGACCACAACGAGCCUGGCCUUCACACUUCCCUCCUUGUCACCACCACCAAUCAAUCACACUCCACGACUAGCUGAAUCCUCAGGUGCCGUCCAUACCAACAACAAUCCAGGGGGAGUUUUGUUUGCAAUUAUUUUUUCGAUUUGAGCAUGGAACUGGGCAUUCCGAUUACUGGCCCCUUUCUCGUGAGUGAUAGUGAAUAAACAUGUAUCGAGGAUAACACGCCUAGCAUGGAAGAUACUGACCGCCCCUUGUCACCACAUGAGCGGUUCGGGCAUACAAAACAGAUUAUUACUUGAAGGUUUAGAGAGUGGCACAUGCAAAUUUACUUGGAACGACAGGUAGAUACCGCAUAUAGGUAGCUAUGGUGGACGCAUAUGGAAUAACUUUGGGUUUAUGGAAGUGGAUGCACAAGCAGUAUUCCCGCUUAGUACAAGUGAAGGCUAGCAAAAGACUGGGAAGCGACCAACUAGAGAGUGACAACAGUCAUUAAUAUGCAUUGAAAUUAACCAACAUUGGGUGCAAGCAUGAGUAGGAUAUAAAUCACCAUAAACAUGAAUAUCAAAGAGGUAUGUUGAUUUUGUUUCAACUACAUGCGUGAACAUGUGCCAAGUCAAGCCACUUGAAUCAUUCAAAGGAGGAUACCAUCCUAUCAUACUACAUCAUAAUCAUCUUGAAAUUCAUGUUGGCUUCCAAGACAAACCAUUAUAAGCUCCUAGCUAAUUAAGCAUGGUAUCACAAACUAUGAUCUCUAAGUCGUCAUUCAAACAUGUUUCUCUCAUAACAAUGCUGAAUUAGGAAUGAUGAGCUAGGCAUAUUUACAAAAACAAAAUAGGUCGAGUUCAUACCAUCUUUUCAAAGCUCAGUCACUUCAUCAUAUAUCGUCAUUAUUGCCUUUCACUUGCACGACCGAAUGACGUGAAUAAUAAUGAGAGUGUUCAUGCAUUGGACUAAGCUGGAAUCUGCAAGCAAACUCAGAGGAGAAGACAAAGUAAUAUGGCUCUUUAAAGGAUAAACAAUCAUGCAUGUGAGAGCCACUAAACAUUUUAAUCAUGGUCUUCUACCUUGACCCAAAGAAAAAGAAAACUAUUUACACGGGAAAGCUCCCAACAAGCAAAAGAAGAACGAGAAACCUUUUUGGGUUUUCCUUUUUAAUUACCACUAAGAAAGCUGGAAAGUAAACUCACAACUAUUUUUUUUGUUUUUCUAAAUUUAGACAAACACACGAGAAGAAAGCGAGAAAAAGAAAUAAACUAGCAUGGAUGAUACAAUGGCAAAGUAUGAACACCGACUAUCAAACCGAAUGUGUGAGCAUGAAUAUAAAGUCGGUGAGAAACACGUACCCCCCAAGCUUAGGAUUUUGGCCUAAGUUGGUCUACUCCCAAGGAGGGAAGUAAGCGUCUCCGGGGUACUCCGGAGUGUACUGAGGGUGCCACUGCUGGGUGAGCUUCUUUGGCUCCCACUAAUAAACUGGCAUCUGGUACUCGACUGGUAUCUCGGGCAUGGGUGCCUGUGGUGGCGUUAUGCCCCAAUAUUCAUAGAUGUCCGAGAGCAUAAUAAUGUACCUGCCUCGAUGAAGAUUGAACAAAGAAGGAGCAGGCAAAGUAAUAGUCUCACGAUUACCCUGGCUAAAUACCAAGUUAUAAAUCAUCCUCUUAUUAUUAUCAUUAUCAAGAAAGUCAUGGCGAACCAUGCUAUUAUAAUCUAAAUAUCUCUCAGGAAGAAGCAUCUCUUCUUCCUCGUACAGUCUAAUAGGUAUCUGAAAAUGUUUAGCAAGGCGGGUAGCAUAGAUACCUCCAUAAUCAGCGCCUUUAGUACGGUUCGUGUUCAACCGUUGAGCCACUAUAGCGCCCAAGCUAUAAGUUUUAUCUUUAUAAAGAGCUUCGCGCAAAACCGCAAGAUCUGGGGAGCUAAGAGCCCUAGCUUUCCCAUGGCCAAUCAAACAUUUUCCCACAAAUAAUGGGAGAUACCGAAGCACGGGAAAAUGUACACUAGCAACUCUAGCGCAAGACACUCCUCUCUCCUCUCCUACAUCAAUAGUAUCAAUGAAAGCCUCCAAGUCCCGUGGGCGAGGUUCAUGAAUAUCCCCAACAUAAGGUAAAUUGCAAACAUUGCAGAAAUAUUGAAGUGACAUGCGCUGGGGGAUAUCAUAUAACUUGAACUCAACCAUAGGAGGACUCUUCCUUGGAUAGAAAUUAAAGCUUUGCACAAAAAUAUUAGUGAGGAGGAGGUAUUGUGGACUCUUAUCUUCGACAAAGGCGGUAAGGCUUGCGUUCUCCACCAAGUAAUAAAAAUCCUCAUAAAGAUCGGCAGCGUGUAAGAACACAUCACUUGGCCACUCGCACGCUCGAACUUCUGCAACUCGGGGGACCGGAUACUUGGGUUUCUUCUUCUCAUUUUGAUCUUCCUUGGGGUCAUGGCUCGAAGAGCCUCUUAGGAACCUCCUCAUCUUUUCCUUUUUCUUUCUCUGAAAUUUUCUGAAAUUUUUAGUGACUCAAAAGUAAAGUGAACAAGGCUCAACAAAACUCAUAACAACUACUCCUACAAGUGCCUAGAGGCCAUAUCAUGCAUCAAAACUACUUGGGACCAACUAAAAUUAACAUGCAAAGUUCAAGAACAGGGUCACCAAGACAGCAAAAAUACGCAAUGAAUAAAGCACUAGAGUAAAAACUAAUUGGACCAAUGGAGGAGUCACAUACCAAGGAAUAAUUCCCUAAAACAGUUUGGUGAAUGGGGCUUUGCACAAGGAGAUUGAAAAACAUAGCAAGAAGAGCAAGAACACAAAUUUGAGCUGUGGAAUGAUUUUUUCUGGAGGUAGAAGAAGGAGAUGGGAGCUGGAAUAAGUGGAGGGGGCCAUGUGGGGCCCACAAGCUUGCCAGGCAUGGCCAGGGGGGUGGCCGUGCCUCCUGGGCUUGUGGCCUAGUGGUGCAUCCCCGUGACUAGCUUCCUAUCUCAGAAAUUUUCAAAUAUUCCAGAAAAAAUCAUACUUGAAUUUCAGGGCAUUUGGAGAACUUUUAUUUUCUGGUCACUUUUCUAAGGGACGGAAAAAGCAGAAAACAGGAAAAAUAAAGCUAAAUUUAUCAUUUUUCUUCUAAGCAACAUAAAGUAAAAGUUGGGAGCAGAGGGUUGUGACUCCUAGAUUCAUCCAUCUCAUGGUCAUCAAAAGAAAUCCGUCAAUGAGGUUGAUCAAGUCUCCCUGACAAACUUAUUUCGAAUCACAUAAAACCGGAGAAUUUUAGAAUAAUCACUAGGUUACCUCAACGGGGAUGUGCAUAUCCCCAACAAGUAAAUCAUACUUCAUCUUGGCAGUAGAUAUAGGGCAUUCAAAGCUUCCAAUAAGAAUUGAUGAAGAUUUCUCAAUAGCAUUGAUGCAAUGAACUCGAUAUUGUUUCUUCGGAAAGUGCACCGUAUGCUCAUUACCAUUAACAUGGAAAGUGACAUUGCCUUUGUGCAAUCAAUAGCAGCACCUGCAGUGUUUAAAAAGGGUCUUCCAAGGAUAACCGCCAUGGCACCAUCCUCGGGAAUAUCCAGAAUAACAAAGUCCGUUAAGAUACUAACGUUAGCAACCACAACAGGCACAUCCUCGCAAAUGCCGAUAGGAAAAGCAGUUGGUUUGUCGGCCAUUUGCAAAGACAUUUCAGUAGGUGUCAACUUAUCCAAUUCAAGUCUAUGAUAUAAAUAGAGAGGCAUAACACUAACACCGGCUCCAAGAUCAUAUAAAGCAGUUCUAACAUAAUUUCCUUUAAUGGAGCAAGGUAUAGUGGGCACUCCGGGAUCACCUAGUUUCUUAGGAGUCCCACCCUUGAAGGUGUAAUUAGCAAGCAUGGUGGAAAUCUCAACCUCAGGUAUCUUCCUUUUGUUAGUCACAAUAUCUUUCAUGUACUUAGCAUAAGGAGACAUUUUGAGCAUAUCUGUCAAACGCAUUUGCAAAAAGAUAGGUCUAAUCAUUUCAACAAAGCGCUCAAAAUCCUCGUCAUCCUUUUUCUUGGAUGGUUUGGGAGGAAAGGGCAUGUGUUUCUGAACCCAUGGUUCUCUUUCUUUACCAUGCUUCCUAGCAAUAAAGUCAUCCUUAUCAUAUCUCCUGUUCUUAGGUUGUGGGUUAUCAAGAUCAACAGCAUGUUCAAUCUCCACAUCCUUAUCAUUACUAGGUUGAGCAUCAACAUGAACACCACUAUCAAUAUUAUCAUUAGGCUCAUGUUCAUCACCAGAUUGUGUUUCGGCAUUAGAAACAGAGACAUCAUUUGGAUUCUCGGGUGUAACAGCAAUAGGUUUUCUAGCAUGCAAGUUCCUAUCAUCUUUCUUUUUCUUCUUAAUACCAGUAUGACUAGGUGCAUCAGUGUUAACUCCUUGAGAAUCUUGCUCAAUUCUCUUAGGAUGGCCCUCGGGAUACAAAGGUUCCCGAGUCAUUCUACCACCUUUAGUGACAACUCUAAGAGAAUUGUCAUUCAACUCAUUAAGCAAGUCAUUUUGAGCCUUAAGUACUUGUUCUAGUUGAGUAGUGACCAUAGAGGCAUGUUUACUCAAAAGCUUAAGAUCAUUGACAUUUCUAUCCACACAAGCACUUAUAUGAUUAAUCAUACGAGCAUUUUGUUCCAAUUGUCUGCUAACAUAAUCAUUAAAACUUUGUUGUUUGGCAACAAAGUUAUCAAAUUCAUCUAAGCAUAAGCUAGCAGGUUUAUCAUAUGGAAUAUCACUCUCAUUGAAUCUACGAAGAGAAUUUACCUCUACUACCUGUGUCGGGUUAUCAAGACCAUGUAUUUCUUCAAUAGGUGGUAGAUUCUUAACAUCUUCAGAUUUAAUACCUUUCUCUUGCAUAGAUUUCUUGGCUUCUUGCAUAUCUUCAGGACUGAGGAAUAGAAUACCUCUUUUCUUCGGAGUUGGCUUCGGAGGUGGUUCAGGAAUAGUCCAAGCAUUAUCAUUGAUCAAGAUAUUAUUCAAUAGAAUUUCAGCUUGUUCCAUAGUUCGUUCCCAAAAACACAACCAGCACAACUAUCUAGGUGGUCCCUAGAAGCAUCGGUUAGUCCAUUAGAAAAGAUAUCAAGCAUUUCAUUCUUCUCAAGAGGAUGAUCAGGCAAAGCAUUAAGUAACUGGACAAGCCUCCCCCAAGCUUGUGGGAGACUCUCUUCUUCAACUUGCACAAAGUUAUAUAUAUAUCCUGCAAGGCAGCUUGUUUCUUAUGGGCAGGAAAAUAUUUCUUAGAGAAGUAGUAGAUCAUAUCCUGGGGACUACGCACACAACCAGGAGCAAGAGAAGUAAACCAAGUCUUAGCAUCACCCUUUAGUGAGAAAGGAAACAACUUAAGGAUAUAGUAAUGGCGAAUUGUUUCCUCAUUCAUGAAUAGGGUGGCUAUAUCAUUCAGUUUAGUAAGGUGUGCUACAACUGUUUCAGAUUCAUAACCAUGAAAAGGAUCAGAUUCAUAACCAUGAAAAUGAUCAGAUUCAACCAAAGUGAUCAACUCAGGAUCGACACAGAAUUCAUAAUCCUUAUCAGUAACAAAGAUGGGCGAAGUACCAAACUUAGGAUCAUAUUUCAUUCUAGCAUUCAGAGAUUUUUCUUUCCACUUGCGCAAUAAAUUCUCAAGAUCAUAGCUAUCCUUACAAGCAAGAAAGCCUUCAGCUACCUCUCCCUCCAUAACAUAACCCUUAGGUAUAUCAGGCAAUUCAUAUCUAGGAGAGCUAGGUCUAACAGGUGAAACAUGAGGUUCCACUUCAAUAAUUUCAUCAGUUUCAGAAGUAUCAUCACAUUCAGCAGUAACUCUAGCAAUUUGUGCAUCAAGAAAUGCACCCAGUGGAAAAUCAUUAUCAAGCAAAGCAUCAUCAUAAGCAUCAUGGAUAGCAGAAGCAGCAUCAUCAAGCACAGGCGACAUAUCAGAAUUACCAAUAGGUGGUGGUGUCGCAAAUUUACUCAUAACUGAAGGUGAAUCAAGUGCAGAGCUAGAUGGCAGUUCCUUACCUGUCCUCGUAGUUGAGGGCAAGACUUUAUUUUUUGGAUCUCUCGGAUUCCUCAUAGUGAUCAACAGACAUAAAUCCCAAGUGACUCAGAGAAUAGAGCUAUGCUUCCCCGGCAACGGUGCCCGAAAAAGGUCUUGAUAACCCACAAGUAUAGGGGAUCGCAACAGUUUUCGAGGGUAGAGUAUUCAACCCAAAUUUAUUGAUUAGACACAAGGGGAAGCCAAAGAAUAUUCUCGAGUAGUAGCAGUUGAGUUGUCAAUUCAACCACACCUGAAAGACUUAGUAUCUGCAGCAAAGUGUCAGUAGCAAAGUAGUGUGAUAGUAACGGUAGCAGCGGUAACAACAGCAGUAGUGGCAGCAGUAGCGUAAAGUAACAUAGCAAGGACCAGUAGGAAAAGACUCGUAGGCAUUGGAUCGGUGAUGGAUAAUUAUGUCGGAUGACAUUCAUCAUGUAACAGUUAUAACAUAGGGUGAUAUGUAACUAGCUCCAGUUCAUCAAUGUAAUGUAGGCUUGUAUUCCGUAUUUAGUCAUACAUGCUUAUGGAAAAGAACUUGCAUGACAUCUAUUGUCCAUCCCUCCCAUGGAAGCAGGGUCCUAAUGGAAACUAAGGGAUAUUAAGGUCUCCUUUUAAUAGAGAACCGGAACAAAGCAUUAGCACAUAGUGAAUACAUGAACUCCUCAUACUAUGGUCAUCUCCGGGAGUGGUUCCGGCUAUUGUCACUCUGGGGUUGCCGGGUCAUAACACAUAGUAGGUGACUACAGCUUACAAGAUAGGAUCAAGAACACACAUAUAUUGAUGAAAACAUAAUAGGUUCAGAUCUGAAAUCAUGGCACUCGGGCCCUAGUGACAAGCAUUAAGCAUAGCAAAGUAGUAGCAACAUCAAUCUUAGAACAUAGUGGAUACUAGGGAUCAAACCCCAUCAAAACUAACUCGAUUACAUGAUAGAUCUCAUCCAACCCAUCACCGUCCAGCAAGCCUGUGAUGAGAUUACUCAUGAACGACGGAAUUGGCGAUGAAGGAUGGUUGGUGAUGACAACGACAUCGAUUUCCCCUCUCCGGAGCCCAGAACGGACUCCAGAUCUGCCCUCCAAAGGAAGAACAGGUGGUGGCGGCGGCUCCAUGUCGUGAAACGCGAUGAACUCUUCUCUCCUAAUUUUUUCUGGGCAAGAGAGAAUAUAUAGAGCUGGAGUUGAGCCACGAGGGCCUCACAAGCCUGCCAGACGCGACCUAGGGGGGGGGCGCCUCAUGGGCUUGUGGGCUCCUGGCUCCGUGUCUCCAGGUAAUUCUUGCGCCAGUAUUUUUUAUAUAUUCCACAAAAAAUCCUCAUAAAUUUCCAGGUCAUUCCGAGAACUUUUAUUUCUACGCAAAAACAACACCAUGGCAAUUCUGCUAAAAACAAUGUCAGUCCAGGUUAGUUCCAUUCAAAUCAUGCAAAUUACAGUCCAAAACAAGGGCAAAAUAGUUUGGAAAAGUAGAUACGUUGGAGACGUAUCAAGACUCCCGAACAACUUACGACCAAUUGAUCUCAAAUGGUCAUAGAUUUACGACCAUUUCUGCUAGUGUCAUUGCCAGAAGGUCGCUAGUUGACAUAUUUCUUGUAGUGAGGGAGCCCCGAAACACUUUUUACUCUGUCGCAAGUCUAUGUUCUGACGGGGGGGGGGCAUAUGGAGAUCCGUUGCGGCACCCUGACGAAGGGGGAUCGAUCAUGGAGGACCUUUUCACCAACCUUGUUGCCCUCAUGAUGAUGUGUGAGUAAUUUACUUCAGACCUACGUUUCCAUGGCAGAACCUAGAUGGCAAUCUCUCUCUCUGGAUCUUCAAUACAAUAAUCAUAUCAUCUUUGCUUUGAUCCGUAUGAUGUAAUUACUUUUUUGUGGUGCGUUUGUUGGGGUCCGAUGAAUUGGGGGUUUAUGUUCAGAUUAUUCAUGAUAAAUAUUUUAGUCUCCUAUGAUUACUUAUGUGCAUGGUUAUGAUAUCUUCAUAAUUCUCUGUGACCUAUUGAAAUUGUUUGGCCAACUAGAUUGAUAUUUCUUCGGUGGGAGAGGUGUGUUGUAGUAGGUUCAACCUGACAAAUUUCUAUAUCCCAGUGACAGAAGGGGACAAGGUGCGUCUUUGUGUUGCUUCUACUAAAUAUAAAACGGUGGGGUUUAUUCAUAUUGCUUGAGUUUACUUUGUCUACAUCCUGUCAUCUUACUCCAUGCAUUACUGUGUUCGUCGUGAACUUAAUACGUAGAGAUGCAAGCAUAGAAGUGCUCUUGAUGUGAAGUAAUAGUAAUAAGUGCAGGCAGGAGUCAUCCUAUUUGUUUAUGGACUUGAUGCCUAUAUACACAUGAUCAUUGUCAUGAAUAUCGCAUAACAAUCUACUUUUCUAUGAAUUUCCCAACAGUAAUUUGUUUAUCGACCAAAUGCUUAUUUUCAUUAGAGAUGCCACUAGGGAUAGGCAUGGCCCCGAGUCUAUUCACAACAUAUUGACAAAACCUUCAUUACCUUGCUGCCAUUUACUUGUUUUUAUUUUAUUUUACUAUCUACAAUUAUCUACACACCUUACUUGCUUGCAAAUAAUGGGACCAAGGGGACUGACAACCCUCUUGCCCGCGUUGGGUGCAAGUUGUUUGUUCUUUUGUGUGCAACCGCUGAAGAUGGUUGUAGUUGAUAUUCCUAUUGGUUCGAUAAACCCUUGUUUCAUAACCAAGGGAAAUACUUACCUACAUUGUGCUGCGAUAACAUGUUCCUCUUCAUGGAAAAACCCAACGCAUAUCAUAGUAUCAUUCACCUCAAUGCCUUCUUCACGAAUGUUAUGCCCAAGUACUAUACCUUCAUUCACCAUAAAGUGGCACUCCUCCUAAUUCAAGACAAUAUUAGUUUCUUCACAUCUCUACGAAACUCGAUCGAGGUUGCUCAAGCAAUCAUCAAAAGAAGUCAUGUAAACGAAAAAAUCAUCUAUGAAAACCUCAACAAUCUUUUCACAAAAGUCAGAGAAUAUAAUAGUCAUACAUCUUUGAAAGGUAAUAGGUGCAUUGCAUAGACCAAAAGGCAUAAGCCUAUAAGCAUAAUUUCCAAAAGGGAAAGUAAAGGUAGUUUUCUCUUGGUCCUCUUUUGACAUAGCUAUUUGAAAAAAACGAGAAUAUCCAUCAAGAAAACAAAAGUGUGUGUGUUUGGACAGCCUCUCUAACAUUUGGUCAAUAGAAGGCAACGAGUAAUGGUCUUUUCUAGUUGAUUUACUUAAUUUCCUAAAAUCAAUCACCAUCCUAUAACCAGUUACGAUUAUUUGUGGAAUAAGCUCAUUUUUAUCAUUAGGAACAAUAGUUAUACCUGCCUUUUUAGGAACACAAUGAACAUGGCUUACCCAUCUACUAUCAGCAAUAGGAUAAAUUAUACCUGCCUCUAGAAGUUUUAGUAUCUGAGUUCUUACCACUUCCUUCAUCUUAGGACAGAGACGACAUUGAUGAUCAACGAGAGGUUUAGCAUCCUAUAUCCAAUGGCAUCCCUAUGCUUAUUUAGAAUUUUAAGUAAUCUCUUUUCUUCAUGUCCUUUAAGGUUAUGACUGAUAAUAACAUGACAUAUCUUCUUUUCAUUCAGAUAGGCAUAGUUCAAAGUAUCAAACAAUGUCUUUAGCUCAAACACGGGAUCUCCUUUGGGUGGAGGAGGAUCCCCUAAGAUAUCAACUCGUAGGUUGUGUUUAAGAUGGGUGUUUGUCUAAGAAAUAUAUCAUCUAUCUCAUUUCUUUCGUUCAUAUUCAUAUCAUUUUCUUGGUCUAGAAAAUAUUUUUCUAACGGAUCAAUACGAGGUACGACAAUAUAAGUAAUUAAGACUAAUUAUUUAAUUGUUAUUACACAAUUCUUUUUCGUGUGGUUGUCUCCUAAGCUUGGAGAAAUUAAAUUCAUGAGACAUAUCACCAGAGCUUACUAUGACCUUCUAAGUAGCACAACUAACCUGAGCAUUAACAGUAUUCAAGAAAGGUCUACCAAAUAUAAUGGGACAACAGUUAUCUUGUUCUGAACCAAGCACUAGGAAAUCAGUGGGAUACUUGACUUUUCCACACAAGACUUAAACAUCUCUAACAAUCCCAAGCGGUGAAAUAGUAUCACGGUUUGCAAGUUUAAUGGUGACAUCAAUAUCUUCAAUCUUAGAGGGUUCUAUAUCAUGCGUAAUUUCUUGAUAUAAUGUAAAAGGUAUAGCACUAACACUAGCACCAAUAUCACAAUAGCCAUGGUAGCAAUGAUCUCCAAUUUUAACUGAAAUGACACGUAUGCCUACAACUGGUUUAUUUUUAUCGAGCUCAUUUCGCUUGUUUCUAACAUGUUUUAGAAUUCUUGGAGCUUCUUCACAGAAGUAAAUAACCUGCCCAUCAAUAUAUCAACUAGGAGAUAUCUAAUCAUAGCAACAUUAGGCUCAACAUUUAUUUCUUCAUAAGGUUUCGGUGUCCUAACAUGUCUUCUAUUAACCAUAGUGGUAGCCUUAGCAUGCUCCAUCCUAACGGGAAAAUGAGGUUUCUCAAUGUAAGCAGUAGGAACAAUCGGAUCAACAUGGCUAAUAAUUCUUUCUUCCUUCCUAAUUUUAACAAGUUCCUGAGAUGAUUUUUCAAUGGGAGGAUGAUAUUUAAACCACUUCUCCCUGGCGUCGGUGUCAAAACCGGCGGAUCUGAGGUAUGGGGUCCCGAGUUGUGGACCUUGGAUCAAUGGGUUACAACGAAUGAAGGAGACUCUAUUUACCCAGGUUCGGGCCCUCUUGAGGAUGUAAAACCUUAUGUCCUGCUUGAUUAUAUUUAUGUGUAUGAGGAUUAUAGAGUUGAUCUACCUCGAGAUCAUAUGAGCUAAAACCCUAGAUGAGUCAACCUACCUAUGCGAACGAAACUCUCUGGUUUCUAUAGACACCAGGGGUUCCUAGGGUUACAUACAACCAACCUCUAGUCGGGGAUAGAUGCGCCGAUAUAACCUACUCAACUUGGAUGACACGCUAGUCUCCGGUGCUUUCCCUCUUGAACACGAGGUCGUCACGCAGUCCGAUCUUCAAUAAUACGACCCAUUAGGCCACCCUCUAAGAGAUGGGCCGACCGUCCGAGGACCCCUUAGUCCCGGACUCCCUCAGUAGCCCCCGAACUGGCCUCCAACACUGAUGUAUAUUGUCUUCGGCAACUCCUCGUAUCCAGAGUAAUCGGCUUGCAAGGCGAGUUCCCUUCAUGUUCGGCUGGCGUAAACUUGGUCGUUUGGUGAUGUCGUGCCUUUAAAACACGCACUGCAUAAUAAAAAGGCUUCAAAACCCCGGUGUGAAGAGGUCCUCAUUUGAUAGCCUUUUUGACGAAAGGUCGCGAUAACCAGUUAUGACAAAAACUCGAUUCACGGUUCGAGGCUACUUUCUCAUGGGCACGUCUUGUCAAUGAGGAGAUCGUGCUCCGCAUUUAAGGGGAUAUGAGUAAUGGUGUGGGUAAUCCUACGUGCAUUCAUCGGCCGAGUCGUUUCGGGAAGUGGCAGGGCCCGCGGCGCCAUAAACGGGAUCCUUGGCCUUGCACCCCCCAUAAAAGGGAAAAAAGAUCCUCAAAGCCACCACAUGCAUUCCAGAUCCGACCGCCCUUUCAUUCAAGCUCCAAGCGCCCAGAUCCAUUUCACUUUACGUCCUCUCCAAUCCGCCCUUCCCCAAGCUCAGCCAUCGCUGGCUCAGGCUCCCAAGGCAAGUGGGAGGUCUCAUGCGUCUCCGACCAGGAUAUCCGGGAGCUGAAGGAUGCCGACUAUCUCUCGCCGGACAUUGCCCAUCGUGCGCUAGAAGAAGGCCAGGUGGUGCCUACAACAAAGCCAGGAGAAAUGGUGGUGUUCGUCCCCCACUUCAUCCGAGGACUAGGCUUCCCACUCCACCCCUUCGUCACGGGCCUGAUGUUCUACUAUAGGUUAGAUUUUCACGAUCUUCCCCCGAACUCAUUUAUGCACAUCUCCGCUUUCAUCACCCUUUGUGAGGCCUUCCUGUGGGUUCAACUGCACCUCGGGCUAUGGCUCAAGACAUUCAACUUCAAGCCGAAGUCAGUCACUGGCCAACAUGCCGACUGUGGUGGAGCGCAAACUCCCCAGGGUCGAAUGGUCAGAGGGCACUUUUAUUGACACCAUCAAAGCCUCGCAAAGGGAGUGGUUUUACAUCACCGAACCCUGGGAAGCAAACUGAUCGACGCCUGCCGAGUUCAGAUCCGGACCCCUCGAGAGGCUAACCUCGUGGGUUAGAAAAGGUCUUGACUAGGGAUCAGCCUCGGAGGUGAAAGCGCUGCAGAAGCGCAUCACACAGAUGGUGGAGGCGAAUAUCAAGUUGACCAACGUGGUUGAGGUCAUGCUCCGCUCCUGUGUCCUUCCCUGCCAGCGUAGGGACACUCCAAUGUGGUCCUACAGGCUUGGUGACCCCAGCACCAUGAGCCAGUUCUAUCAAACUACCCACAAGAAAUUGUGGAGGGUGUUGUUCAAAUCUCCAUAGGAAUGGCCGAGCUAGGAAAAAGACGUCGGCUUGGAUGCCUAUCACCCUCCCUUAGCAUUAUGACCAAGAUUUUAUUCCUAUUUAAAGCUUUAAUAUUUAGCAAGGAUCUUAUCAUAUCCCCCACCGUCCUUGCAGGGCUGGCUAAAAAAGGCCGAGAAAAUAAAAUGGCUCAACCUCCUCGCCUGAUGAUCCCACGUCGCCAUUGUUGAUUGCGAUGCUGGUGGUGGCGCUAUACACGGCGCGAGAGGAAAAUGAGAAGAAUAAAAGAGAGACCUGCGGGGGUCUACGCUCGAGGGGUCCUCUGGAUACUAAGUCCGGAGACACCCACGCUUCCUUCACUUAUGAUGAAGAGGAUGCAGAGGACAAAGAGGAGAAAGAUUCGCUACAAGAAAGAGGGUGGCACCAGAGGAGGCCAAGGAGGGCAUGCCUCCUCAGGUCCCGAAGAAAACCUGCAAGAGCAAAGUCACCCUGCCCGACGACAGCCUGGAUUCCGAUGUGGACUCCGAGCCCUUUGAGAGGGUUCCACGAAGGACCCCCAGGAUCAAGCCCCCGACCCAAAGGUAUGUAAUCCGAAUUUCAUUUAAUGGAAUUAUACUGAGUUUUGUUAAUAAACAUACACUCUCAUUUCCUUGAAGCAACCCUGCCGGAAACCUCCCGACGGACCAGGUCUCAAAGGGGGAAUCACCAUCGGUCGAGCUAGAGGAGAGCGGGAAUGCAUCGUGUACUACUCUCCAUCAGGCAUCAGACAAGGCUGCGGAGGUGAUAUCCCACCAGGCUCCUCCAAACACGAGGGUCGAGGUGGUGAUGGAUGAGGUUCAUACGUCGGCCAUUGAAGACUGAGAGGUACCGAUCGAGGUUCAUUCCUCGGCCACCGAAACCCAGGAGGUCGAUCCCCUCCCGACGAGUGGAGAGGGGGCCGUGAUUCGUCUGAGCUUACCCUGGAGAUAGUUCCAAGGAGCUCCGAUCCUCUGGCGUCUUCAACGUUGUCUUCAGUGCCGCCUGUGAUAGAACAGGCUGCGGCCGGAGUGGCCUCCAAUGAUGGAGGAGGCUCUAUCCAAUUCAUCCAUCGCUAAUGAACAUCACACCCUUAUGGGUGUGAUUCUACAAAGCAUCCAGUCCAUUGAUAGCGGACUGAAGGGAGCCUUCAGUGGUUUGCUGGUAGGCUUCAAGGUAAACCGAUUAGUGUUAGAUUUAUUUAUAAGGUUUUCACAUGCCUUAUAGGUAUGAUAGCCCCCGAGCCAUGGGUGAGUUGAAAAACUUACCCGUGGAUCAAAACAACUUAUGGUCAUGAAUAAAAACAGUUCGGGGAACCUUGAACUAUAACUUCUCACGGGUGUACUUCGACCAAGUGACCCAGUCUUGUUAGCUCGAAUGCUUAUCUAUCGCUAACUUGUCUCGCAGGCCUCAUCCUCGGUUGUGGCCUCCAACACCCUUGAACUUGCCGAGCUGAACUAGAAACUCAAGGUUUCCGAUGAGGAACUCAGCCUUCUUAAUAGUCGGCUCGACGAGAAACAAGGUAAGCUUAAUGCGUGCCGCUAAGACUCUUGUUGUACUUAAUAGUUUAGUAAAGUGUGGAUUUGAUAUAUGACAUCUUGAUUUUGAUUAUGUGAGCAGCUAUGGAUGUGGAGUUUGAGAAACUCAAGGCUGAAUUGGAGAAAGCCAAGCAGGAGGCCACCGCUCAUAAGAUGAUGGCCGAGCAGACCGUCGCCGAGUUAAGCUCGCUGAAGGUUGAGAGCGGCGGGCACAAGGCUAGAGUGGCCGAGGUCCAGCACGAGCUUCAAGAUGCGAGAUCUAAGAGCAAGGCCUUGGAACAAAAAUCCAAAGAACAAGCGGCCGAGCUAUUCAAGCUGUACUGCGAGCUCAAAUCGGAGCGAGUAGAGAAGCGAUUCUUCGAAGAAGAAGUGCGCCAAGCCAAGAAAAUUGCGGACGGUAAGCCAUACUUACUGCAAUGUGCCUUUGGUGGAAACAUGUUUGCCUUUCUUACACGGCUAUGGCGUUCCCCAGGCACCUUUACGAACCUCCCCCGGCAUGUAGUAGACGCGGUGAAGCACUACGUGGCCCAAGACGGGGAUGCCGAGCAGAGUCUUUUCUGGGCACAGUUUCAGACUCCCGAGCCCAACCCCCUUCUCGUCUAUCAGAUGAAACAACUCAUGGAGUUGCACAGGAUGGCGGAGCCAGGACCUCUACAUCCGGUUGUGGCCUGCCGAGCCUCUUCCGAGUAGUUACUUCGGCUUAGUGCGGAAGUUGUACGAUGUCGUGCCUCAACUCGAGGUCCUGAAAUGCUCUGUUUGCAUAGAGGCAGCUCGGAUGGUUUUUGCGAGGACCAUGAUACACUACCCGCGGGUGAAGCCCCUUACGAUGGCAACCGCACCUCCACCUCCUGGAAAGGAGCACACACGUCCACAACUUUAUUUCUCUGCCGCUAUGGAGGGUGCUCGGGCCAUAGAAGCCCAGUGUUCCAAAGAUGUAAUGUAUGAGUGAGGAUAUUAUCUUGUGCCUUGAAAUUUUUUAUUAUUGUGAAGUUUGUCCCAGUGUAAUGCACUUUGUAUUAUUUUUACUCCUGUUCGGCCGUUUAAUCUGAAAGGUUCGAGUCAUCUGCUUCAGCCCCCAUGUAGAGCCUACAAGGGGUGUUUCGACAUUCGCACUCUGACCCUUAGCCAAUAUAUUAGUGCCCGAAGGCGGUAGUGUGUGAAGGAAAUGAGGCAAUCUAAAUAUGCGGCUUUAGUGCUUUCACAUAGCCUUAGGAGCUUGAAUUCGGAGGCUGGUUACGAGCCCGCAAUUUUUUUUGUGGUAGUCGGAUAAACCGGUAUUUGAAAUAGUUACCACAAGGUUUGGAAAGGUUCAAAACCCUCCAUAUGACACGUAAUAAAACCUCCAUCGGUCAUUAGUAAUUAAGCUCGGAUUGUAGACCAUUUCUCGCUUAUUAUGACAAUCAGUUUUCGGCUUUCUCCAGUGAGGUAUUUUAGCUAGGCCAGCUAGGAAUACAAUCAAAGUAGCUCUCCCUUUAUCCCUUUAGCUGAACUAGCGGAACAUAAAGGGGUAAGCACAUGAGUGGGGCAACCCAACUAUUGACCCAAGACAUAAUUCUGAACUCAUGCAUAUAAAGAAAUAUCCUACAAACUGAACACUUAAAAUUAGUGACGGGUAGUGCUCAGGGCGGUAUUUUCAUCCAAGCCCCCGGUCUAUUAGCCGAUCGCACUUGAUAUUUAUUGAAGAAAUUUACCCUUCGGUGCCAAUGAGUGCUACUUCUCAAACAACAUCGCCAGAAAUUGGCACGUUGACGGAGACUUGGCUUGCGUUGGUUUUUCCCUUGAAGAGGAAAGGGUGAUGUAGCACAGGAGCAGUAAGUAUUUCCCUCAGUUUGAGAACCAAGGUAUCAAUCCAGUAGGAGAAUCGCGUCAAGUCCAGAGUACCUGCGCAAACACAAAAGAGCUUGCACCCAACGCUAUAAAGGGGUUGUCAAUCCCUUCAAGAUUGAUUGCAAAGUGAGAUCUGAAGGCGGAAAGUGCAACGAAGUAAAAGAGUAAGGCUGAAAAUAUGGUGUGAAGUACACCCGGGGGCCAUAGUGUUCACUAGAGGCUUCUCUAAAAAUAGCAAAUAUUACGGUGGGUGAACAAAUUACUGUCGAGCAAUUGAUAGAACCGCGCAAAGUCAUGACGAUAUCUAAGGCAAUGAUCAUACAUAUAGGCAUCAUGUCCGAGACAAGUAGACCGGUACUUUCUGCAUCUACUACUAUUACUCCACACAUCGACCGCUAUCCAGGAUGCAUCUAGUGUAUUGAGUUCAUGACGAACAGAGUAACGCCUUAAGCAAGAUGACAUGAUGUAGAGGGACAAACUCAAACCAAUGAUGAAAACCCCAUCUUUUUGCCCUUGAUGGCAACAACACGAUGCGUGCCUCGCUACCCCUUCUGUCACUGGGUGAGGUCACCGCACGGUAUGAACCCGAAACAAAGCACUUCUCCCAUUGCAAGAAUCGUAGAUCAAGUUGGCCAAACAAAACCCACAACUCGAAGAGAAUUACAAGGAUAUGAAAUCAUGCAUAAGAGAGAUCAGAAGAAACUCAAAUAAGAUUCAUAGAUAAUCUGAUCGUAAAUCCACAAUUCAUCGGAUCUCGACAAACACACCGCAAAAGAAGAUUACAUCGGAUAGAUCUCCAUGAAGAUCAUGGAGAACUUUGUAUUGAAGAUCCAAGAGAGAGAAGAAUCCAUCUAGCUACUAGCUAUGGAUCCGUAGGUCUAUAGUGAACUACUCAUGCAUCAUCGGAGAGGUCAUGGUGUUGAUGAAGAAGCCCUCCGUAUCCGAAUCUCCCCUUCGGCAGGGCAUCAGAACGUGCCCGAGAUGGGAUCUUGCGGAGACAGAAGCUUGCGGCGGCGGAAAAGUAUUUUCGUGGUUCCCCUGAUUUUUUUAGGGAUUUUAGGGAAUUUAUAGGCGAAGGAGCUAGGGCAGGGGAGGCCCAGGGAGCCCCAAAGCCUGGGAGGCACGGGCCCCUUGGCCGUGCCAUGGGGGCUUGUGGCCUCCCCCGGGACUCCCUGGCUUGGUUCCCAAGCUUUCUGCGUAUCUUCUGUUCCGGAAAAAAUCUUUUUGGAAGUUUUAUUCUGUUUGGCUGUUUAAAAUCCUCCUCUGAAAAGGGUCAAAAACACGGAAAAACAGGAAUUGGCACUUGGCACUGAGUUAAUAAGUUAGUCCCAGAAAAGAUAUAAAAGGCAUACAAAACAUCCAAAGUUUGACAAGAUAAUAGCAUGAAACCAUCAAAAAUUAUAGAUACGUUGGGGACGUAUCAAUGAGCAGGAAACAUAUAUAUGUAAAGAUAUUGUAAAAGAGUAUAUGAAUAAUAUUUGAUAGGAAUUUUUAUAGUUCAUGGCGCCAAGGCAGCUGUUACAGGUAACUAUUGUUUUGAACAACAUAUUUCAAAGCAACUUUUUACCACGACCUUUGAUACUUCCAUUUUGCAUCAUGCUUUUAUAUUGAUAUUUAUUGCAUUAUGGGCUGUCAAGAAACAUUAUGGUACAAUACUUAUGCCUUUCCUCUCUUAUUUUACAUGGUUUACAUGAAGAGGGAGAAUGCGGGCAGCUGGAAUUCUAGACUUGAAAAGCAGCAAAUCUAAGAGACCCAUUCUGCACAACUCCAAAAGUCCUGAAAAUUUACGAGAAUUAUUUUGGAAUAUAUAAAAAGUAUUGGGCGAAAGAAAUACAUCAAGGGACCUGCCAGGUGGCUACAAUCCACGGGGGCGUGGCCUACCCCCUAGGCACGCCCUGCAGGCUUGUGGGCCCCCUGACAGGCCUCCGGUGCCCUUCUUCUGCUAUAUGAAGGGUUUUGAGCUGAAAAAAAUCAUAUCAGAACUUUUGGGGCAAAGCACCGCCAUCUCGAGGCGGAACUUUGGCAGAACCAAUCUAGAGCUCCGGCGGAGAUGUUCUGCCGGGGAAACUUCCCUCCCGGAGGUGAAAAUCAAAGCCAUCGUCAUCACCAACGAUCCUCUCAUCAAGAGGGGGUCAAUCUCCAUCAACAUAUUCAUCAACACCAUCUGCUCUCCAAACCCUAGUUCAUCUCUUGUAUCCGAUCUUUGUCUCAAACCUCAUAUUGGUACCUGUUGGUUGCUCGUAAUGUUGAUUACUCCUUGUAGUUGAUGCUAGUUGGUUUACAUGGUGGAACAUUAUAUGUUCAGAUCCUUAAUUAUUAUUAAUACUCCUCUGGUUAUGACAUCAAUAUGCUUUCUGAGUAAUUACGUUUGUUCCUGAGGACAUGGGAUAAGUCUUGCUAUAAGUAAUCAUGUGAAUUUGGUAUUCGUUCGUUAUUUUGAUGAGAUGUAUGUUGUCUCUCCUCUAGUGGUGUCAUGUGAACAUCGACUACGUGACACUUCACCGUUAUUUGGGCCCAGGGGAAAGCACUGGGAAGUACUAAGUAGAUGAUGGGUUGCUAGAGUGACAAAAGCUUAAACCCUAGUUUAUGCGUUGCUUCGUAAGGGGCUGAUUUGGAUCCAUAUGUUUCAUGCCAUGGUUAGAUUUAUCUUAAUUCUUAUUUCAUAGUUGUGGAUGCUUGCAAGAGAGGUUAAUCAUAAGUGGGAGGUUUGUCCAAGUAAGGGCAGCACCCAAGCAUCAGUCCACCCACAUAUCAAAUUAUCAAAGUAACAAAUGCGAAUCAUAUGAGCAUGAUGAAAACUAGCUUGACAGAAAUUCCCAUGUGUCCUCGGGAGCGCUUUGCUUUAUAUAAGAGUUUGUCCAGGCUUGUCCUUUGCUAUAAAAAGGAUUGGGACACCUUGCUGCACCUUUGUUACAUUUGUUACUUGCUACCCGCUGCGAAUUACUUUAUCACAAAACUACCUGUUACCGAUAAUUUCAGUGCUUGUUGAGAAUCCUUACUGAGAACCACUUGUCAUUUCCUUCUGCUCCUUGUUGGGUUCGACACUCUUACUUAUCGAAAGGACUACGAUAGAUCCCUUAUACUUGUGGGUCAUCAGCCUUCCAUGGGUGACUUGACGUUUGCCCUGCUUCCAGCUGUGCAAUUUCUCCUAUGCUUCUUAGAAGGGAGGGGUAGUAUCCUUUAAAUGUGGUUGUUGUCGGCAGACGUACCUUGAAUAGAGGGUCUUGAGAAGUUGUCGUGCUAUGGGUGAGGUUGACGCUUGGGAGAUCCUUAAUGGCAUCUCAUUUUCCUCCAUGAAGACGUUUGGAGCAUAGUUUGGUCGAACCAAACAUAUGGUCCUUGGUGGUGGAUCCCCAUAGCUGCACAUGGUAUAUUGAGAAUGAAAUUUGUGUCUAUGAUAGACAUACCUUAUGGGUGACCGGGCCAUGCAGUGGGGAUCGUAUCCCUAUUUUCUUUGAGACGGAGAUGUCUCCGGGGGAUCUGAUUGAGCUCGGGCUCGCUUGCCCGCCUGUCGUGCCUCGAUGGCUAGCUUGUGGCUUGAUGCUUCAUUGUCGUAUUGGCAUUCAGCUGCCAAGGACACUGUGUGCUCCGGGGUCUGGAGGGAGCAUUAUGUGUUUCCGUUGGUGGUGAUAACUCCCCUCAGUCCGAGCAUCUUGAGCUUUAGGUAGGCAUAAUGAGGCACAAUGUUGAAGCGGGCGAAUGCCGUGCGAUCGAGUAGUGUGUGAUAUCCACUGUGGAAGGGGACAAUGUCGAAGGUUAAGUCUUUGCUGCGGAAGUUGUUGGGUGAGACGAACACAACCUGUAGUGUUACCGUGCCGGAGCAGUGGGCUUCGAUGCCUGGGAUCACUCCUUUAAAGGCAGUGUUGCUGGGUUUGAUCCUUGAUGGGUCUAUGCCCAUCUUUUUCAUCGUAUCUGAGUAAAUCAGGAUAAGGCUACUUCCUUCGUCCAUAAGGACUCUAGUGAGGUGGUACCCAUCUAUGAUGGGGUCUAAGACAAGGGCGGUCGACCCUCCGUGACGGAUACUGGUCGGAUGAUCCCUAUGAUCGAAGGUGAUCAGGCAAGCUGACCAUGGGUUGCACUUUGGGGCUAUGGGCUCUAUGGCGUGGACCUCCUGAAGGACUUGGUUCCUCUCCUUCUUUGCUAUGUGACUAACGUAUAUCAUAUUCACGGUUUUCACCUAUGAGAGGAACAGUUUCUAGCCCCUAGUGUUUGGACCGUAGGGCUCUUCAUCAUCCUCGCUUCAUGGGCCCUUCCCUUGUUCCUCGACUGCUAGGUUGCCGACAUGUUUAAACACCCAAUAGUUACGGUUGGUGUGGGUGGCGGUCUUGUCUUGGAUGCCAUGGAUCUGGCAGGUCCUUUCCAUAAUUUUAUCUAAUGGAGUCGGUCCAUCCCUGUUCCAUUUAAAGGGUUUCUUCCGCGGUCCUGAUUUUGAGCUGUGGAAGCUAGCAUUAACGGUUGUGUCGUCAGCGUCACCGUUACGGUCACGACGUUUGGUCUUGUUUCGCCUUGCCUUGCCAUUUCCAUCCUGAACUUCAGAGGUGCCGGGGUCGUCCGCAUUAUGUCCGCGCCGAGGUAGCCAAUUGUCCUCGCCCAUGCAAAAGUGGGUCAUUGUAAGUGCAUCUAGUGCCCCUUAGUGAUUUUGGUGGUUUGAAGACUUAUAGGUUAAGUAUCUAAUGUGUUUGUGAGUGUACACAUGAUCUAUAAGUCAUUGAGGAGUUUGAGAUAUUUGAAGAAUAUCGACCCCUAAAAAUAUAUGUCUUCAGUUGAAGAAAUUGGCCUGAAGCUGAAGAAAUGAAUCGUGAGGAAUCUGCGAUGAAAUUGAUAUUCCUCAUGAAGAUUCUGAUAUUGAGAAGUCCGGUGGUUCCUGAAGAAAAUCAUUCUGAAGAAUUUGAAGCAUGAAGAUUUACACUUUCUGUUUUACUUUCUUCGCAUUUGAGUAAUAGGAACACCGUACUGUUAAAGGGGGUCGAAGUUACACUAUGGAAUGAAUUUCCUCAUGAUGCUCAACCCAAGCCUAAUCCUAUCAAAAGACUCAAGUGAGGAAUAUGAGUGACAUGAGGACUCUCACAGUUGAGGGUUCCGACCGUUUCGAUAACCACGCCAAGUCAUUGGUCUUAUCCACACCAACGGUCAUAUUAUUUAAGGGCAUUAGUGUCAAAUCAUGUCGGGAUGCUCCCAUGCUAUAAAUAGCCACCCCCACAACCACUAGCUGGUUGGCUGCUCCGUUAGAAACUGACACUUGUCAUAAGAGCAACCCAAAUUCCUCAGAGCUUUCGAGAGUAAUUCAUCAGUGAGGAAAUACACCACCCACCGAAACCACAAACCAAAUCUAGUGAUUGAGCAUCACUGAAGAAGUUGUUCCUGUGUGGGACUGAAGCCUUUUACCUUUGAGGACUGUGCAUCCUCCAUACGGUUAGGCGUCAUGGUCUAGAGCAAUCCAGCAGUCAAUUGUGGAUCGCCGGGUGACCAAGUUUGUGAGGGUUUGGAAGUUUGCCCUGAAGACUUACCACGAGCGUUGGGCGAGGACCGUGUGUCCUUAGCUCAAGGAGAAUACGGUAGGGACUGUGUGUCCCGGGACUGGGUGUCCUUUGGUUUCAAUACCAAGCCGCUCCAAACCAUAUGUACAAGUGUCACAGCAGUUGGAACUGGGUCAUCAACAACAGUCUUCACUGAGAAACGGGUUCUAAUUCCUCAACUCUCUACUUUUCUUGUAUUGUGUGUUGAUGACUUUCACUGUGACUGUUUGAAGAAUUUGCUGAAGACUUUCUCUGAAUUUCCUCAACCCCAAAUUCUACACGAUAGUUAAUCAUCAUCUGUAUUCUGCGUGCCUGCUUACUGUGCAAUCUGUUUUCACAUUCUUCACUCUGAAAUACUGCUGUUGUGAACGUUUGCACGUCUGAUCCUUUACUGUUUCCGCUGUAAGUUAGUCAUCAUUGAGGAAUUUCUUCAAAAGGAAUUUCCUCAGUGAUGAAAUUCUAAAAAUCUCCUAUUCACCCCCCUCUAGUCGAUAUAACGCACUUUCAAUUGGUAUCAGAGCAAGGUACUCCCUUGUUUUGUGUGAUUUUGGUUUAACCACCUGGAGUUUUAGUUAUGUCGACUGCAGGCAUGUUUAAGGUGACUGCAGCAUGUCCUACCUACGAAGGAAAGAACUUUCCCUUCUGGAAGAACAAAAUGCAAAUGCAUUUACAAGCUAUUGAUAAUGAUCUCUGGUAUAUUGUGGAAAAUGGUGUCCCCAUUAUCUCUGCCAGUGUCACUGCGGCUGAUGUGAACAAAUUCAAGCAACUCGAUUCUCAAGCGAAGAACAUCAUCUGUGGCCAUCUGAGCCCUGGCCAGUUUGGAAGAGUAAGUGCUUUGGGCUCUGCAACACUGAUCUGGGAGAGACUGUGCAAGGUAAAUGAAGGAGUAUCAACCCAACGUGACUCUCGUGUUGAUAUUCUUCGCAAUCUCUUCAAUCGCUUCAAGAGACAUGACAAUGAAAGCUGCCAAGACACCUUUGAUCGCCUCACUGACAUAUCAAAUGAACUGCAAGCACUGGGAGCUCGAGACAUCACUGAUCACGAAGUUGUGAAGAAACUACUGAGAUCUUUGGAUUCUUCAUUUGACACUUUAGUUCUGAUGAUUCAAGAAAGACCAGAUUACAAGAUGCUUGAUCCAGCUGAUAUACUAGAAAGGCUAAAUACUCAUGAAUUCCAGCUAGAAGAAAAGAGAGAUCUAUAUGGACCAAGCUAUUCCAGACCACGUGCACUGAAGGCUAGAGCAAUUUCCUCAUCUGAAGACGAAGAUACAGAUGACAACAUUUGUGACCCUGAAGAAUUUGGACAGGAUCUUACAAUGCUCGUGAGGAAAUUCCAGAGAUAUACACGACGUGGUCAGUUCGGUAAAUCUUCAAGAAGAGACAUGAGGAAAUCAGAAUCUUCAUUUGAGGACUACAAGAAACGAACCUGUCACAAGUGCAAGAAAUCAGGUCAUUACAUUGUUGAUUGUCCUCGUUGGGGAAAGGAAUCAAAGAAGAAGAAAUACAAGGAUGACAGUUCUGAUGACUCGAAGAAGAAGAAGAAAUCUUCAAAAUCCUCAUCUUCAAAGCCCUCAUCGCACCAGAAGACUAGUUUCCGAAAGGCUCGGGCACUUAUUGGCAAAGAAAUGGACUCCGAGGCAGAAUCAGAGGAAGGUGAUGAAGAAGAUGGGUCUGAAGAAGACUCAGAAUCUGGACAGGCUAGUCUUGCACUGGCAACCACCUUCGUCAGCAAGUCAAUCUUCAAUCUUGAAGAAAAUGAUUGCACCAUCCAUACUGAUGACUAUGCUGAUGACUUCGCUCCAACCUAUUGCUUCAUGGCAAAAGGAUCAAAGGUAUCAAAUAAUGCCUCCUCCUCUGAUUCAAGUGACUGUGAACCUGAUGAUUAUAAGAAACCCGGUUACAGUAAACUUGCUAUCAUUGCCACUAAACAACAAACUGCUCUGGAAAAGCUUCAGAAACUGCUAGACAAAAGUGAUGAUCUGUUGAAUGAUGAAAUGAACCUUACCCAAAUCCUCACUGAUGACAUGAAAAGUCUUUAGUCUAGAUUUGAUAAUCUUCAGGAUCGUUAUGAUACACUCCUCACUGAUCAUGAGAAGCUUUCCUAUGAAUUUCUUCAAAGGAAGCUUGAUCUUGAGAAGCUGAGGAUGUCUCAUGAUGAUCUUCGUAUGGAAAAUGAUUCAUUACUAGCUCAACAGAUCAGGCCUAGUCAGGUUGAAUUUAUUCCUCCAUGUCUUAAAUGCAUUGAACGCGAAACUGCUAAUUACUCACCAGAAUUUUCAAAUGCAACCAUUGCUACAAAUUCUUCAACUGCACCUGUUGUGUCUAUUUCCUCACUUGAGGAAAACACAAAUGUUACUGAUGAAAAUGCAGGGUUGAAGGAGUUGUACGUGACAGGCAUGUACAAAAGCCUCAAAGGACAUCAAACCCUUUGUGAUGUGCUCAAAAAGCAGAUCUUGAACAUGAACCCGAGGAAAGAAGGAAUUGCCUUUGAGAGGAAAUUAAAUGCUGAUGGAUCUUAUUGGAAACCUGAGCAGUAUCCCAAAACCUCAUGGGUUGCUGCUACUGGGCCUCCUUUUGAUCCAUCUAAUCUAACUGGUUUUUCAUGUGAACUAUCCUAUUCCUCGGAUGAGUCAUUUGAUUCCAACUAUAAACUGUUCAAAAAUCAAUCUAGUGAAGUAUUUGCUCGAUAUGUUGGAACUAACUGCAGGAAUGGCCCUCCUCUGAGGAAAAUCUAGGUUCCCAAAAGCUGUCUUGAAAAUCUUCAGGUGAAUGUCCUCAUGACAUCACCACUGAAGAAUCUGAACCCCAGAUCAAAUUCCUCAGGAGGACCAAAGUCUUCAAGAGGAUCAAAAUCCUCAACUGGUCAAAACUAUGCUCGUACCCGUGCUUAUGCAUCUAACAUGCAGGANNNNNNNNNNNNNNNNNNNNNAGGGAAACUACAAGGAAUAUGAAUAUGGGCGUUACUCCUCAAAUCAUUAUGUUCAUAAAUCCUCAAACCAGUUCUCUGCAUAUUCAUAUGAGUACUUUAAUCCCCCUACUGUUAAGAGAAGUGCAUUUGCUUCAAUGCCACCUUUCUCAUAUGGUGCUCGCAGGAUGAUGAACGCUUUGCCACUCCUUCUGAUGUGGGUGGUGAAGAAAUCAAACUAAUCACUUCUGCAGGUCAGGUCUCCAGAUGAAAAUCAUCAUCUGAAGAAUUUGCUGGAGACCUGAAGAAAUGCUUGAUAGGACGCAAGCUAAUGAUUGAUGAAAUAGAGAUAUUUCACUCGUCCUUACAUUUCUGUUAUGAUGAAAUUACUGAUCUGAUGAAAUUAGUAUCAUAUUCUUCAAAUCUGAAGCAUAUGAGAUGGUAAGCAGUACUAAUUCAUUUGCAGGAUGACAAACCCAAAAAUAUUGAGUGGGUUCUUGAUAGUGGCUGCACACAUCACAUGACUGGUAAUAAAAGCUUACUGAUGAAUAUGCCACUAACUCCAUCACCUCUGAAGCAAAUCACAUAUGCUGACAAAGGUAAAAGCAAGGUAUUGGGACUUGGCAAAGUGGCUAUUUCCAAGGAUAGGCAUAUGGACAAAGUGAUGCUUGUUGAAUCCCUUGGUUUUAACCUUAUGUCAGUCUCAAUGCUUUGUGAUCUUGAUAUGAUUGUUAUCUUUGGUAGAUAUAGAUGUGUAGUUAUCAUGGAAUCUGACAGAUCCAAAGUCUUCGAAGGGGUAAGAAGAGGGGAUUUGUACAUUGUUGACUUCUAUACAGGUCCUCAACCAGCCACUUGCUUACUAGCAAAAACCUCAGAAGGAUGACUGUGGCACCGAAGACUAGGUCAUGCAGGCAUGAGGAAUUUGCACACGCUCGCGAAGAAGAAGCAUGUCAUCGGCAUCGAAUCAGUCAAGUUACUCAAGGAUCAUCUCUGCGGUGCUUGUGAAUCUGGGAAAAUGACCAGAUCCAAGCAUCCCUCCAAAACCAUCAUGGACACUACACGUCCAUUCGAAUUGCUUCAUAUGGAUUUAUUUGAACCUACUCACUAUGCCACACUAACCAAUGCAACAUCUCUAUAUGGCUUCGUCAUAGUUGAUGAUUAUUCCAGAUACACUUCGGUGCAUAUUAUAGUGUAUAAAACUGAAGUGCAGGAAAUCUUCAAACGAUUUUCUUCAAGGGCCUCGACGAACUUUGGCAUCAAGAUCAAACAUAUCAGGAGUGAUAAUGGAACCGAGUUCAAAAACACUGGUCUUGAUGAUUAUCUUGAUGAACUUGGUAUUACUCACGAAUUGUCUGCUCCUUAUACUCCUCAGCAGAAUGGUGUCGUCGAAAGGAAGAACAGGACUCUGGUUGAAAUGGCGAGAACCAUGCUUGAAGAAUAUCAGACUCCUCGCCGCUUUUGGCCUGAAGCAAUCAACACUGCAUGCCAUAUCAUCAACAGGGUAUAUCUUCACAAAUUCCUCAAGAAAACCUCAUAUGAACUCCUCACUGACAAGAAACCCAAUGUAAGUUAUUUCAAAGUCUUCGGUGCAAAAUGCUGGAUUAGAGAUCCUCACCACAGCUCAAAAUUUGCACCUAAGGCACAUGAAGGUUUUAUGCUCGGUUAUGGAAAGGAUUCGCACACUUACAGAGUCUUCAACAACUAUCACAACAAAGUUGUUGAGACUGUAGAUGUGCGGUUCGAUGAAACUAAUGGCUCGCAAAGAGAGCAAUUGCCUUCUGAUCCAGAUAAGCUGUCUCCUGAGGAAGCAAUAAAGCUCAAGCCUACUGAAGACAUUGUCCCAUCUGAGGAAAUCGAUGAAGAAACGAUCCCCAUCGCUGAUAAAAACCAAGAAGAUGCUCCUGAGGAAAUUGCAUCAGCACCACUUCCUCAGCCCAGACAAAAUCCUCAACCAGCUCAUCCGAGGAUUGCAAACGAAGUUGAACUUGACAAAAUCCUCAACGACAUCAACGCGCCAGGUCCUCUCACUCGCUCAAAAGCUUCACACUUAGUUAACUUUUGUGGGCAUUUCUCCUUUGUAUCCAUCACAGAACCCUCAAAAGUUGCUGAGGCUUUUCUGGAACUGGAGUGGAUCCAAGCUAUGCAAGACGAACUUCUUCAAUUCAAGUUGAAUGACGUAUGGGAGCUCGUCAAACGACCAGAUCCUCGCAAGCACAACAUCAUCGGCACCAAGUGGAUUUUCCGAAACAAGCAAGAUGAGGACGGUCAAGUGGUGAGGAACAAGGCACGACUUGUAGCCCAAGGCUACACCCAGGUUGAAGGAAUAGAUUUCGAUGAAACUUUUGCACCUGUUGCUAGACUUGAAGCUAUCCGAAUAUUACUUGCUUAUGCUAAUCAGCAUAACAUCACCUUAUAUCAAAUGGAUGUGAAAAGUGCAUUCCUCAAUGGUAAGCUUGAGGAAGAAGUAUACAUUGCUCAGCCCCCAGGUUUUGAGGAUCCAAAGAAUCCAGACAAAGUCUUCAGACUCAAAAAGGCGCUGUAUGGCCUCAAGCAAGCCCCUCGGGCAUGGUAUGAUACAUUGAAGGAAUUCCUCAUGAAGAAAGGCUUCAAACCUGGUUCACUCGAUCCAACUCUUUUCACUAAAUCCUAUGAUAAUGAGCUAUUUGUGUGUCAAAUAUAUGUUGAUGAUAUUAUAUUUGGCUGUACUGGCAAAAGAUACAGUGAUGAAUUUGCCUACAUGAUGAGUGAGGAAUAUCAGAUGUCCAUGAUGGGGGAGCUGAAAUUCUUCUUAGGUCUUCAAAUUCAUCAACAAAGCAAUGGAAUCUUCAUAUCACAGGAGAAAUACCUCAAGGAUGUUCUGAGGAAAUUCGACAUGCACGAAUGCAAAGGUGCCAAGACUCCAAUGCCUACCAACGGCCACCUCGGCACUGAUGAAAAUGGUAAAGAUUUCGAUCAGCAGGUAUACCGUUCUAUGAUUGGCUCCUUAUUGUAUCUAUGUGCAUCUAGGCCAGAUAUAAUGCUUAGUGUUUGCAUGUGUGCACGUUUUCAAGCAAAACCGAAGGAAUCACACCAUAAGGCUGUGAAACAUAUUCUUCGAUACUUAGCUCACACACCAACACUAGGAUUAUGGUAUCCCAAGGGCUCCAAUCUUCAUCUGGUAGGGUAUUCUGAUUCAGACUAUGCUGGUGACCGUGUGGAUCGCAAGUCAACUUCUGGCACAUGUCAUUUCCUCGGAAGAUCACUAGUUUGUUGGUCCUCAAAGAAGCAGAACUGCGUAUCACUCUCCACUGCCGAAGCUGAGUACAUUGCUGCUGGUUCUUGCUGUGCUCAAUUGCUAUGGAUGAAGCAAACCCUCAAGGACUACGGCAUCAACAUGAAUAAUGCACCUCUCUACUGUGACAAUGAGAGUGCUAUCCAGAUUGCAUACAACCCAAUACAACACUCGAAGACCAAGCACAUCCAGAUUCGUCAUCAUUUUCUUCGGGACCAUGUCCUCAAGGGCAAUAUCCUCAUCGACCAUGUGAAGACUGAUGAUCAACUGGCAGAUAUCUUCACUAAGCCCUUGGAUGAGAAAAGGUUUUGCAAGUUGCGGUGUGAGCUAAAUAUCUUAGAAUCUUCAAAUGUUUUGUAAAAACAUGCACACAUCCUAACACUUAUGCAAAGUUGAUGACUUAGAUGUGCAACACAUGAUGAAUCGAUUUUCUUCAACUGAUGAAGAAUGUCACUCUGAAUGUGAAGAAAUUAACGAAGAAAUUGAUUCUCAGGGCCCUACGACAAUUGUACGCAGCGUCUGUAAUCAACAUUCUUAUAUGAUGGGUAAUGCCACCGCCCUAUGUGAAAUUCCUCAAGUUGUUUUUCAUCUAAUGAUCAAUUUCCUCAAAAUGUGUUUUUCUUCAAAACAACUGUUCUUCAUUGUGAUGAUUUAUUACAAAAUCUUCAAAAACACUUGAUGACUUUAAUUUGACUAGGUAGAUUGUGAUUUCUAGUCCUCAACAGCAUUCACUUAUGGCUAAUUCUUCAAGUUGAUGUUUCUGCUAAGUGAAUGUGAUCGGAUCCUACUUUCCCUCUAUGUUAUACUUAUCCAGUCUAUUCAAUUCUUCAUAUGCGUUCUAUUUGAAACUUUGUUCAAAAUCCUCACUGCGUCCUUGUCAGCUGAUGAUUUUGUAACGAAAAUCCUCAAAUCUUCAAAAAUUGUUUCUUUAAAGACACAGUAACUGAACCCCCACUUCCCACGAUCGGAUAACCACGAUCUCCACUAUCUCCACCGCAUCGUACGGAAGCUACACGUGUCCUGCGGAGAUGUAGAGGCAGGGGCUAUUUGGUCCGACAUUUUUGCGCCAAACAGUAACUUUUGGGCUAUAAAUAUGUCCUUAUCCCCCUCGGCAUCCUCUUCUUCGCCUCAUCGCUCUCCUGCCACAGCACACUCCACCGAACCCUAGCACACCGCUGGUAGUCUUGUCGCCGGUGAGGAAGAGCUUCACUGCCUCGACCUCUUCGUCGCCAGAACCACGCCGGAGUCGGAUCAUCUUCGUCCGCCGCCGCCGUAGACGUCCUCUGUCGCCAAGUUAGGGUGCAUUGGGCACUUGAACGAAGAGCCUCUCCAACACUACUUUCUGUGUUCUUCGUACGCACCUUCCAGGGUAAAUAUAUCCCAUUUUUACAGCAGAUUAGAUCUGAAAUUUUACAUCUUCUAUGUGAAAUCUGUUUUUCCUCAAGAUACGACGCGCACAUGAUUCCUCAAACACUACAUAUCACCACAAUCAUUGAUGAACUAUGCUAAGCAUCUAAGAUUAUCACGAGAUUCCUCAAUUGUGCGAAUUUUCGGAUCUGUACAACUCUGGAACCCAAGAACAGUAUGCUUAGGCAAAUUCCUCAACCACUGGUUAUAUUCCUAAAACUGUCAAACUUUUUCAUUUUCUUCAAAUCUGAGAACGCAUAUGACCUCUCCAAAUUCCUCGCAACCAUACUCUGUUCACAGGUACACACAUGUCAGCUGAUUAAUCUCUCGGUUCUCAUCACAUUAACUCAUUUGCAACGUUUCUGGAAGAAACUCUUCAAGGCUCAUCAGAAUCCUCAAGAGUUCAAAAUCAUCAGCAAAAUCCUCAACUGAAGAAAAUGGAGGAAGACAGAAAAUAGAAGGGAGGAAAGAAGCUUGAGCUAAACACAGCUAUCGAUAUCCCUGAGGACAUUUACUUGGACUAUUGCACGCCUUAUGAACAUGAGACAAUGGCCAAGAGAAAGAUACGGCUCCAGAAGAUUGAACAUCGAUGGGCGAAGGAAUGGAAGGAGUACAGGUUUGUGAUUCCCAAAUAUGCGAAGAAAUUCGCUUUGAAGCCUCCUGGCAGAAGGGCACCACUUGAGGAUCAUCAAGUAGCACAUCCAUCAAGCCUCAAGACCAUUGAUGACUAUCCAGAUGAAAAGGAAAAGCAUCUGGCCAAGCUCAAGAGGCAAGCAGAAGCUGCAGUGAGGAAAUUCAAUGAAUCCUCAGCUGCUGCCUCCGGUGCUGCUCAUUCCUCAGCUGCAGAAACCUCAGGCUUAGAAAUUCCUCAAAUGCAGUCUGCGCCAUGAAAGCCAAAGGCUCCAAAGCCUCAAGAGAAGUCUGCUCAGGCUUCUGUCACAAAAAUCUCAGCACCAAAACCCUCAUUACCAAAACCUUCAACACCAAAACCAUCAGCGCCAAAGCCCUCAGCACCAAUCUCCUCAGUAUCAAAAUCCUCAGCUCCAACUCCAAAGCCUCAAGAGAAACCAAUACCGAAGCAUGUCGUGAAGCCUACGACCGCCAACUCCAGCUCCUCAUUCCCAGCUGCAACUAGCUCGGAGACAAAGUCUUCAACACCUCUUGUGAAGACUUUGACAACUGCUGAACGUGCACCUCUGCCCAGCCCCAGCAAAAUCAUCGCAGUCCCAUCUGCAUCAGAGGGAAGUGAUGAAUAUGAUGAUGAAACCCUGCAAGCCAUCAUCAGAAACAAGCAAGAAAGGGUAGCACAAGCAUCAUGUAGUGCUAUUCCUCUGGCCAUGGACCCCAAGGUCCUCCUUGACUACAUCAAUAUCUGGUAUGAGGAUCCAAACACUCCUAUUGAUGAUUUGAAGCUUCCUCCUGGCAUCAGCCACAUGGUGGCCAUCUUCAUAAAUGAAGCCAAGUGGAAAGAACAGCAGGCCAGGCAGGCAAAGGUUGCAAAGGCCAAAAAGGAGAAAUUCCUCAGGCAGAAUCUCCUCAAACUGACUCCUGAUGCACUGGUGUCAACCCAGGCAGAGCUGCAAGUACUGACUGACAAGUACGCCAAGCUGUCAGAUCGCAAAAGCAUCAAGAGCAAUUUCAUCAAGCUAGCCACUAGUGCUGUUGAUGACUACAACAAGAGAACCGCACCCCCAGCACCAACUCCUCAACCCUUGGUUGAGCAGCCAGAAGAUGCAUCUCCCGAUGAGGAGGAAACUCCUCAAGCUGAGGAAGAACACCAAGAGCGCCGUGUUGAUGAACCGGCCAUUGAAGAAAUCAUCACGGAAACUGCAACUGAUGAAAUUGUUGCCACUGAUGAGACUGCUCCUGAUCCAGCUACUUCAUCAAAGUAGGCUGAUGACUCUGUUCCAGCUGGUUCCUCACUACCAGCUGAAGAAUCUGAAGAAAGAACACCUUCACCAAAAGCUUCAAAGGUGAAGAAGAUAAUUCCGUCUGCAUCAGAGGUAAAGAAAAAAAGGGCUACUGAAAAGGAAGCCAAGAAGAGAAAAGCUUCCUCAGCAGUAGAAGAGACAGAGGCAAAGCGCCUCAAAGAAAUUGAAGAAACUGCUCCUCUGGACCGAGUGCCUCUCAAUGUCGCCCCUUCCUAUGAGAUGGUCGUCAUUGAUGACCCAGCUACAAGCGCAAAUGAGGAAAUAAAGGAUGUCACCUCUGAGGAACACACUGAUGAGGAAAUUCAGAUUGACGACAGUCCUCAACCUCUUAUUCCUCAGACAGAGACUGCUCAAGCAUCAGCUGCACAAGCUGAUGAAACUGCUUCUGCCACAAAGCCAGCUGAGGAAAAACAAUCUGAACAUCCUCAUGCUGAUGAAAUUAUACAUUCUGAGAAGACUCCUCAAGAUGAGGAACAGGCUGACCCAACUCCUCCAAAUGAGAAAGAAGUGGAAAUUCCUCAGCCUGAGGCUCAGCCAGAGCAAGCAUCAUCUCCUCAGCAUGAAGUACCAGCUGAUGAAAUUCCUCACCCUGAGGAAAAUGCUGAAGAAAAUGUAUCCGCCCAAGACAAUGACUUCAUUGUGCUCAACCCAGAGACUGCUAUUGUUGUCUCCUCCCCUAUUCCUCAGCAAAAUCUUCAGCCAGUUCAGCGUCAGCCAUUCUCCAAGCGUCCAAAGUUUCAGAAAGAAAAUUUCUUUGAGGAACGCAUGUACUUCAUCGGAGAGAACCCUUAUGACAAGCCUCAAAUGAGGCAUCUGAAGUUUUGGACAAGGACUCAGAUGAACUACUAUGCCUCUGUGCUUUGUGGAUGCAACAAGAUUUUCUAGCACAUGCAUAUUCCUCAUGUUGAGCUUGAAGCAAUACCUUGCCUAGAGCCAGUCCUCAGUGUACUCCACGGUGCAGGUUUGCUCCCAAUGUGCUCAGACAUAUCAGACUGGAACAUUGAGCUUAUUCUUCAGUUCUAUGCCACUCUUCACAUAUCUGGCAACCCUGAAGACAUUAACACAUGGGUGUUUGAUUGGAUGACCCAAAACACUCACUACAAGGCUCCUGCCUCUGAACUCCUUAGAGAACUGCCCAUACCAAUUCCCUCAGAUGCGGCAGUGAAACUUUAUGGUGAGCGUGAGCUGCCAAAUGGAAUGAUGGAAGUCCUCAUGAAGCCUUUGGCUGCAGGCAAAUCUUCAAGAACAACCUUCCUCGUCCACGAGCUCAAGUACACACCCCGGUCUGUUUACAGAAUCCUCUACAGUGUGCUAGCACCGAUCAAAGGCCAUGACGAUGAAGAAGAUGUUGUAGGCCUCAUGAAGAAUAUCCUCUUCAACAUCAUUCACGGUAUUCCUAUCAAUAUCCAUGAUUUCUUCUUGAGGACUUUGGCCGACAAUGCCAUGUGCCCCUAUGAUCACAAGAUAUAUGCCCCGUGGAUUAUGAGAUUCAUCAGGACAAGGACAGUCAUCAACUUUCACGCUGAUUGUCAAAACCAUGUUGGUUAUAUGCCUCCUAUUCGGGUCAACAAGAAGACUUUCGAGCCCAUUGAAGGAAAAGGAAAAUCUAUGAUUGAAGAAGGCAGCAGGCCCCUUGAUGGCCAGUUCAGAGAACCAGAAGCAUAUUCUUCAUGGGACGAUACUGAGACUCGUCCAGCAAGCCCAGUUCCUCCUCGCGUGCUGAACACCAGAGAGCUCCUCCUCAGUCUUCACCAGAAGGUGGAUCGCAACCACAAAUGGGUCAAACGCCAGUUUGGUGCCAUUCUGAAAACCCUCACUGAAACACAGAACUCUGUGAAGAUUAACCAUCACUAUCUGCAUGAGGUUUUCGAUCGCACCUGGGCUACACUUGCACAUCUGAAGACUCAGACUGAGCUUGAAGAAAUGGACUUUGAGCGAGACUUUGACUGGUCGUGGCCUCCCAAGAAGAAGUUCAGGCCCAUUCCAGUGCCAGACCUUGAAGACAGCUCCUUUUCUUCAUUCUGCACUGCUGAAUCUGAUGAAGAACAGCUUGACACUGCAACCGGCCCCAGGAAGAAGACUACUCUCAAGAAGCAUCACGGCUCUUCCUCGACCGCCAAGAAAUGAAGUCUUCACGGGUGUUAGUCCUCAGUUUGUCCCUUUUUUGUCACUUGAUGACAAAGGGGGAGAAACUCGAGUGUUAGUCUUCAAGCGAGAUAUUUUUGGGGCUUAUAAACUAUAUUUAAGUUACAAACUCUUGGCUCUUCUGAAGUUUUUAUGUAAUGAGUUGUAACUUAAGCCCGAUGGUACUCUGACGCUUUUGAACGUUUUUCUUCGCCUGCUUACUGUGCAAUCUGUUUUCACAUUCUUCACUCUGAAAUACUGCUGUUGUGAACGUUUGCACGUCUGAUCCUUUACUGUUUCCGCUGUAAGUUAGUCAUCAUUGAGGAAUUUCUUCAAAAGGAAUUUCCUCAGUGAUGAAAUUCUAAAAAUCUCCUAUUCACCCCCUCUAGUCGACAUAACGCACUUUUAGUCAUGAGGGAAGUGAGAGUGGACAUUAUUCUCGACCUAUCCUGGCCGAGCUUGCGAGCCAGCCAUUCAUCCCGGAUAUUGUGCGUGAAGGAGACUAUCACCUCGGCGUAUAGACAAUCCAUGAUCUGGUUCUUCUUAGUUAAGAACCUAUUCCAGAAUUCUCUGUCUAAUUCGCCCGCCUUUUGGUCAACGUUGCUCAGGUCGGAGGAGUACGGUGGUCGGACGUAGGUUCGCUAAAAAAUAGACAGGAAGGCUUCUUCAAGCUCUUGCCAACUUCCGAUGGAAUUUUUGGGUAGGCUGUUUAGACAGUGUCGUGCUGGCCCUUUCAGCUUUAGGGGUAGGUACUUGAUGGCAUGGAGGGAAUCUCCUCUGGCCAUAUGGAUGUGGAGAAGGAAAUCUUUUAUCCACACGGCGGGAUCCGUAGUCCUUUUGUAUUGUUCUAUGUUCACGGGUUUAAACCCUUCAGGGAAUUGGUACUGCAUGACCUGAUCUGUAAAGCAUAGUGGGUGGGCGGCUGAUACGUCUCCAACGUAUCUAUAAUUUUUGAUGGUUCCAUGCUAUUAUCUUGUCAACUUUGGAUGUUUUGUAUGCAUUUUAUAUAUUUUUUGGGACUAACCUAUUAACUCAGUGCCAAGUGCCAGUUCCUGUUUUUUCCGUGUGUUUGACCCUUUUCAGAGGAGAAUAUUAAACAUAGUCCAAAUACAAUAAAAUCUUCGGAAUGAUUUUUUCCGUAACAGAAGAUUCGCAGGGAACUUGAGAACCAAGGCAAAGGACCCCGGGGGAGGCCACAAGCCCCCUAGCCGCGGCCUGGGGGGGCUACCAGGAUUGUGGCCCACCCCCAUGGCUCCUUUGCCCUACUUCUUCCGCCUAUAAAUUCUCCAAAAAUCUGAAACUGCCAGAGAGAGCCACGAAAAUAUUUUUCCGCCGCAAGCUUCUGUCUCCGCAAGAUCCCAUCUAGGGACCGUUUUGGUGCCCUGCCGGAGGGGGGAUUCGGACACGGAGGGCUUCUUCAUCAACACCAUUGCCUCUCCGAUGAUGCAUGAGUAGUUCACCACAGACCUUCGGGUCCAUAGCUAGUAGCUAGAUGGCUUCUUCUCUCUCUUGGAUCUUCAAUACAAAGUUCUCCAUGAUCUUCAUGGAGAUCUAUCCAAUGUAAUCUUCUUUUGCGGUGUGUUUGUCGAGAUCCGAUGAAUUGUGGAUUUAUGAUCAUAUUAUCUAUGAAUAUUAUUUGAGUCUCCUCUGAUCUCUUAUAUGCAUGAUUUCAUAUCCUUGUAAUUCUCUUCGAGUUGUGGGUUUUGUUUGGCCAACUUGAUCUAUAAUUCUUGCAAUGGGAUAAGUGCUUGGUUUUGGGUUCAUACCGUGCGGUGUCCUCACACAGUGACAGAAGGGGUUGUGAGGCACGCAUCAUGUUGUUGCCAUCAAGGGUAAAAAGAUGGGGUUUAUAUCUAUUGCAUGAAUUUAUCCCUCUACAUAAUGUCAUCUUGCUUAAGGCGUUACUCUGUUUGUUAUGAACUCAAUACACUAGAUGCAUGCUGGAUAGCGGUCGAUGUGUUGAGUAAUAGUAGUAGAUGUAGACAGUAUCAGUCUACUUGUCUCGGAUGUGAUGCCUAUAUGUAUGAUCAUUGCCUUAUAUAUCAUCAUGACUUUGCGCGGUUCUAUCAAUUGCUCGAUAGUAAUUCGUUCACCCACCGUAAUACUUGCUAUCAUGAGAGAAGCCUCUAGUGAACACUAUGGCCCCCGGGUCUACUUCACAUCAUAUUUUCAGCUCUACACUUUUACUUUAUUGCACUUUCCACCUUCAGAUCUCACCUUGCAAUUAAUCAUGAAGGGAUUGACAACCCCUUUAUAGCGUUGGGUGCAAGUUUGUUUGUUUUUGCGUAGGUACAUUGGUGACUUGCCUUAAUACUCCUACGGGACUGAUACCUUGGUUCUCAAACUAAGGGAAAUACUUACUGCUACUGUGCUGCACCACCCUUUCCUCUUCAACGAAAAAACCAACGCAAGCUCAAGAGGUAGGACGAAGAAUUUCUGGCGCCGUUGCUGGGGAGGAUCAAGUCAAGAAUAGUCUCCCGUCAACGUGCCAAUUUCUGGCGCCGUUUCCGGGGAGUAUCAAGUCAAGAAUUGUCUCCCUUCAACGUGUCAAUUUCUGGCACCGGGGACUAUUCUAAGUGAAUCUUAUCCAAGUAACUGUCGCAAACUCAUCUCUUGCAUUUACUUUUUUGCCUUUUGCCUCUCGUUUUCCUCUCCCCCACUUCUAAAAACAAAAAUUACAAAAAUAUUUGCCUUUUUCGUUUGCCUUUCCUUUGCUUGUGUGCUAUGUGCCUUCAAUAUGCUUGCAUCUUCGCUUGCUGAAAAUCUAGUGAUAUGGAUCCUCACCCACUUGCUAAUCUCUUUAAGAGAUCCAAUUAUGUUGAACCAAUUGCUAGUGAGUUUUGUGCACUAGAUUAUCUUUAUGAAGUUUUGCUUAAGAUGCGUGAAUCUGAAAAUUGUGAUGAAGAAAUUUAUGAAGUGAUUCAUGAGGGCUCCUUGAAUGAAAAGCAUAAUUGCAAUGGGUCACUAUGAAUUCUAUUAAUUGCAAUCAUGCUAAAAAUAUGCAAAACCCUAAGCUUGGGGAUGCUAGUUUUGCUAUGUCCACUACUUGUUUCAAUGAUCGUGAUUGGGGUGAUAAUUUUUCUUAUGAUCUUGAAAAUUUUUUUAAGCCUCAUGAUGAAUAUGAUAUUUGCAAUAAUACUGAAAGUGGGAUUGGAGAAGUCAUGACUUUAGUUCAUGAUAAUCCCACUAUUUUUGAAGAGCNNNNNNNNNNNNNNNNNNNNNNNNNNNNNNAAGAGCGUCAACUUUGCAUGCUUGUGGAUCAUGAAAAGAAUAUCCUAUGUGAUAGCUAUAUUGUUGAAUUUGAAUUUGAUCCCACAUGUAAUUCUUAUGAGAAAGGAAAAUAUUGUGGUAGAAACUCGUUAUGUUGAGAUUGAUAUUGUCUCUUUCUUCUUCCUUGCAUAUGGUAGUUAUUGCUUGUCUUCAUAAUUUGUUUUCCUAUAAAAUGCCUAUACAUAGGAAGUAUGUUCGACUUAGAUAUGUUUGUCACAUGUUUCAUGAUGCUCUCUUCGUGUCUGAUUGCUAUCUUUUAUGUGAGCAUCAUUGAAUUAUCAAUGCCUAGCUAAGGGCGUUAAACAAUAGCGCUUGUUGGGCGGCAACCCAAUGAAUUUAUCUUUGCUUUUUGCCUUUUGUUUUGUUGUGUCCACACCAUCAUAAUUCUGUUAUGAUUGUGUUUUUUGUGUUUAUUUUUGUGUUUGAGCCAAGUAAAACCUUUAUGAUUAGUUUUGGUGAUGGUUGUUUGAUCUUGCUGAAAAAGACAGAAACUUUGCGCUCACGAAAUUAUUUUUAAUUCCUAUCCAGAAAAAGAUUUUGAGUUGAUUCUUUUUGCUGCGGGUUGAUAUGCCAAUUUCCCUAAUUUUCAUAGUUUUUCAGAAUUUUUGAGAUAUCAGAAGUAUACGAAGUAUACAGAUUGCUACAGACUAGUCUGUUUUUGACAGAUUCUGUUUUUUGUUGUGUUGAUUGCUUAUUUUGAUGAAACUAUGGAUAUUAUCGGGGGGUACUAGCCAUGGAAAAGUGAGAAUACAGUAAUCUAACAUCAAUCUAAAUAGAAAUCAAGUUUACUACAGUACCUGAAGAUUUGGUAGUUUGUUUUCUUAUGAUAAUGAUAUCACGAGAUUCUGUUUAAGUUUUGUGUUGUGAAGUUUUCAAGUUUUGGGUGAUGUUCUCAUGGACAAUGGGAUAAAGAGUGGAAAGAGCUCAAGCUUGGUGAUUCCCAAGGCAUCCCAAGCCAAAUUCAAGGACACCAAAAAGCCUAAGUUUGGGGAUGCCCCGGGAAGGCAUCCCCUCUUUCGUCUUCAAUCCAUCGGUAACGUUACUUGGAGCUAUAUUUUUAUUCACCACAUGAUAUGUGUUUUGCUUGGAUCGUCGUGUAUUAUAGCAGUCUUUUCUUUUUAUUGUGUCACAAUCAUCCUUGCUGCACACCUUUUUGAGAGAGACAUGCACUCAUCAUGAAUUUGCUAGAAUUCUCAUUGCGCUUCGCUUAUAUCUUUUGAGUUAGGCAAUUUAGCUCGCAUGUGCUUCACUUAUAUAUUUUGAGCUAGAUAACUUUGCUCUAGUGCUUCACUUAGAUCUUUUUGGAGCACGGCGGUGUCAUAUUUUGAAGAAAUAAAAACUCUCAAUCUUCACUUAUAUCUUUUUGAGAGUGCUCUCUCUGAGUAACUUGGUAGUUGGCUUGUGCUAUGAAAGUAGUCCUAAAGAUGAUAGGCAUCCAAAGAGGAUAUAAUAAAAACUUCCAUAUUCAAGUGCAUUGAUUAUUAAGAGAAGUUUGAUUCCUCUCAAUUAGUUUUGAGACAUGGAUUUGGUGAUAUUAGAGUUAUGUUAGUAGGGUGUUGUGAAUCUAGAAAUACUUGUGUUGAAGUUAGUGAUUCCCGUAGCAUGCACGUAUGGUGAACCGCUAUGUUAGGAAGUCGGAGCAUAAUUGAUUUAUUGAUUGUCAUCCUUUGUGUUGCGGUCGGGAUCGCGCGAUGGUUAACACCUACCAACCCUUCCCCUAGGAGUAUGCAUUUAUCACUUUGUUUCGAUUACUAAUAAAACUUCCUCAAUAAGUAUAUGAGUUCUUCAUGCCUAAUGUGAGUCCAUGGUAUAGAUGCACUUUCACCUUCCACCAUUGCUAGCCUCUCUAGUGCACAAACCCACCAAUACCUUCCUCAAAAGAGCCACCAUACCUACCUAUUAUGGUAUUUUCAUAGCCAUUCCGAGAUAUAUUUCCAUGCAACUCUCACCGUUCCGUCUCAUGACUUGUGCCGUCACUUUCAUAUUGCCAUUGAAUGAUCAUAAGAUAGCUAGCGAGAUGUUUCAACGUCAUACGCUAAGCUAGAUCGCUGCACAUCCCGGUACACUGCCGGAGGCAUUUCCUAUAGAGUCAUCAUUGCUCUAAGCAUUGAGCUGUGAGUAAAUAAAAGUGUGAUGAUCAUCAUUAUUAGAGAAUUGUCCCAUGUGAGGAAAUAAAUAAAUAAAAAGAGGCCAAAGAUGCCCACCAAAAAAAAUAUAAAAAAAUAUAUGAAAAGAGGCCAAAGAGCCCAAACAAAAAAAAGAGAAAAAGAGAGAAGGGACAAUGCUACUAUCUUUUUCCACACUUGUGCUUCAAAAUAACACCAUGUUCUUCAUGAUAGAGAGUCUCUUGUUUUGACACUUCCAUAUACUAGUGGGAAUUUUCAUUAUAUAACUUGGCUUGUAUAUUCCAAUGAUGGGCUUCCUCAAAAUUGCCCUAGUUCGUGAGCAAGCAAGUUGGGUGCACACCCACUAGUUCUCCUUUUGAGCUUUCACACACUUAUAGCUCUAAGUGCAUCCGUUGCAUGGUAAUCCAUACUCAUUCACAUUCAUAUCUAUUGAUGGGCAUCCCCAUAGCCCGUUGAUACGCCGAGUCGAUGUGACCAUCUCCUCCUUUUUGCCUCACAACCUCCACCACACUCUAUUCCACCUAUAGUGCUAUAUCCAUGACUCAUGCUCAUGUAUUGCAUGAGAGUUGAAAAAGUUUGAGAAAAUAAGAGUGCGAAAACAAUUACUUGGCCAAUACCGGGGUGCAUGAUUUAAAUUCGUUGUGUGGGGAUGAUGGAGCAUAGCCAGACUAUAUGAUUUUGUAGGGAUAACUUUCUUUGGCCUCGUUAUUUCAAGAGUUCAUGAUCACUUUGCUAGUAUGCUUGAAGUACUAUUGUUUUCAUGUCAAUAGUAAACUAUUGUUUUGAAUCUUACGGCAUUACUAGAAAAAAGGCUGUUAGUGGCGCACCUAUUUUGGCUAUUAAUGGCGCACUAUAGGUGCCCCACUAUUAUCAUGCCACUACUAAUAAAUAGUAAUGGCGCACCCAUGGUGCGCCACUGUUAAUAUACAUAACAGUGGCGCACCACCUGGUGCGUCAUUACUAUCCCAGACACUAAUGGCGCACCUCCUGGUGCGCCAUUACUAUCCCAGACACUAAUGGCGCACCACCUGGUGCGCCACUAAAGUGCAAUUUGGUGCGCCACUACUAUGAAUAUUAGGAUUUUUAUUUUUUUGCUUUUCUGAUAUUUGCACAGGUUACAAAAUACAUUAUAGCACAGAAUAUAAACAACACAACUUAUAAAUAGCAGAUUUAUCGAAUACAAUAGAAGAUUAGUCUCCGAAUACAAUUCAUCAUAUUAGUCUCCGAAUUCAAAAUAACGAACAAAGUUAGAACAUUACAAGUCUCGAGACCGCGAGUAGCGAGCUUGUCUUCACAUUACAAGUCGAUAUCUAAACUACGAUCACAUAGAAGAGGGUUGCGGUCACGAUGAGCAUCAUCGCGAUGAAACUGAUCUUCAUCCGGUUCCUCCUCCGCUCCCUCCUCUCUCCCGUUAGAUAGCGCGUGUAUCUAGCUUCCGCCUCCGCCCUAGUGAUGUACCCUUUGUAACUGUUACCGCUGAAACGGUAAACCUAUCUCCGACACUCCUCCCAGUCGUCAUAGACUUCGGGAACCUCACCCUUGUACACGACAUACGACGACAUCUCUAUGCACUAGACAAACAAAACGUUAGUAGCAAUUUACAGAUAAUAUAUAAGCAAUAUAUAAGUAUGCAACAAAAGGAUCGGAAGAGAAAAGCAACACAUUAAUAGCACGAUUCAUGGUCCUACUAAUAAAUAGCAUCGACUACAUAUAAGUUGAAAGACUGUCCAAACUAAAGAGACAUACAAGUUCAUUAAAGUUUAAUUACAACAUGAGCUAAUCGAUAUUUCACAACUACGUAUCAUCAGUACUUUCGACUCGACUCAGGGACCGGAGCGUGGAUGAAGCCGCCGUCUUUCGUGAUGGUCAUGAAUGUGCGGUCGUUGUCAGCCUGCAUUUGUAGUGUUGUGUCAAUUUCACUAUUGGACGGUUGACAGUUUAGGUAGAACUGCCUAGAUCUAGGAAGGACAUCUUGAUAGAUGAUUUCCGCCAACUCCGACUGGAUGCGAAAGAAUUAUUGUCUGAUGUCCUCGUCCUGGAUUGCCGACAAGCGUGCGGCCCAUUCUUUGAGAUCAUUUGGUAGCAUAUGGUGAUGCUGGUCCCAUACGAUCGCCCGGAUGUGAUGGAGGGCGUAGUAGGCAUCCUUCUGACUGCCAGGCGGCUGCUUGACGCAGGGGAACGUCGUUACGUGGGUGAACACGUGCUUGCCGUACCUAACAAUUGGCCUCCUGAAGGUGCCUCCAGAUUUGGCAUAGCCGGGGAGGACAUCAUCAAGAACUUUCUUGAUAUUUGUGUAGUCUUCCUUCGACUGACGGUCCAAGUCGAAAUACGUGGCCAUGGAAUAUUUUGGGCUUAAGAGGAUGAGUGUGCAAUGUGUGUCACUGCACAAAACACGAAAUGUUAGAAAAAAAGAACGAUCGAAAUCUAAGAAAUCAUAUGUUACAGGGCGAUGAGGGGAUGACUUACUCGGAAAAGUAAGGCAUGAGGAAGUUAUCUUUAGCUGCAUUCACCAGAAUGACGCCUUCGAGGUAUGAACUCACGACUUGCGGGUCCCCAGCGCCGCCCAAGAGCUUGGCACGCAUGUAGAAGGGGUCGACUAUCACCAUAUCCGGGGUCUUGUCUCUAAUGAUCCGCAUCUCCAUACUGAGCGAAAAUAGCCGAAUGAAGGUGUAGUGCAGCGGAUAAAGGUUAAUCAUAGCGAAGAUGUCAUCAAACCGCAGGACGAUCAUACGCCCGAUGGUGCUAUCGACAAAGCCCUUGCCCUCUGGCACCUUGGCGACGAAAACCGGGUAUGUCACAUCAUUCUCGGAGAGACGCGACUUGUCCAUAUAAAGAACAGCGUCAUGCAGACUCCGCAUAGCAACGGUUGCAGCAUUGAGCAGAUUAGUCGGUAGCAUCGGCCUACCCGCCACAUGCACCCUCCUCUCAAUCUAUAUCUAUACUUAUACUAAUUUGUGGCUCUCUAAAAAAUCCCACGUUAAUUACAUUUUUGAGCCGUUAAUCUGGUGGGACCGAAUUAUUACGGUGUAGAUCUACUCUUGAUCUGUUAGAUAAAAAAUAAUUUAAAUUUAUGAUUUAUGUCAUUCCACAAUUGCGGAAAAAACAACUUGACCCAACCUUUCCAACUACCACGUUAAUCCUUAGAAUGUACCUAACUAUACAUCCAAUCUGACCGUCAACCAUCCCUAACUCCCGAUGAUAGUAAUCCCAUGUCCCUCCUUCAUGUCGUGUAUCCAUGUGCCAAGCCAUCCCUAGCACCGACUCCUUCAGGCCUCUGGAUCCCUAGCAUCGUUCAUCUCAGCCUGGUGGCGUCCUCCAUGCUCCACUCACGUUGGUUUGCUUGAGGAAAAAUCCACGACUCUCUUUCUCACCUGCAAUAUUUUCCUUCAGGCCUCUGGAUCUCUAGCGCCGUUCAUCUCAGCCUGGUGGCGUCUUCCAUGCUCCACUCACGUUGGUUUGCUUGAGGAAAAAUCCACGACUCUCUUUCUCACCUGCAAUAUUUUCAUGUACAAGGCACACAUUCUAUUUAACUGAUCUGUCUUUUUUUAUCAAAAUCAUUUAACUGAUCUAUCUUUUCUACGUGUGAUCUAUCCUUUUUUCUGCAUGUGCAACCUAUCUUUUUUUGCGAGAUUCUGUCAAUAAAUUCAUUAGAUCUAUCUUUUUCUUACAAGUAACAUAACUGUUGUGAAAAAAGGUGCCCACAUACACGUAACAUUCAUUGUACCCUCUCCAAAAGGAACGACCAUAUCUUUGUAGUAGUAUUUACAAGCCACGAUGAUCUAUCUUAAAAAAGCCACGAUGAUCGUUCCCUUAAAAGGCCACAAUUAUUAGCACCUAAAACCAUAAAAGGUCAACAAAAUUACUACCCCAAAAAAAAAGAAACAGGUAACCCAAUCUAUUACAUCGAUCAUGUUCUCCUUGGGGGUUAGGGCAGUCGUCGCUAACCAUGAUGCCCAGCUUUGGGUCGUUCAUAAUCACCAUGCUCAGGUUUGGGUCUUCCUUAAUCAUGAUGCCUAGCUUUGAGAGUCCCUGAAGCACCAGCCCCACGGCAUAUUGUGCCACGAGAAGUAAAUCUCCACCUCGCCAGAGAAGUUGCUCAUAGGUACCGGCAGGUGCCCUUCUUGACCCGCUCCUUCUGGUUGUUUCUUCUUAUUCGUCUGGAAACGUGUAUCUUCUUAACAGGGUUUGGUCACGGUACCAUGCAUCUCUAUUCGGAAUAUAAAACCUUCAUAUCUCAUCUAUACAUGGAGCAGUCCCAAGAAUCCAUCCAAUUCACAAUGCACUUUUAUGAAGAAUGAUAGUGCUGAAUUAGUAUAUCAAUCUUUUGUCCAACCAUCUUUUUAUUUUUGGGUCUUUUUGAAAGAGUCCAUCCUUAUUUUGUGGUCACCUUGACCACUUUGUAUUGUUGUCUAACCAUUAUGGUAUACCAAUUCUGGAGUACAUGUUCUUGGCUGAUGCAUUUGAACAGUAUUUGAUGUGGAGACAGACUUCAAAAUGGAGGAUUGCGAGACAAGUACUUCUUUCCAUUGAAUAUGCGUUGGCUACACCUGUUCUGCCCCUGCCCGGUUUCAAGAAGAUUCAGACAUGGGCUUCUGGCUAGAAUAUGUGGUUACGGCACCUUGAACCCAGCAAGCAUGUCAUCAGUGGCGAGCACUAAAAUUCAUUGGAAGAAUAUCCACCAAGUAAUAGUACAUGAAAGGAAUGAAAUCCCUUCUUAACCUGAACACCGAAAAUAUUUUGCAAGAAAGGAAUAUGUAGCCGCAUUUUUAGAAGAAAGGCCUGUUACGAUAGGUAUAAUAUGGAGGGUAAUAGAAGAGCCAUUGAUCAAUGGCACCUAGGCGGCGCAAGUUAAUUAGUAAGAUAGUGAAAACUCUACAUCAACUGUUGUUCCACUACAACGAGAAUACUACCAUCUAAUAUGUAUGUAAAUAUGGAAGAUAAAUUGCUGGCCCUUGAUCAAUUGUGCCUAUCUGGCGUAAGUUCCUUACAAAGAUAGUGAACACUCUGUAUCAACUAUUGUUCCAGUGCUAAUGCCGUCAUGUAAUAUGUACGUCAACGUGCAAGAAAAAUGUCAUCUAAGAGCAUCCGCAAUGUAGUAGUAUAGUAUCUACUUAAAUAAUUGUGUCUAUACACAUAUUCAUGUUCUUAUAUGUGUUGCAAGUGCAUCUAAUGCAAAUCUGCUUUAUCACACGUUUUUCCCUUGAUGUUUGAAAUAAGCUCUUUGUAAGUUUUCACAUUCUGUUAUUUGGCAAUUUGUAAUGAUUAAUGUAUCGUCAAUGAGUUGUCAUUGAUCACUCACUUGAGUGACAUGCAUUAUUUAAUGACUUAUUUUCUCGCAAUUAUUAAUAGGAAGGAUAUAGUGUGGGGAGCUGCGACCAUGAUACUAUAUGUUUGUUCUGAUUAUUUUUCUAGAAUUAUUUAUUUAUAAUAGUAAAGUGAUAAAUAUUUAUGAUUAACGAAGAAAAUGUUUUCACAUAGAUCAUUUUUAUUAAUAUUAUAUGCCAUUCAUAUAAAAGAUUAGUUGUAUUUUGACAUUGACACAGUCUUUAAUAUGUAAACAUUGACCAGUAUUUUCUAUUUUAAUAAAUGUAUACAAAUAAAGGAAGCUAUAAUAUUCUAGAAAUAUUUUUUGUCCAAUUCUCUAAAUUUGUUUUAUUCUAGAUAAUUAACAUAAUAUGCAUAGUCAAAGUUUUAGAAGUUUGGUUGAAGGGAUAUGCAAACGUCACUUGCAUUGAUAUGGAAGGAGUAUGUUGUCAAUGACUGUUAGAGCAUAUAUCUCCAUAUGUGGUUUUGAUAAUUGAUGACAAUUCCUAUGGACUAAUGGUUGCCUUAAGUUACAUUUAUAGGAUUUGUCCAUAGGCACUUCUUGAAGUCCAUCUGUUGGGUUCAAGGAGUUUAUAUGAUGACCAAGACGGUAUUCAAGGUAUUAUCCAAAGAAUGGUCAUAGAGACACAUGGUUGAUCAAGAUCUCAGACAAAGAGUAAAUCAAGAUGAUCAACACACAAAGCGUACAAGAUGUACCGAGAGGGAUCAAGUGAUCCCAUGGUAUGGUAAGCAUUGUCCAUUACGUAUUUGUGUACUAACCCAUGGUCUUCGUGAGAGUUCUAUGUGGGGGUUAGGUGUGUUUUCAUGGGCUUGCGUCAAAGGGAAGAUCUCAUACAACCCAUGAAGUAUGACGUCAAGUUGUGAUCGUCAUCAAGAUUGUGAUGUGCAAGUUCAAGUGGAUCAGCACGAAGAUAUCAUGCUUGAAGCUUGCCGUCCAUUGUGGUGGCAAUGGACUUGUGAAGAUAUGCUGAAGAGUGGCUCACCCAUAGUGAGUAUGGGGGAGCAAUCAACUAGUCUUCAUCAAGCCAACACAAUCAAUAAAGGUGGUCCAUCUUGAGGAAGCCAAGAUCAUCAUCAUCUAGCUCAAGAGGACGAGGUGCAAGGUAUAGGUUUGCCCUUGAUAGGUUUUCUGUUUAGGAUAGAUUGUUGUACUAUCAAGGGGGCUCUCAAGUGAGUAGCUUGAUCGUAUCAUUCGUUGAGAGCUCAAACCAUUUGCAUCCUUGCAUCAUACUUAUUGGUUCUUGUUUGGUGUUUCUCUUUGUGAAGUUUUAGAGCUUAUGGUCAUCUUCGUGACAAGCUCGAGUUCAUCGAAAACGGAGUCCAUAUGCAUCUACUAUGAUGUUUUCGAUGUUGGAGUUUUUGCCGGUUAUUCAUUCAUAGAGGACUCACAUCUCUAUAUCUUUGGCAUUUUCAUAACUGCAUGAUCUUAAGAUAGCCCUUGUCGUCCUGAAUCCAACAAGCUUGGGUUUGCUCGAUUCGGAGCUCGUAUGCGAAAGUUAUGGCUGUUUCAGUGGCGAGCGGUAGUACCGCUGGACCUAGCGGUAGUACCGCUAGAAUUGGCGGUAGUACCGCUGGCCCUAGCGGUAGUACCGCUGGCUGGCGGUAGUACCGCCCCUGGUCAGCGGUAGUACUGCUCCAGGAGCUUAGUACCGCCUGCCUAGCGGUUGUUCGUGGACGGACCUUUUUGCGAAGACUUUCUUGGCGGUGGUAGUGCCUUUGCACUACCAGGGGCCCAGCGGUAGUACCGCUGGGGCCAGCGGUAAUACCGUUGGAGUGCCAGCGGUAGUACCGCUAGCUGGCGGUAGUACCGCUGGAGUGCCAGCGGUAGUACCGCCGCAGCUCGGGCAGAGAGUGGGGGUAACGGUUUGAUUCCUUCCCCCACUAUAUAAAGGGGGUCUUCUUCCCCCUUGGUUUUAUCUAUCCGUUGAGCUCUUGUUCUACCUCCAUUGUUGACAUUCUUAGAGCUUGAUUACUCUCAAUCCCUCCAAUGAUUCUUGCUUGUUCUUGAGGGAAAAGAGAGAGGAGAUCUAGAUCCACAUCUCCACCAAUCACUUUCUCCUCUAUGUGAGGGGAACCCCUUGGAUCUUGAUCUUGGAGUUCUUUGUGAGCUCCUUGUUCUUCCUCUCACAUUUCUCCAUAGCUUUCGUUGUUGUGGAGGGAUUUGAGUGUGAGGGACUUGACCACUUCGUGUGUUCUUGCCAUUGCAUUAGUUGCAUCGGUUUGAGUUCUCCACGGUGAUACGUGGAAGUGAAGUUUGAAAAGCUUAUUACCUUUGGUACUUAGUACCCUAGAUAUUGUUCUUCGUGGAUGCUUUGGCAUCCUAGAAGCUUGGUGGUGUCUCGGAGCUCAAUCAUUGUGGUGUGAAGCUCCGGGCAAGCGUCGGGGGUCUCCAAUUAGGUUGUGGAGAUUGCCCCGAGCAAUUUGUACGGGUACCGGUAACCGCCCCCAAGGGUUGCCACGUGUACGGGUUCGGUAACCGCCCCCAAGGUUUGCCAUUUGUACGGGUUCGGUGACCGCCCUCAAGGGUCCCUUAGUGGAAUCACGGCAUCUUGCAUUGUGCGAGGGCGUGAGGAGAUUACGGUGGCCUUAGUGGCAUCUUGGGGAGCAUUGUGCCUCCACACCGCUCUAACGGAGAUUAGCAUCCGCAAGGGUGUGAACUUCGGGAUACAUCAUCGUCUCCCCGUGCCUCGGUUAUCUCUUACCCGAACCCUUUACUUAUGCACUUUACUUUGUGAUAGACAUAUUGUUUAUUGUAAUAUAUCUUGCUAUCACUUAGUUGUUUAUAUUGCUUAGCAUAAGAUGUUGGUGCACAUAGGUGAGCCUAGUUGUUUGUAGGUUUUGUGCUUGACAUAUUAAACGUUAGUUUUAUUCCGCAUUUGUUCAAGCCUAAACCUUAAUUAUUUUAAAGCGCCUAUUCACCCCCCCUCUAGGCGACAUCCACGUCCUUUUCAAUGACUAACACCGCCAAUUGUUAGUGUGCACAAAUAUUGAAAUACGUAUAUGCAUAAAUAGACAUAAGAAAUGAAUUAGAGUAUUACACAAGCUAAUGAAACAAGGCAAAAAUAAGUGUGCUUAAGGUAAAUUCAAGGAGCUCUUCGGAGGGUUUACUAGUCGUGGGCUUUGUUUUUUUCAGAACCAAACUAACGAAGCGGCCCAUCGAUGCGUCGGGCAAGCAAUCGCAGAUAGGAGGACAUUAAGAUAAAUUAUAUUCCCACCUUCCUAGAUGUAUGUAUUAAGAUUCAUUUUAACCCUCUAUUUGAGUAUUAUAAGCUCCUGGCUUGAAAAAGGCGACCAUUCAUGCCUGAAAUGAUUGUGUGAUUUUUAUUUGUUAAUGUUUGUAUUAAGAUUCAUUCUACCCCUCUAUUUGAGUAUUAUAAGCUCUUGGUUUGAAAAAGGCGACCAUUCAUGCCUAAAAUGACUGUGUGAUUUUCAAUUGUUAAUUGUUCUUAUAAUAUGGAUAGAAACUAUAUAAUGACCUAUCGGCAUGCUAUCUCAAAAUAUAUAAAUAUGUUGUGCCAAUUAGUUUAUAGUCUAUCCGACGUGACCAUAACUUCUCAUAGAAACACACUCCCUUAUGAAUCCAAGCUUUUCAGAACUUUUAGGUUGAGCUGCCAUGUCCCAUAAACAUAGUUGUACACAUCACAUUGCCAUAUGAUCGUAAGAAAAUAUUUGGUAACUAGCCCGUGCGAACACACGGGUUCACGACUAGUAUCCUUAGAUAUUGGUGGCCCGUCCUGAGCAUGGAUCGUACUCGGUGCCGGCUGGCUCGCACCCUUGUUAUUUUUUCUUUUCCGUCCCUUCUGCUUCUUCUGCUGUAAUGGGACCGAGUUCUGCUCAGAGACCACCUUCUUGAGUGUGUUGGGGCUGAUAAUAUUGCACACCUCGGCUAUUUGAGUCUCGGUGAAGGCGGCAGCUGGAGGCGUCUCCUGAGACCUGAACAGACGACGCCUGUUGAAAUUGGGUUUCUCCGUGGUACCAGCUAGAUCGCCAUCAUCUUUUGCAGGGUUGGGUUCUUGAGAAGGAGGCCCGAACAAUUCGUCACCGUACCCAUGUUCGUUGAUGUACUUAUCGACGUUGGAAAUUGUAUCAUCGUCGUCGUUCGGAUCCUGUGCCAUAUGCAUGUUUGGAUCAACUGACGACGGUAGCGUUGCGGCGGUCUUGGGGUGGUGUCUCCCGCCCCCAAACGAAUCUGGCUCUUUGGCCAAAGCAUGGACCAGUUUAAGCAGGCGCUGAGGGUCAUCACAUCAUCUUCGUCGGCCCCAGCGGGUCGAUACGGAGGUAACAAGUCGUCGCAGCCCCGCAACACCCGAACCAGUUGAACCCUAUACACGGUGGGUGGCAUCACAUUACCGUGGAACACGCGGUUGACCGGUUCAACCAUUUUGGCCUUGGCGACAUCGAUCAACUCGCCAUCCACGAAGUGUAGGAGAGUGCAUGGAACGUUGGCGGCGCCCUGCAAAAACAUGUAGGGUGUCAGGGAUGCCCAGUCAAAGGCAAGGAGAUGAAGUCAUCGGUCGAGGCUUAGUUACCGUGAUGGCGUCGAGCUCGGCUAAUGUUGAGGCACCGCCAACGGCGGGCGUGCAAGUGACGGAGGGGCCACUUGAUGCCGAGGUGCUGGCUGGUGUAUUCUUCCCACACACGGGUUCUUUAAGCUCCAAUACCGGCGCCGACGCUGGAGGCACCUGCAAUGCCGCCUCCGCCGGAGACACCGAUGCCGGCGCGUUGUGCGAGUUGCUACCCGUGAAGCUGGGAAUCGGGGGCGACCCCUGUUGGCCGCCCUCAAUCCACCCCCGCAGUCCCUCAAGCAAGGAAGGCAUAAUGGCGGUGAUCGUCGCUCCCAGUUGGUCACGCACUUACUCUUGGACUAUCUCUGGAAUCCGCGCCACUUGUGCCUUGAGUUCUUUAACCUCACGCUCCUGGCUUUCCGAGAUGGUCUUUCUCUCCUUUCGCCUAGCCUUAUAGUAUUCUGACCAUUUCGUGGAAAAGCCUUCGCCAGCCACACGACCAGCUGACGACGGCUUACUGAGCUUAUCCUUGUGUUUCAUUACGUUCAACGCCCUAUUUAAAGUGCUGUCCCAAGGGGCAGACGAGGAGCUCGGAGACCCCGCGCUACUACUUUCAGUCUCCUGCGGAAGGAACGUGAACCAUUUAGAAAUUUGGCUUCAUUAAUUAGAAUGCAACCAUAUGGAGCUAAUUAUGCGGGGGUGUAUUCCUUACCAGAACAUGCUCAAGCUCCUUCACCUUCGGAUCCGUGGGAAGCUCCUUUGUUACCGGGUCCACCUUGUACCGAGCCCUGACAUAGUUCCUGGUCUGCUUUUCACGGUAUUUAUCGAAGAGGGGCGGUAGGCCUUGCUCAGCAUGCUUCGCGUCCUCCUUGUCCCAUUUAGGUUCCGCCACUCUGUAACCGUCAGGACCGAGUUUGUGGACCCCUAAGUUCAAGUCCCGCAUAUCUUUCCCCCACUGACUUGAUUCCGCGGAUGCGUUGCUCUCGCACUUGAUCUUGAAUUCCAGGUAGUCAGCUUCGCUAAUCGAAGGAUUUGUCUCCUUGAUCUUCUCAUAACUAUCGCCUCUUAGAAUCCUUCUCUUCACCGAGGCUCUCCAAGUAGCCAGGGUUGUGCUCAUCUUCGUGAGGGCGGCACUGUUCACUUUGUUCCCUAAGAGGCGUGUGUUUGCGACGUCACCGGGGAACUUGUAUCGUUCGUGCAGCUUUGUGAAGAGGAGGUUGCACAAAUUCGCUCGGCCUUGAUGCCUUAGGUUCUCGGUGUUGAUCGAGAGGUGCUUCCGAGAAUGCACCCGAGUUGUCCCGCGUACCCACCGACUAAUUCUUUGGGCGCCGUUGGAUGCCCACUGGAGGACACUUCAGCAAAUUCCUCCCUGACGGUGCUGAGCACGUAUAGGCGCCGGUCUUUCCGUUUCUUCUUCGGUUGGCUUCCAUUUGUGCGUUCGCUGCCAUCAUUAGUGGUGGCAUCCACGGCGGCACCAUCAGUGGUGUCAUCCCCGAUGCCACUAGGGGUUUUGUAGUUAGGAUUGGUGUCUUCUGGGGCGUCCUCAUAGCGGCGAGGUUCUUCCUCGAGCUCCUGGAACAGCUCUCAGAAUGGCUUGCCCGAAUCGCCGGCCUCAUCAUUGUUAGCCAUGUUCACUCUAAAUAGGAAAAAGGCUACUAGAGUUAUUGGAUGAGAUCAGGAUAAUAUCUAUUCUUCUUAGAUUUAGAGGAAAACUGAGAAUAAAACAUGCAAAUUGAUAUGAUGAAGAUGAAGAUUUGGGAGCAGAGCUUAGGUUAGAGUGAUGAGAGUGGUGUUAUCAUUUCCUAGCUCGCUGCCUUAUCCAUUAUUUGGGCUUAGGAGACAUGGGGACAAAUAGAUGUGCGAGUUUGCACACUCAUACUUGGCUUGGAGAACAGAAGGGUAUAUGGUCUUGUGUCUACAAUUAUCAAUUAUUAGGAAAGGCAAAUGGAUGAGAGUGGUGUUAUCAUUUCCUAGCUCGCUGCCUUAUCCAUUAUUUGGGCUUAGGAGACAUGGGGACAAAUAGAUGUGCGGGUUUGCACACUCAUACUUGGCUUGGAGAACAGAAGGGUAGAUGGUCUUGUGUCUACAAUUAUCAAUUAGCAGGAAAGGCAAAUGGACGUUGAAUUCCCUUCUUUUUGAAAAAUGGACGCUUAGAAAUAUUUGCUUUGUAGAAAUAACAUUGUCUCUAAAUGUUGAUUAAUUUUUGUUUCGGUUGAGAAUCGGGCACCUUCUAGGUCAAGAAAAUUGGGCAUGACCUUUGCUAAUUUUCUUGACCUAGGAGUGCCCCAUUCUCAACCGAAAUGGAAAUUAAUCAACAUUUCAGGAGAAAGGGGUAACCUUCAGAACACAAGCAGUAAGUUCAAAAGGUGAUACCCACCGAAAUAAAUGGAUCAAAUAUUAAGUUUAGUAAACUCCCAUGACAUCACUGUCAGCAUGCAGAGCGAAAGUAUCAUUCUCAGCUAGAUGAACUUUCAUCUCAGUGUACCUUAAUAAAUUGAUCAAAUAUUAAGUUUAGUAAACUCCCAUGACAUCACAACAAAGGUUUUGCACUAUGGAUACUCGAUUGAAGAUGAACUAAUAAUGAGGAAAUUAGCACAGUUCCAUCAAAAAAUGGCAUAAAUUGGAAAAAUACCAUCCAGUGUAAGGAUGACAUGCAGGGCCACGUGUUAGUGUCACUUGAUAUAUAUAAAUUUUCAACUUCUUUACAUAGUACUAAGAAAUAUUGCCCAAUUAGAUUAGAUUUUCAAGAAAACACCAAGCACUAAUAUUUGUGCACCUUCAGGUCCUUCACCCAAUUGGAUCUGACCCCUUAUCUUUUUUCCUCUUCCUUCCCUAGCUCAGAUGGAGAAAGGGGGAGAGAGUUCAAGGAACAAGAUGCACAUGCUAGAUGAUACUGGCAUCAAUGUGCACUUCAAAGUGGGAAAACUGAGUCACCAACCCAACAAUCCUACCAUCCAUGCAAUAAAAACUACUAAGCAAAGGGAAAACUGGUAUAUGGAAAAUAUAGGGACAACAACGUAUAAUGUAACUUGCUGUAUGCUUCAUUUUUAGGGGGUCAUGACUAAUUUGCUCAUUUUUGAAAACUUGCUGUAUUAUAUAACUUGCUGUAUGCUUCAUUGUCCUCGCGGUAACUUGCUGUAUGCUAUAUGAAAAACUGAGUGAAUAUCAGAAGAGGGCGGGAUACUCACUGUUGGCAGAAUUUGGAGCAACCAACACUAAGGGAUGCUCAUAUGUACAAAUUCUGUUUGCAAAAAGAGCCCGAUGAACAGAAUUUGCAUAUUAGAACAAGGCAUUUUUCUACGAACUAUAAAGAAGGGAAUGAGUAAAACUAAAGGCACUCUCUGCCUGUACAAAUUAGCCUCUGAAAUAGUUCAGGGGACGAAGAAUAGUCUUCUCCCCAAUAAAGAUGAGCAAGAUCUAAAUCAGUUAGCAACCAUAAACAUCGUAUGGCUAAAUGUAAAUAUAAUCUUUCUCUGAAAUUAAAAUCUUCCAAAUCAACUCUAUUUCUAAACACAAAUAAGUUCCAGUUCCUAGAUAUAAAGCAUUAAAUGAUACAAUAGGGACUGCAAUGAUUAGGCUACUUUCUCGCCAUAGCCGACUUGACAACAUUCAAGAUUCAGACGUACUCGUAGAACAAAACAGAUUUCUCGCCAUCAUUAUAUAUAUCAAUCCCAGCAAUCCUACCAUCCAUGCAUCAUAAUUAACCCAAUAUGUUGUAUUAACUUGCAACUGUUGCGAAUUGGUUAAAUUUUCCCCUAACACUGUUGAAUUGAGUUAAAAGGUGUACAGAGCAAUAGUAUCAUGUAUUUUUACCAUCUUAGUUUCCACUGCUGAACAUCUUUUAUUCAUUAGGAUAUAGGGCAUUGAUCUAGUUUCUUACCGGGUUACAGAUGGAGGAGCACGGAUCAGUGUCGAUUAGCAGAUACAUGUCGAGGAGAUCGAGCAGUAGGUCGCGGGCGCGGGAGUGCGACGAUGCGGGCGGCACAGCGGAUGGCCGGGGAGCGCGCGCGGGUCGGCAGGGAGUUGGGGAUUGGCGGGAGACUAGUGGUGGAGUAGAGGCAUGGAGGGCGGCGGCGAUGGUUGACGAGGGGUCCGCGACGGUGGCCGAGGCCUGGGGCGGUGACGAGGGGGCGGCGGCGAUGGUUGACGAGGAGGGCGGCGACGGUGGCUGACGAGGGGAGAUGGGAGGGAGGGAGGGGUGCGGUUGGAGUGGAGAUGCGGGGGAGAGGCGAGUGAGGGGAGGGAAGAAGGGGAUAGUACGAGGAGGGUUAGCAAUGGCGCACCAUUUAGGGGUGCGCCAUAAGUGGCAUAUCACUGGCGCACCUUUUAGUGGUGCGCCAUAAAUGAGGAGGGAUAGCAAUGGCGCACCUUCUCCUAGUGCGCCAUUACUAACUUUUUUUUGGAUGUUUAGUUGCAUGUAAUAAUAUUGGUUAUCACUUUUUACUUGCAUGUAAUAAUUUUGGUUAUCACUUUUGGAUUUUUAGUUGCAUGUAAUAACUAAAAUUAUUACUAAUUUUUGAUUUUUAGUUCCAUGUAAUAAUUUUGUUACAUAUUGCAUGCACAUGACUUAAUAACCGAAAAGUAAAGGAAUAGCCAAAAGGUUUACACCUAACCCAUCCAUAAAUCUCACGGAGAGAGACACUUACAAAAAAUCAUGUUAUGAGGUGAUAUCACAUUGUGAUUCGAUCUUCACAAUUAUCUAUCUUUUCACAAUGAUCUUCUUGCCCUUCUUUCUUGUGGUUGAAUAAUUUAGCCCUGGAACCCCUUGAAUUCUUCUCUUGAACGGACGUCCUUUAGGUAGGGUGGUCCUGCUUCUUCUUGUGGUGUGUGCUACUUCAUCGUCGUUGUCAUCUUCCAUCUUCGGGUCGCCGUACUUGUCGAAGUAUUGCUCAUUGGCGACUCCAUCCAUUCCGAUGAUGUUCCUUUUGCCUCUCCUCACGACAACACGAUUGGGCUUUGACGGGUCGGUAAUGAGGAAGCAUUGGUCCACUUGGCAAGCCAGUACCCAUGGCUCAUUUUUUGCGGUGACGUUUGCGCCCGCGGUCUUGGAUUCAGCUUCAUGUAUAACCAUGGUGGUGAAAUACCGGUCUUGUUUUAGGACGCUCUUGGCCCAUCUGACACGGAACAUCGGAACCUUCUCUCCAGCGUAGUAUCUUUCCUUGUCGUUACCGGUGUAGGAUUCCAUCGUUACCCCAGAGUUCUGAUAAUCGCUCUUCAUGUCCUUUUCCUUGGUGUAGAAUGUGUAGUCGUUGAUAUCGUACGCCUCAUAGGUCAUCAGGUCGUGCUCGGCGCCCAGUGACAAGGCGAAUAUGAGUUUUUCUUUGAUGGAAGAAUCCUCAUGUAAAGGGUAGGAUAGAAGCUUGUCCUUGAAUCAACGCGUGAAUUAUGAGUUGUGCUCUUUGAUUAUAUCUCCGUCCGUCCUCUAUUGGCCUCGGUCAUUGUACGUCUUCUCAAUAAAGGUUUUGUGCUCUACCACCCAAGGAUCGACCACGUCUAUGUGUUGUAGCGCGACUAGGUUUGCUCUUUUAAAGUCGGCAAGUCGACCCUUGAAGUCGACAUGCAUUUCGCGGCGACCCUUGCGGUGACCCCAUCCAGCGAGCCUGCCGAGGUGCCUGUUGACGGGCAGACCAACGGGGUUCUCGAUGCCUAGAUAAUUCAUGCAGAAGGAGAUGCACUCUUCGAUCAGAAAGCCCUGGGCUAUGCUUCCAUCUGGAUGUGCCCUGUUGCGAACGUAUCCUUUGAUGACACCAUUCAUCCUUUCGAACAGCAUCAUGCUGUGCAGGAACGUCGGCCCAAGUUGGAUGAUAUCCUCCACGAUAUGGACCAGCAGAUGCACCAUAACAUCGAAGAAUGUGGGCGGGAAGUACAUCUCAAGCUCGCAUAGUAUCACCAUGAUCUCUUCCUGUAGCCUUCUGUGUUGCCUCAUGCCAACCGACUUCCGAGAGAUGACGUAUAAAAAGUUGCAUAGGCCAAAUAGCGUUUCACGGACGUGCACGUCCAUGAUCCCAGGGAUUGCAACUAGAAGUAUCUACGUCAUCAGCACGUGAUAGUCAUGAGACUUCAUCCUGCUGCAGUCGUGAGACUUCAUCCCGCUGAACUUCUGCUUCGCUGAGUCUAGGUAUCUGCCUAUCUUCCCCGCGUAACCGUAAGGAAGUUUUACUCCUAGGAGGCAGGUGAAAAACUGAUCUAUCUCCUUCUGACUUAGAGUGAAGCACGCGGGAGGGUAGUCAUAUUCGAUCUUCUUGGCCUUUUUGCCUUUGCGACGACUUUCCGUGUCCUUCGCCUCAUCAUCAUCAUCAUCAUUAUUAGGGCGUUUUGCGUGAAGCUCCUCCCUGAUGCCCAUUGAUUGCAAGUCUGCCCUUGCUUUUGGCCCAUCUUUGGUCCUCUCUGGCAUGUUGAGUAGGGUACCAAGUAGACUCUCGCACACAUUCUUCGUGAUAUGCAUGACAUCAAGGCUGUGAGGCACACGGAGGAUAUUCCAGUAUGGCAAGCCCCAGAAAACAGACCUCGUUUUCCAUACCCUCAGCAGCGGCUCUGGCACCUUUCGCUUCUUUCCCAGCGGUGGGCACUCUUUCCAAUUUUUCAACAACUUGUCUAUUUCCUCGCCGCUCCUCGUUCGUGGGGGUUCUUCGGGGUUCGGUUUCACCAUCGAACAGAUCCUUGCGUUUUCUCCAUGCGUCAUCGUCGCAAAGCCACCUUCGAUGUCCCAUGAACAUGAUUUUCGAAGACCCGAGAUCUCUAUCUAGCUGGCGAUACAUUGUGUCAUCCAUGCACCUGCAGCAUGCACAAAAUCCAUGGACCACCAGCCCCGCGACAUAUCCGUAACCAAGAUAGUCGUGCACCAUCAUGAGCAGUGCGUCUCUCAUAGGGAAAUAUUGUUUCGUUGCGGCGUCCCACGUAAUGGCUGGCGUUUUCCACAGCGUGUCUAGCUCCUCUUUCAGCAGCCCCAGAUACAGAUUGAUGUCGUUCCCUGGUUGUUUCGGCCCUUCAAUUAGCAUACUCAUGUGAAUGUAAUUCCUCUUCAUGCACAUCCAGGGGGAAGGUUGUACAUCCACAGAAACACAUGCCAGGUGCUAUGUGUGCUUCUCUGGCUGCUAAACGGAUUGACUCCGUCAGUGCUCGCGCCCAGCAUGAUGUUCCUUGGAUCAUCCCCAAAUUCUGGGUGUUCGAAGUUCAACGCUUGCCACUGGCUCGCAUCCUUAGGGUGACUCAACAUCUUGUCUUUUUUAUUUAUCUCUGGUUCAUUUCUGUAAUCUUCUCGCUUCUUCUCCUCCCUAUCCGCGUGCCAACGUAGGAGAUCUACUUGCUUAGGGUCCGCGAAAUACCGCUGCAGACGAGGAGUGAUCGGAAAGUACCACACCACUUUUCGAGGAGCUUUCAUCCUCUUCUUGUAUCGAGUGACGCCGCACACCGGACAUAUGGUAGAGUCCGCGUGCUCGUCCCGAUAAAUGAUGCAAUCGUUCAUGCACACAUGGUAUUUCAUGUGCGGUAAAUCCAGAGGACACACAAUUUUCUUCGCCUCCUCGAAACUGGUCGGGCACUUGUUCCCCAUGGGAAGACGUUCGUGCCAGAAUGACAUGUUCUUGUCGAAGCAUGUGUCGGUCAUUUUGUGUUUUACCUUCAUCUCCAUAGCCAUGAGCGUUACUUUCAGGCGGGUAUCCUCAGGCUUGCAUCCUUCAUACAAUGGAGUAACCGCGUCUAUCUCUAGUUGAUCUAGCUUGGCUUUCUCUCGGGCGGCAGCUCUUGUGUUACCCGUCUGCUUGAGAAGCAGCUCUUGAAUAUGAGGGUCCUCCACCCAGCCCAUCGAUGGUCCAUCGCCGUUUGCUCCGUCAUCUUCAUCUUCAUGAUCAUGCCCUUCGUCUUGAUCUUCCUCAUCAUCAUGUCCGACAUCUUCUACAUGAUGACUGUGUCCUGCAUCUACUUCGUGAUCAUGUCCUGGAGAUUCUUCGUCUUCUCGCCCGACCUCGCCGCUAUUGUCCUGCAGCCCUUCCUUAUUUCUUGCCCGACCCCCAUGGACGACUUCAUAAUCAUCUUCAUCACCUUGCCACCGAUAGCCAUCCAUGAAACCACGCACGAGCAGGUGGUCCCGCACCUGUCUGGAUUCCGGUCCAUAAGGCUCUUCAGCUUGCAUCUUCGACAUGGACAUCUCAUCUCCGUCUCGUUCUUUUGAAGCAUCUCGGCCUUCGUAGAGCUCAAAAACCUAUUCAUGAUGCCUUCGGUCAUCGUGCGGACCAUGGUCGCGUGCGUGGUAGAGCAAAACGAUAUUUUAGAACCAAUUUGUUUUGGCAUGACUUUGCCUAAAAAUAAGACCAAAAAGAAUGCAUAGUGCCAAAUUCUCGCCGAAACGGAAAUGAAUCAACAUUACGGCAAAAUAUUGGCAACUAUCGCAUUUCAAAUACCAGUACCUGCAAACACUAACAUAUGCAACACCACAAACAUACGUAGAUCUAGGCCAUAUAAAGUGUGUACACGUUGGAGGGAGAAAAGAGUAGAUCUAGAACAUAAAGAAAGCUUUCCCCUUACUUACCUAUCAAAAAAAGGAAAUUUUACCACUUAAUUUGGGUGAAUCUAUGGUGCAAAUGAGGUGAGGAGGAGGAGGUAGCUGAGACCAACAAGGUUGGUAGAGGUGGAGAGAAUGAAGUGAGGGGAAAGUGAGUGUGAAGUGGGUGUCAAAAAUAUCUACCGCUCCCAGGUUACUGAUACGUCUCCAACGUAUCUAUAAUUUUUGUUGGUUCCGUGCUAUUAUCUUGUCAAAUUUUGGAUGUUUUGUAUGCCUUUUAUAUCUUUUUUGGGACUAACUUAUUAACUCAGUGCCAAGUGCCAGUUCCUGUUUUUUUUCGUGUUUUUGACUCUUUUCGGAGGAGAAUUUUAAACGGUGUCCAAACGGAAUAAAACUUCCGAAAAGAUUUUUUCCGGAACAGAAGAUACACACGGGAGGUGAGAACCAAGGCAAAGGCCACUAGGGGAGGCCACAAGCCCCCUAGGCGCGGCAAGGGGGGCCCCGCGCCUAGCUGGCUUGUGGGCCCCUGUGGCUCGUCUGCCCUACCUCUUCCGCCUAUAAAUUCCCGAAAAAUCCAAAACUGCACGAGAGACCCACGAAAAUAAUUUUCCGCCGCCGCAAGGUUCUGUCUCCGCAAGAUCCCAUUUGGGGCACGUUCUGCUGCCCUGCCGGAGGGGGGAUUCGGAUACGGAGAGCUUUUUCAUCAACAACAUGGCCUCUCCGAUGAUGCGUGAGUAGUUCACCAUAGGCCUUCGGGUCCAUAGCUAGUAGCUAGAUGGCUUCUUCUCUCUCUUGGAUCUUCAAUACAAAGUUCUCCAUGAUUUUCAUGGAGAUUUAUCCGAUGUAAUCUUCUUUUGCGGUGUGUUUUUCGAGAUCCGAUGAAUUGUGGAUUUAUGAUCAGAUUAUCUAUGAAUCUUAUUUGAGUUUCUUUUGAUCUCUUAUAUGCAUGAUUUCAUAUCCUUGUAAUUCUCUUCGAGUUGUGGGUUUUGUUUGGCCAACUUGAUCUAUGAUUCUUGCAAUUGGAUAAGUGCUUGAUUUUGGGUUCAUGCCGUGCGGUGACCUCACGUAGUGAUAGAAGGGGUAGCGAGGCACACAUCAUGUUGUUGCCAUCAAGGGUAAAAAUAUGGGGUUUACAUCAUUGGUUUGAGUUUAUCCCUCUACAUCAUGUCAUCUUGCUUAAGGCGUUACUCUGUUCGUCAUGAACUCAAUACACUAGAUGCAUCCUGGAUAGCGGUCGAUGUGUGGAGUAAUAGUAGUAGAUGCAGAAAGUAUCGAUCUACUUGUCUCGGACGUGAUGCCUAUAUGUAUGAUCAUUGCCUUAGAUAUCGUCAUGACUUUGCGUAGUUCUAUCAAUUGCUCGACAAUAAUUUGUUCACCCACCGUAAUAUUUGCUAUUUUGGGAGAAGCCUCUAGUGAACACUAUGGCCCCCGGGUCUACUUCACAUCAUAUUUUCAGCCUUACACUUUUUUACUUCGUUGCACUUUCCGCCUUCACAUCCCACUUUGCAAUCAAUCUUGAAGGGAUUGACAACCCCUUUAUAGCGUUGAUUGUUUGUGUUUGCGCAGGUACUCUGGACACUUAGCUUGAUACUCCUAUUGGAUUGAUACCUUGGUUCUCAAACUGAGGGAAAUACUUACUGCUUUUGUGCUGCAUCACCCUUUCCUGUUCAAGAGAAAAACCAACGCAAGCUCAAGAGGCAGCAGAAGGAUUUCUGACGUCGUUGCCGGGGAGGAUCAAGUCAAGAAUAGUCUCCCAUCAACGUGUCAAUCUCUGGCACCGGGGAUUAUUCUUGGUGAAGCUCAUUCAAGUAAGUGUCGCAAACUCAUCUCUUGCAUUUACUUUUUUGCCUCUCGUUUUCCUCUCCCCCACUUCUGGAAAACAAAAAAUUACAAAAAUAUUUGCCUUCUUCGCUUGCUUUCCUUUGCUUGUGUGCUAUGUGCCUUCAAUAUGCUUGCAUCUUCGCUUGCUGAAAAUCUAGUGACAUGGUUACUCACCCACUUGCUAAUCUUUGUAAGAGAUCCAAUUAUUUUGAACCAUUUGCUAGUGAGUUGAGUGCACUUUACUUUCUCUAUGGAGUUUUGCUUGAGAUGCGUGAAUUUGCAAAUCGUGAUGAAGAAAUUUUUGAAGUGAUUCAUGAGGGCUCCUUGAAUUAAAAGCAUGAUUGCAAUGAUUUCAUCAUAAAUUCUAUUAAUGACAAUCAUGCUAAAAAUAUGCAAAACCCUAAGCUUGGGGAUGCUAGUUUUGCUUUGUCCACUGCUUGUUGCAAUGAUCGUGAUUGGGGUGAUAAUUUUUCUAAUGAUCUUGAAAAUUUGUUUAACCAUGAUGAUGAUUAUGAUGUUUGCAAUAAUAUUGAAAGUGGGUUUGGAGAAGUCAUGACUUUAGUUGAUGAUAAUCCCACUAUUUUUGAAGAGCGNNNNNNNNNNNNNNNNNNNNNUGAAGAGCGUCAACUUUGCAUGCAUGUGGAUCAUGAAAAGAAUAUCCUUUGUGAUAUCUAUAUUGUCGAAUUUGAUUAUGAUCCCACAUGUAAUUGCUAUGAGAGAGGAAAAUGUUGUGGUAGAAACUUUCAUGUUACCAAAUCACCUCUCGUUAUGUUGAGAUUGAUAUUGUCUCUUUCUUCUUCCUUGCAUAAGGUAACUACUGGUUGUCCUGACAAUCUGUUUUCCUAUAAAAUGGCUAUGCAUAGGAAGUAUGUUAGACUUAGAUAUGUUUGUCACAUAUUUCAUGAUGCUCUGUUCGUGUCCGAUUGCUAUCUUUUAUGUGAGCAUCAUUGAAUUAUCAAUGCCUAGCUAAGGGCGUUAAACAAUAACGCUUGUUGGGAGGCAACCCAAUGAAUUUAUCUUUUCUUUCUGUUUUGUUGUGUCCACACCAUCAUAAUUCUGUUAUGAUUGUGUCUUUUGUGUUUCUUUUUGUGUUUGAUCCAAGCAAAACCUUUAUGACUAAUUUGGUGAUGGUUGUUUCAUCCUGCUGGAAAAAGACAGAAACUUUUCGCUCAGGAAAUUAUUUUUCAUUUAUAUCCAGAAAGAGCUUUUGAGUUGAUUCUUUUUGCUGCUGGCUGAUAUACCUUUUGCCCAGGAUGUCAUAAUUUUUCAGAAUUUGUGAGGUACCAGAAGUAUACAGAUUGCUACAGACUGGUCUGUUUUUGACAGAUUAUGUUUUUGUUGUGUUGGUUGCUUGUUUUGAUGAAACUAUGGAUCGUAUCGGGGGGUACUAGCCAUGGAAAAGUGAGAAUACAGUAAUUUAACACCAAUAUAAAUAGAAAUCAAGAUUGCUACAGUACCUAAAAGAGGUGGUAGUUUGUUUUCUUGUGCUAAUGAUAUCACGAGUUUUUGUUUAAGUUUUGUGUUGUGAAGUUUUCAAGUUUUGGUUGAUGUUUUCAUGGACAAAAGGAUAAAGAGUGGAAAGAGCUCAAGCUUGGGGACGCCCAAGGCAUUCCAAGCCAAAUUCAAGGACACCAAAAAGCCUAAGCUUGGGGAUGCCUUGGGACGAAGGCAUCCCCUCUUUCGUCUUCAAACCAUCGGUAACAUUACUUGGAGCUAUAUUUUUUUAUUCACCACAUGAUAUGUGUUUUGCUUGGAGCGUCUUGUAUUGUAGGAUUCUUUUCUUUUUGUUGUGUCACAAUCGUCCUUGCUGCACUUAUCGUGAAUUUGCUAGAAUACUCUUUGAGCUUCGCUUAUAUCUUUUGAGUUAGGCAAUUUAGCUCACAUGUGCUUCACGUAUAUCUUUUGAGCUAGACAAUUUUUCUCUAUGUGCUUCACUUAGAUCUUUUAGUGAACGGUGUUGCGUAACUUUGUAAUUGGCUUGUGCUAUGAAAGUAGUCCCAAAGGUGAUAGGUACCCAAAGAGGAUACAAUAAAACUUCCAUCUUCAUGUGCAUUGAGUAGGAAGAGAAGUUUGAUUCCUCUCAAUUAGUUUUGAGACAUGGAUUUGGUAAUAUUAAAAGUUAUGUUAGUAGGGUGUUGUGAAUCUAGAAAUACUUGUGUUGAAGAUAGUGAUUCCCGUAACAUGUACGUAUGGUGAACCGCUAUGUUAGGAGGUCGGAGCAUAAUUGAUCUAUUGAUUGUCAUCCUUUGUGUUGCGGUCGGGAUCACGCGAUGGUUUACACCUACCAACCCUUCCCCUAGGAGUAUGCGUUUAGCACUUUGUUUCGAUUACUAAUAAAAACUUUCGCAAUAAGUAUAUUAGUUUUUCAUGACUAAUUGAGUCCAUGGUAUAGAUGCACUUUCACCUUCCACCAUUGCUAGCCUCUCUAGUACCACGCAAUUUUCGCCGGUGCACAAACCCACCAUAUGCCUUCCUCAAAACAGCCACCAUACCUACCUACUAUGGCAUGUUCAUAGCCAUUCCGAGAUAUAUUGCCAUGCAACCCCCACCGUUCCGUCUCAUGACUUGUGCCAUCACUCCCAUAUUGCCAUUGCAUGAUCGUAAGAUAGCUAGCAAGAUGUUUCAAUGUCAAACGCCAAGCUAGAUCGUUGCACAUCUCGGUACUGUCGGAGGCAUUUCCUAUAGAGUCAUCAUCGUUCUAAGCUUUGAGCUGUGAGUAAAUAAAAGUGUGAUGAUCAUCAUUAUUAGAGCAUUGUCCCAUGUGAGGAAAAAAAGAGGCCAAAGUUGCCCACAAAAAAAGGAGAUAUGGAAAGAGGCCAAAGAGCCCAAACAAAAAAAGAGAGAAGGGACAAUGCUACUAUCUCUUUCCACACUUGUGCUUCAUAAUAGCACCAUGUUCUUCAUGAUUGAGAGCCUCUCGUUUUGUCACCACCAUAUACUAGUGGGAAUCUUUAUUAUAUAACUUGGCUUGUAUAUUCCAAUGAUGGGCUUCCUCAAAAUUGUCGUAGGUCUUCGUGAGCAAGCAAGUUGGAUGCACACCCACUAGUUCUCCUUUUGAUCUUUCACAUACUUAUAGCUCUAGUGCAUCCGUUGUAUGGAAAUCCCUCCUCAUUCACAUUGAUAUCUAUUAAUGGGCAUCUCCAUAGCCCUUUGAUACGCCGAGUCAAUGUGACCAUCUCCUCCUUUUUGUCUCACAACCUCCACCACACUCUAUUCCACCAUAGUGCUAUAUCCAUGGCUCACGCUCAUGUAUUGCGUGAGAGUUGAAAAAGGUUUGAGAAAGUAAGAGUGCGAAAACAAUUACUUGGCCAACACCAGGGUUGUGCAUGAUUUAAAUUAGUUGUGUAGGGAUGAUGGACAAUAGCGAGACUAUAUGAUUUUGUAGGGAUAACUUUCUUUGGCCUUGUUAUUUCGAAAGAUCAUGAUUACGUUGCUAGUUUGCUUGAAGUAAUAUUGUUUUCAUUUCAAUAGCAAACUAUUGUUUUGAAUCUUACAGAUAUGAACAUUCAUGUCACAUGAAAGAAUUUACAAAGGACAACUAUGCUAGGUAGCAUUCCACAUCACAAAUUCAGUCUUUAUCACUUCCCUACUCGAGGACGAGUAGGAGUUAAGCUUGGGGAUGCUUGAUACGUCUCCAACGUAUCUAUAAUUUUUGUUGGUUCUAUGCUAUUAUCUUGUUAAACUUUGGAUGUUUUGUAUGCCUUUUAUAUCUUUUUUGGGACUAACUUAUUAACUCAGUGCCAAGAGCCAGUUCGUGUUUUUGCCGUGUUUUUGACCCUUUUCACACGAGAAUUUAAAACGGUGUCCAAACGGAAUAAAACUUCCGAAAAGAUUUUUUCUGAAACAGAAGAUACGCAGGGGGCGUGAGAACCAAGGCAGAGGCCACGAGGGGAGGCUACAAACCCCCUAGGCGUGGCCAGGGGGCGCCUAGCAGGCUUGUGGGGCCCCUGUGGCUCGUUUGCCCUACCUCUUCCGCCUAUAAAUUCCCGAAAAAUCCAGAACUGCGCGAGAGAGCCACGAAAAUACUUUUCCGCCGCCGCAAGGUUUUGUCUCUACAGGAUCCCAUCUGGGGAUCGUUCUGGUGCCCUGCUGGAGGGCGGAUUCGGAUAUGGAGGGCUUCUUCAUCAACACCAUGGCCUCUCCGAUGAUGCGUGAGUAGUUCACCAUAGACCUUCGGGGUCCAUAGCUAGUAGCUAGAUGGCUUCUUCUCUCUCUUGGAUCUUUAGUACAAAGUUCUCCAUGAUCUUCAUGGAGAUCUAUCCGAUGUAAUCUUCUUUUGUAGUGUGUUUGUCAAGAUCCGAUGAAUUGUGGAUUUACGAUCAGAUUAUCUAUGAAUCUUAUUUGAGUUUCUUCUGAUCUCUUAUAUGCAUGAUUUCAUAUCCUUGUAAUUCUCUUUGAGUUGUGGGUCUUGUUUGGCCAACUUGAUCUAUGAUUCUUGCAAUGGGAGAAGUGCUUGGUUUUGGGUUCAUACCGUGCGGUGACCUCACUCGGUGACAGAAGGUAUAGCGAGGCACGCAUCGUGUUGUUCCCAUCAAGGGUGAAAAGAUGGGGUUUAUAUCUAUUGCAUGAAUUUAUCCCUCUACAUCAUGUCAUCUUGCUUAAGGCGUUACUCUGUUUGUUAUGAACUCAAUACACUAGAUGCAUGCUAGAUAGCGGUUGAUGUAUGGAGUAAUAGUAGUAGAUGCAGACAGUAUGAGUCUACUUGUCUCGGACGUGAUGCCUAUAUGUAUGAUCAUUGCCUUAGAUAUCAUCAUGACUUUGCGCGGUUCUAUCAAUUGCUCGACAGUAAUUCGUUCACCCAUCGUAAUACUUGCUAUCAUGAGAGAAGCCUCUAGUGAACACUUUGCCCCCCGGGUCUACUUCACAUCAUAUUUGUAGCUCCACACUUUUACUUUGUUGCACUUUCCACCUUCAGAUCUCACCUUGCAAUUAAUCGUGAAGGGAUUGACAACCCCUUUAUAGUGUUGGGUGCAAGUUUGUUUGUUUUUGCGCAGGUACAUUGGUGACUUGCCUUGAUACUCCUACUGGAUUGAUACCUUGGUUUUCAAACUGAGGGAAAUACUUACUGCUAUUGUGCUGCAUCACCCUUUCCUCUUCAAGGGCAAAACCAACGCAAGCUCAAGAGGUAGCAGCAGCGCCUCUGACCCGGGCUAUACUAAGCUGGAGAUCGACUGUUGGUUGUGCCCGGUACGAUUCCCGAUCUCAGUUGUUGUGGGUAAACUGAGGUUGGUCUCCAUCCCGUCGAGUGGGAGAGUACCUUCUAGAUCCAUAGAUGGACCUGUUGCGACUUGUCCAAGUCGUGAUGUAGGUUGUGUCUGCUCCUAGGUUGCACAUGUUCCUCCCCUUUCCCGCUGGGAGGCUCGUGUCUAUACUUGGCUUCUCUGUCCGCUCUGUCACGCCCUCGAGGUGGGCGAUUAGGCCGAUCAUACAGUGUGCGCCUAGGGACACAGGAUCUGGGGCCUCAUCAUCGAACCGAGGCAGCAUGCGCCAGCAUGGGUAGCUUUUGUUUUGAUCCAGCCACUCGGUGCCAUAUACUUCUUCGGUUGCGAGUACUUUCAUUUAUCUAUUGUUGAUGGUAUCUUCUUCGUCUUGGAGCCGAUCUUGCUUCGCGUGGAGGCUGCGGGCGGUAGCUAUGAGCUGCUGCCUGAACCCUUCCUGACCCUCAAGGUCCUCGCGAACUGUGAAGUGUUCGGCCUCUAAGUUGUCUUCCGCAUCAUAGGGGAGGAGGUAGUUGUCGUCAUCUGAAUCGUCGGUGUCAUCAGGAUCGGACUGACUCUCGGGCUUGUUCGGGUCCUCCGGUGGCUCGGGAGCCCCAAGGUUACCGAGGUCCUCCGACGUUGUAUUUCCCCGGUGCCCUGUAUGGUCUCCCUUCCCUUGUUCGCCUUGGCUUGUUUACGCCGUCUUUGGUGCUUUGAUGGCUUCUCCCUGGACUUAUCUCCAUUUUGUGUGGGGGUAUGAUGUCUACUACACAACUUUAUUCUUGUAGACUCGUGUUGGGCCUCCAAGCGCAUAGUUUUGUAGGACAGUAGCAAUUUUCCCUCAAGUGGAUAAACUAAGGUUUAUCAAUCCAUGGGAGGUGUACGAUGAAGAUGGUCUCUCUCAAGUAACCUUGCAAUCAAAUACACCCAAUACAAUGGUAAAUUGUAUAGGUGCACUAGUUUGGCGAAGAGAUGGUGAUAGAAGUGCAAUACGGAUGGUAGAUAUAGGUUUUUGUAAUCUAAAAUACAAAAAUAGCAAGGUAACAAGUGGAAAACAUUGAGAAAAAUGUUGUAUUAAUGCUUGGAAAUAAGGCCUAGGGUACAUACUUUCCCUAGUGCACUCUCUCAAUAAUGCUGACAUAGUUGGAUCCCUCAACGUGCAACAAAUAAUCACUCCAAAGUUCCUAUAUAGUGGAGAACAACAAGAUGAAAAUGGUGUAGGUAGUAGAACCACCUCAAAGUUAUUCUUCCCGAUAAAUCUAUUCAAGAGUUCGUACUAAGAUAACAUCAAGCUAUCCUUUCCGUUCAAUCUAUUCAAGAGUUCAUACUAAGAUAACAUCAAGCUAUCCUUCCCGUUCGAUCUAUCUAAGAGUUCGUACUAGAAUAACACUAAUGAUACAUAUCAAUCGACCCUAGUGUCACCUAGAUACUCCAGUGUCACCUCAAGUAUCCGUGGGUAAAUUAUGCGACAUGCAUCAAACAAUUUCGGAGCUAUCAUAUUCAAUCCAACCCAAAGAGCGUGCAAGGAGCACCCCAAGAUUUCUAUCGGAGAACAUGGUAUGAGAACGAGCAACCAACCCCUAUGCAUAGAUCCCCAAGGUCACCGGAACCGGCAAGUUGAUGCCUCAACAUAUAUCAAGUGAAUCAAUAGAAUACCCCAAUGUCACUACGGGUAUCCCACGCAAGACGUACAUCAAGUGUUGUCAUACCAAUAUGCUCAAUCCAACAUGACAAGAUCUUAAAGGAAAAGACUCAAUUCAUCACAACUAGAUGGUAAGUGAAAUACAUCAUAUGAUCCAACUAUAUUAAAAAAGCCCGUGUUCUUGAGAUCAUGCCAUCUCAAGAUCACGAGAGAGACAGAGAGAGAUUGAACACAUAGCUACUGGUAUAUACCCUCAGCCUCGAGGGUGAACUACUCCCUCCUCGUCAUGGCCUCCGCCAGGAUGAUGAAGAUGGCCACCGAUGAUGGUUUUCCCUCUCCGGCACUGUACUGGAAUCACUCUAGAUUGGUUUUUCAGCAAUACAGAGAGUUGCGGCGGCAGAGCGGAAUUUCUCUCUUUACUUCUGGGGCUUCUCACAUUUAUAGGAUUUUUCAGCGUUGGAAUCACGCGCAACGAAGCCACGUGGGCCCCACAAGCCAUCAGGGCGUGUCCAAGGCCGUGGCUGCGCCCUCUUGGCUUGUGCCUCCAUGGAAACCCUCCUCUGGUGGUUCUUUGUUCCAACAUUGCUCAUAUGUUCCAUAAAAAAUCAUAAAAAAGUUUCGGGCGAUUCCGAGAAAUUCCAUUUUCUACACAAAAAAACAACAUCACAGUAAUUCUGCUCAAAAUAGCGCCAGUCCGGGUUAGUUCUAACUAAAUCAUAUAAAGUGCAUCAAUACCAUAUAGUUAUUAUAAACAUAGGAAAAUAUGGCAUGAAUAUUUCAUAAAUUAUCGAUACGUUGGAGACGUAUCAACAUCCCCAAGCUUAAUUCCUACUCGUCCUCGAGUAGGUAAAUGAUAAAAGAAAUAAUUUAUGAAGUGUGAAUGCUAGCAUAAUGUACAAUAUUGAUCAAGGAUAAUUUCAGCCAUUUUUCUAGCAUCAUAACCAACAAGUAUUUCUCAUAAAGCUUCUCAAGAUCAAGUAGCAAGUUAUUCACAUGUUAAAGUAUAUACCAGAAACUUUCUUGAAAAAUAGCAAACUAUGUUUUCAGUUAUCAAACAAUUACAAUUCAUCUUAUUUUCAGGAAGGGUCUAUGUAAGAGCUUUGAUUCAGCAAAUUCCACAUACUCAUCUAUCAUUUAGUCAUCCAUGAUUGCUGACACUCAAAGUAUAUUUUUAGAACAAACAGUUUCAGUCAAACACAAGGAAGAUAGGGGCUUAAAGUCUCACCUCCCAACUUAUUUAUCUCGGGGAUAAUGUGAACAAAUAUUCAAUUGGUAUAUGUGUGUGGAUCUUUCCCCACCACAUGAUGCUUGCCAACUACGGAAUUAAUAGAUUGGAAUAAGAAGUUGACUCGACAUGAAAAGUAAAAGAUAUGCCCUUCAUAGAGGGAAGCAUAGGUUGCCAUGCGCUUUUUAUUUUUGGAUGUAUAAUCUGUUAAAGAAAAGGAACGUCACUUUAUAUUGCCCCUUGUGAUGGCACCCUUUAUUAUGAAGUCCGUCACUUUUAUUUCUUUACCAUCUCAAGUUUGUACAAAGCUUAUUUUCCCUUCCAAUAAAAGAACAUACAUAUUUAGGAGCAAUUUUUAUUGCUUUUUGCACCGAUGACAACUUACUUGAAGGAUCUUAUUCAAUCCAUAAGUAGAUAUGGUGGACUCUCAUGGCAAGAAACUAGGUUCAAGGAUUUGGAUGCACAAGUAGUAUCUCUACUUAGUACGAAGUUUUGGCUAGCAAAAGGUUCUAAACAAGCACCACAUGUUACAGGAUCCAUGACAAUAUAACUGCUAUGUGAAUAUAAACAAACAUAAUCAUUAAGUUGUCUUCCUUGUCCAACGUCAACUACUUGAUCAAGUUUGAAAAUAAUUAAUGGGGCUCACAAUCAUAGAAUAUGUCCAAGAUAGUAUAUCUAUAUAUGAAACCUCUCUUCCUUCAAUGUUCUUUCAUGAAUCGUUUAAAUGACCAAUGUUAUGUUUACUAACUUACAAUAAAUUUUACCGCAUAUACUCCUAGUAUGUGAAGUUAUUUCUCCCCAUGGGAUAAGCUUAUGAAGCAUACAUAUGAUUUCACAUUUAUGAUAUUCAAUUCAUUCAACGUUUUACUCUUAGGAUAUAAGUGAAGCACAAGAGUAAACGUCAAACUACUCUCAAAAUAUAUAAGUGAAGAACAAUGAGUAGUCAAAAAAUUAAGUAGCUAUAUGAGGACUCUCUCUCAGUAAAGAUUUGUAGAUCUUGAUAUUUUAUUCAAACUGCAAAAAACACAAAAAUAGCACUUCAAGAAUAGCAUAUAUCAUUUGAACGAAUAAAAAAUUAGGCUCAACAUAGGCUAGCCGAUAGUUGACGAAGAGGGGUGGGAUGCGUAGCAUCCCCAAGCUUAGAUGCUUGAGAAUUCUUGUAAUAUUAUCUUGCGGUGCCUUGGGAAUCCCCUAGCUUGAGCUUUUGUAUCUCGUUCAAUCCUCCCAUGUCCCGGUUUCACCUAUGUCUCAAAAACUUCAUCCACACAAAACUUGAAAAGAACUCGUGAGAUAGGUUAGUACACAUAAGAAUAAAUCAACACUUCAUGUACUACCAAGACAAGUUGCAUAAUAAUUUUCAAACAUUAUAUACUGUAUACUAUCAUUUCCACAAUUUAUAUCUACCAAUUUAAGUCUUGAAAACUAUAGAAGAAGUAGAUAACAAAACUAUGACAUCAAUCUGUCUAAACAGGACAGUCUGUAGCAAUUUAUUGAAACAAUGUACUUCUGUAACUCCAAAAAUAUUACAACUUUAGGACAUGAUAGAAAAUUUGUAUCCAAAUACUGAGUAUAAAUUUCAGAAACUUUCGAUGUUCCAGUAAAAUUACAUAAUUCAAAUACUACAGCAAAAGUUUCUGUUUUUAUACAGCACAACUCACCCAUGUAAUUCAAGCAUCCUAAAAGAAAUUCUUGGAACUUUUUGAUUGAAAAAUAAUAUUAUAAAUAACAUCUAACAGAGAACAAAAAAAUAAAAUGAUGCUCCAAGCAAAACUCAUAUUAUGUGACGAAUAAAAAUAUAGCUCCAGGUAAGAUAUACAGUAUCGAAGACGAAAGAGGGGAUGAUUUCCGGGGCAUCCCUAAGCUUACCCGCUUGGGUCUUCCUUGAAUAUUACCUUGGGGUGCCUUGGAAAUCCCCAAGAUUUGGGUCUUUCCAGUCCUUAUUCUCCUCAUGUCGGUAUCUCACCAAAAACAUGAAAACUUCAAUCACACAAAACUUAACAGAACUUCGUGAGAUGAGUUAGUAUAAUAAAGAUAGAUCAUUCACUUAGGUACCAUCAAGACAAGAUUCAUAAUUGUUACCACAUAAUACCUACUGCAUUCUAUCAUUACCAUAAUUUAUAUCACGAAAUAUAAGCUAUAGAAACACUAAAACAAGCAAAGUAUGCAUGCAAAUCAGAAUAUGUAAAAAACCGAACAAUCUGUGAAGAUCUGACUGAACACCAUACUUACUUGGCUCUAAAAAUUCUUAACAAUUAGGAAAACGCAUACAAUUUUCAUAUAAAAACUUUAUAAAAAUUUCAGAUUUUUUUGACUUUCCAGUAAAAUCACAUAAUUCAUAUACUAGAGGCAAAAGUUUCUGUUUUUGCACACAUUCAAACUAACAAGUUUCCACACUAUCCCAAAGGCUUUACUUGGCACUUUAUUGAAAUAAAAUAUACAAAACAUGAUUACUAAAGUAGAUUAAUCAUGUGAACACACACGAAUAUAAUGUAAAAGUUUUGGGUUGUCUCCCAACAAGCGCUUUUCUUUAAAGCCUUUUUAGCUAGGCAUGAUGAUUUCAAUUAUGCUCACGUAAAAAAAUUGAAUUGGAACACAAUGGGAGCAUCAUGAAGCAUAUGACAAGCACAUUUAACUCUAAUCCUCUUCCUAUGCAUAGGUAUUUUAUGAGCAAACAAUUUUUGGGAACAAGAAUCAACUAGCAUAGGAAGGCAAAACAAGCAAAACUUCAAGAUUUUCAACACAUAGGGAGGAAACCUGAUACUAUUGCAAUUCCUAAAAGCAUAAGUUCCUCCCUCAUAAUAAUUUUCAAUAGCAUCAUGAAGGAAUUCAACAAUAUAAGUAUCACCUAAAGCAUUAUCUUCAUUAUGCACAAGCAUAGAAUUUUCCACAUAAGUAAUUUUCUCCCCAUUCAUAGUAGUGGGAGCAAACUCAACAAAAUAACUAUCAUGAGACAAUUAAUUGACAUAACCAAAUUGAAUAUUAAAAUCAUGAUGACAAGUUUCAUGGUUAUCAUUACUCUUCAUAGCAUACAUGUCAUCAUCAUAAUCAUCAUAAAUAGGAGGCAUGCCAUUAUCAUAAUAAAUUUUCUCAUCAAAACUCGGGGGACUAAGAAUAUCAUCUUCAUCAAACGUAGCAUCCCCCAAGCUUGUGGCUUUGCAUAUCAUUAAAAUCAUGGACAUUCAAAGAAUUCAAACUAACAAAAUUUCAAUCAUGCUCAUCAUUCAAGGAAUUCUCAGUAAAUAUUCUCACAAAUUCUUUGUCUAACAAUUGAGCACAAUUUUCCAAACCAUUAUUUUCACGAAAGACAUUAAAAAGACUAAACCAUUGAGGCAAUGUAAAUCCCAUUUCUAUUAGUUUUAUUUUAUAAAACCAAACUAGUGAAAAACAAGAAAUUAAAAAAUUUAAUUGCAAGAUUUCAAGAUAUACCUUCAAGCACUCACCUCCCCGUCAACGGCGCCAUAAAAUAGCUUGAUGUGUACUACACAACUUUAUUCUUGUAGACUCGUGUUGGGCCUCCAAGCGCAGAGUUUUGUAGGACAGUAGCAAUUUUCCCUCAAGUGUAUGACCUAAGGUUUAUCAAUCCGUGGGAGGUGUAGAUGACGAUGGUCUCUUUCAAGCAACCCUGCAAUUAAAUACAAGAAAUCUCUUGUGUCCCCAACACACCCAAUACAAUGGUAAAUUGUAUAGGUGCACUAGUUCGGCGAAGAGAUGGUGAUAGAAGUGCAAUAUGGAUGGUAGAUAUAGGUUUUUGUAAUCUGAAAAUAUAAAAAGAGCAAGGUAUCAAGUGGCAAACAACGGGCAAAACGUUGUAUCAAUGCUUGGAAAUAAGGCCUAGGGUACAUAGUUGCACUACUGCAAUCUCUCAACAAUGCUAACAUAGUUAGAUCCCUCAACGUGCAACAAAGAAUCACUCCAAGGUUCCUAUCUAGUGGAGAACAAUAAGAUGAAAUUGGUGUAGGUAGUAGAACCACCUCAAAGUUUUUCUUUCCAAUCAAUCUAUUCAAGAGUUCAUACUAAGAUAACAUCAAGCUAUCCUUUUCGUUCAAUCUAUUCAAGAGUUCGUACUAAGAUAACAUCAAGCUAUCCUUUCCAUUCGAUCUAUCUAAGAGUUUGUGCUAGAAGAACACCAAUGAUACAUAUCAAUCGACCCUAAUGUCACCUAGAUACGCAAAUGUCACCUCAAGUAUCCGUGGGUAAAUUAUGCAACAUGCAUCAAACAAUUCUAGAGCUAUCAUAUUCAAUCCAAGACAAAGAACGUGCAAGGAGCACCCCAAGAUUUCCAUCGGAGAACAUGGUAUGAGAACGUGCAAUCAACCCCUAUGCAUCGGUCCCCAAGGUCACCGGAACCCGCAAGUUGAUGCCUCAACAUAUAUCAAGUGAAUCAAUAGAAUACCCCAAUGCCACUACGGGUAUCGCACGCAAGACAUACAUCAAGUGUUGUCAUACCAAUAUGCUCAAUCCAACAUGAUGAGAUCUUAAAGGAAAAGACUCAAUUCAUCACAACUAGAUGGUAAGGGAAAUACAUCAUAUGGUCCAACUAUAUUAACAAAGCCCAUUUUCUUGAGAUCGUGCUAUAUCAAAAACAUGAGAGAGAGAGAGAGAGAUUGAACACAUAGGUACUGGUAUAUACCCUCAGCCUCGAGGGUGAAAUACUCCCUCCUAGUCAUAGACCACAACAUGUCCCUAGUGAGCCUCUUGUUGGCUAGCUCGUUGAUCAAUAUAUGGUAAUGGUUUCCUGAUCAUGGACAUUGGAUGUCAUUGAUAAUGGGAUCACAUCAUUAGGAGAGUGAUGUGAUGGACAAGACCCAAUCCUAAGCAUAGCACAAGAUCGUGUAGUUUGUGUGCUAGAGCUUUCGUAAUAUCAAGUAUCAUUUCCUUAGACCAUGAGAUUGUGCAACUCCCGGAUACCGUAGGAGUGCUUUGGGUGUAUCAAACGUCACAACAUAACUGGGUUAUUAUAAAGGUGCACUACGGGUAUCUCCGAAAGUGUGUGUUAGGUUGGUACGAAUCGAGACUAGGAUUUGUUGCUCCGUGUGACGGAGGAGUAUCUCUGGGCCCACUCGGUAAUGCAUCAUCAUAAUGAGCUCAAUGUGACUAAGAAGUUAGCCAUAUGAUGAUGUGCUACGGAACGAGUGAAAAGACUUGUCGGUAACGAGAUUGAACAAGGUCUAGGGAUACCGACGAUCGAAUCUCGGGCAAGUAUGAUACCGGUAGACAAAUGGAAUUGCAUACGGGAUUGAGAAUCCUCGACAUCGUGGUUCAUCCGAUGAGAUCAUCGUGGAACAUGUGGGAGCCAACAUGGAUAUCCAGACCCCGCUGUUGGUUAUUGGCCGGAGAGGUGUCUCGGUCAUGUCUGCAUGUUUCCCGAACCCGUAGGGUCUACACACUUAAGGUUCGGUGACGCUAGGGUCGUUAUGGUAGUCAUAUAUGUGGUUACCGAAAGUUGUUCGGAGUCCUGGAUGAGAUCCCAUACGUCAUGAGGAGUUCCGGAAUGGUCCGGAGGUAAAGAUUUAUAUAUGGGAAGUCCUAUUUUGGCCACCGGAAAAUGUUCGGGAUUAUUCGAUAUUUUACCAGGAAGGUUCUAGAAGGUUCCGGAGUGGGGCCCACCUGCAUGGGGGACCCACAUGAACGUGGGUAGUGGGGGCAAGGCCCCACACCCCUGGUCAAGGCACCGCAAGAUCCCCCCUUAGAAGGAAUAAGAUCAUAUCCCGAAGGGAUAAGAACAAGAUCCCUAAAAAGGGGGAUCACAAUUGGUGGGGAAGGGAAAGAUGGGAUUUCUUUCCUCCCACUGCUAACGCCCCAAUGGACUUGGAGGGCAAGAAACGAGCCCCUUCCACCCCUAUAUAUAGUGGUGAGGCGCAUGGGAGCUGAACCCUAGCCCCUGGCGCAGCCCUCCCCCUCCUACACCUCCUCAUCCUCCGCGGUGCUUGGCGAAACUCUACCGGAGAACCACAUAGCUCAACCGCCAACAUGCCGUCGUGCUGCCGGAGUUCUCCCUCAACUACUCCUCCCUCCUUGCUGGAUCAAGAAGGAGGAUACGUCCUCGGGCUGUAGGUGUGUUGAACGCAGAGACACCGUGUCGGGACCCCGAUCCUAAGCCAUAGGAAUUCUGCCUGUAACACAUCGCAUCCCUUUGUGGUCUCACGCACGGUUAACUCCACGGCUGCAGCCUUACCUUAGCCGGGACAGUUUGCGUCUUUUGACUCACGUAUGCAUUAGUGUCGCUAGCAUUCCAAUGUCAAAGAACCCGGAUCAACAAGUCUAGUCAUAAACCAAAGUGGCAGUACCGCACAAGGACAUGCAUACAUGACCCAACAAAGCAGGUGUCGGUCACAACGAGUGUAGACGAGUCGUAGCAAGCUACAAGGACUCCAUUACAUCGCGUGACAUUUCCCCAAAGGGGACAGACACAUCAUCUAAGAAGGACACAUGCCGGUCAACCAAUGUGUCCGGAGCAGUAGCAAGCUACCAUGGCUCGUUGGAUCACAAAGGGGCAUUUCCCUGUAAGGAGUGCUACUAAAAUUCACGACUAGGUAAUCGAACCCCAUACAUAUCAAUUACGACACACGUACGCAUGGCAUACUGAUAUGUAUAGAUAUAUCGAUGGCAUCAGAACAUAACCAUAAACAUACAAGCUUUAUUUAAGAGGCUCAGAAGAGCCACACACAUAAUAUUACACAGUAAGGGUCUCACGACCCAAUAGCAGUCAUUCAGUUACAAGCCAACGGAAGAGUUUAAAACUGUCUGAGUAUAGACAGGUGCAACUAAAGGGGCACAUGGCCUGACUAUACUACAGAUCCAACGUAGGGCCAGAUCGUAGCUGGGACACCAGCUACUCGUCGUCGUCGAUGUCUACGAAGAAGCCUCCAUUAGGGUCAUUAGCAACCUCUGCAACAUUUAUUAAGCAAACAUGAGUACGAAGGUACUCAGCAAGACUUUAGGAUAACUAUCUACUCAUGCAAUGUAUCAAAAGGUAUUGUGGGGUUUCAUGCGGAAAGCCAGCAUUUGACUCGUGGCUAGACAACUUGCAUUUUUAAAUAAUUUUGACAACUUGAUUUCUCGCACACGAGUCCACUAACACCACAACAAUACACCAUCGUGGAAUCAUUCCGUCUCCAUACGGAAUUGCCGUCCACGACACUCACGGUUAUCUCACUACUAGGAAAAGGGCUAUAGAUGAAAUAGAUACUAAUGGCGCACCACACAAGCCGUGCGCCACUACUAUAUAGUAAUGGCGCACCAUGUGAGGUGUGCCAUUAGUGUGGUGGAUACUAAUGGCGCACCACACUCUCGGUGCGCCACUACUAUUUUUUUUUUGCAAAACUACUAAUGGCGCACCAGCACCUGGUGCGCCAUUAGUAACCUGGUUACUAAUGGCGCAUCUGUUAGUAGUGCGCCACUACUAUAAAAAAAAUUUGUUUUUUUUUGCAAACUACUAAUGGCGCACCAAAGCUAGUGCGCCAUUAGUAACCAGUGUUACUAAUGACGCAUCUGUUGGUGGUGCGCCACUACUAAUUUUUUUUUACAGAACUACUAAUGGCGCACCGGAGGAGGUGCGCCAUUAGUUACCAGGUUUACUAAUGGCGCAUAUGUAGGUGGUGCGCCAUUAGUAACCUCGGACCAGCUAGAUAUUUUGGACAGCCAGCUACCACACUCACUUUCCCCACUUUCAUUCUCUCCACCUCCUCCUCCAAGCUUGUCUCGGGUGCCUCCUCCUCCUCACCUCAUUUGCAUCAUAGAUUCACCCAAAUUAAGUGGUUAAAUUACCUUUUUUUGAUAAGUAAGUAAGGGGAAAGCUUUUAUGUUGUAGAUCUACUUUUUUCUCCCUCCAACAACGUGCACAUGCACUUUUUAUGGCCUAGCUAGAUCUACGUAUGUUUGUUGUGUUGCAUAUGUUUGUGGUGUUGCAUAUAUGUUUGUGUUUGCAGGUACCGGUAUUUGAAAUGCGAUAGUUGCCAAUAUUUUCCCGAAAUGUUGAUUCAUUUCCGUUUCGGCGAGAAUUUGGCACUAUGCAUUCUUUUUUGUCCUAUUUUUAGGCAAAGUCAUGCCAAUUUUUUUUUGGUUCUAAAAUAUCGUUUUGCUCUACCCCGCAGGCGACCAUGGUCCGCACGAUGACCGAAGGCAUCGUGAAUAGGUUUUUGAGCUCCGCGAAGGCCGAGAUGCUUCAAAAGAACGAGACGGAGAUAAGAUGUCCGUGUCGAAGAUGCAAGCUGAAGAGCCUUAUGGACCCGGAUUCCGUAAAGGUGCGGGACCACCUGCUCUUGCGUGGUUUCAUGGAUGGCUAUCGGUGGCAAGGUGAUGAAGAUGAUUAUGAAGUCGUCCAUGGGGGCCGGGAAAGAUAUGAGGAAGGGCAUGAGCAAGACAACCACGGCGAGGGCGGGCGAGAAGACAAAGAAUCUCCAGGACACAGUCAUCAUGUAGAAGAUGCCGGACAUGAUGAUGAGGAAGAUGCCGGAGCAGACGAAGGGCAUGAUCAUGAAGAUGAAGAUGCCGGAGCAAACGACGAUGGACCAUCGAUGGCCUGGGUGCAGGACCCUCAUAUUCAAGAGCUGCUUCUCAAGCAGACGGAUAACGCAAGAGCUGCCGCCCGAGAGAAAGCCAAGCUGGAUCAACUGGAGAUAGACGCGGUUACUCCAUUGUAUGAAGGAUGCAGGGCCGAGGAUAACCGCCUGAAAGUAACGCUCAUGGCUCUGGAGAUGAAGGUAAAACACAAAAUGACCGACGCAUGCUUCGACGAGAACAUGUCAUUCUGGCACGAACGUCUUCCCAAGGGGAACAAGUGCCCGACCAGUUUCGAGGAGGCGAAGAAAAUCGUGUGUCCUCUAGAUUUACCACACGUGAAAUACCAUGUGUGCAUGAACAAUUGCAUCAUUUAUCAGGACGAGCAUGGGGAGUCUACCAUAUGUCCGGUGUGCGGUGUCAGUCGAUACAAGAAGAGGAAGAAAGCUCCUCGAAAAGUGGUAUGGUACUUUCCGAUCACUCCUUGUCUGCAACGGUAUUUCGCGGACCCUAAGGUAGCAAAGCUCCUGCAUUGGUACGCGGAUAGGGAGGAGAAAAAGCGAGAAGAUGACGGAAAUGAUCCGGAGAUAAAUAAAAAAGACAAGAUGCUGAGUCACCCUAAGGAUGCGAGCCAGUGGCAAGCGUUGAACUAUGAAUACCCAGAAUUUGGGGACGAUCCAAGGAACAUCGUGCUGGGCGCGAGCACCGAUGGAGUCAAUCCGUUUGGCAGCCAGAGAAGCACACAUAGCACCUGGCCUGUGUUUGUGUGGAUGUACAACCUUCCCCCCUGGUUGUGCAUGAAGAGGAAGUACAUUCACAUGAGUAUGCUAAUUGAAGGGCCGAAACAACCAGGGAACGACAUCAAUCUAUAUCUAGGGCUGCUGAAAGAGGAGCUAGACACGUUGUGGAAAACGCCAGCCAAUACGUGGGACGCCGCAGAGAAAGAAUAUUUCCCUAUGGGAGCCGCACUGCUCACGAUGGUGCACGACUAUCUCGGUUACGGAUAUGUCGCGGGGCAGGUGGUCCACGGAUUUUCUGGAUGCGUCAGGUGCAUGGAUGACACAAUGUAUCGCCAGCUAGACAGAGAUCCCGGGUCUUCAAAAACCGUGUUCAUGGGACAUCGAAGGUGGCUUCGCGACGAUGACACAUGGGGAAAACGCAAGGAUCUGUUCGAUGGUGAAACCGAACCCCGAAGACGCCCCCUUAUGAGGAGCGGCGAGGAAAUAUACAAGCUGUUGAAAAAUUGGAAAGAGAGCCCACCGCCGGGAAAGGCGCCAGAGCCGGGAAAGAAGCGAAAAGCGCCAGAGCCGCUGCUGAAGGUAUGGAAAACAAGGUCUGUUUUCUGGGACUUGCCGUACUGGAAGAUCCUGUGUGUGCCUCACAGCCUUGAUGUCAUGCAUAUCAUGAAGAACGUGUGCGAGAGUCUGCUUGGUACCCUGCUCAACAUGCCAGAGAGGACCAAAGAUGGACCGAAAGCAAGGGCAGACUUGAAAUCAAUGGGCAUCAGGGAGGAGCUUCACACUAAUAAUGAUGAUGAUGAUGAUGAGGCGAAGCAGGACACAGAAAGUCGUCUCAAAGGCAAAAAGUCCAAGAAGACCGGAAAUGACUUCCCUCCCGCGUGCUUCACUCUAAGUCAGGAGGAGAUCGAUCAGUUUUUCACCUGCCUCGUAGGAGUAAAACUUCCUUACGGUUACGCGGGGAAGAUAAGCAGAUACCUAGACUCAGCGAAGCAGAAGUUUUGCGGGAUGAAGUCUCACGACUGUCACGUGCUGAUGACGCAGAUACUUCCAGUUGCAAUCCGUGGGAUCAUGGACGCGCACGUCCGUGAAACGCUAUUUGGCCUAGGCAACUUUUUCGACGUCAUCUCUCAGAAGUCGGUUGGCGUGAGGCAACUCAGAAGGUUACAGGAAGAGAUCGUGGUGAUACUAUGCGAGCUUGAGAUGUACUUCCCGCCAGCAUUCUUCGAUGUUAUGGUGCAUCUGCUGGUCCAUAUCGUGGAGGAUAUCAUCCAACUCGGGCUGACGUUCCUGCACAACCUGAUGCCGUUCGAAAGGAUGAAUGGUGUCAUCAAAGGAUACGUUCGCAACAUGUCACGUCCAGAGGGAAGCAUUGCCAGGGGCUUUCUGACCGAAGAGUGCAUCUCCUACUGCACGAAUUAUCUAGGCAUCGAGAACCCCGUUGGUCUGCCCGUCAACAGGCACCUCGGCAGGCUCGCAGGAUGGGGUCACCGUGAGGGUCGCCUCGAAAUGCAUGUCGACUUCGAGGGUCGACUCGCCGAAUUUGAAAGAGCAAAUCUAGUCGCGCUACAACACAUAGACGUGGUCGAUCCUUGGGUCGUAGAGCACAAAACCUUUAUUGAAAAGACGUACAAUGACCGAGGCCAACAGAGGACGGACGGAGAUAUAACCAAAGAGCACAACUCAUGUUUCACGCGUUGGAUAAAGCAGAAGCUUCUGUCGUACCCUUUACAUGAGGAUUCUUCCACGGAAGAACAACUCAUAUUCGCCUUGUCACACGGCGCCGAGCACAACCUCAUGACGUAUGAGGCGUACGGUACCAACGGCUACACAUUCUACACUGAGGGAAAGGACAUGAAGAGCGAUGGUUAUCAGAACUCCGGGGUAACGAUGGAAUCCUACACCGGUAACGACAAGGACAAAUACUACGGAAGGAUCGAGGAGAUCUGGGAGCUGAGCUACGCUGGAGAGAAGGUCCCGAUGUUCCGUGUCAGAUGGGCCAAGAGCGUCAUAAAAGAAGACCGGUAUUUCACCACCAUGGUUAUACCCGAAGCCAAAUCCAAGACCGCGGGCGCAAACGUCACCGCGAAAAAUGAGCCAUGGGUACUGGCUUCCCAAGUGGACCAAUGCUUCUUCAUUACCGACCCGCCAAAGCCCAGUCGUGUUGUCGUGAGGAGAGGCAAAAGGAAGAUCAUCGGAAUGGAUGGAGUCUCCAAUGAGCAAGACUUCGACAAGUACGGCGACCCGAAGAUGGAAUAUGACGACGAUGAUGAAGUACCAGCAUACACCACAAGAAGAAGCAGGACCACCCUACCUAAAGGACGUUCGUUCAAGAGAAGAACUCCAUUUACGAAAAAUAAGGGCAAGAAGAUUGUGAACAAAUAGCUAGCUAAGAUCGAUUGUAUUUAAAUUUGAUGAUAUUUUUUCAUAUUCAAUAUUGAAUAUUCAUGAGGACACUCGAUCUCGAUCCCCUCCAUCUCGAUCGCUAUCACCCCUCGCAAGAUCCCCCUCGCCGCCGAGCACCCCCGCACCCUCCCCCGCUCCACCGCCGUCGCCGUCGGCAUACUUACCACUAGAACACCUAUUCACAAGAUACUAGGCACUUCUCAAAAAAAUACUAGGCACUUCUCAAACCAAGGUGCAACCAGCACAAGAAAACAAUGCAAAAAAAAUACUAGGCACUAGAUGUUGUUGUGAGGCACUAGAUAUUCAUAGGCAUCUAAUUGCAAACAUCAAAAAAAAUACUAGACAUCUACUUGCAAACAUAAAAAAAAUACUAGGCACUUCUCAAACCAAGGUGCAACCAGCACAAGAAAACAAUGCAUAGAAAAAAAAGGAAAAAAAAAGAGGGGGGAACAGGAUUCGAACCCGCAACCUCCUGCUAGGAGGCAAAACCCACGGACCACUACGCUGCUACUUCAGAGGUUAACAACAUAGAGAAGGCGCACCUCAUAUACAUGCACCAUUACUACAUAAAAAACCAUUCUAAUGGCGCACCGCUCGGGGUGCGCCAUUCCUAAGCCGGAUCGCGCCCUCCUCUCUUCUCCCGCGGCCUCCCCCCUACCCCUUUCCACCAAAGAGCAGCUCCCCCACCUUCGUCCACGCAGCCCACGGAGCUCUGGCGGCGCUAGGGUUUGCUCCGCCUCUGCCUCCGCCGCCGCCGCCGCCUCCGCCUCCGGCACGUAGCCGCCGGCCGUCCCGUCACCGCCUCUGCCCGCCUUGCCGCCCUUUCUCGUCGCCGGACGCCCAUCUUCCCAGAUCCUCGGCACCUGCCUCUCCGUCGCGCCCUCGACCUGCACGGCGCUCGGCGCCAGCUGCGCCACCGCCCCAGGCCGUGACCCCGCUGCCCUGCCCCGCCGCGUGGCGCCCCUGCAAGCCGGCGGCAGCCACCGACCGCCCAGUCUGCACCCCGACACUUGGCUUAGUCUGAUUUGAGGUACCAUUUUACAAUUCCCCAAUUUUUUGGUUUAGGGUUAGGCGGUUAGCUUCAUUGCUCGCUGAUUUGUUGUGUUGUGCAUACUCGACUACAGUACAUGAACAUGAACUGGUUAAUUUAGCACAUCAUUUUUGUUCAAUUCUGUCAUUGAUUGAUAAAUGGUAAAUUCAUAUUCAUAUUCAUGAGGUUAUCAGGGUUUCUUGCUUUAGUUGCAGUCCUGCUAAGUUUGUAAUUAAAUAGUCCAAACAAAGUGGCAGGUGAUGCUGCAAGGUUAUAUUUUUUCUGCUGGUUUAGCUUAUAUUGGUUGGCAUGGAUGAGUGUUAAGUCACUGAAUAUUGUUUAUGUUUUGAUCUUUAGUUGGCUAUAUAUAAGUUUCACCUGCUGGCUCAAGUUUACUUUAAUGAUGCAAGUUAAAUAUAUAGCUACAAGCUAAUUUAAACAACAAACAGUGGCCCAUACUAGUGUUAGCUCGUGUGGUAUCGCACGCUUGCACAGUUUCGUGACCUCUUUUUCUCUACUUUUGAAAUGUUAGUUUGCUCAUGUGUAUUAAUCAAGGUGACAAACAGCAUGUUGGAGUAAACUUGUAAGGCACAUACUCUUUUGAUACUUAGGUGCACGUGAACUUGCAAGAGAUGCUCGAGCUACAAGACCCGAUGACCUCAUGAAUUCUGUUGUUGGAGGGCUAGCAAGUGGAGCUGUUCUUGGCCGAAUAGAAGGUUGGUCAUUAUACUCCAUGGUCAUAUGUUGACUUAUAUUUCUUUUCAUACUUAACAUCUUUCAGUGACUGUAGUGCUCAAUUCCUCCUUGUCCUUAUGAAUUUGAUCUCUAUAGUACACCAAGCAAGCUUAUAUAUCUGAAAAACUUAAGUUUAUGAUAUCACACAUACUAGCAGAUAAAGAUGCAUAUUAUAUUACAUUACGCACUGAAGCUCAGGGAAAUGUGCGAUUAUAGUCAGUCAUGUGCGUUCUGGUGGAGCUUGUGCAAAUGCUUAGAAGGUUGGUUCUGUGCCAACUAGCUGCAUUAGAGAUCAGACACGACCGAAAUAAUUUUUCACUAGGCUCGUAUUCACGCAUCUCUCUGCCUUGCCUUCUAUCCUUCCCUCCCAUUGCUCAACUGGAGGUGAGAUGCUGAUGCGUUAGAUAGAAGGAUGUUUUAUUUUCUGCUUCCAUACCAUCUACUGUAUUUCAUUCGAUCGAGAAGGGUUCAGUCCCAGUUCUUGAUUUCUGUAGUGAUUCUUAGAUCUUGCCCCCUUCCAUCCACCAAAUCUUCCAAUCAAUUUUCAGGUUAAUGUCAGGGCCCAACCACUCUGGAGAGCCGUGUUGUUCGCCGCACCUUUUAGAUCUUGGAGAUAUAGAUGGCUGGGCCAGUGCAACAAGCCUAGGUUUGAUGUCUUGGGAUCAAGAACACUCUUGACAAUGCUUGUGGUUUUCCUAGUGGCAUGAUAACUAGCAUAUGACAGGAAGAUGAGCACCAACACAAGAGCCUGACACGAUCUAAAGGAGAGAGGGCCACCGCGGAUACACUCGAAGAGCUGAAUCCCCAACGGCUUUAUGCUACCCAUUCUGCUUCUGCUCUCAUUAGAGGAGCCCAUGGGUGAGCCUGAAUUUGGUUUAUCCACUAACUGUUAAUGUAGCCGGGAAGAAGGCCGGCCGGUGUUAAUUAUUGCCUUUAUCUGAAAAAAAUGUCAAGCAUGGCAAUCGUCAGAACUAUCCAGAUAAGAUGAUAUAAAAAUGAAAGUGCUGACCGACAGCUUGGCACAAAUGUGGAACUUGGAGUUAUGAAAAUGAAAGUGACAGGUGCAAAUGCUUAAUUUUGCAACAAGGAGUAAUCAUCCUAUAACAAUGUUUGGAAGAAUUAUUGGGGCAAAGGACUAGAUGGUUCCUGAAAUAAAAUAAACAGAGCACACUAUAUUACUAUGAGUUUUUUAGCCUAGGUGGGAUGUUGCAAGCACAUCAUUGUUAAAUCACUGAAUCAGCGGCCCCUGGCAUCAGCAUACAUACGCCUACAAAUGAGCACUUUUCAUCAGAAUCAACCUCACAGGAUAGCCAAGCGCUCAGGCUCAAAAUUAAAAUCAGGGACCCUUUAUUGCAAAUACACCACCCCGGAUUGAGCAGAGAAAACAACCACUAUCUUCAUACAGUUGACAUUAACCUGAAAACAAAACUAAUUUACAAACUGUACCAACAAACAGUGUGCUCCUUGCAAUUCAACUUGAUUUUUGAGUUUGGUCAUACAAUACUCAUAUGUAGCACCCAUAUAGUUAUAUCAACUGUCAACUGUAAAUACCUCUGCUCCUUGCAAAUAAAUUUAAUAACUUAUGUAGCAGUAUGGUUUAUACUUGUCACGUGCACAUGCCGAUGUUUACAACUUGAUGAAUAAAUUUAUUCGCGGAAGAGAAGGCAAUAUUAACACUGAGCUAUGUAUGUGUAUAUGCAGCCAAGAUAAGUAGCGAUCCACUACGACGACCCCAUUCGCUGCAGGUGUUCUUUCUUUCCUUCUACAGUACAUCAGUAGUAGUACUAUCUUGUUUGUACAGUAUGAUUUUUUUGCUGUCUUUAUUCACUGCUCUCUCAAACGUUCAGCAUAUUAAUCUUCCCAAUGGGGUUGAACCAACAGCCAGUGGGUUUCCAUUUUAAGUUUCUACCAGCAACCUGUGUUUCUAUCUUGGGAUACUUCCAUUUUUCAUGCUGGACAUACGCCUGCCAUAGAAGUAUCCUAGGAGAACAUAAUCUUCAUAGUUCAUCCAUUCCUGCACUUUCUGUUGAAAUGUAGACAUUCAUAGUUCCAUAUAAAUAUUGGAAUGUAGUGCAUCCAGAUGUUAGCAUUGUGGUGCUAGUUUGCUGGGUUUUGUUUACGACCAUCGUGUCGUGAUGAUUUUGCAGGUACCCCGAGAGGCCCUUGAGUUUGCCGGAAUGUCGAUUAACUUCCGUUCCGGCAAAUUCAGGUACUCCAUAUGUCCUAUUUUCAGCAAAGGUAAUGCUGAAAUUUUCGGUGAAUUUUAGCAUGACUUUGCUAAAAAUAGGACAUAUGGGGUACCUGCGACUAAUGCAUGGGCCGAGGCAUCUUAGUACUUAAUUAAGUAGGAUCAACUGCCCCUUUAUUCUUGCUGCAUUAAACCAUAGGUGGCAAUAGAGCCAAGUGAUUAGGCCCAACUUCCCUUUUCUUGAUAGGGUAUAUUAUUAGAAGAUACCCAUAUAUAUCAGUCAACCUAGGGUGCCUCGGCAUUGAUAAACCCUAAAUGAUGAAACCAUAGGGUGCCUCGGCAUUGAUAAACCCUAAACUUUUUUCCUAUUUAGAGCGAAACAUGGCCCACAACGAUGAGGCCGGCGGUUCGGGAAAGUCAUUCUGGGAGCUGUCCCAGGAGAUGGAGGAAGAACCUCACCGCUAUGAGGACGCCGCGGUAGACACCGAUCCCGAGUACACAACCCCUAGUGGCGUCGGGGAUGACACCACUGAUGGUCCCGCCGAGAAUGCCACCACUGAUGAUAGCAGCGCACACACAGAUGGCAGCCAAUCGAAGAGGCAACGGAAGGACCGGCGCCCGAACGUGCUCAGCAUCGUAAAGGAGGAAUUUACUGAAGUGAACUCCGACGGGUAUCCAAUGGCGCCCAAAGAAAUAGUCAAGGGGUAUGCGGUUCAUAAGGGGUACACGGUUCAGCUCGGGUGCAUUCUCCGGAGCACUGUCUCGAUCAACACCGAGAACCUAAGGCAUAAGGACCGAGGGAAUUUGCGCAACCUCCUCUUCACGAAGCUGCACGAAUGAUACAAGUUCCCCUGUGACGUCGCAAACACACGCCUCUCAAGGAAUAAAGUGAACAGUGCCGCCCUCAUGAAGAUGAGCAAGGCCCUAUCUACUUGGAGAAGCGUGGUGAAGAGAAUGAUUGACAAAGGUGAUAGUUAUGAGAAGAUCAAGGCGAAAAAUCCUUCGAUCAGCGAAGAUGACUACAUGGAGUUCAAGAUCAAGUGCGAGAGCAAGGCAACCGCGGAAUCAAGUCAAUGGGGGCAAGAAAUGCGGGAGUUGAACUUAGGGGUCCACCAACUCGGUCCCGGCGGUUACAGAGUGGCGGAACCUAUAUGGGACAAGGAGGACGCGGAGCGUGCCGAGCAAGGCCUACCACUCCGCUUCGAGAAAUACGGUGACAAGCAGACCAGGAACUAUGUCAAGGCCCGGUACAAGGUGGACCCUGUAACAAAGGAGCUUACCACGGAUGCGAAGACCAGGGCGCUUGAGCGUGUUCUCGUAAGGAAUACACCCCAUGUAAUUAGCUCCAUAUGGUUGCAUUCUAAUUAAUGAAGCCAAAUUUCUAAAUGGUUCAUUCCUUCCGCGGGACACUGAAAGCAGUAGCGCGGGUCGUCUCAGAGCUCCCAUUGGGACACCAAUUUAAAUAGGGCGUUUAGCAUAAUGAAAAACAAGGAUAAGUCCAGUAAGCCGUCGUCAGCUGGUCGUGUGGCCGGCAAAGGCUUGUCCACGAAAUGGUCGUCAUACUAUAACGCUGGUGGGCGAAAGGAGAGAAAUACCAACUUCGAAAGCUAGUCGCGCGAGGUUGAAGAACUCAAGGCAAAAGUGGCGCGGAUUCCGGAGAUGGUCCAAGAGCUAGUGCAACACCAAGUGGGAGGGUGAUCACCGCCAUUGUGCCUACCUUGAUUGAGGGGCUGCAGGCGUGGAUUGCGGGCGGCCAACAGGGGCCGCCCCCGAUUCCUAGCUUCACGGCCAGCAACUCGCACAACGCGCAGGAAACACCAUUGGUAUCUCCGGCGCCGGUGCCAUUGGUGUCUCCGGCGCCGGCCGGCACCUCGGCAGCAAGCGGCCCCUCCGUCACUUGCACGCCCGCCGUUGGCGGUGCCUCGACAUUAGCCGAGCUCGACGCCAUCACAGUAACUAAGCCUCUCUCGGCCGAUGACUUCAUCUCCUUGCCUUUGACUGGGCAUCCCCUAACGCCCUAGAUGUUUUCGCAGGGCGCCGGCGCCGACGUUCCAUGCACUCUCCUGCACUUCAUGGGCGGCGAUUUGAUCGAUGUCGCCAAGGGCAGAAUCAUUCAACCGGGCAACCCCAUGUUCCACGGUAAACCGAUGCCACCCACCACGUAUAGGGUUCAACUGGUUCGGGUGCUGCCAGGCUGCGACGACUUGUUACCUCCGUUCCACCCUGCUGGGGCCGACAAAGAUGAUGUGAUGAUCCUCAGCGCCUGCUUAAGCUGGCCCUUGCUUUGGCCGAAGAGCCAGAUUCGUUUGGGGGCGGGGGACACCACCCCACAGACAACACCGCCAGUCGUGCCGGCGCCAAGCCAUGGCAAGACUGCCGCAAUGCUACCGGACAUGCAUAUGGCACAGGAUCCGGACAUGCAUAUGGCACAGGUUUCGGACGACGACGAUGAAGACGAUGGUACAUUUACCAAGGUCGAUAAGUACUUUGCCGAACAUGGGUACGGUGAGGAAUUCUUGGGGCCUCCUUCUCAAGAACCCAACCCUGCAAAAGACGACCGCGAUCUAGCUGGUACCGCGGAGAAACCCAAUUGCAACAGGCGUUGUCUGGUGUUUAGUUUUGAGGAGACGCCUCUAGCUGCUGCCUUCACCGAGCCUCAGAUAGCCGAGGUGCGAAAUAUUAUCAGCCCCAACACACUCAAGAAGGUGGUCUCUGAGCAGAUGAAUUGGAUCCCAUUACAUCAGCAGAAGAAGGGACGGAAAAGAAAUACUAACAAGGGUGCGAGCCAGCCGGCACUGAGUACGAUCCGUGCUCUGGACGGGCCACCUUCACCUAAGGAUAUCUCGAGGAGGGUGCAUGUGGCGGGUAGGCCGAUGCUACCGACUAAUCUGCUCAAUGCUGCAACCGGUGCUAUGCGGAGUCUGCAUGACAGUGUUCUUUGUUUGGAGAAGCGGCGUCUCUCCGAGAAUAAUGUGGCAUACCCGAUUUUCGUGGCCAAGGUGCCAGAGGGAAAGGGCUUUGUCGAUAGCGCCAUCGGGGGUAUGAUCGUCCUGCGGUUUGCUGACAUCUUCGCUAUGUUUAACCUUCAUCCGCUGCACUACACCUUCGUUCGGCUAUUUUUGCUGAGUAUGGAGAUGCGGAUCAUUAGAGACAAGACCCUGGACCUAGUGAUAGUCGACCCCUUUUAUAUGCGUGCCAAGAUCUUGGGCAGCGCUGGGGACCGGCAAGUCGCGAGUUCAUACCUCGAAGGCGUCAUUCUGGCAAACUCAGAAAAGGAUAACUUCCUCGUGCCUUACUUUCCCUGGUAAGUUAUCCCCUCAUCGCCACAUAACAUAUGAUUUCUUAGAUUUUGAUCGUCCUUUUUUUUCUAACAUUCCGUGUUUUGUGCAAUGACACACGUUGCACACUCAUCCUCUUAAGCCUGAAAUAUUCCACGGCCACGUAUUUCGACUCGGACCGUCAGUCAAAAAAAAGACUACACAAAUAUCAAGAAAGUUCUUGAUGAAGCUCUUCCCGGCAACGCCAUAUCUGGAGGCACCUUCAGCAGGNNNNNNNNNNNNNNNNNCAGCAGGACAAGUCUCAGGCAUGGCAAGCACGUGUUCACUCACAAUACGACGUUCGCCUGCUUCAAGCAGCCGCCUGGCAGUCAGAAGGAUGCCUACUACGCCCUACAUCACAUGCGGGCGAUCAUACGGGAUAGUAAUCACCUUCGGCUACCAAAUAAUCUCAAAGAUUGGGCCGCACGCUUGUCGGCAAUCCAGGAUGCGGACAUCAGACAAGAAUUCUUUCGCAUCCAGUCGGAGUUUGCGGAAAUCAUCCAUCAAGAUGUCCUUCGUACCUCGGGGCAGUUCUACCUCAAAUCUCUGCUGUCCAAUAGUGAGAUAGAUACAAUGCUACAAAUGCAGGCUGACAAUGACCGCAAUUUCAUGACCAUCACGAAAGACGGCGGCUUCAUCCAUGUUCCCGUGAAUCGCUACUAAUUCAUAUUGCAAUAUUAAACUUUAAUGAACUGGUAUGUCUCUUUGGUUUGGACAGUCGUUCAACUUAUAUAUAAUCGAUGCUAUUUAUUAGUAGGACCAUGAAUCAUGCUGUUAUAGUUGUAAUAUUAAACUUUAAUGAACUUGUAUGUCUCUGUGAAUUGUUACUAACGUUUUGUUUGCCUAGUGCAGAGAGAUGCCGUCGUAUGUCAUGUACAAGGGUAAGGUUCCCGGAGUCUACGACGACUGGGAGGAGUGUCGGAGACAGGUUCACCGAUUCAGCGGUAACAGUUACAAAGGGUACACCACAAGGGCGGAGGCGGAAGUUAGAUACGCGCGCUAUCUAGCGGGAGAGAGGAGGGAGCGUUGGAGGAACCGGAUGAAGAACAGUUUCAUUGCGAUUAUGCUCAUCGUGAUGACCGCCGCUCUCUUCUAUAUGUGAUGGUAGUUUAGAUGGUCGAUAUAUCGACUUGUAAUGUGAAGACAAACUCGCUACUCGCGGUCUCGAGACUUGUAAUGUUCUAACUUUGUUCAGUAUUUUAAAUUCGGAGACUAAUAUGAUGAAUUGUAUUCGGAGACUAAUCUUCUAUUGUAUUCGAUAAAUCUGUUGUUUAUAUGUUGUGCUAUCUAUAUUCUGUGCAAUAAUAUAUUUUGUAAUUUGUGCAAAUAUCAGAAAAAAUAAAAUAAAUACCUAAUAUUCAUACUAGUGGCGCAUCACUCAGCACAUUAGUAAGCCAGAGCAUAUGGGUAAAUAUGGCCCUGGGAGGCAUACUAAUGGCGCACCAUAAGCUAUACUAAUGGCGCACUAGUAUCUAUACUAAUGGCGCACUGUGAGCAAUACUAAUGGCGCACCGUGGGCAAUACCAAUGGCGCACCGUGAGCAAUACCAAUGACGCACCGUGAGCAAUACUAAUGGCGCACCGUGAGCAAUACUAAUGACACACUACCUGGUGCGCCAUUAGUAUACCAGAUACUAAUGGCGCACUUGUAGUGCGCCAUUAGUAAAAAAAUCUAAUGGUGUGAUGCUAGUGGCGCACCUAUAGUGCGCCAUUAGUAGCAAAAAAAAUGGUGCGCCAUUAGAAGGCCUUUUUCUAGUAGUGUCUUGACAAUUUUAUGAGUAUCCAUUGAAGUUAUCUAUGAACAACAUAUGUCUCCAAGUAGUCCAUAUCCGCGGACGCGGCUAUUCGAAUAGAUCAUAACCCUGCAGGGGGGUACUUCGUCGCACACGCUCUCGCCACUUAUCGCCAUGUGCACGUCAUGCACCUCAGCAACCUUCAAACGGAAGCGCGGCGAGGGAGUCGGCCACGACCGUUAACCACACUAAUACCUAGUCUAGGUUUAUCGCCUAUCUGAGGGUAACCCGCACGGAAGUCCGGCCGAGGUUUCCGCCACGGCCCCAAACGAUGUGCGCAGGGUUCUCAAGCCCACCAUCCAGGUGCCACUUGGUACACCGUGCCACUGCCUACCGCAUCACAGCCCACCUCUCAGGUCAACACCAUGCACGGCCUCUAGCAUGACUAUAAACACCAGAAACUACUUGCAACUCCUGGACCGAGUACUAAGCGAUUAAUAAGUAGAGAGGGUCAAUUAAGUAUCCCAACGUGUGGUAGUAUCUAGUCUUGGAUUACAUACACGGAACUCAGUUCCUAAGGACGGUUCCAAUGAAACAACCCACCAUGUACUCCUACACAGCCUUUCACCAGUACCUUUACCAAAUCAGGUUCAACACACAACCUUUACUUACCGAACACAUUCUCACAAUCUGUUCAUCUCCCAGAUGACAGACCAUACAUAACUCUAAGCAUAGCAUGCUAGCAGGAUAUGACACAUCAUGGCUCAAGCAACUACCAGGUAUGCUAGGUUGCAAGGUUCGGCUAUUUACUGUAACAAGGAUAGGUCAUGCAAAGGAAGUGGGUUCAACUAACGUGGCAAAGCAUUUGAAGCAUUUGAUCCUAAUGCAAAAAGUAAGUGCAGGAGCAAGAGCAUGGGAUUUAUCGGGAUGAUCAAAAUGGUUGCUUGCCUUGUUGCUCAGAGGAGUGACAAUAUUCGUAAGACGGAUAUUCGGUGGAAUCCGGGGGAGCGGAGCCUACCGAAAGGAAUGACAACAAUCAAUAUCAAUCAUAUGCAAUCAAGAUGAUGCAUGAGCAUGGCAUGAGAAUGCAAGGUGACAAACUAAUAUAGUUAGCAUAUAUUAGGUUUGAAGUUGAUUUGAAUCAAAUUCAAAUAUCACUUCAAACGAGGUAUUCUCGGAUACCAUUUUAAUUGAUUCGACUUGAUGCUCAGAUCAACUUGAUGUUAAAAUGCAUGUGAUGACAUGUUAAGUUGCUGGUUAGUAAUUAGAACAGUGUUUGAUCAUGCCAUUCAUAGUGAAAUUUAAAUAUUUGCCAAAUUUCAUUUAUAAAGUAUUUAUAAGAAUUGACUUAUUCAUUAAUCUACAUAUUUGGGUUCUGUAACAUUUUCAAACAUGUUUGAAAAUGGCAUAUUCAGAUUCCUUAGAUUUUUCUGAUACUUUUUCAUAUAUAAAUUAUUUUCAUUGGAGUUACAGAUUAAUUUCUAUGAAUUUUUGAAGUUUUGGCAUUUUUCUAGAAUUCUUUUAAAUCUAGAAAUGCAUUUACUGCAUCAGCCAUACGUCAACAUGACCUCAGCAGGUCAAAAGCGCCAGCCCAGGUCAAACCUGGCGGCUGGGCCCCACAUAUAAGUGGCUCUGGGUUACUGACUUUGUUUCUGAUUUAAUUUUUACUAAUUAAACGCGUGGGGCCUCAUGUCAGUGCCUCAUUAGGUUAACUAGACAGGGAGGUUAGUGCUAAUGACGGCCACUGCAUCCUUCCAGAGAGCUGCCGACGACCACCACAUCCGAUGGCAGCACCUCGCCGGAAUCGGCAAACGGCGACGGUUGGACGCCGGAGACCACCAGGAGGUAGCACGCGUUGGGCCGCAUCCAUUCCUGUAGGUUUGAGGGCGAGGGGGUCGCUGGAGACGACAGGAGCAACGACGGGGCGGCGGCCCGUGCUCGGCAAGAUGGGGUCGAGGCCAGGGAUGCGAGGGGGACGAAUUUGGGGGUGGCUACGGGUUGCUGGGAGCUCCCUGAGCAUGCUGAUGUGCUCAGCAGCGAUGCUCGGGGGGGGCGCUAGCCACGGGGUGCCAUGGCCGGCGGCAGGAGCUCGGGCUCCAUGGCGGGAGGGGGCUAGAGGAAGAGGGGUUCGACGGAAAGGGGGGGAAAGAAAGAAGAGCUCACAGCGGAUCAAGAGAGAUAGGCGGCUGGCUCGAGGACGACCUGUGGCCGGCGGAUCGACGUCGGCUUCCGGCGGCCUUCGGUGGUGUUGACGCGGGGAGACAGACGAGAGAGAGAGAUCUGGGGAUAAGAAUGAGGAGGAGGGGAUUGGAACGGCUCUCCCGAGCUUAUCCUAGCCACCAGGUCGGCGGGGAGGCCAGACGGGCAGGCAGGAGGUGGCCGGCUCGGCCGCCGUGCUCAUCUUCUCCCCUGCCUACUGGCAGGAGGAGGAAGAUGACCGGGGAGCCCUUGGUGGGCUGGGCCGGCGACAAAUAGAGGUGAGCCCUACCUUUCUCUUAUUUCUUUUCUAUUUUGUUUCUGUUUUGCUAAUUCAUUAACUUGCUAUUUAUUUCAGCUCCCAAAUAGUUUGUAAAACUAUUUUAAACACACCAAAAUAUUUGUUGGAAUAUUUCCAACCAUUCCCAAAGUUUUCAAUAUUUUUGAAAGUUUAAAGUUUCUGAUUUCAAAUUUAAAACUUGAAACCAGUAGCUUUUUGCAUUUAUUUAAAAUGCUUAAAGUGUCAAGAAAAAGGUUUUCUUCAUUGCUUAUUUACUUUCAUGAUUUAUCAGAAAGAUUGAACUUUUCUUGAGGCCAUUUUGGGUUCAUUGAUUUUAACUAUUUAGAAUUUUCCCUCAUUUUGAGAAGUGGCUAGGGUUUUAGCAUUUUCCUUCAUAAUUUACUUUGUUCUUGUUGAGAAAUUUCUAGAUGCAAUGCAAAGAAAACAUGAGCACAAGCUAACUUGCUUAAGGUGUCAGGGAUGUGACAACUCACCCCCACUCAAAAGAAUCUCGUCCCGAGAUUUAGAAGUCGUCGGGAAUAACGCAGGAUACUCAAGGCGGAGACGAUCCUCUCUUUCCCAAGUUGCCUCCUUUUCAGAAUGAUUUGACCAUUGAACUUUAAGAAACUUGAGGUUUCAACGUUGAGUGGUACGCUCAGCUUGAUCAAGAAUACGCACGGGGUAUUCUCGGUAUGAAAGGUUAUCUUGGAGAUCAAGCGUUUCGUGGUCCACUUCACGGAUAGGAUCCGAAAAGCAACGCCUGAGUUGCGAGAUGUGGAAGACAUCAUGAACCUUGGAAAGAUGCGGAGGAAGUUCCAACUGGUAGGCAACUUCUCCUCGUUUGGCAAGAAUGCGAAAAGGACCAAUGUAACGAGGAGCCAACUUGCCCUUGAUACCGAAUCGAUGGGUACCCUUCAAAGGUGUAACCCGAAGGUAAGCCUUCUCGUCAACUUCAAAGGUCACAGCCUUAUGAUGACGAUCAUAUUGGCUCUUUUGACGAGACUGGCUGUUUUCAACUUUUCACGAAUAAUGCGAACCUGCUCUUCUGCAUCCUGGAUCAUAUCCGGGCCAAGGAGUUGCCUCUCCCCGGUUUCUGACCAAUUAAGAGGUGUUCGACAUCUUUGUUCAUAGAGAACUUCAAAAGGAGCUUUGCCCAAGCUUGAUUGAUAACUAUUGUUAUAAGCGAAUUCGGCGAAUGGAAGCACUUCUCCCAAUUCAUACCGAACGAUAUAACACAAGCUCGGAGCAUAUCUUCUAGGAUUUGAUUCACUCUUUCUACUUGACCACUUGAUUGGGGAUGGAAAGCAGUGCUAAAAGAUAAGUGAGUCCCCAUGGCAUUCUGAAAACUUUCCCAGAAGCGAGAAGUAAAGAUACUCCCACGGUCCGAGUUAAUCUCCAGGGGAACACCAUGAAGAGACACUAUUCGAGAGAUAUAUAACUCUGCUAGCUGGCUAGCUGUUAUACUCUCACGAACGGGAAGAAAAUGAGCCACUUUGGAAAGACGGUCAAUGACCACAAAUAUAGCAUUAUUUCCUUUCUUGGUCUUGGGAAAUCCGGUAAUGAAAUCCAUACUAACUUUAUCCCACUUCCAUUCAGGAACAACUAGAGGUUGAAGGGUGCCAGCAGGCCUUUGAUGUUCUGCCUUAACUCGACGACAAACGUCGCAGUUAGCAACGAACUCAUCAAUUUCUCUCUUCAUCGUAGUCCACCAAAACCUCUGGCGUAGGUCCUGAUACAUCUUAGUACUACCAGGAUGAAUGGUGAGAGGAGAAUCAUGAGCCUCCUUAAGGAUCAAUUGCCGCAGACGUUUGCUCUUGGGAACCACUAAACGGUUCUGAAAGAACACAACACCUUUCUCAUUGAUGGCGAAAUCCCUAGCGUUACCGCUAGCAAUAUUCUCCUUGAUCCGGGAUAUACCCUUAUCAUAAGCUUGCACAACUAUGAUUUGAUCCCUAAGAGUAGGCUUCGCCACCAGGGUAGAAAGGAAUCCUUGAGGAACAAUGUGAAGAUUCAACUUCCGAAAGUCCUCAUAGAGAUGUGGUUGACCUUGUUGUAGCAUCAAAUUGUUACAAUAAGAUUUACGACUUAGUGCGUCGGCCAUAACAUUGGCCUUCCCUGGGGUGUAAGUUAUCCCUAAGUCGUAAUCCGAGAUCAACUCAACCCACCAUCUUUGCCUGAGAUUCAAAUCCGGCUGGGUGAAGAUAUAUUUCAGACUUUGGUGAUCAGUGAAUAUUUCGCAACGAUUACCUAGAAGGUAAUGUCGCCAGGGUUUUAGUGCAUGGACCACAGCUGCAAGCUCAAGGUCAUGUGUGGGAUAAUUAUCCUCAUGUGGACGCAACUGUCGAGAUGCAUAUGCGAUCACAUGACGAUCUUCCAUGAGAAUGCAACCUAAUCCUUGUCGCGAGGCGUUGCAAUAGGUAACAAAGUCCUUAGAAAAAUCUGGUGGUAGCAACACAGGUGCGGAAGUCAGGCCUCUUUUCAGUUCCUGAAAACUAUGCUCACACUGUGGUGUCCACUCGAAAUUUUUAUCCUUCUUGAGGAGUUCAGUUAGAGGCUUUGCAACCUUGGAGAAAUUCUCGACAAAGCGGCGACAAUAGCUCGCUAGACCAAGAAAACUCCUAACUUGCUUAACCGAUUCAUGUUGAGUCCAAUCAAGGACAGCUUGAACUCUCUCAGGAUUGACAGCAAUACCCUUACCAGAGAUUACGUGACCUAGAUAGGUCACUUCUGGUAACCAAAAUUCACAUUUUGAAAACAUGGCAUAAAGGCGAUGCUCUCGAAGUUUCAUCAAUACCAGCCUUAGAUGCUCAGCAUGUUCUUGUCCGUUCUUCGAGUAGAUGAGAAUAUCAUCGAGGUAUACCACGACGAAUUUAUCCAAAUACUCCAUGAAGAUUGAAUUCAUCAGACGAGAGAAGGUGGCUGGGGCAUUGGUUAAACCGAAGGACAUGACGGUGUACUCGUAUUGGCCAUAACGAGUAACAAAAGCCGUUUUUGGAAUGUCCCCGUUCUUGAUCUUGAUUUGAUGGUAACCCAACCUCAAAUCCAUUUUGGAGAAGACUGAGGAUCCAGUGAGCUGAUCGUACAGGUCGUUGAUCCUGGGAAGCGGAUACUUGUUCUUUAUGGUGACCAGAUUAACUGGUCGGUAAUCUACAACCAUCCGAUUCGUUCUGUCUUUCUUCUUGACGAAGAGGACGGGGCAAGCCCAAGGGGAAGAGCUAGGACGAAUGAAACCUUUAUUCAAGGCCUCAUCUAGUUGCUUCUUAAGUUCGGCUAGCUCCAGGGGUGCCAUCUUAUAUGGUCUUCUGGCUAUUGGGACAGUUCCCGGAACAAGAUCUAUCACAAACUCUACAUCUCUGUCAGGUGGAAUCCCUAGCAGUUCCUCUGAAAAACAUCCGGGAAGUCACAGACUACCGGAAUGUCUUCAAGUUCCGGAAGAGGGUUGGCAUUUAGGGAAUAGAGUUGGCAUUCGGCAACUCGAGUAGAGACAUUUACUAUCUCACCCGAGGGAUGGGUAAGCUGGACAUUUCUAGAAUGAGUAUCAAUCUUGACAUAGUGAGCUGACAUCCAGUCCAUGCCCCAGAUGAUAUUAAUAUCCGAAGAUUUCAAGGCUAUCAACGAGGCUAGAAAAACUAGCCUGUCUGCUAGAAUUUCAUUGUCAUAGGUUAUCCUAGAGGUUUGCCAUUUACUACCACGAGUUUGGACAACCAAUGGAAUUGGCAUAUCACAAAAAGACAUGUUAUGCAACUGUGCAUAACUUUCUGAAAUGAAGGAAUGAGAAGACCCAGUGUCAAAGAGAACAGACGCGGGGUGAUGAUUAACAAGAAGCGUACCCAGUAUGACGUCGGGAUCCUCUGCAGCUUCUUCUGCUGAGACAUAGUUCACAUGGCCACGUGCAGGAGUUGGCUUCACAUAGUAAGCUUUGCUUGACUUGCCUUGCCCGACGGACUUUCCGGGUUGCUUGGCACCCACAUUUUGAGGACACUCAUGGGAAUAGUGCCCUGGUUCUCCACACUUAUAGCAUAUCACUUGGUUGGCACGUGGUGCAGCGUUGCUUGCUGGACCACCAUAAGCUUUUGCUGGAGGGUUGGCCUGAUUCGUCUGAGGCACCACGUAGGAUGGCCUCGGAGUGUAUCUUGGCGGCAGAGAACUGUUUGGAACCCACAGCCUGCGUUUUGGAAACGCGGAACCAGAAGACGAGCCAAAAUCACGGGAGUGCUUCCUUGUGGCCUCGAAGUCAGUAUGACCAGUCUCGGCACUGAUCGCCUUGUUGACCAGGGCUUGAAAGCUUGCACACUCGUGGAGGCGCAGAUCAUGACGAAGCUCAGGGCUCAGACCCUUACGGAAUCUUGCUUGCUUCUUGGCGUUAGUAGACACCUCCUCUGUUGCAUAGCGGGCGAGGUUACUGAACUCGCGGCUAUAGGCAUCCACGGUCAACUUGCCCUGAGUGAAGGCACAUAACUCCUCUCUCUUUCUGUCCAUCAGGCCCUCUGGAAUAUGGUGCAGACGAAAGGCUGCACUGAAGUCCGCCCAUGUGGCUGCUGGUUCAGCNNNNNNNNNNNNNNNNNNNNAGCAGGACGCAUAGCUUCAAAGUUCUCCCACCACAGAUUGGCGGGUCCUUCCAAGAAAUAUGCCGCAAAGGUCACCUUGUCGGCCUCAGAAACAUUCACAGAGCGAAUCUUGCGUGAGAUGCUGCACAGCCAGUCAUCAGCAUCGAGGGGAUCGACGGAAUGAUGAAACUUUGGAGGAUUCAGCUUCACAAAGUCGUUGAGGGACACUGCAGCAUUCCUAGCUGACGAGCCAUAUUCUUCUCAAUACGCUCUAACAGUCGGUUGGUCUCCCUUUUGUUUCUCUCUGCCUCAAGCAUAACUUCCGCCAGAGAGGGCGGGUGAGGCAGGUCUUCCUGCGACGCUUGACUACCCUCGCCUUGCUCAUGAGCAGGGGCACGGUUCAACCUGGUGAACACCAUCCUAACAAACAAACUCACAGCUUAGACCAAUAUCAUAUCAAUACUAGCUAUGGAUUAAGAAUGUACUGAACACACGGAAUGCGGAAAUGAAUAUCCGAACAGCAUGGUAACAAGCAACUGCUAUAUAUACACCAUGGUUCAUACACACCCUUACAUAGUUCAGUACAACCUUAACUGAAGAGCAAACUAAUGAAAUUAUGAAACUACUCAUCAGAGGCUUACAAGCUUCCUAUACAUUAUUUAUCUAGGCCUCCGGAAUUCAUUUCACAUCACAGGCAUACUUCACAAGUCACGCAAGACUGUGAACGUACGGCUACUACCAUACUAUCCUUCCGCUCACAGCUCAGGCAUCCGCAUAGAACAUCUCAUAGAGAUUACCUCCAUGACCUGGAAGCUCAACCUGCGGAUCAGGAAACACUCUAGCUUGAGACCCCUGGGAUCCAUAAGGACACAGAUGUGGCCUUGGUCCCCUGACUGGUGGUAAGAGGGGCCCUCGAAGAGGGGUGACUCCUCCUAUAGCUGGACAGUCAACGUGGGCCGGAAGAUGGGUCCUAACAGGGUUCAGCAUCUCCAUAUCUCCGUACCCUGUCUGGACUACCGGUGCCAGCUGCGUCAAAGCCGUCCACAGACGGGCACGGGUAGCAUAAAGCUCCAUGCGGAGAGCACGAGCAUCCCUGUCUCUGUUCUCUAGCAUCUCAAUAGUGGACUGUAGUAGUGGAUCCUCCAUAGAAGAAUCAAAAUAGACUCCACUGAGAUAUCCCUCUUCACCAGGCUGAGAGGCCGGAACAUAGUAGAACUCUGAAUUCUGCAACAGUGCAUGUCUCGCUCUCAUAAUGGUCAGCAUUGAAUAGGCAGCAUCUUGUACUGCCAUGUCAACAGUGACUCCCAACCCAUAGGACCAAUGGAUUGGCUCCUCGGCUCCAAGGUAGUCUGGAAAUACCCUAACAGUGCAGAUAUACUGGCUCUGGUUGAAGUCUCGGUACUGUUCCUCCACUGUGUACUCGGGGUACCAGCGGUAACCGCACAUCGACAUCACCCACACCAGCAUGGCCGUAUGACCCGGCACAUCAAUGCACCUGGUCAGACGUACCACCUGACGAAAAGGACGGCCAGGCAUCUGUAAAUAGAGAGUAAUGCAAAAGCAUUAGAGCUCUGAAUGCAAAAUUGGGUAGCAUAACGGCUGUAAAUGCUCAAAAACAAAUUUUGAGACAACCCAAAAAUGGAAUAGCGUAACCACUCAACUAUCAAGUUCAACUCUCUGAUCAUCAAACUUACUUCCUUUUUCCUAGGAAUGAAAGAAACCCAAUAUCUCUUGACCCGUAGUCCUAUAAUCUACCGAUCAGAAACACGAGCCUAGAAGAAGAUGAGUAACCUAGUCCUUAAUUCCCGCAGAAAAGACGAGGAUGACCAGAAUAGAAUAACUUAAGAAGAGAACAAGAGUCUUACGUUCCCUUCCACAAACAAUUCCCUUAUAUAUAACUAAUGCAAUUCUAGACUCAACUUCGACCAGUUUGGCUUAGUAAUCCUACAGUCAGUCAGGCUCUGAUACCAACGCUGUCGGGACCCUGAUCCUAAGCCAUAGGAAUUCAGCCUGUAACAUAUUGCAUCCCUUUGCGGUCUCACGCACGGUUAACUCCACGGCUGCAGCCUUACCUUAGCCGGGACCGUUUGCGUCUUUUGACUCACGUAUGCAUUAGUGUUGCUAGCAUUCCAAUGUCAAAGAACCCGGAUCGACAAGUCUAGUCAUAAACCAAAGUGGCAGUACCGCACAAGGACAGGCAUACAUGACCCAGCAAAGCAGGUGUCGGUCACAGCGAGUGUAGACGAGUCGUAGCAAGCUACAAGGACUCCAUUACAUCGCGUGACAUUUCCCCAAAGGGGACAGACACAGCAGCUAAGAAGGACACAUGCCGGUCAACCAAUGUGUCCGGAGCAGUAGCAAGCUACCAUGGCUCGUUGGAUCACAAAGGGGCAUUUCCCUGUAAGGAGUGCUACUAAAAUUCACGACUAGGUAAUCGAACCCCAUACAUAUCAAUUACGACACACGCACGCAUGGCAUACUGAUAUGUAUAGAUACAUUGAUGGCAUCACAACAUAACCAUAAACAUACAAGCUUUAUUUAAGAGGCUCAGAAGACCCACACACAUAAUAUUACACAGUAAGGGUCUCACGACCCAAUAGCAGNNNNNNNNNNNNNNNNNNNNNNNNNNNNNNNNNNNNNNNNNNNNNNNNNNNNNNNNNNNNNNNNNNNNNNNNNNNNNNNNNNNNNNNNNNNNNNNNNNNNAGAUUCAAAACAAUAGUUUGCUAUUGAAAUGAAAACAAUAUUACUUCAAGCAAACUAGCAACGUAAUCAUGAUCUUUCGAAAUAACAAGGCCAAAGAAAGUUAUCCCUACAAAAUCAUAUAGUCUCGCUAUUGUCCAUCAUCCCUACACAACUAAUUUAAAUCAUGCACAACCCUGGUGUUGGCCAAGUAAUUGUUUUCGCACUCUUACUUUCUCAAACCUUUUUCAACUCUCACGCAAUACAUGAGCGUGAGCCAUGGAUAUAGCACUAUGGUGGAAUAGAGUGUGGUGGAGGUUGUGAGACAAAAAGGAGGAGAUGGUCACAUUGACUCGGCGUAUCAAAGGGCUAUGGAGAUGCCCAUUAAUAGAUAUCAAUGUGAAUGAGGAGGGAUUUCCAUACAACGGAUGCACUAGAGCUAUAAGUAUGUGAAAGAUCAAAAGGAGAACUAGUGGGUGUGCAUCCAACUUGCUUGCUCACGAAGACCUACGACAAUUUUGAGGAAGCCCAUCAUUGGAAUAUACAAGCCAAGUUAUAUAAUAAAGAUUCCCACUAGUAUAUGGUGGUGACAAAACGAGAGGCUCUCAAUCAUGAAGAACAUGGUGCUAUUAUGAAGCACAAGUGUGGAAAGAGAUAGUAGCAUUGUCCCUUCUCUCUUUUUUUGUUUGGGCUCUUUGGCCUCUUUCCAUAUCUCCUUUUUUUGUGGGCAACUUUGGCCUCUUUUUUUCCUCACAUGGGACAAUGCUCUAAUAAUGAUGAUCAUCACACUUUUAUUUACUCACAGCUCAAAGCUUAGAACGAUGAUGACUCUAUAGGAAAUGCCUCCGACAGUACCGAGAUGUGCAACGAUCUAGCUUGGCGUUUGACAUUGAAACAUCUUGCUAGCUAUCUUACGAUCAUGCAAUGGCAAUAUGGGAGUGAUGGCACAAGUCAUGAGACGGAACGGUGGGGGUUGCAUGGCAAUAUAUCUCGGAAUGGCUAUGAACAUGCCAUAGUAGGUAGGUAUGGUGGCUGUUUUGAGGAAGGCAUAUGGUGGGUUUGUGCACCGGCGAAAAUUGCGUGGUACUAGAGAGGCUAGCAAUGGUGGAAGGUGAAAGUGCAUCUAUACCAUGGACUCAAUUAGUCAUGAAGAACUCACAUACUUGUUGCGAAAGUUUUUAUUAGUAAUCGAAACAAAGUGCUAAACGCAUACUCCUAGGGGAAGGGUUGGUAGGUGUAAACCAUCGCGUGAUCCCGACCGCAACACAAAGGAUGACAAUCAAUAGAUCAAUUAUGCUCCGACCUCCUAACAUAGCGGUUCACCAUACGUACAUGUUACGGGAAUCACUAUCUUCAACACAAGUAUUUCUAGAUUCACAACACCCUACUAACAUAACUUUUAAUAUUACCAAAUCCAUGUCUCAAAACUAAUUGAGAGGAAUCAAACUUCUCUUCCUACUCAAUGCACAUGAAGAUGGAAGUUUUAUUGUAUCCUCUUUGGGUACCUAUCACCUUUGGGACUACUUUCAUAGCACAAGCCAAUUACAAAGUUACGCAACACCGUUCACUAAAAGAUCUAAGUGAAGCACAUAGAGAAAAAUUGUCUAGCUCAAAAGAUAUACGUGAAGCACAUGUGAGCUAAAUUGCCUAACUCAAAAGAUAUAAGCGAAGCUCAAAGAGUAUUCUAGCAAAUUCACGAUAAGUGCAGCAAGGACGAUUGUGACACAACAAAAAGAAAAGAAUCCUACAAUACAAGACGCUCCAAGCAAAACACAUAUCAUGUGGUGAAUAAAAAAAUAUAGCUCCAAGUAAUGUUACCGAUGGUUUGAAGACGAAAGAGGGGAUGCCUUCGUCCCAAGGCAUCCCCAAGCUUAGGCUUUUUGGUGUCCUUGAAUUUGGCUUGGAAUGCCUUGGGCGUCCCCAAGCUUGAGCUCUUUCCACUCUUUAUCCUUUUGUCCAUGAAAACAUCAACCAAAACUUGAAAACUUCACAACACAAAACUUAAACAAAAACUCGUGAUAUCAUUAGCACAAGAAAACAAACUACCACCUCUUUUAGGUACUGUAGCAAUCUUGAUUUCUAUUUAUAUUGGUGUUAAAUUACUGUAUUCUCACUUUUCCAUGGCUAGUACCCCCCGAUACGAUCCAUAGUUUCAUCAAAACAAGCAACCAACACAACAAAAACAUAAUCUGUCAAAAACAGACCAGUCUGUAGCAAUCUGUAUACUUCGUAUACUUCUGGUACCUCAAAAAAUCUGAACAAUUACUAAGGCCUGGGAAAAAAGCAUAUCAACCAGNAGCAAAAAGAAUCAACUCAAAAGCUCUUUCUGGAUAUAAAUGAAAAAUAAUUUCCUGAGCGAAAAGUUUCUGUCUUUUUCCAGCAGGAUGAAACAACCAUCACCAAAUUAGUCAUAAAGGUUUUGCUUGGAUCAAACACAAAAAGAAACACAAAAGACACAAUCAUAACAGAAUUAUGAUGGUGUGGACACAACAAAACAGAAAGAAAAGAUAAAUUCAUUGGGUUGCCUCCCAACAAGCGUUAUUGUUUAACGCCCUUAGCUAGGCAUUGAUAAUUCAAUGAUGCUCACAUAAAAGAUAGCAAUCGGACACGAACAGAGCAUCAUGAAAUAUGUGACAAACAUAUCUAAGUCUAACAUACUUCCUAUGCAUAGCCAUUUUAUAGGAAAACAGAUUGUCAGGACAACCAGUNAACCAGUAGUUACCUUAUGCAAGGAAGAAGAAAGAGACAAUAUCAAUCUCAACAUAACGAGAGGUGAUUUGGUAACAUGAAAGUUUCUACCACAACAUUUUCCUCUCUCAUAGCAAUUACAUGUGGGAUCAUAAUCAAAUUCGACAAUAUAGAUAUCACAAAGGAUAUUCUUUUCAUGAUCCACAUGCAUGCAAAGUUGANNNNNNNNNNNNNNNNNNNNNNNNNNNNNNNNNNNNNNNNNNNNNNNNNNNNNNNNNNNNNNNNNNNNNNNNNNNNNNNNNNNNNNNNNNNNNNNNNNNNGCGUGCUUCACUCUAAGUCAGAAGGAGAUAGAUCAGUUUUUCACCUGCCUCCUAGGAGUAAAACUUCCUUACGGUUACGCGGGGAAGAUAGGCAGAUACCUAGACUCAGCGAAGCAGAAGUUCAGCAGGAUGAAGUCUCAUGACUAUCACGUGCUGAUGACGUAGAUACUUCUAGUUGCAAUCCCUGGGAUCAUGGACGUGCACGUCCGUGAAACGCUAUUUGGCCUAUGCAACUUUUUAUACGUCAUCUCUCGGAAGUCGGUUGGCAUGAGGCAACACAGAAGGCUACAGGAAGAGAUCAUGGUGAUACUAUGCGAGCUUGAGAUGUACUUCCCGCCCACAUUCUUCGAUGUUAUGGUGCAUCUGCUGGUCCAUAUCGUGGAGGAUAUCAUCCAACUUGGGCCGACGUUCCUGCACAGCAUGAUGCUGUUCGAAAGGAUGAAUGGUGUCAUCAAAGGAUACGUUCGCAACAGGGCACAUCCAGAUGGAAGCAUAGCCCAGGGCUUUCUGAUCGAAGAGUGCAUCUCCUUCUGCAUGAAUUAUCUAGGCAUCGAGAACCCCGUUGGUCUGCCCGUCAACAGGCACCUCGGCAGGCUCGCUGGAUGGGGUCACCGCAAGGGUCGCCGCGAAAUGCAUGUCGACUUCAAGGGUCGACUUGCCGACUUUAAAAGAGCAAACCUAGUCGCGCUACAACACAUAGACGUGGUCGAUCCUUGGGUGGUAGAGCACAAAACCUUUAUUGAGAAGACGUACAAUGACCGAGGCCAAUAGAGGACGGACGGAGAUAUAAUCAAAGAGCACAACUCAUAAUUCACGCGUUGAUUCAAGGACAAGCUUCUAUCCUACCCUUUACAUGAGGAUUCUUCCAUCAAAGAAAAACUCAUAUUCGCCUUGUCACUGGGCGCCGAGCACGACCUGAUGACCUAUGAGGCGUACGAUAUCAACGACUACACAUUCUACACCAAGGAAAAGGACAUGAAGAGCGAUUAUCAGAACUCUGGGGUAACGAUGGAAUCCUACACCGGUAACGACAAGGAAAGAUACUACGCUGGAGAGAAGGUUCCGAUGUUCCGUGUCAGAUGGGCCAAGAGCGUCCUAAAACAAGACCGGUAUUUCACCACCAUGGUUAUACAUGAAGCUGAAUCCAAGACCGCGGGCGCAAACGUCACCGCAAAAAAUGAGCCAUGGGUACUGGCUUGCCAAGUGGACCAAUGCUUCCUCAUUACCGACCCGUCAAAGCCCAAUCGUGUUGUCGUGAGGAGAGGCAAAAGGAACAUCAUCGGAAUGGAUGGAGUCGCCAAUGAGCAAUACUUCGACAAGUACGGCGACCCGAAGAUGGAAGAUGACAACGACGAUGAAGUAGCACACACCACAAGAAGAAGCAGGACCACCCUACCUAAAGGACGUCCGUUCAAGAGAAGAAUUCAAGGGGUUCCAGGGCUAAAUUAUUCAACCACAAGAAAGAAGGGCAAGAAGAUCAUUGUGAAAAGAUAGAUAAUUGUGAAGAUCGAAUCACAAUGUGAUAUCACCUCAUAACAUGAUUUUUUGUAAGUGUCUCUCUCCGUGAGAUUUAUGGAUGGGUUAGGUGUAAACCUUUUGGCUAUUCCUUUACUUUUCGGUUAUUAAGUCAUGUGCAUGCAAUAUGUAACAAAAUUAUUACAUGGAACUAAAAAUCAAAAAUUAGUAAUAAUUUUAGUUAUUACAUGCAACUAAAAAUCCAAAAGUGAUAACCAAAAUUAUUACAUGCAAGUAAAAAGUGAUAACCAAUAUUAUUACAUGCAACUAAACAUCCAAAAAAAAGUUAGUAAUGGCGCACUAGGAGAAGGUGCGCCAUUGCUAUCCCUCCUCAUUUAUGGCGCACCACUAAAAGGUGCGCCAGUGAUAUGCCACUUAUGGCGCACCCCUAAAUGGUGCGCCAUUGCUAACCCUCCUCGUACUAUCCCCUUCUUCCCUCCCCUCACUCGCCUCUCCCCCGCAUCUCCACUCCAACCGCACCCCUCCCUCCCUCCCAUCUCCNNNNNNNNNNNNNNNNNNNNNNNNNNNNNNNNNNNNNNNNNNNNNNNNNNNNNNNNNNNNNNNNNNNNNNNNNNNNNNNNNNNNNNNNNNNNNNNNNNNNAUACUUUUGUCGACUUUGCCAGCCUUCUCAUCAGUAUCUAGGGUAGUUCCGCCUCAGUGACCAUUUCCCUCAUAACAGAAGCACUUAGUCUCGGGUUUGGGUUCAACCUUGGGUAUCUUCACUAGUGCAGCAACUGGCUUGCCGUUUCAUGAAGCAUCCCUUCUUACCCUUGCCCUUCUUGAAACUAGUAGUUUUGCUAACCAUCAACAAUUGAUGCUCCUACUUGAUUUCUACUUUCGCAGUGUCAAACAUUCCGAAUAGCUCAAGGUUCAUCAUAUGUAUCCUUGAUAGGUUAUAGUUCAUCACAAAGCUCUAGUAGCUUGGUGGCAGUGACUUUGAACAACCAUCACUAUCUCAUCUGGAAGAUUAACUCUCACUCGAUUCAAGCGAUUGUAGCACUCAGACAAUCUGAGCACAUGCUCAAUGUUUGAGCUUUUCUCCCUUACUUUGUAGACAAAGAAUCUUGUCGAAGGUCUCAUACCUCUCAACAAGGGCACGAGCAUGAAAUCCCAAUUUCAUCUCUUGGAACAUCUCAUAUGUUCCGUGACGUUCGAAACAUCUUUGGCACCUCAAUUCUAAGCCGUUAAGCAUUACACACUAAGCUAUCACGUAGUCAUCAAAAACGUGUAUGUCAGAUGUUCGCAAUAUCAAUAGACGACGCUCGAGGUUCAGCACACCGAGCAGUGCAUUAAGUACAUAAGACUUCUGCGCAGCAAUGAGGAUAAUCCUCAGUUUACGGAUCCAGUCCACAUAAUUGCUACUAUCAUCUUUCAACUAAAUUUUCUCUAGGAACAUAUCAAAAACAGUAGAGAUACAAUGCAAGAUACAACAUUAUUUGCAAAGACCUUUUGACUAUGUUCAUGAUAAUUGAGUUUAGCUAAUCAUAUUACUAAUAACUCCCACUCAAAAUAGACAUCCAUCUAGUUAUUUGAGUGGCGCAUGAUCCAAAUCCACUAACUCAAGUCCGGUCAUUACGUGAGUUGAGUAUAAUUUCAGUGGUGAACAUCUCCAUGUUGAUCAUAUCAACUAUAUGAUUCAUGCUUGACCUUUCGGUCGCUUGUGUUUCGAGGCCAUGUCUAUACAUGCUAGGCUCGUCAAGUUUAACUCGAGUGUUCCGCGUGUGCAACUCUUUUGCACCCGUUGUAUGUGAACGUUGAGUCUAUCACACCCGAUCAUCACGUGGCGUAUCGAAAUGACGAACUGUUGUAAUGGUGCUCAGUCGGGGAAAACACAAUUUUAUCUUGAAAUUUUAGUGAGGUAUCACCUUAUAAUGCUACCGUCGUUCUAAGAAAAAUAAGGCGCAUAAAAGGAUUAACAUCACAUGCAAAUCAUAAGUGACAUGAUAUGGCCAUGAUCUUGUGCUUCUUGAUCUCCAUCACCAAAGCAUCGGCCUGAUCUUCAUCGUCACCGGCGCCACACCAUGGUCUCCAUCAUCAUGAUCUCCAUCGUUGUGCCGUCAUCGAGGUUGUUAUGCUAUCUAUGCUAUUGCUACUAAAGCUACUACCUAGCAAUAUAGUAAACGCAUCUGCAAGCACAAACGUUAGUUUAAAGACAACCCUAUGGCUCCUGCCGGUUGCCGUAGCAUCGACGUGCACGUUGAUAUUUAACUAUUACAACAUGAUCAUCUCAUACAUCCAAUAUAUCAUAUCAUGUCUUUGGCCAUAUCACAUCACAUGCAUACCCUGAAAAAACACGUUAGGCGUCCUCUAAUUUGGUGUUGCAUGUUUUACGUGGCUGCUAUGGGUAUCUAGUAUGAUCGCAUCUUACUUACGCAAAGCCACAAUGGUGAUAUGAAAAUUGCUAUUUAACCUUCUCCAAGGACCGCCUCGGUCAAAUCUGAUACAACUAAAGUUGAAGAAACAGACACCCGCCAGUAAUCUUUAUGCAACAAGUUNNNNNNNNNNNNNNNNNNNNNNNNNNNNNNNNNNNNNNNNNNNNNNNNNNNNNNNNNNNNNNNNNNNNNNNNNNNNNNNNNNNNNNNNNNNNNNNNNNNNACGCUCAUCGGACCACACACAUCGGUAUGUAUGAUUUCCAACAAGUCACUUGCACGCUCCAUUGUUCCGGAGAACGGAGUUUUAGACAUCCUGUCCAUGAGGCAUGGUUCGCACGUGUCAAGUGAAUCAAAGUCAAGUGACUCCAAAAGUCCAUCGGAAUUGAGUUUAUUCAUGCGCUUUACACCAAUAUGACCUAAGCGGCAGUGCCACAAAAACAUGGCGCUAUCAUUGUUAACUCCAACUCUUUUGGUCUCAAUGUUAUGUAUAUGUGUAUUAUCAUUAUCAAGAUUCAAUAUGAACAAUCCUCUCACAUUGGGUGCAUGACCAUAAAAGAUAUUACUCAUAGAAAUAGAACAACCAUUAUUCUCUGACUUAAACGAGUAACCGUCUUGCAAUAAACAAGAUCCAGAUAUAAUGUUCAUGCUUAACACAAGCACUAAAUAACAAUUAUUUAAGUUCAUAACUAAUCCUGAUGGUAACUGAAGUGAAACUGUGCCGACGGUGAUUGCAUCAACCUUGGAACCAUUUCCCAUGCGCAUUGUCACUUCAUCUUUCGCCAGCCUUCGCCUAUUCCGCAGCUCCUGUUUCGAGUUGCAAAUAUGAGCAACAUAACCGGUAUCGAAUACCCAGGCACUACUACGAGAGCUGGUUAAGUACACAUCAAUAACAUGUAUAUCAAAUAUACCUGAUUUUUCUUUGGCCGCCUUGUUAUCAGCCAGAUACAUGGGGCAGUUGCGCUUCCAGUGACCCAUACCCUUGCAAUAAUAGCACUCCGUUUCAGGCUUAGGUCCAGCUUUGGUUUCUUCGUCGGAUUGGCAACCAGUUUGCCGCUCUUCUUUGAAUUACCCUUCUUUCAUUUGCCGUUUCUCUUGAAACUAGUGGUCUUAUUCACCAUCAACACUUGAUGCUCUUUACGGAGUUCUGACUCUGCGACUUUCAGCAUCGCGNNNNNNNNNNNNNNNNNNNNNNNNNNNNNNNNNNNNNNNNNNNNNNNNNNNNNNNNNNNNNNNNNNNNNNNNNNNNNNNNNNNNNNNNNNNNNNNNNNNNUCCAAUAUAUCACAUCACAUCGUUGGCCAUAUCACAUCACAAGCAUACCCUGCAAAAACAAGUUAGACGUACUCUAAUUGUUGUUGCACGUUUUACGUGGUGACCAUGGGUAUCUAGUAGGAUCGCAUCUUACUUACGCAAACACCACAACAGAGAUGUAUGAAUUGCUAUUUAACCUCAUCCAAGGACCUCCUCGGUCAAAUCCAAUUCAACUAAAGUUGGAGAAACCGACACUCGCCUGUCAUCUUUGAGGAACGGAGUUGCUCGUAGCGAUGAAACCAGUCUCUCAUAAGCGUACGACUAAUGUCGGUCUGAGCCGCUUCGAUCCAACAAUACAAGCGGAAUCAAAAAAAGACUAAGGAGGGCAGCAAAUCGCACAUCACCGCCCACAAAAAAAUUUGUGUUCUACUCGAGAUGACAUCUACGCAUGAACCUAGCUCAUGAUGCCACUGAUGGUGAACGUCGCAUGGGAAACAAAAAAUUUCCUACGCGCACGAAGACCUAUCAUGGUGAUGUCCAUCUACGAGGGGGAUUUCAGAGCUACGUACCCUUGUAGCUCGCACAGCAGAAGCGUUAAUAAACGCGGUUGAUGUAGUGGAACGGCCUCACGUCCCUCCAUCCGCCCCGCGAACCGUCCCACGAACCGUCCCGCGAUCCGUCCCACGAUCCGCUCCGAUCUAGUGCCGAACGGACGGCACCUCCGCGUUCAGCACACGUACAACUCGACGAUGAUCUCGGCCUUCUUGAUCCAGCAAGAUAGACGGGGAGGUAGAUGAGUUCUCCGGCAGCGUGACGGUGCUCCGGAGGUUGGUGGUGAUCUAAUCUCAGCAGGGCUAUGCCCGAGCUCCGCAGAAACGCGAUCUAGAGGAAAAACCGUGGAGGUAUGUGGUCGGGCUGCCAUGGAAAAGUUGUCUCAAAUCAGCCCUAAAACCUCCGUAUAUAUAGGUGGGACGGGAGGGGCCUAUCCUUGGGGCUCAAGGAGCCCCAAGGGGUUCGGCCGACGGGGGGGGGAGGAUUCCUCCUCCAAUCCUAGUCCAACUAGGAUUGGAAGGUGGAGUCCUUCCCUUCCUUCCCACUUCNNNNNNNNNNNNNNNNNNNNNNNNNNNNNNNNNNNNNNNNNNNNNNNNNNNNNNNNNNNNNNNNNNNNNNNNNNNNNNNNNNNNNNNNNNNNNNNNNNNNAUCCAAAGUUUGACAAGAUAAUAGCAUGAAACCAUCAAAAAUUAUAGAUACGUUGGAGACGUAUCAAGCAUCCCCAAGCUUAACUCCUGCUCGUCCUCGAGUAGGGAAGUGAUAAAGACUGAAUUUUUUAUGUAGAAUGCUACCUAGCAUAGUUGUCCUUUGUAACUUGUUUCAUGUGGCAUGAAUGUUCAGAUCCGUAAGAUUCAAAACAAUAGUUUACUAUUGACAUGAAAACAAUAGUACUUCAAGCAUACUAGCAAAGUGAUCAUGAACUCUUGAAAUAACGAGGCCAAAGAAAGUUAUCCCUACAAAAUCAUAUAGUCUGGCUAUGCUCCAUCAUCCCCACACAACGAAUUUAAAUCAUGCACCCCGGUAUUGGCCAAGUAAUUGUUUUCGCACUCUUAUUUUCUCAAACUUUUUCAACUCUCAUGCAAUACAUGAGCAUGAGUCAUGGAUAUAGCACUAUAGGUGGACUAGAGUGUGGUGGANNNNNNNNNNNNNNNNNNNNNNNNNNNNNNNNNNNNNNNNNNNNNNNNNNNNNNAGUAGAGUGUGGUGGAGGUUGUGAGGCAAAAAGGAGGAGAUGGUCACAUCGACUCGGCGUAUCAACGGGCUAUGGGGAUGCCCAUCAAUAGAUAUGAAUGUGAAUGAGUAUGGAUUACCAUGCAACGGAUGCACUUAGAGCUAUAAGUGUGUGAAAGCUCAAAAGGAGAACUAGUGGGUGUGCACCCAACUUGCUUGCUCACAAAGACCUAGGNNNNNNNNNNNNNNNNNNNNNNNNNNNNNNNNNNNNNNNNNNNNNNNNNNNNNNNNNNNNNNNNNNNNNNNNNNNNNNNNNNNNNNNNNNNNNNNNNNNNNNNNNNNNNNNNNNNNNNNNNNNNNNNNNNNNGACCACUAGUAUAUGGAAGUGUCAAAACAAGAGACUCUCUAUCAUGAAGAACAUGGUGUUAUUUUGAAGCACAAGUGUGGAAAAAGAUAGUAGCAUUNNNNNNNNNNNNNNNNNNNNNNNNNNNNNNNNNNNNNNNNNNNNNNNNNNNNNNNNNNNNNNNNNNNNNNNNNNNNNNNNNNNNNNNNNNNNNNNNNNNNGUUAUAACCAACUUGGGUUCCGCUUUUGCCGCUGUGCAGAAUACUCCAAAUUUUGCCCACAAUAAAAUCACCAAGUCUGUCUUUGUUCCUAAAAGUAGUGGUGAAUCAUCUAGUAUGAAAGAUGAAAACCUGAAGAUGGUAAGUGAUCACGCUACUUAUGGUUUGAGCACCAAAGACGACGAUACAUGAUUCUAUCGCUCCUAUGCCUAACUAAGGGCGUUAAACAAUAGCGCUUGUUGGGAGGCAACCCAAUGAAUUUAUCUUUUUCUUUCUGCUUUGUUGCGUCCACACCAUCAUAAUUCCGUUAUGAUUGUGUUUUUUGUGUUUCUUUUUGUGUUUGAGACAAGCAAAACCUUUAUGACUAGUCUUGGUGAUGGUUGUUUGAUCCUGCUGGAAAAAGACAGAAACUUUUCGCUCACGAUAUGAUUUUUCAUCUGUUGUGAUUGUGUUUUUUGUGUUUCUUUUUGUGUUUGAGCCAAACAAAACCUUUAUGACUAGUCUUGGUAAUGGUUGUUUGAUCCUGCUGGAAAAAGACAGAAACUUUUCGCUCACGAGAUGAUUUUUCAUUUUUAUUAAGAAAGAGCUUUUGAGUUGAUUCUUUUUUAUGCUGAUUUAUAUGCUUUUUCCCCAUACCUUCGUAAUGUUUCAUAUUUUUUGAGGUACCAGAAGUAUAUGAAGUAUACAGAUUGCUACAGACUGGUCUGUUUUUGACAGAUUCUGUUUUUGUUGAGUUGGUUGCUUGUUUUGAUGAAACUAUGGAUAGUANNNNNNNNNNNNNNNNNNNNNNNNNNNNNNNNNNNNNNAUAAGUAAAACAACUAACCAACGACCAAGUUGGUUGCUUGUUUUGAUGAAAUUAUGGUUAGUAUCGGGGGUACUAGCCAUGGAAAAGUGAGAAUACAGUAGCCCAUCAUCAACAUAGAUGGAAUUCAAGUUUGCCACAGUACCAAAAGAAGUGGUAGUUUGUUUUCUUGUACUAAUGUUAUCACAAGUUUCGGUUUAAGUUUUGUGUUGUGAAGUUUUCAAGUUGUGGGUGACGUUCUCAUGGACAAAGAGAUAAGGAGUGUAAAUAGCUCAAGCUUGGGGAUUCCCAAGGCAUCCCAAGCCAAAUUGAAGGACACCAAAAAAGCCUAAGCUUGGGGAUACCCCGGGAAGGCAUCCCCUCUUUCGUCUUCAAUCCAUCGGUAACAUUACUUGGAGCUAUAUUUUUAUUCACCACAUGAUAUGUGUUUUGCUUGGAGCGUCCUGUAUCUUAGGAGUCUUUUCUUUUUGUUGUGUCACAAUCAUCCUUGCUGCACACCUUUUUGAGAGAGAGAGACAUGCACUCAUCGUGAUUUUGCUAGAAUGCUCAUAGUGCUUCACUUAUAUCGUUUGAGCUAGAUACUUUUGCUCUUGUGCUUCACUUAUAUAUUUAGAGCACGGCAGUGCGUGAUUUGGUAGUUGGCUUAUGCUAUGAAGAUAGUCCCAAAUGUGCUAGGUACCCAAUGAGGAUGCAAAAACCUCCAUCUUCAUGUGCAUUGAAUAGAAAGAGAAGUUUUGAUUCCUCUCAAUUAGUUUUGAGACGUGGAUUUGGUAAUAUUAAGAGUUAUGUUAGUAGGGUGUUGUGAAUCUAGAAAUACUUGUGUUGAAGUUAGUGAUUCCCGUAACAUGCACGUAUGGUGAAUCGCUAUGUUAGGAAGUCGGAGCAUAAUUGAUCUAUUGAUUGUCAUCCUUUGUGUUGAGGUCGGGAUCGCGCGAUGGNNNNNNNNNNNNNNNNNNNNNNNNNNNNNNNNNNNNNNNNNNNNNNNNNNNNNUUGUAUUGAGGUCGGGAUCACGCGAUGGUUUACACCUACCAACCCUUCCCCUCGGAGUAUGCGUUUAGCACUUUGUUUCGAUUACUAAUAAAAACUUUCGCAAUAAGUAUAUGAGUUCUUCAUGACUAAUGUGAGCCCAUGGUNNNNNNNNNNNNNNNNNNNNNNNNNNNNNNNNNNNNNNNNNNNNNNNNNNNNNNNNNNNNNNNNNNNNNNNNNNNNNNNNNNNNNNNNNNNNNNNNNNNNAUGGCUCGCGCCCAUGUAUUGCGUGAUAGUUAUAAAAAGUUUGAGAAAUUAAGAGUGCGAAAGCAAUUACUUGGCCAAUUCCAGGGUUGUGCAGGAUUUACACUAGUUGUGUGAGGAUGAUGGAGCAUAGCCAGACUAUAUGAUUUUGUAGGGAUAACUUUCUUUGGCCUUGUUAUUUCGAAAGUUCAUGAUUACCUUGGUAGUUUUCNNNNNNNNNNNNNNNNNNNNNNNNNNNNNNNNNNNNNNNNNNNNNNNNCAUUAUUUUGAAAGUUCAUGAUUACUUUGCUAGUUAGCUUGAAGUAUUAUUGUUUUCAUGUCAAUAGCAAACUAUUGUUUUGAAUCUUACGGAUCUGAACAUUCAUGCCACGUGAAAGAAGUUGCAAAGGACAACUAUGCUAGGAAGCAUUCCACAUCAAAAAUUCAUUCUUUAUCACUUCUCUACUCGAGGACGAGCAAGAGUUAAGCUUGGGGAUGCUUGAUACGUCUCCAACGUAUCUAUAAUUUUUGAUGGUUUCAUGCUAUUAUCUUGUCAAACUUUGGAUGUUUUGCAUGAAUUUUAUUUAUUUUCUGAGACUAACUUAGUAACUCAGUGCCAAGUGCCAGUUCCUGUUUUUUCCAUGUUUUUGACCCCUUUCAGAGGAGAUUUUGAAACGGAGUCCAAACGGAAGAAAAUCCCCGAAAAGAUUUUUUCUGGAACGGAAGAAGAUCAGAGGACUUGGGAGCCAAGCCAGAAGAGCCCCAGGGGCCCCACAAGCCCCCACCCCACAGCCAGGGGGCGCGCCAUCCAGGCUUGUGGGCCCCCUGGAGGUCCCUUGACCUAGAUCUUGCACCUAUAAAUUCCCAAAUAAUCCCAAAAAACCAAGAGACGAUCGCAAUUACUUUUCCACCACGGCAAGCUUCUGUCUCCGCAAGAUCCCAUCUGGGGCACGUCCCGGUGCCCUGCCGGAGGGGGGAUUCAGACACGGAGGGCUUCUUCAUCAACACCAUGACCUCUCCGAUGAUGCGUGAGUAGUUCACCAUAGACCUACGGGUCCAUAGCUAGUAACUAGAUGGCUUCUUCUCUCUCUUGGAUCUUCAAUACAAAGUUCUCCAUGAUCUUCAUGGAGAUCUAUCCGAUGUAAUCUUCUUUUGCGGUGUGUUUGUCGAGAUCCGAUGAAUUGUGGAUUUAUGAUCAUAUUAUCUAUGAAUAUUAUUUGAGUCUCCUCUGAUCUCUUAUAUGCAUGAUUUCAUAUCCUUGUAAUUCUCUUCGAGUUGUGGGUUUUGUUUGGCCAACUUGAUCUAUGAUUCUUGCAAUGGGAGAAGUGCUUGGUUUUGGGUUCAUACCGUGUGGUGACCUCACCCAGUGACAGAAGGGGUAGCGAGGCACGCAUCGUGUUGUUGCCAUCAAGGGUAAAAAGAUGGGGUUUUUAUCAUUGGUUUGAGUUUAUCCCUCUACAUCAUGUCAUCUUGCUUAAGGCGUUACUCUGUUCGUCAUGAACUCAAUACACUAGAUGCAUGCUGGAUAGCGGUCGAUGUGUGGAGUAAUAGUAGUAGACGCAGAAAGUAUCGGUCUACUUGNNNNNNNNNNNNNNNNNNNNNNNNNNNNNNNNNNNNNNNNNNNNNNNNNNNNNNNNNNNNNNNNNNNNNNNNNNNNNNNNNNNNNNNNNNNNNNNNNNNNNNNNNNNNNNNNNNNNNNNNNNNNNNNNNNNNNNNNNNNNNNNNNNNNNNNNNNNNNNNNNNNNNNNNNNNNNNNNNNNNNNNNNNNNNNNNNNNNNNNNNNNNNNNNNNNNNNNNNNNNNNNNNNNNNNNNNNNNNNNNNNNNNNNNNNNNNNNNNNNNNNNNNNNNNNNNNNNNNNNNNNNNNNNNNNNNNNNNNNNNNNNNNNNNNNNNNNNNNNNNNNNNNNNNNNNNNNNNNNNNNNNNNNNNNNNNNNNNNNNNNNNNNNNNNNNNNNNNNNNNNNNNNNNNNNNNNNNNNNNNNNNNNNNNNNNNNNNNNNNNNNNNNNNNNNNNNNNNNNNNNNNNNNNNNNNNNNNNNNNNNNNNNNNNNNNNNNNNNNNNNNNNNNNNNNNNNNNNNNNNNNNNNNNNNNNNNNNNNNNNNNNNNNNNNNNNNNNNNNNNNNNNNNNNNNNNNNNNNNNNNNNNNNNNNNNNNNNNNNNNNNNNNNNNNNNNNNNNNNNNNNNNNNNNNNNNNNNNNNNNNNNNNNNNNNNNNNNNNNNNNNNNNNNNNNNNNNNNNNNNNNNNNNNNNNNNNNNNNNNNNNNNNNNNNNNNNNNNNNNNNNNNNNNNNNNNNNNNNNNNNNNNNNNNNNNNNNNNNNNNNNNNNNNNNNNNNNNNNNNNNNNNNNNNNNNNNNNNNNNNNNNNNNNNNNNNNNNNNNNNNNNNNNNNNNNNNNNNNNNNNNNNNNNNNNNNNNNNNNNNNNNNNNNNNNNNNNNNNNNNNNNNNNNNNNNNNNNNNNNNNNNNNNNNNNNNNNNNNNNNNNNNNNNNNNNNNNNNNNNNNNNNNNNNNNNNNNNNNNNNNNNNNNNNNNNNNNNNNNNNNNNNNNNNNNNNNNNNNNNNNNNNNNNNNNNNNNNNNNNNNNNNNNNNNNNNNNNNNNNNNNNNNNNNNNNNNNNNNNNNNNNNNNNNNNNNNNNNNNNNNNNNNNNNNNNNNNNNNNNNNNNNNNNNNNNNNNNNNNNNNNNNNNNNNNNNNNNNNNNNNNNNNNNNNNNNNNNNNNNNNNNNNNNNNNNNNNNNNNNNNNNNNNNNNNNNNNNNNNNNNNNNNNNNNNNNNNNNNNNNNNNNNNNNNNNNNNNNNNNNNNNNNNNNNNNNNNNNNNNNNNNNNNNNNNNNNNNNNNNNNNNNNNNNNNNNNNNNNNNNNNNNNNNNNNNNNNNNNNNNNNNNNNNNNNNNNNNNNNNNNNNNNNNNNNNNNNNNNNNNNNNNNNNNNNNNNNNNNNNNNNNNNNNNNNNNNNNNNNNNNNNNNNNNNNNNNNNNNNNNNNNNNNNNNNNNNNNNNNNNNNNNNNNNNNNNNNNNNNNNNNNNNNNNNNNNNNNNNNNNNNNNNNNNNNNNNNNNNNNNNNNNNNNNNNNNNNNNNNNNNNNNNNNNNNNNNNNNNNNNNNNNNNNNNNNNNNNNNNNNNNNNNNNNNNNNNNNNNNNNNNNNNNNNNNNNNNNNNNNNNNNNNNNNNNNNNNNNNNNNNNNNNNNNNNNNNNNNNNNNNNNNNNNNNNNNNNNNNNNNNNNNNNNNNNNNNNNNNNNNNNNNNNNNNNNNNNNNNNNNNNNNNNNNNNNNNNNNNNNNNNNNNNNNNNNNNNNNNNNNNNNNNNNNNNNNNNNNNNNNNNNNNNNNNNNNNNNNNNNNNNNNNNNNNNNNNNNNNNNNNNNNNNNNNNNNNNNNNNNNNNNNNNNNNNNNNNNNNNNNNNNNNNNNNNNNNNNNNNNNNNNNNNNNNNNNNNNNNNNNNNNNNNNNNNNNNNNNNNNNNNNNNNNNNNNNNNNNNNNNNNNNNNNNNNNNNNNNNNNNNNNNNNNNNNNNNNNNNNNNNNNNNNNNNNNNNNNNNNNNNNNNNNNNNNNNNNNNNNNNNNNNNNNNNNNNNNNNNNNNNNNNNNNNNNNNNNNNNNNNNNNNNNNNNNNNNNNNNNNNNNNNNNNNNNNNNNNNNNNNNNNNNNNNNNNNNNNNNNNNNNNNNNNNNNNNNNNNNNNNNNNNNNNNNNNNNNNNNNNNNNNNNNNNNNNNNNNNNNNNNNNNNNNNNNNNNNNNNNNNNNNNNNNNNNNNNNNNNNNNNNNNNNNNNNNNNNNNNNNNNNNNNNNNNNNNNNNNNNNNNNNNNNNNNNNNNNNNNNNNNNNNNNNNNNNNNNNNNNNNNNNNNNNNNNNNNNNNNNNNNNNNNNNNNNNNNNNNNNNNNNNNNNNNNNNNNNNNNNNNNNNNNNNNNNNNNNNNNNNNNNNNNNNNNNNNNNNNNNNNNNNNNNNNNNNNNNNNNNNNNNNNNNNNNNNNNNNNNNNNNNNNNNNNNNNNNNNNNNNNNNNNNNNNNNNNNNNNNNNNNNNNNNNNNNNNNNNNNNNNNNNNNNNNNNNNNNNNNNNNNNNNNNNNNNNNNNNNNNNNNNNNNNNNNNNNNNNNNNNNNNNNNNNNNNNNNNNNNNNNNNNNNNNNNNNNNNNNNNNNNNNNNNNNNNNNNNNNNNNNNNNNNNNNNNNNNNNNNNNNNNNNNNNNNNNNNNNNNNNNNNNNNNNNNNNNNNNNNNNNNNNNNNNNNNNNNNNNNNNNNNNNNNNNNNNNNNAAUGAUAUCACGAGUUUCUAUUUAAGUUUUGUGUUGUGAAGUUUUCAAGUUUUGGGUGAUGUUCUCAUGGACAAAGGGAUAAAGAGUGGAAAGAGCUCAAGCUUGGUGAUUCCCAAGGCAUCCCAAGCCAAAUUCAAGGACACCAAAAAGCCUAAGUUUGGGGAUGCCCCGGGAAGGCAUCCCCUCUUUCGUCUUCAAUCCAUCGGUAACGUUACUUGGAGCUAUAUUUUUAUUCACCACAUGAUAUGUGUUUUGCUUGGAUCGUCGUGUAUUAUAGCAGUCUUUUCUUUUUAUUGUGUCACAAUCAUCCUUGCUGCACACCUUUUUGAGAGAGACAUGCACUCAUCAUGAAUUUGCUAGAAUUCUCAUUGCGCUUCGCUUAUAUCUUUUGAGUUAGGCAAUUUAGCUCGCAUGUGCUUCACUUAUAUAUUUUGAGCUAGAUAACUUUGCUCUAGUGCUUCACUUAGAUCUUUUUGGAGCACGGCGGUGUCAUAUUUUGAAGAAAUAAAAACUCUCAAUCUUCACUUAUAUCUUUUUGAGAGUGCUCUCUCUGAGUAACUUGGUAGUUGGCUUGUGCUAUGAAAGUAGUCCUAAAGAUGAUAGGCAUCCAAAGAGGAUAUAAUAAAACUUCCNNNNNNNNNNNNNNNNNNNNNNNNNNNNNNNNNNNNNNNNNNNNNNNNNNNNNNNNNNNNNNNNNNNNNNNNNNNNNNNNNNNNNNNNNNNNNNNNNNNNNNNNNNNNNNNNNNNUUCAAGUGCAUUGAUUAUUAAGAGAAGUUUGAUUCCUCUCAAUUAGUUUUGAGACAUGGAUUUGGUGAUAUUAGAGUUAUGUUAGUAGGGUGUUGUGAAUCUAGAAAUACUUGUGUUGAAGUUAGUGAUUCCCGUAGCAUGCACGUAUGGUGAACCGCUAUGUUAGGAAGUCGGAGCAUAAUUGAUUUAUUGAUUGUCAUCCUUUGUGUUGCGGUCGGGAUCGCGCGAUGGUUAACACCUACCAACCCUUCCCCUAGGAGUAUGCAUUUAUCACUUUGUUUCGAUUACUAAUAAAACUUCCUCAAUAAGUAUAUGAGUUCUUCAUGCCUAAUGUGAGUCCAUGGUAUAGAUGCACUUUCANNNNNNNNNNNNNNNNNNNNNNNNNNNNNNNNNNNNNNNNNNNNNNNNNNNNNNNNNNNNNNNNNNNNNNNNNNNNNNNNNNNNNNNNNNNNNNNNNNNNUGUUAUUUUGAAAGUUCAUGAUUACCUUGCUAGUUUGCUUGAAGUAUUACUCUUUUCAUGUCAAUAGCAAACUAUUGUUUUGAAUCUUACGGAUCUGAACAUUCAUGCCACAUGAAACAAGUUACAAAGGACAACUAUGCUAGGUAGCAUUCUACAUAAAAAAUUCAGUCUUUAUCACUUCCCUACUCGAGGACGAGCAGGAGUUAAGCUUGGGGAUGCUUGAUACGUCUCCAACGUAUCUAUAAUUUUUGAUGGUUUCAUGCUAUUAUCUUGUCAAACUUUGGAUGUUUUGUAUGCCUUUUAUAUCUUUUUUGGGACUAACUUAUUAACUCAGUGCCAAGUGCCAGUUCCUGUUUUUUCUAUGUUUUUGACCCCUUUCAGCCGAGAUUUUGAAACGGAGUCCAAACGGAAGAAAAUCCCCGAAAAGAUUUUUUCUGGAACGGAAGAAGAUCGGAGGACUUGGGAGACAAGCCAGAAGAGCCCUAGGGGCGCCACAAGCCCCCACCCCGCGACUAGGGGGGUCGCGCCAUCCAGGCUUGUGGGCCCCCUGGAGGUCCCCUGACCUAGAUCUUGCGCCUAUAAAUUCCCAAAUAUUCCCAAAAAAAUCAAGAGACGAUCGCAAUUACUUUUCCGCCUCCACAAGCUUCUCUCUCCGCAAGAUCCCAUCUGGGGCAUNNNNNNNNNNNNNNNNNNNNNNNNNNNNNNNNNNNNNNNNNNNNNNNNNNNNNNNNNNNNNNNNNNNNNNNNNNNNNNNNNNNNNNNNNNNNNNNNNAGAGAAGCCUCUAGUGAACACUAUGGCCCCCGGGUCUACUUCACACCAUAUUUUCAGCCUUACUCUUUUACUUCGUUGCACUUUCCGCCUUCAGAUCUCACUUUGCAAUCAAUCUUGAAGGGAUUGACAAGCCCUUUAUAGCGUUGGGUGCAAGCUCUUUUGUGUUUGCGCAGGUACUCUGGACUUGACGAGAUUCUCCUACUGGAUUGAUACCUUGGUUCUCAAACUGAGGGAAAUACUUACUGCUCCUGUGCUGCAUCACCCUUUCCUCUUCAAGGGAAAAACCAACGCAAGCCAAGUCUCCGUCAACGUGCCAAUUUNNNNNNNNNNNNNNNNNNNNNNNNNNNNNNNNNNNNNNNNNNNNNNNNNNNNNNNNNNNNNNNNNNNNNNNNNNNNNNNNNNNNNNNNNNNNNNNNNNNNAAUGGGUGCAUUCAAGUAAAGCACACAAACUAUAUUAAUCUUUAUUAUAUAACUCUCACACUCGAUUACAAGGGUAGGUGGAUCUCAAAGCAAAAAUUCUAAGCAAAGCAGAUCUGAAAUUUUAUUUCUCUAAAUCAUGAAAUAGCUAAAGAUCAAACUAAGAUACAUAGCAAUGGUAAAAGUGACGGUGAUACGAUACCGAGGCACCUCCCCCGAAAUCGGAACAAGCCAAGGGUGGUGCCCAUUCCCAAGUACUCAGGCGUCCUUCUUUGGUGAUGGUGGUGAUGAUGCGACAUGCUUGUACUUUGCCUUCCAUGACAUAGGUUCCCCAUUGAAAAAGGAAGAGAUCAUCUCUGGAAUACUGAAAUCUACACCUACACUCAUCCUCUUGAAACAAGAUUCAUACUCAUGGUUUUGGUUUUGCAGAUCAUACAUUUGAGCCUGCAGGUCUUGGAGCGUGUCAUGGAGCUUGAAGAUCAUCUCCACAAUUUCAUUGUUUUCCUUAUUGUUCUUACGGAUAGAAUUCAUAAUCAUGGAGUGGUUGGCACUGCGUCAUGCUCCACAAUCCCUUGGCACUUGAAGAUCUCUUGCUCGACCACAACGAGCCUGGCCUUCACACUUCCCUCCUUGUCACCACCACCAAUCAAUCACACUCCACGACUAGCUGAAUCCUCAGGUGCCGUCCAUACCAACAACAAUCCAGGGGGAGUUUUGUUUGCAAUUAUUUUUUCGAUUUGAGCAUGGAACUGGGCAUUCCGAUUACUGGCCCCUUUCUCGUGAGUGAUAGUGAAUAAACAUGUAUCGAGGAUAACACGCCUAGCAUGGAAGAUACUGACCGCCCCUUGUCACCACAUGAGCGGUUCGGGCAUACAAAACAGAUUAUUACUUGAAGGUUUAGAGAGUGGCACAUGCAAAUUUACUUGGAACGACAGGUAGAUACCGCAUAUAGGUAGCUAUGGUGGACGCAUAUGGAAUAACUUUGGGUUUAUGGAAGUGGAUGCACAAGCAGUAUUCCCGCUUAGUACAAGUGAAGGCUAGCAAAAGACUGGGAAGCGACCAACUAGAGAGUGACAACAGUCAUUAAUAUGCAUUGAAAUUAACCAACAUUGGGUGCAAGCAUGAGUAGGAUAUAAAUCACCAUAAACAUGAAUAUCAAAGAGGUAUGUUGAUUUUGUUUCAACUACAUGCGUGAACAUGUGCCAAGUCAAGCCACUUGAAUCAUUCAAAGGAGGAUACCAUCCUAUCAUACUACAUCAUAAUCAUCUUGAAAUUCAUGUUGGCUUCCAAGACAAACCAUUAUAAGCUCCUAGCUAAUUAAGCAUGGUAUCACAAACUAUGAUCUCUAAGUCGUCAUUCAAACAUGUUUCUCUCAUAACAAUGCUGAAUUAGGAAUGAUGAGCUAGGCAUAUUUACAAAAACAAAAUAGGUCGAGUUCAUACCAUCUUUUCAAAGCUCAGUCACUUCAUCAUAUAUCGUCAUUAUUGCCUUUCACUUGCACGACCGAAUGACGUGAAUAAUAAUGAGAGUGUUCAUGCAUUGGACUAAGCUGGAAUCUGCAAGCAAACUCAGAGGAGAAGACAAAGUAAUAUGGCUCUUUAAAGGAUAAACAAUCAUGCAUGUGAGAGCCACUAAACAUUUUAAUCAUGGUCUUCUACCUUGACCCAAAGAAAAAGAAAACUAUUUACACGGGAAAGCUCCCAACAAGCAAAAGAAGAACGAGAAACCUUUUUGGGUUUUCCUUUUUAAUUACCACUAAGAAAGCUGGAAAGUAAACUCACAACUAUUUUUUUUGUUUUUCUAAAUUUAGACAAACACACGAGAAGAAAGCGAGAAAAAGAAAUAAACUAGCAUGGAUGAUACAAUGGCAAAGUAUGAACACCGACUAUCAAACCGAAUGUGUGAGCAUGAAUAUAAAGUCGGUGAGAAACACGUACCCCCCAAGCUNCUACUCCCAAGGAGGGAAGUAAGCGUCUCCGGGGUACUCCGGAGUGUACUGAGGGUGCCACUGCUGGGUGAGCUUCUUUGGCUCCCACUAAUAAACUGGCAUCUGGUACUCGACUGGUAUCUCGGGCAUGGGUGCCUGUGGUGGCGUUAUGCCCCAAUAUUCAUAGAUGUCCGAGAGCUCCUCUGGCUCCCACUGAUAAACUGGCGUCUGGAACUCGACUGGCGGCUCGGGCACAUGCGCCUGUGGUUGGGCCAAGCCCCAAUAUGCGUAGAUGUCCACGGGCAUAAUAGUGUACCUGCCUCGAUGAAGAUUGAACAAAGAAGGAGCAGGCAAAGUAAUAGUCUCACGAUUACCCUGGCUAAAUACCAAGUUAUAAAUCAUCCUCUUAUUAUUAUCAUUAUCAAGAAAGUCAUGGCGAACCAUGCUAUUAUAAUCUAAAUAUCUCUCAGGAAGAAGCAUCUCUUCUUCCUCGUACAGUCUAAUAGGUAUCUGAAAAUGUUUAGCAAGGCGGGUAGCAUAGAUACCUCCAUAAUCAGCGCCUUUAGUACGGUUCGUGUUCAACCGUUGAGCCACUAUAGCGCCCAAGCUAUAAGUUUUAUCUUUAUAAAGAGCUUCGCGCAAAACCGCAAGAUCUGGGGAGCUAAGAGCCCUAGCUUUCCCAUGGCCAAUCAAACAUUUUCCCACAAAUAAUGGGAGAUACCGAAGCACGGGAAAAUGUACACUAGCAACUCUAGCGCAAGACACUCCUCUCUCCUCUCCUACAUCAAUAGUAUCAAUGAAAGCCUCCAAGUCCCGUGGGCGAGGUUCAUGAAUAUCCCCAACAUAAGGUAAAUUGCAAACAUUGCAGAAAUAUUGAAGUGACAUGCGCUGGGGGAUAUCAUAUAACUUGAACUCAACCAUAGGAGGACUCUUCCUUGGAUAGAAAUUAAAGCUUUGCACAAAAAUAUUAGUGAGGAGGAGGUAUUGUGGACUCUUAUCUUCGACAAAGGCGGUAAGGCUUGCGUUCUCCACCAAGUAAUAAAAAUCCUCAUAAAGAUCGGCAGCGUGUAAGAACACAUCACUUGGCCACUCGCACGCUCGAACUUCUGCAACUCGGGGGACCGGAUACUUGGGUUUCUUCUUCUCAUUUUGAUCUUCCUUGGGGUCAUGGCUCGAAGAGCCUCUUAGGAACCUCCUCAUCUUUUCCUUUUUCUUUCUCUGAAAUUUUCUGAAAUUUUUAGUGACUCAAAAGUAAAGUGAACAAGGNNNNNNNNNNNNNNNNNNNNNNNNNNNNNNNNNNNNNNNNNNNNNNNNNNNNNNNNNNNNNNNNNNNNNNNNNNNNNNNNNNNNNNNNNNNNNNNNNNNNCCUUCAUUCACCAUAAAGUGGCACUCCUCCUAAUUCAAGACAAUAUUAGUUUCUUCACAUCUCUACGAAACUCGAUCGAGGUUGCUCAAGCAAUCAUCAAAAGAAGUCAUGUAAACGAAAAAAUCAUCUAUGAAAACCUCAACAAUCUUUUCACAAAAGUCAGAGAAUAUAAUAGUCAUACAUCUUUGAAAGGUAAUAGGUGCAUUGCANNNNNNNNNNNNNNNNNNNNNNNNNNNNNNNNNNNNNNNNNNNNNNNNNNNNNNNNNNNNNNNNNNNNNNNNNNNNNNNNNNNNNNNNNNNNNNNNNNNNNNNNNNNNNNNNNNNNNNNNNNNNNNNNNNNNNNNNNNNNNNNNNNNNNNNNNNNNNNNNNNNNNNNNNNNNNNNNNNNNNNNNNNNNNNNNNNNNNNNUUUGAAAAAAACGAGAAUAUCCAUCAAGAAAACAAAAGUGUGUGUGUUUGGACAGCCUCUCUAACAUUUGGUCAAUAGAAGGCAACGAGUAAUGGUCUUUUCUAGUUGAUUUACUUAAUUUCCUAAAAUCAAUCACCAUCCUAUAACCAGUUACGAUUAUUUGUGGAAUAAGCUCAUUUUUAUCAUUAGGAACAAUAGUUAUACCUGCCUUUUUAGGAACACAAUGAACAUGGCUUACCCAUCUACUAUCAGCAAUAGGAUAAAUUAUACCUGCCUCUAGAAGUUUUAGUAUCUNNNNNNNNNNNNNNNNNNNNNNNNNNNNNNNNNNNNNNNNNNNNNNNNNNNNNNNNNNNNNNNNNNNNNNNNNNNNNNNNNNNNNNNNNNNNNNNNNNNNUAAAGGGGUAAGCACAUGAGUGGGGCAACCCAACUAUUGACCCAAGACAUAAUUCUGAACUCAUGCAUAUAAAGAAAUAUCCUACAAACUGAACACUUAAAAUUAGUGACGGGUAGUGCUCAGGGCGGUAUUUUCAUCCAAGCCCCCGGUCUAUUAGCCGAUCGCACUUGAUAUUUAUUGAAGAAAUUUACCCUUCGGUGCCAAUGAGUGCUACUUCUCAAACAACAUCGCCAGAAAUUGGCACGUUGACGGAGACUUGGCUUGCGUUGGUUUUUCCCUUGAAGAGGAAAGGGUGAUGUAGCACAGGAGCAGUAAGUAUUUCCCUCAGUUUGAGAACCAAGGUAUCAAUCCAGUAGGAGAAUCGCGUCAAGUCCAGAGUACCUGCGCAAACACAAAAGAGCUUGCACCCAACGCUAUAAAGGGGUUGUCAAUCCCUUCAAGAUUGAUUGCAAAGUGAGAUCUGAAGGCGGAAAGUGCAACGAAGUAAAAGAGUAAGGCUGAAAAUAUGGUGUGAAGUACACCCGGGGGCCAUAGUGUUCACUAGAGGCUUCUCUAAAAAUAGCAAAUAUUACGGUGGGUGAACAAAUUACUGUCGAGCAAUUGAUAGAACCGCGCAAAGUCAUGACGAUAUCUAAGGCAAUGAUCAUACAUAUAGGCAUCAUGUCCGAGACAAGUAGACUGAUACUUUCUGCAUCUACUACUAUUACUCCACACAUUGACCGCUAUCCAGCAUGCAUCUAGUGUAUUGAGUUCAUGACGAACAGAGUAACGCCUUAAGCAAGAUGACAUGAUGUAGAGGGACAAACUCAAACCAAUGAUGAAAACCCCAUCUUUUUGCCCUUGAUGGCAACAACAUGAUGCAUGCCUCGCUACCCCUUCUGUCACUGGGUGAGGUCACCGCACGUUAUGAACCCAAAACCAAGCACUUCUCCCAUUGCAAGAAUCAUAGAUCAAGUUGGCCAAACAAAACCCACAACUCGAAGAGAAUUACAAGGAUAUGAAAUCAUGCAUAUAAGAGAUCAGAAGAAACUCAAAUAAGAUUCAUAGAUAAUCUAAUCAUAAAUCCACAAUUCAUCGGAUCUCGACAAACACACCGCAAAAGAAGAUUACAUCGGAUAGAUCUCCAUGAAGAUCAUGGAGAACUUUGUAUUGAAGAUCCAAGAGAGAGAAGAAUCCAUCUAGCUACUAGCUAUGGAUCCGUAGGUCUAUAGUGAACUACUCAUGCAUCAUCGGAGUUUACAUGAAGAGGGAGAAUGCGGGCAGCUGGAAUUCUAGACUUGAAAAGCAGCAAAUCUAAGAGACCCAUUCUGCACAACUCCAAAAGUCCUGAAAAUUUACGAGAAUUAUUUUGGAAUAUAUAAAAAGUAUUGGGCGAAAGAAAUACAUCAAGGGACCUGCCAGGUGGCUACAAUCCACGGGGGCGUGGCCUACCCCCUAGGCACGCCCUGCAGGCUUGUGGGCCCCCUGACAGGCCUCCGGUGCCCUUCUUCUGCUAUAUGAAGGGUUUUGAGCUGAAAAAAAUCAUAUCAGAACUUUUGGGGCAAAGCACCGCCAUCUCGAGGCGGAACUUUGGCAGAACCAAUCUAGAGCUCCGGCGGAGAUGUUCUGCCGGGGAAACUUCCCUCCCGGAGGUGAAAAUCAAAGCCAUCGUCAUCACCAACGAUCCUCUCAUCAAGAGGGGGUCANNNNNNNNNNNNNNNNNNNNNNNNNNNNNNNNNNNNNNNNNNNNNNNNNNNNNNNNNNNNNNNNNNNNNNNNNNNNNNNNNNNNNUAUUCAUCAACACCAUCUGCUCUCCAAACCCUAGUUCAUCUCUUGUAUCCGAUCUUUGUCUCAAACCUCAUAUUGGUACCUGUUGGUUGCUCGUAAUGUUGAUUACUCCUUGUAGUUGAUGCUAGUUGGUUUACAUGGUGGAACAUUAUAUGUUCAGAUCCUUAAUUAUUAUUAAUACUCNNNNNNNNNNNNNNNNNNNNNNNNNNNNNNNNNNNNNNNNNNNNNNNNNNNNNNNNNNNNNNNNNNNNNNNNNNNNNNNNNNNNNNNNNNNNNNNNNNNNNNNNNNNNNNNNNNNNNNNNNNNNNNNNNNNNNNNNNNNNNNNNNNNNNNNNNNNNNNNNNNNNNNNNNNNNNNNNNNNNNNNNNNNNNNNNNNNNNNNNNNNNNUUUGAUGAGAUGUAUGUUGUCUCUCCUCUAGUGGUGUCAUGUGAACAUCGACUACGUGACACUUCACCGUUAUUUGGGCCCAGGGGAAAGCACUGGGAAGUACUAAGUAGAUGAUGGGUUGCUAGAGUGACAAAAGCUUAAACCCUAGUUUAUGCGUUGCUUCGUAAGGGGCUGAUUUGGAUCCAUAUGUUUCAUGCCAUGGUUAGAUUUAUCUUAAUUCUUAUUUCAUAGUUGUGGAUGCUUGCAAGAGAGGUUAAUCAUAAGUGGGAGGUUUGUCCAAGUAAGGGCAGCACCCAAGCAUCAGUCCACCCACAUAUCAAAUUAUCAAAGUAACAAAUNNNNNNNNNNNNNNNNNNNNNNNNNNNNNNNNNNNNNNNNNNNNNNNNNNNNNNNNNNNNNNNNNNNNNNNNNNNNNNNNNNNNNNNNNNNNNNNNNNNNACUUUGUUAGCCGGUGUUUACACUUUGCCACUGUAUUAUCCAUGCUAGUUUAUUUUCGUUUUCUUGUUUUCUUGUUUUGUGUCCUUUUGAGAAAACCCAAAAGAUUUUUCUUUCUUCUNNNNNNNNNNNNNNNNNNNNNNNNNNNNNNNNNNNNNNNNNNNNNNNNNNNNNNNNNNNNNNNNNNNNNNNCUUUUGCUUGUUGGGAGCUUUUCCGUAUAAAUAGCUUUCCUUUUCUUUGUGUCAAGGUAGAAGAUAUUGGUUACAAUGUUUAUUGGUUCUUGCAUGCUUACCUGUUUAGCUUUCAAAGAGCCAUAUUACUUUGUCUUCUCCUUUGUGUUUGCCUGCAGACUCAGCUUAGUCCAAUGCGCUUAUUAUCGUUUUCAUCGUUCGAUCGUGCAAAUGAAAGGCAACAAUGAUGCUAUAUGNNNNNNNNNNNNNNNNNNNNNNNNNNNNNNNNNNNNNNNNNNNNNNNNNNNNNNNUUUUAUUUUUCUUCUUUUGCUUGUUGGGAGCUUUCCCGUGUAGAUAGUUUUCUUUUUCUUUGGGUCAAGGUAGAAGAUAUUGGUUACAAUGUUUAGUGGCUCUUGCAUACAUACCUGUUUAGCUUUCAAAGAGCCAUAUUACUUUGUCUUCUCCUUUGUGUUUGCCUGCAGAUUCAGCUUAGUCCAACGCGCUUAUUAUCGUUUUCAUCGUUCGAUCGUGCAAAUGAAAGGUAACAAUGAUGAUAUAUGAUGAAGUGACCGAGACUGAAAAGCUGGUAUGAACUCUAUCUAUUUUGUUUUUGUAAAUAUGACUAGCUUGUCGACCCAUAUUUAGCUUUGUUGUGAGAGAACCAUGUUUGCAAUGACAACUUAGAGAUCAUAGUUUCUGAUGCCAUGCUUAUUUAGCUGAGAGCUUAUAAUGGUUUGUCUUGAAUGCCAACAUAGAUUUUGAGAUGGCUAUGAUGUAGUAUGAUAGGAUGGUAUUCUCCUUUGAAUGUUUCAAGUGGCUUGACUUGGCGCAUGUUCAUGCAUGUAAUUGAAACAAAAUCAACAUAGCCUCUAUGAUGUUCGUGUUCAUGGUGAUUUAUAUCCUGUUCAUGCCUGCAUUCAAUGUUAGUCAAACUCAUUGCAUCUUGAUGACUGUUGUUGCUCUCUAGUUGGUCGCUUCCCAGUCUUUUGCUAGCCUUCACUUGUACUAAGCGGAAUACUGCUUGUGCAUCCACUUCCAUAAACCAAAAGUUUUUCCAUGAGAGUCCACCAUACCUACCUAUUUGUGGUAUCUACCUAUCGUUCCAAGUAAAUUUGCAUGUGUCAUUCUCUAAACCUUCAAGAAAUAAUCUGUUUUGCAUGCCCGAACCGCUCAUGUGGUGACAGAGGGCUAUUAGUAUCUUCCAUGCUAGGAGUGUUAUCCUCGACAUGUGUUUAUUCACAGUCAUUCACGAGAAACGGCCCGGUAAUUGGAAUGCCCAGUUCCACGCUUAAAUCUAAAACAUAACUGUAAAACAAGACUCCCCCCGGAUUGAUGUUAGUAUGGACGGUACCCGAGGAUUCAGCUAGCCGUGGAGUGUGAUUGAUUGGUGGUGGGGGAGUCAAAANNNNNNNNNNNNNNNNNNNNNNNNNNNNNNNNNNNNNNNNNNNNNNNNNNNNNNNNNNNNNNNNNNNNNNNNNNNNNNNNNNNGAUUGAUCCGUGGUGGGGGAGUUAAAACUUUACUUUUCUGUUUGGGAACCGCCUAUAGCAUGAGUAGCAUGGAAGAUAUUGAGAACUCUUGGUCAUUGCGUUGACAAUGAAAGCAUGCCACCCAAAAUUAUUAUCUCUGUUUUCAAAGCUUGAGCUCUGGCACCUCUGCAAAUCAAUGCUUCCCUCUGCGAAUGGCCUGUCUAUUUAUUUUCCUGUCAAGCCAUCCUCCUCUAUAUAAGCACCAAUUAGAGAGCACCUCUGUCAUUUUUAUGCUUUGCCUAUGACAGAUCUAUCAUGUAAUCGAGUUAGUUUUGAUGGGGAUUGAUCCCUAGUAUCCACUAUGUUUUGAGAUUGAUGUUGAUACUACUUUGCCAUGCUUAAUGCUUGUCACUAGGGCCCGAGUGCCAUGAUUUCAGAUCUGAAAUUAUUAUGUUGUCACCAAUAUAUGUGUGUUUUAGAUCCGAUCUUGCAAGUUGUAGUUACCUACUAUGUGUUAUGAUCCGGCAACCCCGGAGUGACAAUAACCGGAACCACUCCCGGUGAUGACCAUAGUUUGAGGAGUUCAUGUGUUCACCAAGUGCUAAUGCGUUGGUCCGGUUCUUUAUUAAAAGGAGAACCUUAAUAUCCCGUAGUUUCCUUUUGGACCCUGCUGCCACGGGAGGGAUGGACAAUAGAUGUCAUGCAAGUUCUUUUCCCUAAGCACGUAUGACGACACGCGGAAUGCAUGCCUACAUCACAUUGACGAACGGGAGCUAGCCACAUAUCUCUCCGUGUUAUAGCUGUUGCAUGAUGAAUAUCAUCCAAACAAAUCACCGACCCAUUGCCUAUGAGUUUGUCCUACUGCUGCUGCUGCUACUACUGUUACUUGUCUUGCUGUGCUGCUGCUGCUACUACUGUUGCUAUUACUGUCGCUUGCUACUGUUGCUACUUGCUACUGAUGUCACUACUGUUGUUCCUUGCCGCUGCUAUUGCUCGUUACACCGCCGUUACUCACUACUUUGAUGUUACUAUUGUGCUUGCAGAUACUAAUCUUUCAGGUGUGGUUGAAUCUGAUAAUUCAACUGCUAAUACUUGAGAGUAUUCUCUCACCUCCCGUCGUGCGAAUCAACAAAUUUGGGUCGAAUACUCUACCCUCGAAAACUGCUGCGAACCCACGCGUUGGUGGGCCAUCAACAACAUUCUUCUAGUUCCGUUGCCGGGGAGUGCUAGCAGCAUUCUUCUGGUGCCGUUGCAGGGGAAGGUUUGCUGUCAUCAACAUUCGUCUAGCCAUCGCUAGAGAUUGCAAUCAAGUGGCGGCCGGAGGAUGAACCAGCCUCAUGGUCGUGCGCCCCCUUGCGGUCGGUGCUCCACCACACCAUCGAUGCCGGCGACCGGAGAGCUCGAGGAAGGGGAGGGGAGAACUAGGGUUUGGGUGUCGGGUUUCGAGGAGGCAGCAUGACUGGAGUGGGAGCAUGGACUGUGACCGGUCCACGGUUUCCCAUUUUAGAAGGCAGCGACCACUCGCUUGGGUGGAUGAUAGGUGGGGCCGACUGCGCGUGCACAAUUAAUUUGGGCGGUGGAAGGUAGGUGCAUGCGUGCCAUGCAGCCCCGAUGCGGACGAGAGGCAUGCCCGUUCGUUGUCCGCCUAGACCCAAACCGGACGCAUGUUUGCACUUGGAAUGGGUCGGGACGGACACAAAACGGAUAAGAUGGGUCCAGGCCGUUGCGCACUGGGUUGUGGGGUUUGUCCGUUUUGCCCCAAACGGACAAGGCCAGGAGGGAUGGGGUCGUGCACUCGAGUGGGCCUAAUCCCACGAGCCCGAAACAUCAGCUGAAACUCGCUGAUGUACCUCUCGCCUCCUGAGCCUGCCGCCCGGAGCCCGCCGUGCGCCACUCUGACACCAGGCGUCCACCUCCCCACCCGCCGCUCGACACUCUGGCCGCGGCGGCCACCCCCCCUCUCUCUCUCCUCCCGCUAUGGCUGGAUCCCGCUCGCCGUCGGUGUCCUCCCGGCUGGCCNNNNNNNNNNNNNNNNNNNNNNNNNNNNCCCCCCCUCUCUCUCUCCUCCCGCUAUGGCUGGAUCCCGCUCGCCGUCGGUGUCCUCCCGGUUGGCACACGAGCGCCCUGUGAUGUCGGGUCUCGGCUUCUCUUCAUCGUCUGCCUCCUCGAGCACCCACGAGCAGGCUACGACAUCGUCGGUGCUGAGGUUGGGCGCAGACGGCCGUCGCCACGAAGCCCCUUGUGUUCAGCCGCCCCCCUCCAGGAGAUCCAAGUGNNNNNNNNNNNNNNNNNNNNNNNNNNNNNNNNNNNNNNNNNNNNNNNNNNNNNNNNNNNNNNNNNNNNNNNNNNNNNNNNNNNNNNNNNNNNNNNNNNNNUACAGAGGCAAGCAUAGAAGCGCCCUUGAAGUGAAGUAAUAGUAAUAGGUGCACGCAAGAGUCGGCCUAUUUGUUUAUGGAUGUGAUGCCUAUAUUUACAUGAACAUUGCCACGAAAAUCACAUAACUAUCCACUCAUCUAUCAAUUGCCCAACAGUAAUUUGUUUACCCGCCGUGUGCUAUUUUCAUGAGAGACGCCAUUAGGGAAAGCUAUGGCCCCGGGGUCUAUUCACAACAUAUUGCUAAAACCUCCAAUGCCAUGCUGCCAUUUAUUUCCUUUUAUUUUAUUUUGCAUUUUAAAAUUAUUUACACACCUCAUUUGCUUGCAAAAAACGAGACCAAGGGGAUUGACAACCCUCUUGCCCGCGUUGGGUGCAAGUUGUUUGUUCUUUUGUGUGCAGCCGCUGAAGAAGGUUAUGGUUGAUAUUCCUAUUGGUUUGACCUUGGUUUCGUAACUGUGGGAAAUACUUACGCAAUUUUUGUGCCGCUGAAGAAGGUUAUGGUUGAUAUUCCUAUUGGUUUGACCUUGGUUUCGUAACUGUGGGAAAUACUUACGCAAUUUUUGUUGCGAUAACCCAUUCCUCUUCAUGGAAAACCCAACGCACAUCACGAGUAUCAGAGACGUAUCACCUUCGUCUGACAGCUUUUAGUGAAAGGUCACGGCCGGUCACGACCACUGAUGAGUUAUGAAAGCUUGAUUCGUUAUUCGAAGCAAUUCCUCCAUUGGCACGUCCCGUCAAUAUGGAGACCAUGCCCCAUUUUUUAAGGGAUGUGAUCAAUGAUUUGUGCUAACCCACACGUGCACAACGACACGAUUAUAUCGGGAAGUGGCAAGGUGUNNNNNNNNNNNNNNNNNNNNNNNNNNNNNNNNNNNNNNNNNNNNNNNNNNNNNNNNNNNNNNNNNNNNNNNNNNNNNNNNNNNNNNNNNNNNNNNNNNNNGGAUUUUAAACGGAGUACAAACGGAAUAAAACUUUCGAAAAGAUUUUUUCCGGAACAGAAGAUACGCAGAAAGCUUGGGAACCAAGGCAAGGAGUCCCGGGGGAGCCAACAAGCCCUCAUGGCGUGGCCAGGGGGGCCGCGCCUCCCAGGCUUGUGGGCUCCUUGGGCCUCCCCUGCCCUAGCUCCUUCUCCUAUAAAUUCCCUAAAAUACCUAAAAAAUCAAGAGAUCCACGAAAACACUUUUCCGUCGCCGCAAGCUUCUGUCUCCGCAAGAUCCCAUCUGAGGCACGUUCUGGUGCCCUGCCGGAGGGAAGAUUCGGAUACGGAGGGCUUCUUCAUCAACACNNNNNNNNNNNNNNNNNNNNNNNNNNNNNNNNNNNNNNNNNNNNNNNNNNNNNNNNNNNNNNNNNNNNNNNNNNNNNNNNNNNNNNNNNNNNNNNNNNNNNNNNNNNNNNNNNNNNNNNNNNNNNNNNNNNNNNNNNNNNNNNNNNNNNNNNNNNNNNNNNNNNNNNNNNNNNNNNNNNNNNNNNNNNNNNNNNNNNNNNNNNNNNNNNNNNNNNNNNNNNNNNNNNNNNNNNNNNNNNNNNNNNNNNNNNNNNNNNNNNNNNNNNNNNNNNNNNNNNNNNNNNNNNNNNNNNNNNNNNNNNNNNNNNNNNNNNNNNNNNNNNNNNNNNNNNNNNNNNNNNNNNNNNNNNNNNNNNNNNNNNNNNNNNNNNNNNNNNNNNNNNNNNNNNNNNNNNNNNNNNNNNNNNNNNNNNNNNNNNNNNNNNNNNNNNNNNNNNNNNNNNNNNNNNNNNNNNNNNNNNNNNNNNNNNNNNNNNNNNNNNNNNNNNNNNNNNNNNNNNNNNNNNNNNNNNNNNNNNNNNNNNNNNNNNNNNNNNNNNNNNNNNNNNNNNNNNNNNNNNNNNNNNNNNNNNNNNNNNNNNNNNNNNNNNNNNNNNNNNNNNNNNNNNNNNNNNNNNNNNNNNNNNNNNNNNNNNNNNNNNNNNNNNNNNNNNNNNNNNNNNNNNNNNNNNNNNNNNNNNNNNNNNNNNNNNNNNNNNNNNNNNNNNNNNNNNNNNNNNNNNNNNNNNNNNNNNNNNNNNNNNNNNNNNNNNNNNNNNNNNNNNNNNNNNNNNNNNNNNNNNNNNNNNNNNNNNNNNNNNNNNNNNNNNNNNNNNNNNNNNNNNNNNNNNNNNNNNNNNNNNNNNNNNNNNNNNNNNNNNNNNNNNNNNNNNNNNNNNNNNNNNNNNNNNNNNNNNNNNNNNNNNNNNNNNNNNNNNNNNNNNNNNNNNNNNNNNNNNNNNNNNNNNNNNNNNNNNNNNNNNNNNNNNNNNNNNNNNNNNNNNNNNNNNNNNNNNNNNNNNNNNNNNNNNNNNNNNNNNNNNNNNNNNNNNNNNNNNNNNNNNNNNNNNNNNNNNNNNNNNNNNNNNNNNNNNNNNNNNNNNNNNNNNNNNNNNNNNNNNNNNNNNNNNNNNNNNNNNNNNNNNNNNNNNNNNNNNNNNNNNNNNNNNNNNNNNNNNNNNNNNNNNNNNNNNNNNNNNNNNNNNNNNNNNNNNNNNNNNNNNNNNNNNNNNNNNNNNNNNNNNNNNNNNNNNNNNNNNNNNNNNNNNNNNNNNNNNNNNNNNNNNNNNNNNNNNNNNNNNNNNNNNNNNNNNNNNNNNNNNNNNNNNNNNNNNNNNNNNNNNNNNNNNNNNNNNNNNNNNNNNNNNNNNNNNNNNNNNNNNNNNNNNNNNNNNNNNNNNNNNNNNNNNNNNNNNNNNNNNNNNNNNNNNNNNNNNNNNNNNNNNNNNNNNNNNNNNNNNNNNNNNNNNNNNNNNNNNNNNNNNNNNNNNNNNNNNNNNNNNNNNNNNNNNNNNNNNNNNNNNNNNNNNNNNNNNNNNNNNNNNCACGGAGAGCAUCUACAUCAACUUCAUUGCCUCCCCGAUAAUGCGUGAGUAGUUCACCACAGACCUACGGGUCCAUAGCUAGUAGCUAGAUGGCUUCUUCUCUCUCUUGGAUCUUCAAUACAAAGUUCUCCAUGAUCUUCAUGGAGAUCUAUCCGAUGUAAUCUUCUUUUGCGGUGUGUUUGUCGAGAUCCGAUGAAUUGUGGAUUUAUGAUUAGAUUAUCUAUGAAUCUUAUUUGAGUUUCUUCUGAUCUCUUAUAUGCAUGAUUUCAUAUCCUUGUAAUUCUCUUCGAGUUGUGGGUUUUGUUUGGCCAACUUGAUCUAUGAUUCUUGCAAUGGGAGAAGUGCUUGGUUUUGGGUUCAUACCGUGUGGUGACCUCACCCAGUGACAGAAGGGGUAGCGAGGCACGCAUCGUGUUGUUGCCAUCAAGGGUAAAAAGAUGGGGUUUUUAUCAUUGGUUUGAGUUUAUCCCUCUACAUCAUGUCAUCUUGCUUAAGGCGUUACUCUGUUCGUCAUGAACUCAAUACACUAGAUGCAUGCUGGAUAGCGGUCGAUGUGUGGUGUAAUAGUAGUAGAUGCAGAAAGUAUCGGUCUACUUGUCUCAGACGUGAUGCCUAUCUGCUAGAUCAUUGCCUUAGAUAUCAUCAUGACUUUUAGCGGUUCUAUCAAUUGCUCGACAGUAAUUUGUUUACCCACCGUGAUAUUUGCUAUUAUGAGAGAAGCCUAUAGUGAACACUAUGGCCCCCAGGGUCUACUCCACACCAUAUUUUCAGCCUUACACUUUUUGCUUCGUUGCACUUUCCGCCUUUAGAUCUCACUUUGCAAACAAUCUUGAAGGGAUUGACAACCCCUUUGAAGCGUUGGAUGCAAGCUUGUUUGUGUUUGCGCAGGUACUUUGGACUUGACGAGGCCCUCCUUCUGGAUCGAUACCUUGGUUCUCAAACUGAGGGAAAUACUUACUGCUCUUGUGCUGCAUCACCCUUUCCUCUUCAAGGGAAAAAAAAUCAGAGAAGUAACAAGAAGAAUUCCUAUGCUCCAGGGAAGGACUUAUGUUGCCGCAGCAGAAGAAUUUCUGGCGCCGUUGCCGGGGAGGAGGAUCAAGUCAAGAAUAGUCUCCCGUCAACAUGCCAGUUUCUGGCGCCGUCGCCAGGGAGGAAGAUCAAGUCAAGAACUCAUCCAAGUAGGUGUGGGAAACUCAUCUCUUGCAUUUACUUUGUUUGCCAGUUGCCUCUCGUUUUCCUCUCCCCCACUUCACCAAUUUUCCUUUUUUGUUCGCCUUUUCGUUCGCUUUUUCGUUCGCCCUUUUCUCUCGCUUGCUUUCUGCUCGUCUGUGUGGGAUAGUCUAUCGUGAUGGCUAGAUCCACCACUUCGAACGAUACUCCCAAAAGCGAAGUUCUCAAUUUCAAACAAAUUGAGGGAGAAAACUUAAAAGACGCUUGGUAUAGGAUUUGCAAUGCUUAGAGUANNNNNNNNNNNNNNNNNNNNNNNNNNNNNNNNNNNNNNNNNNNNNNNNNNNNNNNNNNNNNNNNNNNNNNNNNNNNNNNNNNNNNNNNNNNNNNNNNNNNAGGGUCACCAAGGUAGCAAGAAUACACGAAGGAUAAAGCACUAGAGCAAAAACUAAUUGGACCAAUGGAGGAGUCACUUACCAAGGAGCAAUUUCCCCAAAACAGUUCAGAGAAUGGUGCUUUGAGAAAGGAUAUCGAAAAUCACAGCCAAAUGAGCAAGAACACGGGUUUGAGCUGCGAAACAAUUUUUUCUGGAGGUGGAAGAAGAGGCUGAGAGCUGGAAUGAGUGGAGGGGGGGCNNNNNNNNNNNNNNNNNNNNNNNNNNNNNNNNNNNNNNNNNNNNNNNNNNNNNNNNNNNNNNNNNNNNNNNNNNNNNNNNNNNAUGAGUGGAGGGGGUGCCUGUGGGCCCCACAAGCUUGCACCCCGCCACCAGGGGGUAGGUGCGGUGACAGGGCUUGUGGCCCACUGGUCAGGCCCCCAGGCCAGCUCUCAGGCCCCGAAAUUUUCAAAAAUUCCAGAAAAAAUUAUACUAAAUUUUCAAGACCAUCGGAGAACUUUUAUUUUCGAGGUAUUUUUCUCAGGGACGCUAAAACAGAAAACAGGAAAAACUAAACUNNNNNNNNNNNNNNNNNNNNNNNNNNNNNNNNNNNNNNNNNNNNNNNNNNNNNNNNNNNNNNNNNNNNNNNNNNNNNNNNNNNNNNNNNNNNNNNNNNNNNNNNNNNNNNNNNNNNNNNNNNNNNNNNNNNNNNNNNNNNNNNNNNNNNNNNNNNNNNNNNNNNNNNNNNNNNNNNNNNNNNNNNNNNNNNNNNNNNNNNNNNNNNNNNNNNNNNNNNNNNNNNNNNNNNNNNNNNNNNNNNNNNNNNNNNNNNNNNNNNNNNNNNNNNNNNNNNNNNNNNNNNNNNNNNNNNNNNNNNNNNNNAAAUCAUACUUCAUCUUGACACGAGGAAUAGGGCAUUCAAAGCUCCCAAUGAGAAUCGAUGAAGUCUUUUCGAUAGCAUUGAUGCAAUGUACUGGAUAUCGUUUCUUCGGAAAGUGCACUAUGUGCUCAUUACCGUUGACAUGGAAAGUGACAUUGCCUUUGUUGCAAUCUAUAACAGCCCCCGCAGUGUUUAAAAAGGGUCUUCAGAGGAUGAUANNNNNNNNNNNNNNNNNNNNNNNNNNNNNNNNNNNNNNNNNNNNNNNNNNNNNNNNNNNNNNNNNNNNNNNNNNNNNNNNNNNNNNNNNNNNNNNNNNNNUGAGGAUAUAGCUGUGUUGGGGCACCCUCUCACGAAGUGGGAGGGGUAUAUAUAGUGGGGAGAGUAAAAUAGCCGUUGGGGACACUUUAAGUCUGACAGGGGUCGGACAUCCGGCAGUUUCUCGGAUGUCCGGACGCCCACAAGGUGUCCGACGUCCGACAGUGGUCGGUCGUCCAAGAGAUGUAUAUAUAUCUGGAAUCACUGUGUAGUUGAACAGGGACCGGACGUUCGGAGGAAGCCAGAAGUCCGAGUUAUUCGACUCAAACUUCUCUGGCGCGAGAUNNNNNNNNNNNNNNNNNNNNNNNNNNNNNNNNNNNNNNNNNNNNNNNNNNNNNNNNNNNNNNNNNNNNNNNNNNNNNNNNNNNNNNNNNNNNNNNNNNNNNNNNNNNNNNNNNNNNNNNNNNNNNNNNNNNNNNNNNNNNNNNNNNNNNNNNNNNNNNNNNNCAAACUUCUCUGGCGCGAGAUUCCGGAUUUCCGAAGGAGGUCGGACGUCCGGCCCUCGGACGUCCGGAGGGAGCCGGAAGUCCGAGUUAUAUGGCUCAAGUUUCUCUGGUAUAGGAUUCCGGAUUUCCGAAGCAGUCGGUCAUCCGGCCCUCGGACGUUCGGAGGAAGCCGGAUGUCUGAGGCAUUUGUUCUGUUUUCAGAUAACAACAGAGCAGUGGAGAUGUGGUCUGAGCAGAACAGUGGAGAUGUAGUUUGAGCAAGUUCAUCGCAAAACCUGUGAUCCCCUCUUAAUAGUGCGGGAUCCCUAAAGACUCAAGAAUUAUAAAAGGGGUACCGAUGAACCAUACUUGAGUGUAUACUUUUAUUCGCUGAUCAUCACUCCGCACCACUAACGUCAAAGGAACUGAUACCAUUGAGUUAGCCCUUUCACUUGAGCUUGAUGUUGUUGUUCCUUCUUGGCUCAAGUCGAAAGCAAGACAUGAUGAAGUCUUCAAGUAGCUCUCCCAUACACAAUGUGGAAAGCCUAGCUUAUGUAUUCAUCUUCAUUUGUCCACCAUGUGAACAUCCACAAGAAUCAAGCAUGUAGUGCUCAGGAAUGCUUAUCUUGAUCUUGUCCUUGUUAGCACACGAGCUUGUCCUUAUAAACACAUGAUCAUUCACAAUAGCUUAAAGGGGAUUAGUGAUUAGUUAUCUAUAUGUGUGUUGUCAGCAACACCAAAACACGAUUAAUGGCAUGACUGCACUUUCACACGAUACGUGCCUCGCUACCCCUUCUAUCACUGGGUGAGGUCACCGCAUGGUAUAAACCCAAAACCAAGCACUUCUCACAUUGCAAGAAUCAUAGAUCUAGUUGGCCAAACNNNNNNNNNNNNNNNNNNNNNNNNNNNNNNNNNNNNNNNNNNNNNNNNNNNNNNNNNNNNNNNNNNNNNNNNNNNNNNNNNNNNNNNNNNNNNNNNNNNNUGUCUGCUCUGUUUCAACGAGGAUCUAUCUUAGGUUUGGGUCCUGCUUCAUUAACCUACUACGGGAGCUGAUUGAUUGCUUCGGUGGUUGUUGCAACAGUGCAUGAUGUGCUGCACUGCCCUCUUGUAAAGAUCCAAACCAUUGUAUUGCAUAGUACUCGUACGAGCUACCACAUUUUUCUUUUCUUAAAAUGUUGCUCACUUGUCUUCUUUAAUUGUGGACCAGAUGAUCAAUCACGAUGACUGAUUUCGUUCCUCUCUUUAGUCUUGCAUGAUUGUGGUGGGUGUCUUUAGAUUACCAGCAGACUAUUUGAGCAUUCAUUCAAGUUGUCAGAUCAAGUCCCAUUCAUUUAAUCAGUCGUACUGUAGAAGCACAUCACAUUGCAAGUUUGCUAAUGUCAGACUGUUGAUCGUCAAAGGAUUUCCUCACCGGAAUGGAAUUUGAAUUCGAAUGCAGGGAGCCGGGGCUCCGGCCGGACGCCCAUGGACUGGGACGUCACCACAUUGGCAUCGAAGCGCUCGUCCGGUUUGAGUGUUGUGUUGACUCGCACCAGCUAUGGAGCGGCGUGACCGGCAUGAAUGCCCGGUCGGCCUACCGCGGGCUCGCGCGCCUGCACUCGCCGCACAAGCUCGCGCACGGCAACGUCAAGUCCACCAACGUCCUCCUCCGGCCGGACCACGACGCCGCCGCGCUUUCCGACUUCUGCCUCCACCCGAUCUACGCGCCGUCGUCUGUCCGCGCGGGCUCCAACGGCUACCGCGCCCCGGAGGUGGUGGACACGCGGCGGCCCACGCUGGAAGCGGACGUCUACUCCCUCGGCGUGCUCCUGCUGGAGCUCCUCACCGGCAAGUCCCCGACGCACGCGUCCCUGCAGGAGGGCGACGGCGGCACGCUCGACCUGCCGCGGUGGGUGCAGNNNNNNNNNNNNNNNNNNNNNNNNNNNNNNNNNNNNNNNNNNNNNNNNNNNNNNNNNNNNNNNNNNNNNNNNNNNNNNNNNNNNNNNGGUGGUUGCAGUCGGUGGUGCGCGAGGAGUGGACCGCCGAGGUGUUCGACGUCGAGCUCGUGCGGCUGGGCGCCAGCGCCGAGGAGGAGAUGGUGGCGCUGCUGCAGGUGGCCAUGGCCUGCGUGGCCACCGUGCCCGACGCGCGCCCGGACGCGCCGGACGUUGUCAGGAUGAUCGAGGAGAUCGGGGCCGGCCACGGGCAGACCACGACGGAGGAGAGCGCUCGGGCGACCACCUCCGAGGAGGAGCGGUCCCCGGCCGCCCAGACAUCGUAGCCCCGGACAUCUCGGCAUUGUUUUGUUGGAUGAAUUAAUUGUAUUUUCUUCUUUCUCUCUUCCCCUCUGUCAGUCUCAUCUCUUCCCCUCUGUCAGUUUCAUUAUUUUCUUUCAAGAAAAGUAAAUGUCUUUUUUGUGAUCUAUUCAGUCCCCUUUACCUUUGCGAUAAUAGAUUCACGCGCUCUCUUAACGAUCUCAUAGCCAUGCAUUUGGUCUGUCCUGCAAUAGACACAUGAAAACCAUGUAUUAAUAUUGUAUUGUUCUUGACAAAAAUUGUUGAUUACCAUGAGUGGAUAUACAGCCUUUUAAAAAAAGAAUCAAAUAUAGUGCAACUAUUAACGGAUCAGGUCUCGACUAGAAUUCAAACUACAUAACGCUUAUACAAAGUUCUUAACAUAACCAUGAGACAUGAGAAAAUUCUUCAAACAAAAUCCAUACUCAUUGCACCUGUUCUUCGAUUCGAUUCGCGUAUUGUACCCGGGAGAAGAAACUACAAAUAAAACAUUGUACUCUGAUCGCUCGUCCGAAAAUAAAUAUCCUGUAUUUAGUUCAAAUCUAUAUAAUAAUGUUCUUAACAUAACCAUGAGACAUGAGAAAAUUCUUCAAACAAAAUCCAUACUGUAGAGGUUGGAAGCAAAGUAAAAUAUGGUUCAACAACAACAAGAGACUAGUAGCAUCAACUCUAGUUCUUCAUCUUUUUUUUGGGCCUCGGCUAGUUGUUGUGCAAGAAAUUUUGCUAACGUGCACAAGGAUAUCACUUGUUCUAUCUAUAUGUACACAACAGCACUGCACUAAUUAAUAGGUAAGCAUUAUAGAAUAGCCAUGAACAAGUGAAAAUCCCUCCCAUAAUAAGUAACAAUCCUGCUAACAUGGACUAUUCCCAAAUCCUGGAGCAUACAAUGCAAAAAAGGUCCCAGCACAGAAUUAUAAGAGACUAAUUGCAUCAACAACAAAUAUGAUCAGUCAUAAUAAUUCACAGAAGAACGCCACCACAGAUCUAAACACACUACAUCAUCGGCUUGAUGGUCGGAACCACAAUCGCCCACGGCUCAAUGACCAUUUCAUUUCAGACACAGAGAGACAGAGAAAGACAGAGAGAGAGAUCAAAGACUUGCCUGAACCAAGGAAGAGCAACCACGGCUUGAUGGCCUUGAGUUGUCUCUAUCAACUCAAGGAGGCCCCUUUUCCUCCAAAAUAGAAUGACCUUGGUUUAAGCCACAAUCCUCUGAUAGAAGGCAGAGCAAAGUGGUUAGUACUUCAACUCAACAUUACUAUCAUGUUGGUUAGUUCAAUGGACUUAUAAGGAUCUUAAUAUACCACAUCAAACACUGGCUAUAGUAGCAAAGUAUACACAAUUGACAAUAAAUUGCCAACACAUCAUGGCUCAUACAUACAUUGUCAUGCAAAGUACAAGAAUGGUUCGGAGCGUCGGCCACCCCGCACGGCCACCCCGCCGGAGGGUGUUGGAAUGGAGCCGGCAGGCAUGCCCUCCGUNNNNNNNNNNNNNNNNNNNNNNNNNNNNNNNNNNNNNNNNNNNNNNNNNNNNNNNNNNNNNNNNNNNNNNNNNNNNNNNNNNNNNNNNNNNNNNNCUGCCCUUGUGUGGGCUCACGUCUGUUAUGGAACGACGUAACCGGCAUGAAUAUCCGGCAAUUAUUUCAUUUUAAGAGGUUUUGUGAAGUGCGACGUGACGUUCCGGAAAUCCCUGCUGUUUCAUGGGGUUUUCGAUAGGAGGACGCGUCCGUUCGUGUGAUGUGCCCCCGCGGACGCGUCUGAUGGCUUUGCGUUUGCGUGAAUAUAUGACAUUUUGGUGCGGAUGGAUAGAUUUUAAUUUUCGCUUGAGCCAGUAUUCAUUCAUUCUUGAAAGCGCCAAAGCUUUCCCGAACACGGGAAUUAUUUCAGAACCAAGGUAGAGCCGCAACGUGCCUUGCGCUUGGUCCGUUUGAACCUCUCAUGGAUCGGUCCUCUUUUUUAGUCGAUCUGAGCCGUCCGCCUACAUCAGAUGGAGGAGAAAACACCAACUAAAUUAUGGUUUGAUGGAUGAGAAUGGAUUUUCAAUUUGGUUUGAACCCAAAAAAUUAAACUUACAUGACGAGGAACGCGGGUAAUAUGUCUGGUUUGGUGGGUUUGCGAAAGAGGAGAGGGCGGGCAUGUUGGAAUUAUGCCCUGGAGGCAAUAAUAAAUGUAUAGUUAUUAUUAUAAUUCCUGUAUCAAGAUAAUAGUUUAUUAUCCAUGCUAUAAUUGUAUUGAAUGAAGACUCAUUUACAUGUGUGGAUACAUAGACAAAACACCGUCCCUAGCAUGCCUCUAGUUGGCUAGCCAGUUGAUCAAUGAUAGUCAGUGUCUUCUGAUUAUGAACAAGGUGUUGUUGCUUGAUAACUGGAUCACGUCAUUGGGAGAAUCACGUGAUGGACUAGACCCAAACUGAUAGACAUAGCAUGUUGAUCGUGUCAUUUUGUUGCUACUGUUUUCUGCGUGUCAAGUAUUUAUUCUUAUGACCAUGAGAUCAUAUAACUCACUGACACCGGAGGAAUGCUUUGUGUGUAUCAAACGUCGCAACGUAACUGGGUGACUAUAAAGAUGCUCUACAGGUAUCUCCGAAGGUGUUAGUUGAGUUAGUAUGGAUCAAGACUGGGAUUUGUCACUCCGUGUGACGGAGAGGUAUCUCGGGGCCCACUCGGUAAUACAACAUCACACAUAAGCCUUGCAAGCAAUGUAACUUAGUGUAAGUUGCGGGAUCUUGUAUUACGGAACGAGUAAAGAGACUUGCCGGUAAACGAGAUUGAAAUAGGUAUGCGGAUACUAACGAUCGAAUCUCGGGCAAGUAACAUACCGAAGGACAAAGGGGAUGACANNNNNNNNNNNNNNNNNNNNNNNNNNNNNNNNNNNNNNNNNNNNNNNNNNNNNNNNNNNNNNNNNNNNNNNNNNNNNNNNNNNNNNNNNNNNNNNNNNNNNNNNNNNNNNNNNNNNNNNNNNNNNNNNNNNNNNNNNNNNNNNNNNNNNNNNNNNNNNNNNNNNNNNNNNNNNAAGGCCUCCCUCCCACCAAACCAAGUAGGACUCGGUUUGGGGGGGGGAGAGUCCUCCCCCCUGGCUCGGCCGACCCCUUGGGGAUCCCUUGGACCCCAAGGCAAGGUCCCCCUCCCUCCUCCUAUAUAUAUGGGGCUUUUAGGGCAGAUUUGAGACGACUUUCUCACGGCUGCCCGACCACAUACCUCCAUAGUUUUUCCUCUAGAUCGUGUUUCUGCGGAGCUCGGGCGGAGCCCUGCUGAGACAAGAUCAUCACCAACCUCCGGAGCGCCGUCACGCUGCCGGAGAACUCUUCUACCUCUCCGUCUCUCUUGCUGGAUCAAGAAGGCCGAGAUCAUCGUCGAGCUGUACGUGUGCUGAACGCGGAGGUGCCGUCCGUUCGGUACUAGAUCGUGGGACUGAUCGCGGGAUUGUUCGCGGGGCGGAUCGAGGGACGUGAGGACGUUCCACUACAUCAACCGCGUUCACUAACGCUUCUGCUGUACGAUCUACAAGGGUACGUAGAUCACUCAUCCCCUCUCGUAGAUGGACAUCACCAUGAUAGGUCUUCGUGCGCGUAGGAAAAUUUUUGUUUCCCAUGCGACGUUCCCCAACAGUGGCAUCAUGAGCUAGGUUCAUGCGUAGAUGUCUUCUCGAGUAGAACACAAAAGGUUUUGUGGGCGGUGAUGUGCGUUUUGCUGCCCUCCUUAGUCUUUUCUUCAUUCCGCGGUAUUGUUGGAUUGAAGCGGCUUGGACCAACAUUACUCGUACGCUUACGAGAGACUGGUUUCAUCGUCACGAGUAACCCCCUUUGCUCAAAGAUGACUGGCAAGUGACGGUUUCUCCAACUUUAGUUGAAUCGGAUUUGACCGAGGAGGUCCUUGGAUGAGGUUAAAUAGCAACUCAUAUAUCUCCGUUGUGGUGUUUGCGUAAGUAAGAUGCGAUCCUACUAGAUACCCUUGGUCACCACGUAAAACAUGCAACAACAAAAUUAGAGGACGUCUAACUUGUUUUUGCAGGGUAUGAUUGUGAUGUGGUAUGGCCAACGAUGUGAGUUGAUAUAUUGGAUGUAUGAGAUGAUCAUGUUGUAAUAGAAAUAUCGACUUGCACGUCGAUGGUACGGCAACCGGCAGGAGCCAUAGGGUUGUCUUUAUACUAACAUAUGUGCUUGCAGAUGCGUUUACUAUUUUGCUAGGAUGUAGCUUUAGUAGUAAUAGCAUAAGUAGCACGACAACCCCGAUGGCAACACGUUGAUGGAUGAUCAUGGUGUGGCGCCGGUGACAAGAAGAUCGUGCCGGUGCUUUGGCGAUGGAGAUCAAGAAGCACGAGAUGAUGGCCAUAUCAUGUCACUUAUGAAUUGCAUGUGAUGUUAAUCCUGUUAUGCACCUUAUUUUUCUUAGAACGACGGUAGCAUUAUGAGGUGAUCUCUCACUAAAAUUUCAAGACGAAAUUGUGUUCUCCCCGACUGUGCACCGUUGCUACAGUUCGUCGUUUCGAGACACCACGUGAUGAUCGGGUGUGAUAGACUCAACGUUCACAUACAAUGGGUGCAAAAUAGUUGCGCACGCGGAACACUCGGGUUAAGCUUGACGAGCCUAGCAUGUGCAGACAUGGCCUCGGAACACAUGAGACCGAAAGGUCGAUCAUGAAUCAUAUAGUUGAUAUGAUUAGCAUAGGGAUGCUUACCACUGAAACUACUCUCGACUCACGUGAUGACCGGACUUGGGAUAGUGUAAGUGGAUCAUGAACCACUCAAAUGACUAGAGAGAUGUACUUUUUGAGUGGGAGUUUAGCAUAUAAUUUGAUUAAGUUGAACUCUAAUUAUCUUGAACAUAGUCUAAGUCCACUUUGUAUGUAUUUGUGUUGUAGAUCAUGGCUCAAGCAAGUGUCAUCCUGAAUUUUAAUACGUUCCUAGAGAAAGCUAAGUUGAAAGAUGAUGGAAGCAACUUUGUAGACUGGGCUCGUAAUCUUAAGCUAAUCUUACAAGCUGGAAAGAAGGAUUAUGUCCUUAAUGCUGCGCUAGGAGAUGAACCACCCGNNNNNNNNNNNNNNNNNNNNNNNNNNNNNNNNNNNNNNNNNNNCUGGGAAGAAGGAUUAUGUCCUUAAUGCUGCGUUAGGAGAUGAACCACCCGCUACGGCUGAUCAGGAUGUUAAGAACGCUUGGUUAGCACGUAAGGAGGACUACUCAAUAGUUCAAUGUGCAGUCUUGUAUGGCUUGGAACCGGGACUUCAACGUCGCUUUGAGCGUCAUGGAGCAUUUGAGAUGUUCCAGGAGUUGAAGUUUAUCUUUCAAAAGAACGCCCGGAUCGAGAGGUAUGAGACCUCCGAUAAAUUCUAUGCUUGCAAGAUGGAGGAAAACUCGUCUGUCAGUGAACAUGUGCUCAAAAUGUCUGGGUACUCAAACCGUCUAGCUGAACUGGGGAUUGAACUCCCGCAAGAAGCUAUCACUGACAGAAUCCUUCAAUCACUGCCGCCAAGCUAUAAAGGCUUUGUGUUGAACUACAACAUGCAAGGGAUGAACAAGUCUCCCGGCGAGUUGUUUGCGAUGCUGAAAGUCGCAGAGUCUGAACUCCGUAAAGAGCAUCAAGUGUUGAUGGUGAGCAAGACCACUAGUUUCAAGAGAAACGGCAAAGGAAAGAAGGGCAAUUCGAAGAAGAGCGGCAAGCCUGUUGCCAAUCCGCCGAAGAAACCCAAGGCUGGACCUAAGCGUGAAACAGAGUGCUUCUAUUGCAAGGGUAUGGGUCACUGGAAGCGCAAUUGCCCCAAGUAUCUGGCAGAUAAGAAGGCGGGUAAAGAAAAAUCAGGUAUAUUUGAUAUACAUGUUAUUGAUGUGUACUUAACCGGCUCUCGUAGUAGUGCCUGGGUAUUUGAUACCGGUUCUGUUGCUCACAUUUGCAACUCGAAGCAGGAACUGCGGAAUAGACGAAGGCUGGCGAAAGACGAAGUGAUGAUGCGCGUAGGAAACGGUUCCAAGGUUGAUGCAAUCGCCAUCGGCACAGUGUCACUUCAGCUACCAUCGGGAUUAGUAAUGAACUUAAAUCAUUGUUAUUUAGUGCCUGCGUUGAGCAUGAACAUUAUAUCUGGAUCUUGUUUAUUGCGAGACGGUUACUCUUUUAAGUCUGAGAAUAAUGGUUGUUCUAUUUCUAUGAGUAACAUCUUUUAUGGUCAUGCACCGAAUGUGAGAGGAUUGUUCAUAUUGAAUCUUGAUAGCGAUAUGCAUAUACAUAACAUUGAGACCAAAAGAGUUAGAGUUAACAAUGAUAGCGCCAUAUUUUUAUGGCACUGCCGUUUAGGUCAUAUUGGUGUAAAGCGCAUGAAGAAACUCCAUGCUGAUGGACUUUUGGAGUCACUUGACUUUGAUUCACUUGACACGUGCGAACCAUGCCUCAUGGGCAAGAUGACUAAGACUCCGUUCUCCGGAACAAUGGAGCGUGCAAGUGACUUGUUGGAAAUCAUACAUACCGAUGUGUGUGGCCCAAUGAGCGUGGAGGCACGCGGCGGAUAUCGUUAUUUCCUCACCUUCACUGACGAUUUAAGUAGAUAUGGUUAUGUCUACUUGAUGAAGCACAAGUCUGAAACAUUUGAAAAGUUCAAGCAAUUUCAGAGUGAAGUGGAAAAUCAUCGUAACAAGAAGGUCAAAUUCCUACGGUCUGAUCGUGGGGGUGAAUAUCUGAGUUUCGAGUUUGGUGCUCACUUAAGACAAUGUGGAAUUGUUUCACAGUUGACACCGCCUGGAACACCAAAGCGUAAUGGUGUGUCCGAACGUCGUAAUCGUACUUUGUUAGAGAUGGUGCGAUCUAUGAUGUCUCUUACUGAUUUGCCGUUAUCGUUUUGGGGUUAUGCAUUAGAAACAGCUGCAUUCACUUUAAAUAGGGCACCAUCAAAAUCCGUUGAGACUACACCAUAUGAACUGUGGUAUGGCAAGAGGCCAAAGUUGUCGUUUCUUAAAGUUUGGGGAUGUGAUGCUUAUGUCAAAAAGCUUCAGCCUGAAAAGCUGGAACCCAAAGCGGAAAGGUGUGUCUUCAUAGGUUACCCAAAAGAGACAGUUGGGUACACCUUCUAUCUCAAAUCCGAGGGCAAAGUGUUUGUUGCUAAGAACGGAACUUUUCUCGAGAAGGAGUUCCUCUCGAGAGAAUUGAGUGGGAGGAAGAUAGAACUUGACGAGGUUGUCGAACCUCUCAUCCCUCUGCAUGGUGGCGCAGGGCAAGGGGAAACCUCUGUCGUUGCAACGCCGGUUGAGGAGGAAGUUAAUGAUGAUGAUCAUGAAACUCCAGUUCAAGUUUCUGUUGAACCACGCAGGUCGACGAGAUCACGCGCUGCUCCAGAGUGGUACGGUAAUCCCGUCUUAUCAAUCAUGUUGUUAGACAACAAUGAACCUGCAAAUUAUGAAGAAGCAAUGGUGGGCCCAGAUUCCAACAAAUGGCUAGAAGCCAUGAAAUCCGAGAUAGGAUCCAUGUAUGAGAACAAAGUGUGGACUUUGGAGAUACUGCCUGAGGGCCGCAAGGCUAUUCAGAACAAAUGGAUCUUUAAGAAGAAGACGGACGCUGACGGUAAUGUGACCGUUUAUAAAGCUCGACUUGUGGCAAAGGGUUUUUCACAAGUUCCAGGAAUUGACUACGAUGAGACUUUCUCUCCCGUAGCGAUGCUUAAGUCCGUCAGAAUCAUGUUAGCAGUAGCUGCAUUUUUCGAUUAUGAAAUCUGGCAGAUGGAUGUCAAAACGGCGUUCCUUAACGGUUUCCUUAAGGAAGAGUUGUAUAUGAUGCAACCCGAAGGUUUUGUCGAUCCUAAAAAUGCUGACAAGGUGUGCAAGCUCCAGCGAUCCAUUUAUGGACUGGUGCAAGCAUCUCGGAGUUGGAACAAACGCUUUGAUGAGGUGAUCAAAGCAUUUGGGUUUAUACAAGUGGUUGGAGAAUCUUGUAUUUACAAGAAAGUGAGUGGGAGCUCUGUGGCGUUUCUAAUAUUAUAUGUGGAUGACAUAUUACUGAUUGGAAACAACGUAGAGCUUUUGGAGAGCAUAAAAGGUUACUUGAAUAAAAGUUUCUCUAUGAAGGACCUAGGAGAAGCUGCUUACAUUCUAGGCAUUAAGAUCUAUAGGGAUAGAUCAAAACGCCUGAUAGGACUUUCACAAAGCACAUACCUUGAUAAAGUUUUGAAACCGAUGCUUAAGUCCGUCAGAAUCAUGUUAGCAAUAGCUGCAUUUUUCGAUUAUGAAAUCUGGCAGAUGGAUGUCAAAACGGCGUUCCUUAACGGUUUCCUUAAGGAAGAGUUGUAUAUGAUACAGCCCGAAUGUUACAAGGUACGAGAUUGAAUAAGACUCAGUGCCCAGCAACUGAUGAAGAUAGAGAGCAUAUGCGCUCCGUCCCCUAUGCUUCAGCCAUAGGUUCUAUCAUGUAUGCGAUGAUGUGCACUAGACCGGAUGUUAGCCUGGCCAUAAGUAUGGCAGGCAGGUUCCAGAGUAAUCCAGGAGUGGAUCACUGGACAGCGGUCAAGAAUAUCCUAAAGUACCUGAAAAGGACUAAGGAGAUGUUUCUCGUGUAUGGAGGUGACGAAGAGCUCGCCGUAAAGGGUUACGUUGAUGCAAGCUUUGACACAGAUCCGGACGACUCUAAGUCACAAACCGGAUACGUAUUUAUUCUUAAUGGGGGUGCAGUAAGCUGGUGCAGUUCCAAGCAAAGCGUCGUAGCAGAUUCUACAUGUGAAGCGGAGUACAUGGCUACCUCGGAGGCAGCUAAGGAGGGUGUCUGGAUGAAGCAGUUCAUGACGGAUCUUGGAGUGGUGCCAAGUGCACUGGAUCCAAUAACCUUGUUGUGUGACAACACUGGUGCCAUUGCCCUGGCAAAGGAACCAAGGUUUCACAAGAAGACCAGACACAUCAAACGACGCUUCAACCUCAUCCGCGACUACGUCGAGGAGGAGGACGUAAAUAUAUGCAAGGUGCACACGGAUCUGAAUGUAGCAGACCCGCUGACUAAACCUCUUCCACGGCCAAAACAUGAUCGACACCAGAACUGUAUGGGUGUUAGAUUUAUUACAAUGUAAUUCACAUGGUGAUGUGAGGGCUAGAUUAUUGACUCUAGUGCAAGUGGGAGACUGUUGGAAUUAUGCCCUAGAGGCAAUAAUAAAUGUAUAGUUAUUAUUAUAANNNNNNNNNNNNNNNNNNNNNNNNNNNNNNNNNNNNNNNNNNNNNNNNNNNNNNNNNNNNNNNNNNNNNNNNNNNNNNNNNNNNNNNNNNNNNNNNNNNNAAACGUGUCGUUCUUUUGUAAAAAAAACCCUGGGUAGAGUCGCUCCCCUCCCGUCACCAAGCUCCGCCGACACGCUGCGCACCGCGCUCGCCAUGGGCGCCGACCGCGCCGUCCACGUCCUCCACGACCCCGACCCGGCCCGCCCGCUCCUCCCGCUNNNNNNNNNNNNNNNNNNNNNNNNNNNNNNNNNNNNNNNNNNNNNNNNNNNNNNNNNNNNNNNNNNNNNNNNNNNNNNNNNNNNNNNNNNNNNNNNNNNNNNNNNNNNNNNNNNNNNNNNNNNNNNNNNNNNNNNNNNNNNNNNNNNNNNNNNNNNNNNNNNNNNNNNNNNNNNNNNNNNNNNNNNNNNNNNNNNNNNNNNNNNNNNNNNNNNNNNNNNNNNNNNNNCGACCGCGCCCUCCACGACCCCGACCCGGCCCGCCCGCUCCUCUCGCUCGUCGUCGCCAAGCUCCGCCAACACACUGCGCAUCGCGCUCGCCAUGGGCGCCGACCGCGUCCUCCACGACCCCGACCCGGCCCCUUUCCUCCACCGGUCCAGGGAUGGGGUGGAUCCGAUCUGGCGGAGGAGGAGGUCUGUCCGUCGACGGCGGCUUCGGCCCCGGCGAGCGUCGCGGCGGUGGUCAGAGGUGGAGGCGAGGCUGAGGGGCCCUCCUCUCCGAUGGCUAUCCAUUCUAAUAUCACCAUCGCCCUGCCCUUGAUUCCNNNNNNNNNNNNNNNNNNNNNNNNNNNNNNNNNNNNNNNNNNNNNNNNNNNNNNNNNNNNNNNNNNNNNNNNNNNNNNNNNNNNNNNNNNNNNNNNNNNNNNNNNNNNNNNNNNNNNNNNNNNNNNNNNNNNNNNNNNNNNNNNNNNNNNNNNNNNNNNNNNNNNNNNNNNGCAGAGGUGACCGCCUUCAACCGCCACCAGCCCCGAGUCAGUCUGCGAGAGGGACUACAGGUCAGGACGACCCUGAGGCGCCAGAGAGCCUUAGUUACACGCUCAACUCUCACAUUUGCGUUGUGGACGAGAUUAGGGUGCGGCCUUACCAAGGUGUGUUAUUAUUGAUUGAUUGAUUUAGCAUGUGUGGUAUUGCAAUUUGCUUGAGCUCUUUCAUAGUGCGCACCGUUGAUUGAUUGCUUUAUUGAUUAGGCUAAAUGCCCCUAAAUUAGCUGAGGAUGCCUAGGCACUGCAAAUUUCUGUCUUGGUUAGAUUUGUCUGAUUGAUCCAUAGUAUUUAUAUGCCCUUUGUUUCGAAAAUUGUCGGCUUUUUUCAGGAUGAUGACCCUAUAUACUCUUCAAAGACGGCGCGAUUUCGNNNNNNNNNNNNNNNNNNNNNNNNNNNNNNNNNNNNNNNNNNNNNNNNNNNNNNNNNNNNNNNNNNNNNNNNNNNNNNNNNNNNNNNNNNNNNNNNNNNNUAUGCAGACUCUCCAAACGGAUCCGUAAAAAAAAUAUUCGCGGAAUAUGUUUUUUUACUGGUCGGCUUCUGUAAGUUCUGCUCGGACUCCACCGCAACGAUCCGCAAACAGAAAACUGCAAAUCUCGUAUUUGACAUAGGGUUCGGCAAACAAGUUCAAAUUCAAACGAAAUAAACAAUUUGCGCACAAAUAAAAGCGAAGUUCAUUACGCAAAAGAGGGCAUGCAAAGGUUUUGCACCCAUGUCCGGCAUCAUCUUGGGGGUCGAUCUUCACUCCGUGCCAUGGACUCCAUAUUGAAGUUCACCGGCGCCACCGAAUCCACAUCCGUCGCUUGUUCCAACUCCCGCACCGAAAUCAUCCACAUUGACACCAUAUGGAGCAGAGAAAACAUCACGGGACCUGGAUCACGGACCGGUCGAGGCGACCAUUCUCCUCUUCAAGAUCUCUCUCCUUGCCAUAUCAUGUCAUGUUUUGGUGAGGUCGUCCAUGUCAUUGCGGUUCAUUGACAUGAUCGUGUUCUCCUCGCGAGCAACAAUGACAUCGAUUUGGUUUCAGAGGCGCGUGCUUUUCUCUCCUCAAUGGCAGCUUUGCGGAGCCCCUCUUCCUUGAGCAUUUGCCUUUUUCUUGCUUCUCUUUUGCCUUCUUCUCUGCCAACUAUUUCUUGAUCUCCAACAACUUCAACAAAACCAACUCGNNNNNNNNNNNNNNNNNNNNNNNNNNNNNNNNNNNNNNNNNNNNNNNNNNNNNNNNNNNNNNNNNNNNNNNNNNNNNNNNNNNNNNNNNNNNNNNNNNNNCCACGAACCCUAGCCGCCUCCGCCUCAGCAAUGGCCGGCGUCUUUGCGUCUCGUCGGCGCUGCCAGACACCUCUCCCGCGCGCUCGCCUGCACCACCGGAAGCUCGCGGCGGCGCCUAUCGCGUAGUCGUGCCCGGCGCCGGCGGCCGGCAGGUCCAGGGGCAUGCAGUGAGUGGUGAUGGGUCGCCCCGUCCGGCAGGUCCAGGGGCAUGUAGUGAGUGGUGAUGGGUCGCCCCGGCCGGCAGAAGCUNNNNNNNNNNNNNNNNNNNNNNNNNNNNNNNNNNNNNNNNNNNNNNNNCUUCCGAUGCGGCGGCUCCUCUUUCCCCAGCCCCUCGUCGAUCGAUUACUCUUCGAUUUGGGCUGCUGCUGCCCCGUCUGGCGGAUCUCCCGGCGAUUCUCAUCGGACAGGUUGCAGGCUCCUCCACCCUGCAGCGUCUUUGCUAUUUUCAUUCUCAAAAAGAUUGCUUUUUUAUCUGUCUCUGGGCUGUCGUUUGCUUGCUCUACCGUUCCCUAAGGGUUGCAAUUUUGUUUUUCGCAGGUUGCUAUAACGGCCCCUCUCUGUCGCUGCGAUUGCUGUGAGGUGUGAGUCUUGACGGGGGCACCGGCAGCAGCAUCCUUUGGCCUGCCUCUGUUCACCAGAUGAGCACAUGCUCAGGUACCUUCUAUCGUCAGAGGAAUGCAUCUUUGUUUUGGUCCGCUUUCUUCUUUUAUGAAAUUCUCACUGACCAAGUUCCUUUUCUUUUUCUCCUUGUCCGGGACGUUUGGCAGGAGCUAAUUUUGAUGUAUGAUCAGGCUGGUCCUGGUGCCGCGUGCACCCGGACCUGUGCCUCUCGCUUGCAUGAUCUGGUGGUCUUCGUCACGUUUCCGUCGACGUUGCUAGGUGUCUGCCGUUGCCACUUACCCCUGCACUGUUGGAUGCUCAGUUUAGUGCCCGUGGCUUCGUUCGCAUGAGCCUCCGGCCCUGUGGCUGGUACCAUUUGAUUUCUUCCUCUCUAAGAUUUUAUUCAAUUCAUCUUGCAAGCUAGUACGUAUUUCUUUUCUCAUAGUUAGCUGCUGAGACUACAGCAAGCUCGCACUUCUUAUCAAGUACUCCCUCCAUCAAGAAAUAUAAGAGCGUUUAGAUCACUACUCCGUCCGUAAAGAAAUACAAGAGUGUUUAGAUCACUAUACAAGAGCAUUUAGAUCACUAAUAAAGAAAUAUAAGAGCGUUUAGAUCACUACUCCAGAGUGUUUAGAUCAC
RNAcentral lists this long non-coding RNA (193126 nucleotides) under Hordeum vulgare. RNAcentral describes it as "long non-coding RNA (HVUL_LNC011430)". Lineage: Eukaryota; Viridiplantae; Streptophyta; Magnoliopsida; Poales; Poaceae. The record is from RNAcentral.